This 250704-nucleotide long non-coding RNA is filed under the name Gossypium barbadense (sea-island cotton). RNAcentral's name for it is "long non-coding RNA (GBAR_LNC012329)". The stretch from base 169182 to 169288 matches the Rfam family "Plant small nucleolar RNA R71". The record is from RNAcentral. Lineage: Eukaryota; Viridiplantae; Streptophyta; Magnoliopsida; Malvales; Malvaceae.
AAAGAUCGACCUCUGGGCUAUCCGGUCUGGAUACAGCCGGAUAAUCAAAGCCCACUCCCGCCACUUCCUAGCUCUCUCACUCCUCUUCCUCCUCCCUUUCUCUUUCUUCUUAUCCAUCUACCCCUUCAUCGCCAUUGAAUCCUACCUCAGCUUCCUUCAGCAAGAUCCCUCCAUCUUCCCCACUAAAAUCUUUAUCCUAAAUCUCCUUUACACCAUCCCCAUCUCCAUCUUCUCCCUCUUGGCCACAGGUUCCAUCACUUACAGCAUUUUCCACGGCUUUUACGGUCGACCCUUCAAGCUUUUAUCCGCUAUUAAGGCGGCUUUCACUUCCUUCUUCCCUCUCUUCUCGACUUGCCUUGUAACCCAGCUUAUCGUUUCUGGGAUCAGUUUGAUCCUUGGUUUAGCCUUUUCUGCAGUAGUCAUUUUAGGCUUCCAAGUUCAUUACCCUUCACCUUAUUUCAUUUUCCUUUGCCUUGUUUACGUGAUUAUUCUCUUGUGUAUUGUGGUUCAUUUACAAGUGAAUUGGAUAUUUGCUUACGUAGUCGUCGUCGUUGAAUCAAGCUGGGGGUUUGACCCAUUAAAGCGAAGUCGAAAUUUAGUUAAAGGAAUGGAAGGGGUUGCUUUGAAGAUUAUACUGCUUUUCGGCUUCGUCAUUUCGAUUAAUACCUGGCGCUCAGUUAUGACAUACGGAGAUUCAGCUGCUGAUAAAUGGACAAGUUGGGUAUUUGUUUUGAAUAUUGACGUCACUUCCACCUUCUCUAUGAUGUUAAUGUUUUGUAAUUUAGCUGCAAAUACAGUUUUCUAUAUAUAUGCCACGGCUCUACAUGGAGAGCUUGCUGAAGAUGAGGAAUUUGCAGUCAAGUAUUUAAGUUUGGCUGUGGAUGAUGGGAAAGUUCCUAGCGUUGUUUCAAUGGUUUAAUGCUUGAUGAAAACAGGGAAUUCGAGUUCCAUUUAUGUUCUGUUUUUUGUUUUUGUUUUUUUUAAGUCUUGCUUUGCAUAGAUAACAUGCUUUCACCAGUGGUGGAAAACUUGAUGGGAAAGUUCCUCGCGUUGUUUCAAUGGUUUAAUGCUUGAUGAAAACAGGGAAUUCGAGUUCCAUUUAUGUUCUGUUUUUUUGUUUUUGUUUUUUUUUUAAGUCUUUGCUUUGCAUAGAUAACAUGCUUUCACCAGUGGUGGAAAAACUAACACGAAAGCGAUUGAGAAGUAGAUAGGAAAAGAAAAAAAAAAUCAAAUCAGAGAAAAAUUAGGAGAGAAGGAGAAUGAAGAGUUACAGUUACUUUAGUGUGUAAUUAAGAGGUUCUUUGACUUUUUAUGCUUUUAAAAUAAGGAAAACAUAGGCGAAGCAGGAGGCAGUUUACCUACCUUUACAUGUAUGAAGGUAACUUGGGCACGAAGGUAACUUGGGCACAACUCACUUUUGGUUAGUUUUUCCUAAUAUUUUUUUCUCCUUAUUUUCAAUCUUUUUCUCUUAAAUAAAUUCAAAUUUAACUAAAACUAUUAAAAAUAAAAAGGAAAAAAUUGAUUUAUCAUUUUUCUAUUAAAAAUAAUAAAAAUGACGUGGAAUUACAAUUUCAUAUAAUCUCUUUUCCUCUUAUCAAGUUUUGAAUGUGGUAGGUCACAACCAACCCCUCAAUUAAUUUCUUUUUUUUUGGAUUAAAGUGAUGCUGAUGGGCUUUGACAUGGUAUCCAUAAAAAAAAUAUUUUUUCAAUUUAUUUUAAUUGAUACAAAUUUUUUAAAAAUAAAUUUACCAGUGCUGGCAUACCAAAAACAUCCAUUAAAAACAUUUUUUAUUUUUUUUGCACUGUAAAUAUUCAUAUUUUCACGGUAUUUUGAAAAAUACAUAUGAGUGUCGUUUGACAUAAUGCGGCACCAAAUUUUUUUUUUCCAAAUAUGAUGAUUGAGAGGAAAAAUAGGUGGUGUUGCCUGACACUCAGGCGGCACCAACAAUAGUCGUAGCAAACGAGUCAUUUUUGUAUAUAAUUUUUCCUCCAGGUUAUUUUUAUAAUUAAUUAGUCUUUUAGGGUUAUUUUAAAAAAAGCUGAAAAGUUAGUAUAUGAUUCUAUGUGAAAUUAAAUGUCAAUGAACUAAAAUGAAUAAAUGAAAUAAUACAUUAUAUGAUUAUGGUGUGAUGAAGGGUUGAGGUACAAUUGAGAAUAGGGUUGGUGAAUGAGGGUUACGGUAGGUGAAAGGGAUACAAGAUUUCUAUUUACGAUAUGUUCAUGCUUAUGUUCUUCAGAACAUGGUGUAACAUGACCAUGUGUCACACACGGUUGAGACACACUCCCGUGCCUCUACUAUGUGGACAAAAAUAGGUCAUUUGUAAAGCCAAUUUGCCACCCUUUUUCUCAUGUUCACCUAGCCAUUAAAAUGGUCUCAAUUCAUCACAUAUAUGGGCAGCCAAAUCAUACCAAAUCACAUAUAAUUCAUGUCAUUUCAUAAUCAACCAUUUCACUACUUAAAUUCUCAACCAUAAUAAUGCCAAAACAAUCAAACUUGCAUAACUUUUAAAUGCAUUUCAUCGUCAUCAUCUUAUCACAUAUUUCAAACCACAAACUUACCAUUUCAACAUUCCAGAAUCAAUCCAUCACAUAAGCAUUAUGUACAUCAUAUAUCUUAAAUCAUUUAGGCCAACUUAAAUGAUCAAAUUCACACCAACAUUUAUAAGUCAAAUCUCAUGGCUAAAAUUAAGUCACAAAAUAUACCAUAAUGACACUAGCCUAUACAUGCCAUAUACCAUAUAUACAAAGCUCCCAAAAGUACCAAAGAGAUGAUUGAUAGUGCGAUGACGUAUUCCCAACGAUCCCCGAGUCUGAGCUAGCUUCGGUAAUCUAUAAAACAUGGAAAGAACACACAAAGUAAGCUUUAAAAGCUUAGUAAGCAAUAUACAAAUAAAGCUAUUAUAUGAACAUAUACAUAUCAAUUCAAAUAUUCUAAACAUAGCUAAACACAUUCAAGUUCCCAAACCUUUCUCAUUGUACACAUGUUCAAUAUCUUUAUAGAAAUCACCAAGUAAAUAAGUUAUGAAAAAUCACAUAUAGAUACACAACCUUUCUCAUUGAAUACUCAUUCAAUUUCAUAUAUAAUUUCAUCAAUUUCUUCUAUUUUCAAUACUCGUAUGAAUCUCAUACGUACCUGAGUCACUUAGCUCAAAUUCACAUUCGAACUCGUUUUGACAUAGCCCGUUGAACCAUUCGGAAUCGAUAAGGAUACUUGAAAAUCUCAUAAGCUCGUACAAUGACAUUUCCCAGAUAUGGUCUCACAUUGGAGCUUUACUCAUCAAAUCAUUUGAAAUACUAUCUUUAUACAAAUAGUAUACUUGAGUUGCACAAUUCUAUAAUUAUGAACGAACACAUUUAUAAAAUAUAUAUUCCAUGUUCAUAUAUCAUAGUCUUAUGUCUCCAUAUAUCAAAUAUAUAACCAUCAUUUUCUUGUGUUUCAGAUAAAUGCAUAUAACCAUACAUAAGCAUGCCAUUUACUAUUUCUUCCUAUCUAUCACAAUUUCAAAUGAUAGAUUCAUGUGAAUGAGCUCAAUAAUAACCAUGAAAGUACUUACCAUAUUCUUUCACACAUGUUCCACUUAUAACAUAUUUUUUUUGUAUUUGGCUUGACAUUUACUAAGCAGUAUCAGAUAUUCAUUUAUUAGGCAAUAUCAAAUAUUCAAAUUAUUCUUUAACAUAUAUAACAUUUAAUUCAAACAUGAAUUUAUAACAUUUUUCAUUUUAACAAAGUUUAACAUUUACCAAAUAUAAUCGAGCAUGUGAUCAAUUUAUGCAUAAUUCACUCACAUAUUUUCCUCCUCCUUCUCUUCUCCAUUCCACGUCCUUAAUGUAGCUUAUAAGUAACAUUAUCUAUAAUUUCACUAUUUACUUAUAUUUAUAUUCCAAAGCUAUCCAUCCGUGUCAUAGUCACUAAAUUAUUUUUAACUCGAGAUAUGGAGCUCAAAAUUAAGAUCAGCUAAUUUUUCCUAAAACUAGACUUACAUAUCUUCUUACCAUAAAAUUUUCAGAAUUUUUGGUUUAGCCAAUAAGUACAGUUUAUUCUUUAAAGUCACCUCUGUUCUGCUAUCUGACAGUUUCGACCCUUCUUCACUUAAAAUUAAUUAUCUCCUCGUACGUGAUUUGAAUAAUGCUCCUAUUUGUUUCUCUUGAAAUUAGACUCAUUCAGGAUUCUAAACAUAUAAAUUUAAUCCCAUAAUUUUUUUUUUCAAUUUUUGAUGAUUUUCCAAAGUCAGAACAGGGGAACCCGAAAUCAUUCUGACCUUGUCUCACACAUUUUAUUAUAUCUCAUGAUUUACAAUUCCAUUGCUUACAUCGUUCCUUCUAUAAGAAACUAGACUCAAUAAGAUUUAAUUUUAUACUUUAUUCAUCCUCUCAUUCGAUUUCUACAAUUUUUGGUGAUUUUUCAAAACAGUUCAAAACAGUUUUAAUGCAAAAUGUUGAUUUCCAUUUUAUCCCAAAUUUCACAGUUCAUACAAUUCAGUCCUUGCUCAAUUAACCCCUUAAUUGAGCUAAUUUUUCUCAAUUAAUACUUUAGUCUAUCAUUUUAAACUACUUCAUAACCCUUGAAAUCAGAACUUUAGCACUAGACCUUAAUUCCAAACUCUUUCAUAAUUACGUCCUAAAAUCAAUUUCCAUCAAUUUUACUUGAUAAAAUCAUCAUAUAUCAAAAUUUAAACUACAAUUCUAUAUUUAUUCAUCAUAUGCUUCCAGCACUCAUCUAUAGCAACUUUAAAAAUUAGCCAUGGAAUAAAAAACUAAUGACAUAUUAAGUUGGACCCAAUAGUAAAAGUCCAAAAUCUUAGAAAUUUCAUUUUCAGCUGAUGAAAAUGAAGAGAAAAUGAAGAAAAUUCUAGAUAUUCCAAUUUGGUCCCAUUUUUAUUUAGCUAAUUUUGGCAAUUUUCAAUUUUGUCCUUAUUUCACUCAUUUCCUGAUUUUUCUCAGCUGUUGCAACCCAAAAUAUCUUCUUUGGGCUUAUUUGCACUUUGGGUCCUUCCUCAUUUGACAAUUAAACUAUUUAAUCCUUCUAGCAACUUUUACACAUUUUUCAAUUUAGUCCUUUUUAUUUAAUUAAUCACCCAAACGUCAAAAUUUUCUAAUGAAAUUUUAAUAUUACCUUAUUGACACUCCGUAAAUAUUUAUAAAAAUAUUUAUAGCUCGGUUUAUAACACCGAGAUCUCGAUACUUUUUUUCUCAAUUUCUUGACCAAAUAAAUCUUUAUAAAACACAAUUUACUAUUUUAAAAAUAUUUUAAAAGCUACAUUGACUCAUAAAUAUUAAAUAGUAUAAUCUACGAGUUUAUUUUUUGGAUUUGUUGGUCUCGAACCACUAUUUUCGACAUCGCUGAAAUUUGGGCUAUUACAUGUUCUGUAUGGCGUUCAUCGCCUAUAUUCUGGCAGCAUGGCUGUACUAUAUCUGAUAUGUGUCAUAACGGCACGGUACGGUGUGUAGGGCUGGGUGGGUGUUUUUAACCCCAUAUGGUGUGAUGGAAUGGUCGGUGUUGGUGUGUAGAGGAUGGGUGUAGGAUUCUGUUUAUCUAAUUUGCAUAACUAUAUCUGUUAUCUAUAUCUGAAAUGGACCUAAGUCUGAAUUUGUAUCUGACUGUAUAUAUAUAUGAGAUUUCUGUAUAAUUUGUAUACUUAAUUCUGUUGGGUUACACACUGAUUAUACAAAAACUCACAUCUAUUAUCUGUUCUGUUGAGGUAAUCCACAAACUUAGGAGGAUCGGUGCGGUAGAGACUCAACGGUGACCACUCUACUGAGAAUUGUUAUGCUUAGUAAUUUUUAUGGUUUUUACUUAAUAUUUUCUGGAGUUGAUUGAAAGUUUGUAAUUUCUAGGACUCUCUAGACUGAACUAUAUUUAGACUUUUGGUUUUGGUUUUGGUUUGUUUACUUGUUUAUUUGCAUGGUUUUGAAAAUGACGGUUUUACCCAAACAAAAAGGUUUUUCUGAAAAUACGAAUUGGAUUUCCAAAAUAUAACGGUUAUAUUAGAUUUUCGCUGGAAAAUAUGUUUUUGGAAAAUAAACCAAUAAAUUAACGUUUUUGAAAAUGGUUAUAAAAUAAUAUGAGUUAAUAAAGAUGAUUUAACGCAACGACUUCGUUUUCAAAACCCAUUCUUUGUGACAUCUCAAGAUUCAGCCAUAACGUCUAGGCUGGGUUUAGGGUGUUACAUUUACUACUUUAAUAAUAUUAUGUAUAGUAUUAUCAGAGGAAAGUAGUGUUGAUGAUACAAAUUUUAGUUUAAGAUAUGAAAUUAUGGUAAUUUACAAUAAAAAUGGAAAAAGGACUAAAUCGUAAAGUUUAUAAAGUAUGUCAUAACAUUGUAUAAAGUGGAAAGAGGGCUUAAGUGAAGAACUGUUAAAGUUAUGGUGUUAUAUGUGAUAAAUGUGUAAACUAAUAAAGGAUAUAUAAGUUGAGUUCUUUCCUCCCAUUUUAUUAUAUUUGACAAACUAAGGAAAAGUCCCAUCUCAAAACAAAUGUAUACAAUUAAAAAAAAGAUUGAAUAAGAAAUAAGCUUUAGGCCUAAUGAUCUAUAAUAUCAAAUUUAAUUUAUUUAAUCAUCACAUUAUUCAAUUCAACCCAAAAACAUAUUAUGACAAAAAUUAUAUUUUUUCCCUAACUUUUCAACAUUUUAUAAUUUAGUCCUUAGGCUCGUAAAAUGAAUUUCUUUCAAUUUCAUCACAACCCAAGCCUAGCCAAUUUUUAUUUGUACUCAUAACAGCCCACAUUUUUCAUUUAUUCGCACUUUUUAACACAUUUUAUAGACUUUUACAAAUAAGUCCCUAUUUAACGUUUUUAUCAAAAAUCACUUUACAAAAGUCGUUUAACUAACCACAAACAUGCAUUUUCUACCAUCAAACAUCAAAAUACAUACAUAUCCAACAUGGUUAAAAUUUUAGACUUAAAUUUUCUUUCAAAUUAGUUCUUGAAAUAGCUAAAUCAAGUUAGAACUAUCUCAAAAAUAUAAAAAUCAUUAAAAACAGGACAAGAUUGAAAGCUUGGCCAAAACCCUAGCUAUGGUUUCCCCCAAAAUUUCGACUAUAAGGGACUAAAUUGAACAAGAUGACAUCUUUUAUUUAGUUAUUUUGGCUUUAUUUAGCAAAUUACCUAUUUACCCCUCAUUUAAACUUUGAAAUUUUACUUACCCAUGUCCAUUUUUGUCUAUAUUAAAGUAAAAUAGUCUAGUUAACAUUUAAGGACCUCUAAUUUAAGAAUUCAUAACAAUUAAACACCUUUAGCUUAUAGAAUUCAAGUUUUGCACCUAUUGCAAUUUAGUCCUUUUAGUCAAAUUGAGUACUCAAUCGAUAAAAUUUCUUAACAAAAUUUUCACACAAUUAUUCUAUCAUGCUAUAGACCUUAAAGAAAUAGUAAAACAAAUAUUUCUACUUUAGAUUUGUGGUCUCGAAGUCACUAUUCUGAUUUGACCCAAAAAUGGGCUGUUACAACUCUCCCCUUUAGGGAUUUUCGUCCCCGAAAAUCUUACCAGAAAAGAGGUUAGGGUACUGUUUUCUCAUAGCUUCCUCUGGUUCCCACAUAGCCUCUUUGACCCCGUGUCGUUGCCACAAAACUUUCACUAGAGCUAUGCUUUUAUUUCUCAACUGUUUAACCUCUCGAGCUAACACUUUGAUCGGUUCUUCACCAUAUGUCAUAUAGGGUCGAAUAUCAAUCUUUGUUGGAGAAAUCACAUGCGAAGGAUCUGAUCGAUAUCGUCGCAACAUUGACACAUGAAAUACAUUGUGGAUCUUUUCCAACUCAGAUGGUAAAGCUAAUCGAUAUGUCACCGGCCCUAUUCCUUCAAUAAUCUCAUGCCUAAAGAAACGUGGACUCAACUUGCCUUUGUGAUCAAAUCUAAGAAUUUUCUUCCAUGGUGAUACUUUCAGAAACACUUUAUCACCAACCUGAAAUUCAAUAUCCUUUCGUUUUAAAUCCAGGUACGAUUUCUGUCGAUUCGAAGCUGCUUUUAAACAUUCACGAAUUACUUUCACUUUCUCCUCGGUUUCUCUAACCAAAUCAACCUCGUGAAUCUAUUUCUCAUUGAGCUUGGUCCAAUAUAGCAGAGUUCGGCACUUGCGACCAUACAAUGCUUCAUAUGGUGCCAUCUUUAUACUCGACUGGAAACUAUUUUUGUAAGCAAAAUUGACUAAUGGUAGAUAUUUCUCCCAACUACCUUCGAAAUCUAAAACACAACAGCAAAACAUAUCUUCGAGAAUUUGAAUUACCCUCUCUGACUGACCGUUUGUUUGCGGAUGGAAUACGAAACUGUAAUUCAACUUCGUACCUAAUGCUUCUUGCAAUUUCUUCCAAAAUCGUGACGUAAACCUCGGAUCUCUAUCUGAAAUAAUAGAAGUAGGCACUCAGUGCAAUCUAACAAUCUUAGCAAUGUACAAAUCAUCCAGUUUAUCAAGUGAAUAAUCAGCAUGUACAUGAAUAAAAUGAUCCAAUUUCAUCAAUCUAUCAACAACGACCUACACAACAUCUUUCUUCUUUGGAGUCAGAGGUAAACCCGAUACGAAAUCCAUCAUAACUCUAUCCUAUUUCCACUCAGGUAUGGUCAUAGGAUGAAGUAAACCUGAAGGCACUUGAUGUUCGGCCUUCACUUGUUGACAAAUCAAACAUCUCGUUACAAAUUCUGAAAUGUCUCGUUUUAUUCCUAACCACCAAUACAAUUUCUUCAAAUCAUUAUAUAUCUUUGUACUUCCAGGAUGGAUAGAUAGACAAUCAUUAUGUGCCCCGUAAAGAAUUUUCUAAAUCAGUUCAGUAUCUCUCGAUACACAAAUCCUACCUCAGAACCUCAAAUAAUCAUCAGACAGAAUCUGAUAUUCAGAAUCACUAUUUGAUUGGCACUGGACUCUUUUAGCUUGCAACUCAUUAUCACCUUUCCAAGCUUCGCAAAUUUGUUGAAGAAAUACCAGUCUAGCUUUCAACUCGGCCAAAAUCGAUCCAUCAUCGGAUAAGGCUAACCGUGUGUUCAUCACCCUUAAUGCAAACAAAGACUUUCUAUUUAAGGCAUCUGUAACUACGUUCGCUUUCCCUGGGUGAUAGUCAAUCACUAACUCAUAAUCUUUCAAUAGCUCGAACCAUCUUCAUUGUCACAAAUUCAAAUAUUUUUGAGUCAUUAAAUACUUUAAACUCUUAUGAUAAGUAAAGAUAUGGCAUUUCUCACUGAAUAAAUGGUGUCUCUAAAUUUUUAAAGCAAACACAAUAGCGGCUAAUUCCAAGUUGUGCAUCAGAUAAUUCUUUUUGUGGGGUUUCAACUGUCUUGAGGCAUAAGCUAUCACUUUACCCUCUUGCCUCAACACACAACCAAGACCGUUAAUGAUGCAUCGUUGAAAAUCACAAACUCUUUCCCCGACUCAAGUUGCACUAAACACCGGUGCCUCAACCAACAAUGCUUUCAACUAUUCAAAACUUUUUGAUAUUUCUCAGACCACUCGAAUUUCACAUCCUUUCGUAACAAUUUGAUCAUAGGUGGUUGCAAUGAUCGAAAAUCCUUUAACAAAAAGUCGAUAAUAACCAGCCAAACCCAAAAAGAUUUUAACUUCGGAUACAUUUCUUGGUGGUUUCCAAUCAACAACUGCUAAAAUCUUACUCGGAUCAGCUCGUAUACCUUCCGCUGAAACAAUGUGUUCCAAAAAUCUGACUUCUCGGAGGCCAAACUCACUUUUGCUGAAUUUAGGAAACAAUUUCUUAUCUCUCAAGGUCUAUAAUACAAUUUUUAAAUAUCCAGUAUGCUUAGACUCAUUUCGGGAAUAAAUUAGGAUGUCAUCAAUAAACACAAUCGCAAACUUAUCUAAAUACGAUUAGAAAAUUUGAUUCAUCAAGUCCAUAAAAACUACAAAAGCAUUAGUUAAUCUGAAAGGCAUAACAAGAAAUUCAUAAUGCCCAUACCUCGUUCUAAAUGUGGUUUUUGGCAUAUCCGAGUCCUUAACUCUUAACUGAUAAUAGCCUGAUCUCAAGUCUAUCUUCGAGAACACUGUUGCCCCUUUCAACUGAUCAAACAAAUCAUCAAUUCUCGGUAAAGGAUACUUGUUCUUUAUCGUAACCUUAUUAAGUUGAAGAUAAUCAAUACAAAUUCUCGUGGAUCCGUCUUUAUUCUUGACGAAUAACACUGGUGCACCCCAAGGCAAAAUACUCGGUCUCGUAAAAACCUUAUCUGUCAACUCUUGCAACUGCGACUUCAAUUCAGUCAAAGCCAUUGUAACACCCUAUACCCGUAUCCCACACUGGGGUGAAGUACGAGGCAUUACUCAUCUCAAUCUCAUACAUUCAAAUGACCUUACGUUACCAAGACUCGGUCUGAAUCUAAAAUUUUUCAAUUUCUACCUUAACCAUCUAUUUACGAGCCUACGAUCCCCAAUUCGACCAUUAGAAAUUAUUCGGGGACCAUUUUGGGUCAUUAACUAAUCUUAGAAAAAUUUACCUUUAAAACAGGGCACACGCCCGUGUGGAAGGGUUACAUGCCCGUGUUCCCUACCCGUGUGGCCAAUUUAUUUCUACAAAUUCAUAAAUCAAGUGCAGACUUCACACGGGCUGGCCACGCGCCCGUGUCCUUCACACGGCCUCGACACGCCCAUGGUUUAGCCAGUGUGCAAAAACCUUGACAUUCUAUUUCUAACGUCAGCAAUUCUAAAUUGUCACACGGCCAUGGCACACGCUCGUGUGCUAAGCCGUGCCCUCCACACGGUUGAGACACGAUGCAUUCUGACUUAAAAUUUUUAGAUGCAGGGGACACACGGCCGGACCAUAUACCCGUGGGGCUAACUGUGUGUCACACACAGCCUAGACACACGCCCGUGUGUCUACCAGUGUGGACAAUAUAAGGUUAUUUUCCAAUCCUCAUUGCCACCCUUACUUACCUAUUUUCAUACUAAAACCAACCAAUACCAAAGCAAACAUAUUUUCUAUAAUCAUUUUAACUACAAUAGACAUUCAUGCAAUCAUGGAAAUGCAUUUUUUUUAUAAAAUCAAAAUGAAUGUUAGUCAUCAUUCAAGGCUUAAUGCAAAGUGUGGGAAUCUAUCCCAAGCCAGAACAUUUGAUCACAUCUUAAAGACACAAAAUGAUAAAAUCUAAACCCUAUACAUGCCAUAUUCAAAUAGAUAAAUCCAACUAUACCGAAUGUUUCGGCUAAUAGUGUGAUCGAUAUCUCUAACUACAAGUGAUCCUUGAGCUAAUUAGACGACACUGAAAGAAAAAUAGAAAGAAGGAGGGAGUAAGCAUAAAAGAUUAGUAAGUUGCAUAUAAAUAAAUAUACAACAACAAUUUCAUCAAUAAUCAAUAUAUUCAUGACCCAGAUGUAGGCGUAGAUGUAACUUACUCAUCACCAAACAUAUAAGUCACAUAAUAUAAUAUGUAUAUUGAGUUCAUAUCUCAUACGUACCAAUUAGGUACCUAUACCAUUCAUAACACGGUUAUACUUUUCUCAUUAACUCAAAACAUAACAUCCACGUUAAACCAUUCAGAGUAUCACCGGAUAUUAAUUAAACCUCGAAUAUGUGUAAGGUGCCGAUGCCAUGUCCCAGACAUGGUCUUACACUGGCUCAUAUCUCAAGUCAAUUCCAUGUCCCAAACAUGGUCUUACACUGACUAUCAUCUCGUAGCCGAUGCAUGUCCUAGACAUGUCUUACAUUGGCUUACAUCUCGAGGCCGAUGCAUGUCCCAAACAUGUCUUACACUAGCAGUCGUCUCAAUACUGAUGCCAUGUCCCAGACAUGGUCUUACACUAGCUUCCAUAAUGUGGCCGAUGCAUGUCCCAGACAUGUCUUACAUUAGCUCAUACAAGUGACCCAAUUAUUACGGCAUGAAUGUCCGGUCUACUUCUUAAGGUUCCAACGGAAAUUCUAUUAUCUCAAUUAUCAUUAUCAAUCAAUUCAUGCUAUAUCGAUUCAAUGAAAAUUCAAACACAUAUAUCAACAACAUAGUUGUAUUAUUUACAUACAACUUACCUUGGAUUACAAAAUGCACACGACUAGUCGAUUUGCUUGGCUUUCCCUCGGUCAAGGCUCGAAUUUGACAACUCUUUAUCUAUAAUAGUAAAAUGCACUCAUUUAGUCACUAAUCACAAUUAGGCAAUCAAAAAUUCACAUUCUUGGUAAAAUGACCAUUUUGCCCCUAGGCCAUGGAAAAAUGACCAUUUUGCCCCUAGCUCAAAAAUUGAUUUUUAUCGAAUUUCUUCGUAUCUCAAGCCUAACCGAACCCUUUUUACUCUUAUAUCAACUUCAAAAUCUCACUAUUUCAUACACUAAUCAUUUAUUUUGCAACUUAUGCAAAAUAGCCCCUUUAGGUGUUUUCAUGCUAACAUAUUUCACAAAGAUUGUUUAGAACUCUUCUAAGACUCAUAUACUUCCAUAAAAUUUCAGAAAAUAACAUGAAAAUUCACAUGGUGAAACCCUAAACUUAUUACCAUUUUGCAAGAUAGUCCUACCAUUUGAAAGCCCAUGAUACAAGCAUUCCACAAAUGUAAAAAUCAACAAGAAAAUCAUCAAGAUCACUUACAUUAUGAGAGGAAUAAGUUGAUGUAAAUUUUCAGCUUUCAAACCUCCAUAUUUGCUGAUAUUUUUGGUGAAGAGAAGAGAUGAUGAAGAAGAAAAAUAAUAGAUAGGCCUUAGGCAUUAUUUUAUCACCAAAUCAUGGCAUCAUUUACCAAAACCUUUGACUAUUUGUUUCAAUUCAUCACAUGGCCGGCCAAGCUACUCCAUAAGGGUAUAUUUUCCCUUUAAAGACCCCCAAUUUAAGUUCUCUAGCUAUUUAACACAUUUGGGCACUAAAAUGCAACUUUUGUCUUUUAUACGAUUUAGUCCUUUUUUUAUGAAAUCGGGCUUCCAAACAUCAAAAUUAACUCACCAAUUUUUUUAUACACUAAUAUAUUCAUGCUAUAACUUCAUAAUAAUAAUAAAAAAUAAUUUUCCCAACUUUGAAUUUGUGGUCCUAAGACCACUGUUCCGACUAGGCCCUAAAUCGGGCUAUUACAGCCAUUCUAUAUGAAGCUAUCGAUAUCGGUGAAGUUUUCGGUACCAAAUCAAUAGUAAACUCAACCUCUCUAAUUGGUGGUAAUCCAGGCAAGUCCUCUGGGAACACAUCUGGAUAUUCACAAACUACUGGCAUAGAUUCAAUCUUCAAUUCAAACACUUUCGUAUUCAGUACAUACGCAAGAUAAGCUUCACAACCCUUUCUCACAUACCUCUGAGUCGACAUCGACGAAAUCACAAUAGGCAACUCACUCGGCUCAUCCGAAUCAAUCCAAAGAAUUUCAUGAUUUUGACAUUUCAAUUCAAUAAUCUUUCAUCUACAAUUCACUACGACAUCAUGUAGAGUGAACUAAUCCAUUCCAAGAAUUAUAUCAAACUCAUCAACCGGUAGAAGCAUUAAAUCAGCUGGAAAACAGUGACCCCAAAUCAUUAAAGGAAAAUUCUUGCAAACUUUAUAAACUAGAACUUAUUUGCCUAAGGGGUUCGACACUUUAAUUACAUGCUCAGUAGACACAACAGAUAAUUUCUUACUAGAUACCAGAUUCGUGCAAAUAUAAGAAUGAGUAGAUCUAGGAUCAAUCAAUGCAACUACAUUAGUAUCAUAGAGAGAAAAUGUACCACUAAUAACAUCAAGGGAUGACACAUCUUCACGAGCGCGAAUAGCGUAAGUUCUAGCAGGUGCUCUGACCUUUGAUCUCGCAGUUAACUCUUUCGUCACACCUCUGCUACUGUUCUCACUUCCAGUAUUUCUCAGUGGCCUCCCUCUAGUCGCAAUGUUACUCGACCUUGCAUUCUGAAAAUUAUCUUUCUCAACCAUUUCAGGGCAAUCUCGAAUAAAGUGAUCUUGGGAGCCACAUUUGAAGCAAGCCCAGUUAUUUAUCCUACAUUCACCGGGAUGUCAUCUACCAUAGUGUUGAAAUUCAGGUCUAUUAGACUUAACAUUAAUAACACUCGUUAUUGACGUAGGUUGGGCCUUAGAACCCGAAUAUUGCUUUCCACAAUCUCUGUUGGGAUACACAACUAAAGCAUUAGAACGAGUAUACAAAUCCCUUGGCUUCUUUGACGGAGAUUGAAAUGACUUAUUUAUCGGUCUUUUUCUUAAAUCUCCAGCCUCAAACUCAACUUUUCUCUUUUCUUUGCUCCACUCUUCGGCUUUGCAAGCUUGGUCAACUAGCACAAAAAAUUCUUUCAACUCUAAAAUCCCAACUAGCAGUUUCAUAUCUUCGUUCAACCCAUUUUCGAAUCUUUUGCACAUGAUAGCCUUGAUGGAAACACAUUCCUGAGCAUACUUACUGAGCCUAACAAACUCUCGCUCAUAUUCAGUCACAGACAUACGACCCUAUUUCAGCUCUAAAAACACUUUGCAUUUCUAAUCAAUAAACCGUUGACUGAUAUAUUUCUUUCUGAACUCAUCUUGAAAGAAUUCCCAGGUAACCCUUUCUCUCAGUACCACUGAUACAAGAGUAUUCCACCACCGAUAUGUCGAGUCCCUCAGAAGUGAUAUAUCACAUUUCAAACACUCAUCCGGUGUGCAAGAAAGCUAAUCAAAUACCCUGAUAGAGUUCUCGAGCCAAAAACUCUACUCUCUUGGGAUCAUCGUCAGCAUUGGCUCUAAAUUUUUUAGCUCCUUGUUUCCGAAUCUUAUCAACUAGAGGCUUGUUCAGUCUUAACAACUCCACAACUUAAGGAGCUACAGGAACCGGUUGGGGUUAGGUGGAAGUAGAGGAUAUUGGGCAGCUGGAUUUGUUUGAACAAACUCCGCAAACCACUCAUUCAUCCUUUGGAAGAAUGCUUGUCUAGCCUCUCCUCCCUGACUAACCGUUACUGGUCUACUUUCAAAUGGUGUUGUCCCUUCGAUGGGAGAUGGUGCAUUACUUUUAACAUCAUCAACUACCUCAUUGUUGGGAUCCAUUUACUAGAUGAAACACAAUUCAGAUUGUUAGGAGUCAUCACACUAUCACAAAUUAAACAUGGCAUGUAUAGCUAGACUCUCACACAUGCUACGUUAGUUCGAGAAUCGACUAAACCAUAGCUCUGAUAUCACUAAAUGUAACACCUCUUACCCUAUUCAACACCAUAAUAGGGUACGAGGCAUUACCGGACUUACAUCAUAAGCAAACAUACAAAUCAAGUCAUAAAUUUUGCAUCCAAAUUAAAACCAUAUGUAUUCAAUCAUAAUAUCCCUAAUACGAGCCUAAGAGGCCUAAUACUUACUUUAGAAGUGGUUCAGGACUAAACCGAGUACUCAGGAAAAUUUUACAAAACUUAGAAAAUUUUUUCCAUGUACACCCCUUGUGGGUAGGCCGUGUGGUCACACACACCUGUGUCUCUAACCCGUGUAACUCUCUGACUUGCAAGGUAUGAACAAAUUGAGGUCACACUACUGAGUCACACGCCCAUGUGUUAGGCUGUAUGGUCAAUUUAAUAAAAUAGGUGCAGACUUUACACGGUUGGGACAUACGUCCGUGCUUGAGGCUGUGUCCCUUACACGGUUGAGACAUACGCCCAUGUCUCUGCCAAUGUGCUCAAUUCUGGGCAUUCUGUUUCUCAAAAUUUAGGUACAGGGGACACACAGCAGGAACACAUGCCCAUGGGGCAAGCCGUGUGUCACACACGGCCUAAACACACGCCCGUGUGUUUACCCGUGUGGACAAAAUAAAUGCUACUUACCAAGCCAUUUGUCACCCUCAUUUGUACAUACACAUCCACAAUCUUAAUGGCACAAGUCAUGGCACAUUUAGGCAACCAAAACAUCCACAAGACAAGGCCAAAUCAUGUCAUUUCAUUAUCCUCACUCAACAUAUAUACAACAUUAUAUUUUGUCAAACCAAAUCAUACUAAACUCACAUUCUACAAGUUUCAAUAUGGCUACCAUUAAAAUGCAUAAUUUUACUUAGUCUUCCUAGCAUGCCAAUGAACCUAUCUUAACCAUUCAACAACCAAAACCAUUAAGCCACAUUCAACCAUUUAUCAAGCAUUUAUAAACCACACCACACAAGUGUUUGUUGCACAUGCAUGUAUAUAUAUAUAAGCUUACAACCAAAUCAACCAAAAUGAGCCAAGUUACAUGGCCAAAUACCACAUCAAGCCUUUAAUAGUUACACGCCAAUACAUUUAGCCAAAUUCACAAUGACACAUAUGACAAAAUGACCAAGUCUCUAUACAUGCAAUAUUCUCAAAAUGUUAAGAUCAUCGAUGCCCAAAAUAACGGUUUGAUAGUGUGAUGCGAACUCUAAUAAUCUCCGACUCGAGCUAGCUUGGUGACACUAUAAAACAUGGAAAAUAAAAAAGAGUAAGCUAUAUAGCUUAGUAAGCCCGUAUGUAUGAAAUAAGCAAACCUUACCAUACAUUAAUCAUGCAAGUAGUAUAACAUAAGAUAUUAUAAUUUACCAUAGCCUCAUGAUCAUAAUUCACUUCCAUCACAACUUACCUUGAAAUCAUCAUUUCACGAAUUAAUAAUCAUAAGCUUUGAGUACAUACUUGUACCAUCUCGUAAUAAUUUCAUACUUAGUCUCAUCGUCGUCGUACCUAAUGAACCACUCGAAAUAAUAAUAUCAGAUGCUCGGGAAACUUGGCACACAAGGUGCCACAUAUGUAGCCAUUGCUACCUCUAUCUCAUAACACAUAUAUGCUCGUUCUCGAGCCAUUAUCAAGCCUACUCACACAAGCUGUCUGCCAAUACGUAGCUACGUGGUGCUACUCACACAAGCUGUCAAGUAACUGUAACAUAUGCCAUUAUACUUAGCCAACAGUAGGACGUACAUGACCAGCACCCAGAAUCACAUAACAUAAAACCCUAGUGACAUGUCGCUUGUAUCCUAAUCUAUUCCUAAGGUUUGGUUAGGAUUUCUCGCUUGCCAAAUCGUCAUCAAAUAUGUCUGUAAGGUCGAUUACAAACAUCAUAUAUAAAUUAAAGCAUUUAAAAAACAUUUAAAGUAAAGCUUAUUUAACAUACGAACUUACCUCAAUUCCAAAAACAGCAAAAGGAUUUAUUCGUCAAUUAUUUUGUUUUUCCCUCGAUCUAGAUCUGAACUUCAUUUUUCUUGAUCUAUAAUGUCAAAUUUAACUUAUUUAAUCACCACAUUAUUCAAUUUAGCCCAAAAAACACAUUAUGGAAAAAAUUAUAUUUUUGCCCUUAACUUUUCAACAUUUUACAAUUUAGUCCCUUGGCUCGUCAAAUGAAUUUCUUUUAAUUUCAUCACAACCCAAGCAUAGUAGAUUGUUAUUUGUACUCAUAAUAGCCCACAUUUUUCAUUUAUUCACACUUUUCUACGCAUUUUAUAGACUUUUACAAAUAAGUCCCUACUUAACGUUUUUAUCAAAAAUCACUUUACAAAAGUCGUUUAACUAGCCACAAACAUGCAUUUUCUACCAUAAAACAUCAAAAUACAUACAUAUCCAACAUGGGUAAAAUUUUAGUCUUAAAUUUUGUUUCAAAUUAGUCCUUGAAAUAGCUAAAUCAAGUUACAACGAUCUAAAAAAUAUAACAAUCAUUAAAAACGAGACAAGAACGGACUUACAAUCGAGCUUGAGAGCUUGGCUAAAACCCUAGCUAUGGUUUCCCUAUAAUUUCGGCUAUAAGGGACUAAAUUAAAGAAGAUGACAUCUUUUAUUUUGUUAUUUUGGCUUUAUUUACCAAAUUACUUAUUUACCCAUCAGUUAAACUUUGAAAUUUUACCUACCCAUGUCCAUUUUUAUCCAUCUUAAAGUAAAAUGGUCUAAUUACCAUUUAAGGACCUUUAAAUUAAGAAUUCAUAACAAUUAAACACCUUUAGCUUAUAGAAUUCAAGUUUCUCACCUAUUGCAAUUUAGUCAUUCUAGUCAAAUUGAGUAUUCAAUCGAUAAAAUUUCUUAACGAAAUUUUCACACAAUUAUUCUAUCAUGCUGUAGACCUUAAAGAAAUAGUAAAACUAAUAUUUCUACUUCAAAUUUAUGGGCUCAAAAUUAGUGUUCUGAUUUGACCCAAAAAUGGGUUGUUAUAGCUUAAUUUUGCAUGUCCACACGACCACAACCUAUUACACUGCCUAGCCACACGACCGUGUAACCCUUCCACACGACUAUAGCAUCUCACACGGCCAUGUUCCCCUUGUUUACAAUUUUUUCCAAAAUUUUGUGAAUUGUUCAGUUUAGUCCUUGAACAAUCCUUGAACUAUUUUUAAUGGUUAAUCUCAUUCAAUUGAGUCCCUAAUAUUAUGAAUAAUGUUGGAAUCCAUGCUCUGAUUGACUAAAUUGUUUCUAUAUAUGCACGAUAUGUGAUUGGUGCAUGUUACUAUCAUUGGAUUAUUGAUAUAUUGUAUAGUUACUCGUACCACUGUGUUUCCGAUUGUAUGAGCAUCAGGACUACUGUUACUGGUAAACUGAAUACAUGUCAUACAUGUCUGCUGCUACUGUUAAUCUGAAUACAUGCUAAGCAUGUCUACUGUUUUUGUAUUAUACUAUUAUUAGGAUGUCAUACUGCAUUGCAUGGGGCGAUACGUUCUGAAAUAAGGAAGUACUAGCAGUUUAAUUGCAAACACUGGUGGCUUAUCCAAACUUAUUGGCAACUUUUAUCUGCAAACUUGUUGUGUAUGCACAACUACUGACAGCAUAUUAACUUGCAACACUGGUGGUUUAUCCACAAACUUAGUACUAGUUUUUAUCUACAAACCUAUUGUGUAUUCACAACUACUAAUAGUGUACUCACCUGCAACACUGGUGGUUCAUCCAUGAUUUUUACUGGUAGUUUUUAUCUGCAAACUCAUUCUGUAUUCACAACUACUGCCAGUGUAUUAACCUACAAUACUGGUGGUUCAUCCAUGAUUUUUACUUGCAGCUUUUAUCUACAAACCCAUUGUGUACUCAGAACUACUGGUAGCGUAUUAACCUGCAAUAUUAGUGGUUCAUCCACAAACUAGAGUAUCCGAGAUAUAAAAUUUCUGGGGAACUCUUAUUUUAGAGUGUAGCGAUAGGGUAGGACCUUUUACUGUUAAACUAAAAUUGCAUUGCAUUGCAUCGACAUGCACAAGUAUUCUUGAAUGAAUUGUCAAAAUUUCUACUAUAUUAUAUUAUUAUUGUACUAAAAAUUGUUAUUGUGCAUGUUUGGCUUAUUAUACCUCUGUACUGAUUUUGCUUGUGAUGGAAUUCACACUGAGCUUCAAGCUCACUCCCCUUUUAUUUCCAUCUCUUUAGAUAACCCACCAAGUUAGGAUGCAGACAUGGCAUCCGAAGGGUCUUGGCUUGGAAUUGUUUUUUUAUAAAGUAUUUAGGUUUAUUAUUUGAUAUUUUUGUUAUCCAAAGUUUGUAUUGCUUUAUAUUUAAAAUUGUGGCAUGGGACUUAGGAUUUGGUUUUUUAUAUAGUAUGCAUGACAUUUAAUUUGAUUUUCGAAUAUCGAAAUAUGAAUAAUAAUUAAUUAUGCAUGAACUUCGGUUUCAAUUAAAAACAUAAAUAUAUGUCACUUUUCUACUGCUAGAGUAUAGAUAAACUCUGAAUUAAAUAAAUAAUCUGGAAAUUAACUAAGUUUUCGAAAGUAGUUACUGUUUCAAGAAAAAUGUUAAAGUUAUUCGUGCUUUUGUUAACUCAUAAGUUUUUUCUGAAAAUAAGCUAAGUUUUCUUCUAAGAUAGGUAAAUGUUUUAAAAUAAUUUUUUUUUAUAAACUCUAAUAGUUGACUGAGUCAUUUCGACGACUAAUGUAAUCUUCUGAAUUUGGGCCUAACGUCUAGGUCGAGUUACGGAGGUUACAGAUUAAGUUAACUAGAUGAUAUUUAACAGGUUAAAUAUAAUUUGAAUUGAAUUUAGAUUUUGUAGAAUUUUAGAUGAUAUAUUUGUAUAGAUAUACUAAGUUAAAGCUUAUUACAAGUCCCUAUAUCAUAUCAUAAAUUUUAUUUUAGUUCUUAUAUUAUUAAAAGGCACAUUUUAGUACAUUUAAGUUUCAAAAGUUCUUUUAAGAAAAAAAGUUUGAAACGUUAAUAUUUUAGUCUUUGCACAUUAACUUUGUUUUUAAUAUAAUGGCAUAGCUUAAAGAUGGUUAAUGCAGUAUUAAAUCAAAUAUUAAAUUAAAUUUAAAUGAUAAAAAAUGAUUUUGAAAAAUGAGUAGAGAAAAUAAAUUGAUUUUUCUUUUACUCUGAAAUUGUUUUUGAUUCAAUUUUUUUACAUUAUUAUUGUGUUUAAAUUUUUGUAGCUUGGUUCACGUUUGCCACCGUUAAACCACAUAAUUCUAUUUGUUUCAAGACCAAUAAGUUUUUUAAUUUGAUUUAAUGACACAUCAGAUACCAUUCAACCACGUCAUUUUAUUAAUGACAAAGUUAAAGACAAAAGACUAAAAUAUCAACUUUCAAAUGUACAAGGACUAAAAUAUUCUUUUAAAUAAUAAAGAGAUUAAAUUGAACUUUUUGAAAUGAUAUAGAAACAUGUAGUAAACUUUUGUAACACCUCUAACCCGUAUCCAAUAGUAUGAAUGAGUCACUGACGAUCCCCUGAUUCGAGCUAGCUUUAUAACACUGUACAACAGAGAACAUUUCACAAAGUAAGCUUUAAAGCUUAGUAAGUUCGUACCAAAUAUAUCAAUAGUUUAUAUAAUACAAAAUAUCAACUAAUAAACACUUAGUAGUUCAUAAUUCAUCCAUCAAUUCUAUUCCAUCACAUUUUAUUUGUUCAUACGAAUUCAUUAAACUUCAUACACAUAGUGUCAUCUACCUCAUAGGUUCGAACAUACCUGAUUUUUCCCGUAUUAUUUCAUUUCAUUCUCCCCUCUCGUUCAAAUACAUUAAUUCAUUCGGAAGUCAUUCCAUACUUUAAGAAUUCGCACACUUAGUGCAUUAAUGAUUAGCUGAAGCUAUAAUAACCUCGCACACUUAGUGCCACCUCAAUAAACUGAUGCUAUCUCGAUAUCGCACACUUAGUGCCUCAUAUAGUCGAAGCUAUUCCAAUUCAUACACUCAGUGCCAUUUAUAGCUGAAGCUAUUUCGAAUCACACACUUAGUGCCGAACAUAGUCGAUUUAUCAUCAUACUCAAACCAUAAUCAAAUAUAUACAAUUUAUGCAUUAUCAAAGCAUUAAAACAUAACUGUAACAUCAUUUAUCACGUACAAACUUACCUCGUACUCAGAAUUGACAAUUCAAAUCGUUUACUCGACAACCUUCGAUUUCCCUCAAUCUAAAUCCAAAUUCCUCUUUUCUUGAUCUAUAUGUAUUCAAAAUUAACCCUUUUAUUCAAAAAUUCAUUCAAUUCAAUCUAUAUAUACAUAUUUAGGGCAUUUUACAAAUUAGCCCUCAUAUUUUCACAUUUUAACACUUUAAUCCCUAAUUUAUAAAAUCACAAAAUACACAAAAUUUUCUUAAACACAUGCUUAGCCAAAUUUUCAUAGAGUUCAUAUAAGCCCACAUAUUUCAUUUAUUUUACAUUUUAGUCCCUUAGGUUCUCAUUUUCACAAUUUAGCCCAAUUUACUCAAAUAUUUUUCUAACUAGGAUUUGUGGUCCCGAAACUACUAUUUUGACGAGGGUCUAAACCAAGCUAUUACAACUCUCCCUCUUAGGGAUUUUCGUCCCCGAAAUUCUUACCAUUGAACAGAUUCAGAUACUACUGUCUCAUGGUAUCUUCGGGCUCCCACGUAGCCUCUUCAACACCGUGACGAUGCCACAUUACUUUUACUAAUGGAAUUUUCUUGUUUCGCAGUUCGUUAACCUCGCGAGCUAAGAUACAGAUUGGUUCUUCUUCAUAAAACAUACCAGGUUGAAUUUCAACCUUAGUCGGGGAAAUAACAUGCGAAUGAUCUGAUCUGUAUCUUCAUAGCAUCAAUACGUGAAAUACAUUGUGGAUCUUUUCCAAUUCUGGUGGCAACAAUAAUCUAUAAGCAACCGGCCCGAUACGUUCUAUAACCUCCAAUGGCCCGAUGAAUCUCGGACUCAAUUUGUCUUUUAUACUAAAUCGAAAUACUUUCUUCCACAGAAACACUUUUAGAAAGACUUUGUCACCAAUCUCAAAUUCAAUAUCUUUUCGUUUCAAAUCUACAUAUAAUUUCUAACGACCGGAAGCUAUUUCCAAACUAUCUCGGAUCACUUCACUCUUUGUUCAGUCUCUUUAAUCAAAUCAACCCUGUGAACCUUAUUCUCACUAAGCUCUGUCCAAUACAAUGGUGUUUGACAUUUGCGACCGUACAAAGCUUCAUAAGGAGCCAUUUUGAUACUCGAUUUAAAGCUAUUAUUAUAUGAUAAUUCAAUCAGUGUCAAAUAUCAUUCCCAUGUACCUUCAAACUCAAGAAUACAACAUCUCAACAUAACCUUGAGUAUCUGAAUAAUCUGCUCGGAUUGACCAUCCGUCUGUAGGUGAAAAGCAGUGCUAAAGUGUAGUUUCAUACCUAAUGCAUCUUACAGUUUCUUCCAAAACUGUAAUGUGAACCUUCGAUCUCUAUCUAAAACAAUAGAAAUAGGUACUCCGUGCAAUAUCACAAUCUGAGAAAUGUACAACUUAGCAAGCUUAUCAAGUGAAUAAUCUGUACGAAUCGGAAUGAAAUGAGCCGAUUUAGUCAAUCUAUCAACAACAACCCAGAUUGCAUCUUUCUUACUCGCUGACAUGACAAAAUCCAUCGUGAUUCUAUCCCAUUCCCACUCCAGAAUCAUAAUCGGUUGUAACAAACCGGAUGGCACCUAAUAUUCAGCUUUAACUUGCUGACAGAUCAAACAUUUCAAAACAAAAUCUGAAAUAUCUCGUUUCAUACCAUGCCGCCAAUAAAGCUGUUUCAAAUCAUUAUACAUUUUAGUACUACCUGGAUGAACAGAUAUCUGACUGUUAUAAGGUUCAUUUAAAAUCAUAUAAAUCAACUUUAAAUUUCUCGAAACACAUAUUCGGCCUCUGAAUCUCAAGCAUCCUUCAGCAUCAACUCGGAAUUUUGAAUCAGUAUUCAAAUCACAUUGAACUCGUUUUGCUAACAAUUCAUUAUCAACCUUCUAAGCUUCGUAAAUCUGCUAAAUAAAUAACGCUCUUACUUUCAACUCAGCUAAAACCAAACCAUCAUCAGAGAAAGUUAACUGAGUAUUCAUCUCACGCAAUGCAAACAAUGAAUUUUGACUUAGAGCAUCAGCAACAACAUUGGCCUUUCACGGAUGGUGGUCAAUUACAAGCUCAUAGUCUGUUAACAACUCUAACCAUCUUCGCUGUCGUAGAUUCAAAUCUUUUUGAGUCAUCAAAUAUUUUAAGUUUUUGUGAUCAGAAUAAAAGUGACAUUUCUCACCAAACAGAUAGUGGCGCCAAAUCUUCAACACAAACACAAUAGUUGCCAAGUCCAAAUCGUGUGUCAGAUAGUUCUUUUCAUGAGACUUUAACUGUCUUAAGGCAUAAGCUAUGACUUUGCCUUCCUGCAUCAAAACACAUCCCAAGCUGUUCAAAGAUGCAUCGUUAUAGAUCACAAAUUCUUUACCCGAUUCUGGUUGAACUAACAUCGGAGGUUCGGUUAAUAAGACUUUCAACUAAUCAAAACUUUUCUGACAGUUCAAAUUUCACAUCUUUCUGAAGUAAUUUUGUUAACGGUGUCGCAAUCAUAGAAAAGCCUUUAAUGAAUCAGCGGUAAUAACCAGCAAGUCCAAGAAAACUGCGGACUUCAAAAACAUUUCUCGGAGGUUUCCAAUCCAAAAUAGCCAAAAUCUUGCUUCGAUCAACUCAGAUGCCAGAUGCCGACACAACAUGUCCUAGAAAACGAACUUCUCAUAACCAAAAUUCAUAUUUUCUAAACUUCGUAUACAAUUUCUUAUCUCGCAAAGUCUGUAGCACUAUUCUCAAAUGCUCAGCAUGUUCAGUUUCAUCACGUGAAUAUAUCAAUAUGUCAUUAAUGAAUACGACAAUAAAUUGAUCUAAAUACGGUCUGAAAAUUAUGUUCAUCAAAUCCAUAAAAACAUCAGGUGCAUUAGUUAAUCCGAAAGGCAUAACUAAAAACUCAUAGUGACCCUACCUUGUUUUGAAUGCAGUUUUUGGAAUGUCUGAAUCUUUUACUCGUAACUGAUAGUAACCUGAUCUCAGAUCUAUCUUUGAAAACACUGUAGCCCCUUUCAACUGAUCAAACAAAUCAUCUAUCUGCAGUAAAUGAUAUUUGUUCUUGAUCGUCACUUUAUUGAGCUGUCGAUAAUCGAUGCACAUUCUCAUAGUCCCGUCUUUCUUUUCCACAAACAAAAUCGGUGCACCCUAGGAAGAAUAACUCGGUCGUGCGAAGCCUCUAUCUGUCAAUUCUUACAACUGAGCUUUCAACUCUUUUAAUUUAGUCGGUGUCAUUCUGUACGGAGCUAUUGAUAUUGGAGUAGUUCCCGAUAUUAAUUCGAUACCAAACUCAACUUCUCAGAUCGGAGGUAAACCUGGUAACUCAUCAGGAAACACAUUUGGAUAUUCACAAACAACUAGCACUGAUUCAAUCUUCUUUUCAGUCACUUUCAUGUCAAGCACAUAAGCUAAAUAAGCUUCACAACCUUUUCUCACAUAUUUCUGAGCUAACAUCAUUGAAAUCACAGUUGGCAAUCCUUUCAAAACAUCUGAUUCAAUUCGAAUAAUCUCAUUACUCUGACAUCUCAAAUCAAUCAUCUUCCAUUUGCAAUUUGCAACAUCAUCAUGCAUUGUUAGCCAAUCCAUACCCAGAAUUAUGUCAAACUCGUCAAAUGGUAACAAUAUCAAAUCAGUUGGAAAGCAAUUACCCCGAAUCAUCAAUGGAAAAUUCUUGCACACUUUAUCAGCCAAUACACAUUUGUCUAAGGGGUUCGAUACUCUAAUUACAAAUUCAGUAGACUCUACAGGCAAAGUCUUACUGGAUACUAAAUUCACACAUAUAUAUGAAUAAGUAGACCCUGGAUCUAUCAAUGCAAUAACUUUAGUAUCAUAAAGAGUAAAAGUACCGAUAAUAACAUCUGGAGAUGACGCUUCUUCAUGUGCUCGAAUAGCGUAGGCUCGUGCAGGUGCUCUAGCAUCAGAUCUCUCUGCAGUGUCUCGUGUCACACCUCUACCACCACUCAUAUUUCCAGUGUUUCUCGAUGGUCUACCUCUAGCUGCAAUGUUACUCGGUCUCGUGUUCUGAGCAUUAUCUUUUUCAACUAACUCUGGGCAAUCUUUUAUAAAGGGAUCUCAUAAACCACAACUGUAACAAGCUCUGUUAUUACUUUUCCUCCAGCAAUCUCCAAAAUGUCGUCUUCAAUGUUGUUGACACUCAAGCUUUAUGUCCUUUGCAUUACCAACACUCGACACUGAUGUAGUUUGAAUUUUAGGUUGGUAUUUUGCUUUCCACGAUCUCUAUUCUGAUAUCCCACUGAAGCUAUCGAUCGAUCAAUAUAAUCUCUAGAUUUCUUUGAUGAGGAAUGAUAAGAUUUAUUCACUGAUCUCUUUCUUAAAUCUCUAGCCUCUGAAUCAACUUUUCUCUUUUCUUUGCUAAGAUCUUCAGCUUUGCAGGUCCUCUCAACCAAUACUACAAAUUCUUUCAAUUCAAGUAUCCUGACUAACAGUUCUAUAUCUUCAUUCAAUCCAUCAACAAAUCUUUUACACAUGAUCUCUUCAGUAGACACAUAUUCCCGUGCAUAUUUUCUUAAAUAUAUGAAUUCUCUUUCAUAUUUAGUAACGAUCAUCCGGCCUUGUUUCAAUUCCAGAAACUAUUUAUUUUUCUGAUCGAGGAAUCUCUAACUUAUGUACUUUUUUCGAAACUCAGUCUGACAGAAUUCCCAGGUAACCCGUUCUCUAGGAACCUCCGAUGUCAAUGUUUUUCACCAGUGAUAUGGAUUAUCUUUAAGUAAAGAUACUACACAUUUAAUACAUUCUUCUGGAGUACAGGAAAAUUUGUCGAAUACUCGGAUAGUGUUUUCAAGCCAGAACUCAGCUCUCUCAGCCUCAUCAUCAACUGUAGCUCGAAACUUUUCAGCCCCAUGUUUAUGAAUCUUAUAACAGGUGGCUUACUCAAUCGAAUUGGGUCUAUUACUUGUGGCACAACUGGGACUUGUUGAGGAACAGGACGAGGUGGAGGUUGUUGAGCAGUUGGAUUUGUUCGUUCAAAUUUCAUAAACCACUCAGUUAUCAUUUGGAAGAAGGCUUGCUUAGCCUCUCCUCUUUGACUACUAGAUAUCAGCCUAGAUUCGAUUGGCGCUAACCCUUGAGCGGGAGCGAGAGCAUUGCUUUCAACGUCAUCAGCUAUCUCUCGUUCGGGAUCAAUUUUCUAUAUGAAAAACACAUUUUAACUGUCAGGAAUCAUCACACUAUCGCAAUUCAUAUAUAUGGCAUGUAUAACUAGACUCUCAAUCAUUACGUUAGUUCUAGAAUAGACUAAACCGUAGCUCUGAUACCAAUCAAAUGUAGCACCCCUAACCCGUAUCCGUCGCUGGACUAAGGUUAAGAGGCAUUACCAGACAAUCGAAACACUUCGAAUUCAAUUUUCAAUUAAACAUCAUACAUCAUCAUAUCAUAAUCAAACAUCCAUUUAAAAUCCAUUCCUUAGGUCAACGAGACCUUAAACAUGCUUUAGAAAGGGGUCGGGACUAAACUAAACUGUGACAGCCCUAAAGUGACCCUAGUCAGAAAGUGGUUUUGGGACCACUAAACCGAGUCAUAAAAAUAAUUAACUAUCAUAGUUGAUGCUUAUUAUAUGUAUGUAUGCAUGUAUAAAAAUUUCAUAUUGGAAUUUUGUUAAUUGUAAGUGAAUUUUAUUAAAUAGGACUUAUGUGGGAAAAUUUAGAAAUGUGCUAGGCAAAUGUAAAGUGGCCUAUUUAUGCAUGUUGCAAAAUAAUUGUACUUGCAUGUCAAAUUAACCAAAGAGCAAGAUGGUGGCCGGCCAUGCUAUAAGUUAAAGCCUAUUAUAAACAUUUGGUGUUAGUGUUUUAUGGGAGAAAGAAUAAAAUAAAAGGUUAGUAAUAAAGUAAUGAAAAGGGAGGGGUGAUGAAAACAAAGUUGUCUCAUCCAUGUUUCCCCCCCAUUACCGUGACUUGAGGAAGAAAGAAAAGAAGAAAUCGGUUCUUCUUGGCCUAAAUGAAAAGAGGAAGAAGGGAGUGAAGCAUUCGGUUAUCCUAGGUCAAUAUUAAGGUAAGAAAGUUUAUACUAGUUCUUGAAAUUUUAGUUGAUAUGGAGUGAGAUAUCAAGUUAUUUUUGUAACCCAUGUUGAAAUUUUGAGUGUGGAAUGAGUAAGGUUUUCGGCUAUGGAGAUUAAUAAGGGUGAUGGUUGUUGUUUCAUGCUAAAUCUAGAUGAACAAUGGUAGUUGCUUACAUCUUGAUAUUUAUGAAUUCCUUUCUUGGUUCUACCUUAGACCCACGAAGUAUAUUUUUAUUUAGUGUUGUUGGAGAUUGAUGAUAGAAGCUAAUGAGUGAGAGUUGGAUAGAUAUUAUGAGGUUAAAAUUCAUGGGAUUGUAAGCUUGUAAGUUGGAUGAUGAAAUUCAUGCUUUGUGAGGGUAAAUGGGUUAAAAGGAGCAUUCGGCCAUGAUGUAAAAGCAUGAUGAAGUGAUGUUAAAUGCUUUGAAUAUUGAGUAUAUGUUAUUAUAAGUUGAAUUUAAGGUUUGAUAAAUUGUCUUUGUCAUUGCCGAAUGUGUGUAGUUAAAGAAAAAAUUGUUAAAGUGCUUAGUUAAUUGAUAGUAGGUUAAUGUGUAUGUUUUGAAUUGAUGGAAUGGAGAGGAUGCUUUAAUUGUGUUAUGAACAAUUAUAUGUUAAAUUAAGGUUUGCUAAGCUAGCUAUUAAGGUGAAGUACAAAUGUUAAUAUUUGAUUGCUAGUGUAUAUAUGGGUAUUAGCCGAGUUUUGAACUUGAAACAAAAUGGUAUUUAGUCAAUACAAGUAACCACAUUCGUAGAAUGUAUUAAGUAUAGAAUCGGCCUCAACAUAGACAUGCAUAUUCGGCCACAUGAGGUAGAUUGAUGUUGCAUGUAUUCGGUUAGAGGCAAGCAUAUUGAUGCUUUUAUCUUGGCUUAGAUAAUCGGCUAAAAGAGAGUGUGGGCUAAUAUGUUGAGUUGAAUCAUGAUUUCAUAUAUAUGUGACUCUAAUGUCUAAUGUAUAUAUGGGUUAAGUACCUUGAGUUUCUCUUUUUGAUGUUCAAAUGAUUAAAUCAAUUUAUUUGUUAAAUUAAGCUCAAGAGCAAAGGGGAACUGAAUCCGAUAAAGGGAAGGAAAAAGUGAUCGAAUAGCCGUCGAAAUCGUUCGACAACAUCCGAGGUAAGUUUUCGAGUAAUGAAACUUAGUUUACGAUUUGAUUAAGUCAUGACGUAUAAUCAUAACAAAUAUACGGUGAUAUAAUGAUUCUAUUGAAUUAUAUGUUGAGUAAAUUAGUCUAUACGUAUGAUGGGUAGCCGUAUGUGCAUAGAGAUCAUGUCACAAAGCAAACCAAAUCAUGUUGUUUGUAUGUGGCUAUUGAGCCGAAAAUGGGAAUGCUUAAUAAUUGAUUUGUGUUUGAAUUCUAGUUAUGAAAAUGAAAUAAAGAUGUGUCAUGAUUUACUGAUAUGUGCAUGAAUAUUCGGAUGAUAACGAAGGCAUUUGUGCUAGUGACUAAUUCCGGGCUAAGUCCCGAAGGCAUUUGUGCAAGUUACUAUAUCCGGGCUAAGUCUCGAAGGCAUUUGUGCGAGUUACUAUAUCCGGGCUAAGUCCCGAAGGCAUUUGUGCGAGCUACUAUAUCCGAGCUAAGUCCCGAAGGCAUUUGAGCGAGUAGCUAUAUCCGGUUAAAUCCCGAAGGUACUUGGUUUGGGAAUGAGCGAUCUUGCUGAAAUAAUUUCAAUUGAUAUGCUCGUAAAAUCGCAACGAUGAGGUAUGUUUCGUAUAUGCAUUGGAUUAAUUGGUUCCUUUUAAAUAGUAUUCGCUCAGUCGAUUAAUGAGCUUCCGGCUUUUGGUUAAGUUGAUUUCUUAUGUAUGAGUAUAAGGGUUGGUAAUGUGAAGUAGGUAUGAUUUUGAGAAUGUGUGUAUAUGAAAUUAUCCGUUUAGUCAUAUGAAUGCUAUACUUCAAUUGUGCCUAAUUUCAUUGCUCAAAACUUACUAAGCAUUAAAUGCUUACUCCGUUUCUUUGAUUCUCUGUUUUAUAGAUUUUGGUUCGUCAGCUAUCGGACUCGGGAUUGUCGAAGUCGAAGUCGUCCACACUAUCAAAGCCCUUUUGGUACACUUUUGGUUGAACUCUGAAAAUGGCAUGUAUAGGACUACCCCUUUUUGUUGUUGGUCAUGUACCCUUUGGUUUUGUAUAAAUUUGGAUAGCCAUGCGAAAAUGGCUUAUAUAUACUUUGAGCAUAGCAUUUUAAUUGUUUUGUAUGUUGUUCAUUGAGAGGUAUGGAAAUUUUUGGUAACGAUUAGCCAUUGGAAUGGUUAAUCAUGAUCAUUUUGGUGCUUUGUAUGACAAAUUCUAGUUGAUUCAUGGAAAACCAUGAAAUAGGUAAAGUUUACCUUAAAAACAAAUGCUGACAGCAGCAGUGGUGUGGAUUUGAAAAAUCACUAAAAAUAGUAGGAAUGGAAUUAAAUAAAGAAUAAAUUAUGUAAUCGAACCUUGAUGAAUCUACUUUCAUAUGGAAGAAACGAAACUAUCAUAUGAGUUGUAGUUUAGGAGAUAUUUAAGUUUUCGUGGAACAUGGCUAGAGCGAUUUCUGGAUCCCCUGAUCUGACUUUGGAAAUUCACUAUAAAUUAACCAGAGAUAAUUAGAAGUCAUGCCAUAUAUUUAUAGAUUCCUUUUUGAGUCUAGUUUUGUUAGAAACAAACAGUAUAAGUAAUUAAGCCCUGUACAGGAAGAUAUAUAAGUCGUAAUGCAUGAAGGUCAGAGCAGUCGAACCCUGAAACAUGGGAGAAUUUAACUAAUAAACUGUACUAAUUGGCUCGACCAAAAAUUUUAGAAACAAAUUUGUGGAUGGAUAUAUGAGUCUAGUUUCAGGAAAAAAUUACAAAACUGGUUUUCGUGUUUUGGAACUCAAGAUAUGAUUUUUAAGGUAACAGUGACGCAGUUAGCCAGCUUGUCUGGAAAUUUUUUUAAAAAAUGGACUGUGAAAAUAAAUGAAAUAAGUCCGUAAAUACCUCGGGUUCGACUCCGGCAACGGUCUCGGGUACGGGGUGUUACAUAAACUCAUACAAAAUUUUUUGAAACUUAAACAAUUUUCAAAGUUACAGAGGUCACACACCCGUGUGAACAGGCUGUGUGCCUCACACGACAUUAAACACAUCCAUGUUUUAAUCCGUGUUAAAAUAGGGCAUACAUAAUGACUUAUCCACACGGCCACAAGACUCACCCGUGUAUCUUGGUCGUGGUCGAAACUGACUUGGGUCACACGGCUAGACACAUGCCCGUGUACCUUGGCCUUGCUUGAGACUAACUUUAAAUUGCAGGACUAUCCCAGGGGACUCAUGACCGUGUAACAUGAAUGUGUGUCGUACAUGGCUGAGACACACGCCCGUGUGGACAAAAAUAGGCCAUUUGAAAAUCCAAUUUGCACCCUACAAUCAUGAACUCAUAGUAACCAAUUUGGAACCAAUUCCAUACACUUAUAGACAGCUCAAAACAUACCAAAUCACAUACAUUUCAUGCCGUUUCAUAGUCAACCAUUUCAUUACUAAAACAUACCAAAUCAAUGUACUAAAAUAAUCAUAACUUACAUAAGUUCCAAUACAUAAACUCAUCAUUUUAUCACAUAUUUCAUACAAAAAAACUCACCAAUUCAACAUUCCAUAUUCAAACCAUCACAUAAGCAUUAUAUACAUCAUAUAACUUACUUAUCAAACACAUCAUUUAGACCAACUUAAAUGAACAUACAUACCAAUAUUUACAAGCCAAAUCUCAUGGCUAGAUAUUUAUAUCACAAAACCUACCAAAAUAACUCUAGCUUAUACAUGCCGUAUACCAUAUAUACAACUCACAAAAUGGUACAAAAAUAGAUGUCUGAUAGUGUGAAUGAGUCGCUGGCGAUCCCCUAAUCCGAGGUAGCUUUAUAAUACCAUUAAAUAGAGAACAUUUCACACAGUAUGUUUUAAAGCUUAGUAAGUCCGUACCAAAUAUAAUCAACAAUUUAUAUAAUACAAAAUAUCAACUAAUAAACAUUUAUUAGUUCAUAAUUCAUCCAUCAAUUCUAUUCCAUCACAUUUUAUAUGUUUAUAUGAAUUCAUUAAACUUCAUACACAUAGUGUCAUCUACCACAUAGGUAUCGAACAUACCUAAUCUUUCCCGUAUUAUUUCAUUUCAUUCUUACCUCUCGUUCAAAUACAUUAAUUCAUUCGGGAGUCUUUCCAUACUUUAAGAAUUCACACACUUAAUGCAUUAAUGAUUAGCCGAAGCUGUAAUAACCUCGCACACUUAGUGCCAUCUCAAUAAACCAAAGCUAUCUCAGUAUCGCACCCUUAGUGCCUCAUAUAGUCGAAGCUAUUCCAAUUCGUACACUUAGUGCCAUUUAUAGCUGAAGCUAUUUCGAAUCACACACUUAGUGCCGAACAUAGUCGAUUUAUCAUCACACUCAAACCUCAAUCAAAUAUAUACAAUUUAUGCAUUAUUAAAGCAUUAAAACAUAACUGUAACAUCAUUUAUCACGUACAAACUUACAUCGUACUUGGAAUUGACAAUUCAAAUUGUUUACUUGACAACCUUCGAUUUCCCUCUAUCUAAAUAUGAAUUCCUCUUUUCUUGAUUAAUAUGUAUUCAAAAUUAACCCUUUUAUUCAAAAAUUCAUUUAAUUCAAUAUAUAUAUACAUAUUUAGUGCAUUUUACAAAUUAGCCCUUACAUUUUCACAUUUUAACACUUUAAUCCCUAAUUCAUAAAAUCACAAAAUACAAAAAAUUUUCUUAUACACAUGCUUAGCCAAAUUUUCAUAAAGUUAAUAUAAGCCCACAUAUUUCAUUUAUUUCACAUUUUAGUCCCUCAAUUUCUCAUUUUCACAAUUUAGCCCAAUUUACUCAAAUUCAUCAAAAAUUCAAAGACAAAACAUGUUAACCUAACAUCAAGCUUCCAUAUACUAUCAUCAAAAUUCAUAAAACUUACAUUACAAAACAAUGACAUAACUCAAAAUCAUCAAAAAAAAUUAGAAAUUGAGACACGGGCUUGAUAGAAUACAGAGCAACGAUCAUAAAAAUGUAGAAAUUAUCAAAAACGGAUUAAAAACCAUACCUUAAUCACCAAAUUUCUUAGCCGAAACUCUAAGAACUCUUUGUCUUCCUUUUUCUUUUUGAUUUUCAGCAAUAUGAACACUAAUGGCUUAAUUUUCAUGUUUUGUUUUGUUAUAAUUCAUUAAAUAAUCAAAUACCAUUUUUAACCUUAACAAUUAGCAUAUAAAUCAUUAAUAUUAAGGCCAUUAUUGUCCAAUUACCAUGUAAAUGGACUAUUAACAACAUAAGGACCUCUCAUUUACAAACACAUAACAAAUAGACACACUUAACAUAUAGCAAACAACUUUUACUUUUUAUGCGAUUAGGUCCUUUUUAUCAAAUCAGAACACAAACAAUUAAAUUUUCAUACGAAACUUUCACAGAUAUCACUUUGCAUAAAAUAAUAUUAAAAUAUUUUUCUAACUCGGAUUUGUGGUCCCAAAACCACUAUUUCAACUAGGGUCUAAACCGGGCUGUUACAACUUUAACCUUUAUACUAAGUUAUUAGUUUAUUUAUUGCAUUCAUGCCAUAAAUGUUUAAUAUAAUAUUUUUUAAAAAAUAAAGGUACAUUCUUAAAUUAUUAUUUAUUUUAAAAAUGAAAUAUUAAAUCAUAAUUAAAUAUCAACAUUUGAAUUUAUAAUAUGUAAAGUACUGUAAAUCGUACAAGAUGAACCACAUGGGUAAAUGAAGAGCUCUGUAGAAGCCUACCACCUCGUGGAACAUUUUGGACUAUCUUAUGUGUCUAGUAAAAAGUAAUGCUAUAGGCUUUUAUACUGUCAAUUCUAUUGUAUAAGAUUAUUGUGGACACCAAAUCAUUGCAUGACAUAGCUCUAAACUCCAUUGUUGACUGGUUUUCCUACUUUUACAUCCCAUUUUGGUGUGAGGAAUGGAAUAGCCAUCCACUCCUUAUUCUUGGAUGAACACUAAUGCUUUUUUUUUAUUCACCAUUUCUUCAUUUAGUAGAAUUACUUAAAGCAUUUAUAUUCCCUCAAAUGCAUAAUAGAGAUUUGGUGGUCAAGACUUUGAAUAGCCAUUCUGACCAUUGUCAAAUAGAAAUAAUUUUUUUCCCAAAAUAUCCUUCACACUUUCUCUGUAAAGGCGUUCAAAGUUGCUUCUUUUAUCAUAAUGAUACACUCUUAAGUAAGAAGAUUUUUCUUUUCAAGUUUAAUUUUGUUUGGUUCCUGUUCUUGCAAACAUCAGAUUUUAUUUUAGAAGGGGUUUCUAGUAAUGGGUUUUCUUUAUUUUUUUCAAAAAUAAGUUACAACUCAACUCCUAAAUCCCUGUCUUUUAUGGGUUUUAAAAAAUAUAAUGUCAGCGAUGGCAAUGUAUCACAAAGAAAAGAGAAAGAAAAAUAAAGAGCACACAGAUUUUACGUGGAAACCAUUUUGGAAAAAAAAUCACGGGCAAAUGAGAAGAUAAUUCACUAUGUCAAAUUCGAAUGAAUACAAGAGGAGUAGAUAAUGUUUAUUUAUAGGCUUGUAAAACCAUAUUCUAAUAGAAGGAGUGUAGUAAGUUGAAACACCUUAUUCUAAUCAACAUCAAAUAGAUGAAGUGUUAUAAGGUUGAAAAACCUUAUUCUAAAACAAAAUAAAAGAAGUGUAGUUCAAUAUGGAUUUUACUUUUAUUUUAUCUUACCACUGUAUUUUAUUUUAAUAAGGAUUCGAGUCACUCAAUUCCAACAAUCUCCACCUUGAAACAAAUUCUCAAUGAACAAGUUCUUCAUCACAAACUGUAACAGCCCGUUUUUGGUCAAAUCAGAAUAGUGGUUUCGGGACCACAAAUCCAAGGUCAAAAUAUUUAUUUUAUUAUUAUUUUAAUUUUUAUAGCAUUAUUUAAUGAUUGUGAGAAAAUUUUGUUAAUAAAUUUUAUGGUUUAAAUGGUCAAUUUGAGAAAAAGGACUAAAUCGCGUAAAGUGCAAAAGUGAUGUUCUAUUAGCUAAAGGUGUCUAAUAGCUAUGGAAUCUUAAUUUGGAGGUUCUUAUGUUUUAAAUAUACCAUUAAAAUGGUCUUUGGACAAUUAUAGACUUAUAUUAAGUGAAUUUUGAUGUUUUAAAUUAAGGUUAAUAUAGUAAUUUACAAAAUAACUUAAGAAUAAUAAUUAAACAAAAGGACAUUUGAUGUAUUCAUCUUGUCAUAGUUGAAAUUUAGGGUGGAGAAAGCCAUUAAAAUAGCUUGAAGUAUUCAGUCACUUGGUAGCUCAACUGGUGAGUGAUUUUUCUUCAGUCACUUGUACCUUAAAUUUUGAAACUGUAAAAGAUUUAUCAUGUUUCCAUUGUUGAAUGCUUGAGUAAUUUGAUGGUUUAUGAUAGAGUUGGAAGGUUUAAUGUUAGAUUAAUAGCUUUUGUAAAAUGAUUUUUGAGAAAAAUGUCAAAAAUGGAUUUAUUUGUGAAAAUGUGAAAAUCUAUGGUUAAAUGUGUGAAUAAAUGAAAAAUAUGAACUUCUAGGGGUAUAUUAGUAAUUCAGCUAGCAUGGGUGUAUUAGGACUUUCAUUAAUUUGUGAUUUUAUGAAAUAAGGACUAAAUUAUGAAAAAUGUGAAAGUUUAGGGGUAAUUAUGUAAAAUAGCCCUAAUGUAUAUUUUGGAUUGAAUUGAAUAAAUAGUUGAUUAAAUGAGUUAAUUUUGAAUAUAUUUAGAUCAAGAAAAAUGAAAUUCGGAUUAGGAUCAAAGUUAUCGACUAAUCGACUUGAUUCACCGUUUUAAUAUCUGAGGUAAGUUUGUAUGUAAUAAGCAUUGUUAUAAUUAUGCUUUUAAUACUUUGAUAUUUCAUAAAUUGUAUAUACAGGACUACAGUCAUGUUCGACGACAAAUCGGCUAUAUUUGGCAUUUAAUUUGUGAUUUGACAUAGCUUCGGCUAUAUAUGGCACUUAAUGUAUGAGAUCGAGAUAACUUCGGCUAUAUAUGGCACUUAGUGUGCGAGAUCAAGAUAAUUUUGGCUAUAUAUGGCACUUAGUGUGUGAUUUGAGAUAGCUUUGGCUAUGUACGACACUUAGUGUGUGAGAUAUCGAGUAUUCAACGGUAUUCUGAAUAUGUAAGAGCUUGUUAUGGAUUGGUACAGGUAUGUAUAUGCAUAGUAUGAGCUUAAAAUCAAAGUAGUUAUGAAGUUUGCAUAUAAGCGCAUGAAUAAGCAUAUGAAAGGUUUGUUAGUAAUCAUGAAUUUCAUGUUAAUAUGUUUAAAUAGAUGAAUGGUGUAUUUGUGAUUAGUUAAGUUUAUAUCAUACGAGCUUACUAAGCUUUAAAGUUUACUUUGUUUAUUUUCCAUGUCUUAUAGUGAUGUCAAAGCUAGCUCUAAUUUGGGGAUCGUCGGAGACUACGUCACACUAUCCAACCAUCACUUUGGUACUUUUGAGCUUAUGUUUGGUCAUAUGACAUGUAUAGGAUUAUGGUCAUGUUGGUUAUGUUUUGAUAGUGUGUUUUUCCAUUUGAGAUGGCUUGUAAAUGGUUAUGUUUUGGCUUGUAUAUAUAUAUAGUUGUGAAACUUGGCUUAAUUUGGCUAGUUUGGUUAUGUAAAUAUAUAAGUGUGCUUAUGGCUUAUAUUAUGAGGUUUGUGGAAUUGGUAUCAUGCUUGUGAAUUGGAUCAAAAUGAUGUAUGUUAAGUAAAUGUUUUUAGAUGUGCUAAUGCCAUUUUGUAAUGUGUUUAAUGUUACUUGGAAAUGGUUGAUGAAUUGAUGAUAUUUGUGAUUGAGGUUUAGGCUAAGAAAUGCUUAAAUGAAAUAGUAGGAAUUAUGUUUGACUUGGUAGUUUUGGGUUGCCUAUUAUGUUUUGUUUUGGUGCCAUAUGUGUAGGUAAAGGUGUGUAUCAAAUGGGGUGGCAAAUUGGCUUGGUAAAUAGCCUAAUUUAUGUCCACAUGGGCAGAGACACUGGUGUAUGCCUUAGCUGUGUGUGACACACGAUCAUGUUAUACGGCUGUGUGUCCCCUGGUGUUGAAAUUGAAAUCAAGUUAGUAUGCUCCACACGGCCUCACACACGAGCGUGUGACUUGGCCGUGUGGUAUAAGUCAGUAUACCCUACAAGUUUGGCACGGCCUAGCACACGGGCAUUUGUGGCCAUUUUUAGGGCACAUGGGCUAGCCAUACGGGAGUGUGUGUUAGUCGUGUGACCCAAGUCAGUGACUUACACAGGGUUGGAACAAGGCCAUGUGCUCCCAUUUUGAAUGUCCACACGGCCUGAUACGGGCAUGUCUGGUGGCCGUGUGAGACACAUGGCCUGGCCACAUGGGCGUGUGUUCCCUAUUUUGAGAAAAAAAUUAUAAGUUCACGAAAAAUUUCUUAAGUUUUCGGUUUAGUCCCGAACCACUCCCAAAGUAUGUUUAGGGCCUCGUAGGCUCGUAUUAGGAACAAAUUGAUUGAGUUUGAAUGAUGAGUAUGUGAAAUAAUGUUAUGUAUGGUAAAUGGUGGUUUAAGUGUUUUGUAAAUUCAAUAAUGCUCUGUAACCCUAUUUCGGCGUUGAAUACGAGCGAGGGGUGUUACACGAACUCUCAACGAACAAGUUCUCCACCUCUUCUAUAAAACCCCAUAAGGGUUUAACUUCUACAAUGAACACCAACCAAGUCUAAGCAAUGCUCAAAUUUGGUAGACUUGGUUAUAGAAAGUGACUUAGUCAUCAUAUCUGCAGGAUUUUCAUGAGUAUUAAUUUUGCUCACAACAUUAUCACCAUGAACAAUAAUAUCAAGAACAAAAUGAUACUGAACAUCAAUGUGCUUUUUUCUCUCAUGAAAGAUUUGAUCUUUUGUAAGGAAGAUGACACUUUGACUGUCACAAAAUAUUGUACUGAUUUGAAGGUCUUCAUUGAGUUCACUAAAGAGUCUCUUCAACCAAAUGGCUUAUUUACAAGCCUCAGUGGUAGAUAAAGCGAUUAUAGUUUGCAAAGUGGCUUUCCAACUGAUUGCACAACCUCUAAUUGUAAAGACAUAACCUGUGAGUGAUCUUCUUCUAUCAAGAUCUUAAGCAAAAUCAACAUCAACAUACCCAAUGACUCCAUCUCUAGUUCUUCCAAACUAUAAGAAAAUAUUAGUAGUACCUCGUAAGUAUAUUAAAAUUCACUGAACUACUUUCUAGUAUUCUUUACUGGGAUUCGCCAUGUAUUUGCUAACUGCACUGACUACAUAUGAUAAAUCUGGACGUGAACAAACCAUAGCAUACAUGAGAGAUCCCACUACACUAGAAUAUGGAGCAUGUGACAUGUACUUAAACUCAUCAUCUGAUUGUGGAGACAAAGCCGAUGAAAGUCUGAAAUGGGCUGCUAAAGGAGUACUAACUGGCUUAGCAGUUUGCGCAUUGAAUCUGCAAAGAACUUUCUCAAUGUACUCAUUCUGAAUUAGGUACAACUUACUUGCUUUUCUAUCAUUGAGAAUCUCCAUACCAAGAUCUUUUUUGCUGGUCCCAAAUUUUUCAUCUCAAAUUCUUCACUUAGUUGGGCUUUGACCUUUCUUAUCUGUCUUUUAUCUUUCACUGCUAUUAACAUGUCAUCAACAUAAAAGAGUAGAUACAAAAAAGGAACCAUCACUAUUUUUCUUAAAUUAAACACAACUAUUAAAGCUACUUCUUUUGAAAUCAUGAGAAGUCAUAAAGGAAUUAAACCUCUUGUACCACUGUCUUGGUGACUAUUUCAAACUGUAAAAGGACUUUUUCAGCAAGCAAACAUAGUCUUAUUUUUCUGAGACUGUAAAGCCCUCUGGUUGUUACAUGUAAAUAUCCUUCUCAAGUUCUCCAUGCAAAAAUGUAGUUUUUGCAUCUAACUGCUCAAGCUCCAAAUCAUGCAUGGCUACAAUACCAAGCAAAGCUCGAACCAAACUAUGGUUCACAACUGGAGAGAACAUAUCUAUGAAGUCCACACCUGGAAUUUGACUGUAACCCUUUGCAAAAUGUUUUGCUUUAUAUUUGGGUUCUUCAAAUCCUAGAGUCCCUUCUUUCUUUUUAAACACCCAUUUGCAAUGAACAACCUUUUUGCCUUUAGGUAGUUUCAUAAGAUCCCAUGUUCUAUUUUUGUGGAGUGAUUUCAUCUCCUCUUGCAUAGUGAACAUCCACUUUUCUUAGUCUUCUCAAUUAUUCUCCUCGGAAUAAUUAGAUGGGUCUUGGUUUAUAUCAAACCUUCAGCCACAUUUAAAGCAUAAAAAACUAGAUCAGCCUCGGCAUACUUCUUUAGAGGUUUAAUCUAUCUUCUAGUUCUAUUUUUGGCGAUAGAGUAUUGUGGUGAAGAAGAAAUUCUAUUUUGAAUUUUUAUACUGGCCUGAGGAGUUGACUCUGUUGUAGAUUCUGGAUUAAUCUGAUGCUCCACCUACUUUUGAUGUUCUAUAUUCGAAGAGUCUUCAAGAGAUAAGUAGAUAGCAUAGCAGUUUUAUUAAAAACAUAUAUGCUAAUUACAACUUUUAUAUAUUUAGGACACCAUAACUUAUACCCUUUUACAUCGACUUUAGAACAAAGAAAUAUACAUUUAAUGGAUCUCAGUUCCAAUUUUCCAUUAUCAACAUGAGCAUACACAUGACACCCAAAUAUUUUUAAAUCAAAACAAUUAGCAGGAUUACCAGACCAUACCUGUAACAACCCAAUUUUUAGUGGUGACGAAACAGUGGUUCCAGAACGACAAAUUUCUGUCGUGUCAGCUCAUAAAUAUUAUUUUUAGAAUAUUUAUAUAGUUAUUAGAGUCGUAUUAAAAUUUGUUUUAGAAAUAUUAACGUUUAGAUAGUUAAUUGAAGAAAAAUGACUAAAUUGAAAAAGGUGUAAAAGUAAGUAAUUAGUUAAGUAAAUGACUAAUUAGUUUAUUAACCACAUGAAGAGGGACUAAUAUAGCAAUUAGACCCUAGUGUCACGGACUUAAGAUUCUUGCCUCAGAAUCCGUGCGGCCUUAGGCAGUUUCUUACUCCAAAACGCCUAAGUCAGCCUAACUUCCACAAAAGAAGGAUUCAACAGAAUUCCUCCCUAAAACACAACUCAAGCGAAAGCAACUCAAAGCCAACAAGAUGAAAGAAAAAUGAGACAAGAAUAAGCUAGGGAAAAUAAGAACACAAGAGAGAAAAGUUUGAGUGAAUGCUCUCAAGGAUUCUUCUUACUCAAAACUCAAGUGAUUUACAAUGAGGGAAGAGGUCUCUUAUUUAUAGUUGAGCCUCCCCAAAUCCAACGGUGCAAAAUUAAGUACAUCAACGGCUAUGAUUAAAGGGCACCUACCACCAAACCUUUAAGAAUAUAAAAUCAUAUCUUCUAAGAUUACAUAUCUUAUCUAAGAUAUGUAAUCUUAUAAAAUAAUAUAUUAUAUUUGUCUAACUUGUAGAUGGGCCUUCAAUCUCUUCAAGCAACGGGCCGGUCUGAUUGGGCCAAAUGACCUCCUUCCUUCUUGAUGGUUCACACAGAUGUGUCAUGGUUGCGGGCUCCCAUGCGCAACCCAUGACAUUCUCCCCCACCAAAUCUAGCGACGCCCUCGUCGCGUCCUCUGCAUGGUAUCGAUCUAUCUUGUCUUGGAAUUGCCACAAGGCUUCAGCAAGUUCCCAACUCAUCUCACUAUCCGGGAAUCCCUUCCAUCGGACUAAGUAUUCGCGCCGCGGUCGGUAGUGCUUACGUCUGACCAUACGAUCCGCUUCGAUGUUCUCGACCUCUCGAUCAUAGGCGACUUUUACCCCCAUUGGUGCUCGUUCAGACUUGCUUCGAUUUGGGUCUUCUCCAUCUUUAUGGAAUGGUUUAAGCAUACUCACGUGGAAUACUGGAUGAACUUUAAGCUUUUCAGGCAACUCGAGCUUGUAGGCCACCUUGCCUACCUUCUUCACAAUUCGAAAUGGCCCCUCGUACCGCCGAACGAGUCCUUUGUGUAACCCAUCAUGUCGCAAAAUCAGGUGUAGUUUGGCAAGAACUGGUUCACCUACCUGAAAUUGUACGUCCCUUCGAUUUCGAUCUGCCCAUUUCUUAUUGCGCUUACUUGCCUUAUGUAGACAAGCUCUAGCUAGAUCGUUUUGCUCUUGCCAAUCCCUCGCAAAUCGAUAAGCUGCUGGAUUCGGUCCCGCAUAACGAGUUGCAACUGCAUUGGGUGUAAGCGGUUGUUGCCCCGUUACUAUCUCAAAUGGACUCUGGUUCGUUGCCCCACUUCGUUGUAAGUUGUACGAAAACUGGGCAACAUCCAAAAACUUUGGCCAAUCCUUUUGUGUUGCACUUACAUAGUGUCGAAGAUACGUCUCCAACAAUGCAUUCACUCGUUCAGUUUGCCCAUCAGUUUGAGGAUGCAUGCUAGUGGAAAAGUUUAAGUCUGAGCCCAUUAACUUGAACAACUCUGUCCAAAACCGACCCGUGAAUCGCCCAUCUCGAUCACUGAUGAUAGACUGUGGUACUCCCCAAUACUUCACCACAUGUUUAAGGAAUAAGCGAGCUGCCUCAUCAGCAGGACAUUCUUUGGUUGCGGGGACGAAAGUUGCAUACUUCGAAAACCUGUCCACCACAACAAAAAUACUCGCAAAUCCAUCAGAUUUAGGCAAGCCUGUGAUAAAGUCCAUGGACAAGCUCUCCCAUGGGCGCUCCGGAAUGGGCAAUGGUUGUAACAAACCAGCAGGGGCUUUCAACUCAACCUUAUCUUGUUGGCAUAUUCAACAAGUUUUCACAUAGGCCUCCACAUCAUCCCCCAUGUGAGGCCAAUAAAAUCGAUCCUCCAAUAGAGCCAAGGUGCGGUGUAUUCCUGGAUGGCCAGCCCAUUUUGAAUCAUGGCAUUCCUUCAUGACUUCCCUUCGUAAAUUCUUAUGUUGAGGCACAUAUAGACGUUGCCCAUGAGUGUAUAGCAAUUCUCCCUCGAGCCAAAAUCGCCUCGUCUUUCCAUCUCUAGCAAGCUCUAUUAGAUUUUUAGCCGUGGGAUCAAGGGACAGUCCUUCUUGGAUGCGCUCUAAUAAGGGACUCUCAGGUUGGCUUAUCGUUGCGAAUUCCAUUUUUCGGCUAAGUGCAUCGGCCACAAUGUUGGCACUCCCCAGCUUGUAUUCCAUGCUAAAAUCAAACUCUGCUAGGAAAACCUGCCAACGAGCCUGCUUGGGGGACAACUUUUUCUGGGUUAAGAAAUAGCUAUUUGCAACAUUAUCAGUGAAUACCACAAACAUGGAACCCAGCAAGUAGUGUCUCCAUGUGCGCAAACAAUGCACCACUGCCGUCAUCUCUUUUUCUUGGACCGUGUAUCUCCGUUCCGUCUCGUUAAGCUUUCGACUCUCGAAAGCAAUCGGAUGCCCAUCUUGCAUCAACACCCCUCCAAUCGCAUACUCUGAAGCAUCUGUGUGUACCUCAUACGCUUUUGAAAAAUUGGGCAAUGCAAGUACAGGCUCACUCGUUAUUGCUUGCUUCACUUGGUUGAAGGCUUUCUCACACCGAAGGUCCCAAUCCCACACUUUGCCCUUUUUCAACAGGUCCGUCAAGGGUGCAGUGAUCUUAGAAUAGCCCUCAAUGAAGCGACGGUAGUAAUUUGCUAAUCCAAGGAAAGACCGCAACUCCGUCACCUUGGUUGGUGACUCCCAAUCGGCAAUUGCUUGAAUUUUUCUUUCAUCCAUUCGAAUCAUGCCCCCUCCCACAAUAUGGCCUAGAAAUGGCACUUCUCGUUGGGCAAAGGAGCAUUUCUCCUUUUUGACAUGUAGCUUAUUUUCUCGUAGAGUUUGAAACACCUCCCCCAAGUGUCCCACAUGCUCUUCGAGCGUCUUACUAUAUACCACAAUAUCGUCAAGAUAAACAACCACAAAACGAUCCAAGAAAGGUUGUAAUACCUUAUUCAUUAGGGUACAAAAUGUGGCCGAAGCAUUUGUCAACCCGAAUGGCAUUACCAAGAACUCAAAGGACCCAUACCUAGUUACACAGACUGUCUUGGGUUCAUCCCCUUCGGCUAUUCUCACUUGGUGGUACCCCGAUCGCAAAUCCAACUUAGUAAACCAUCUCGCGCUACCAAGUUGAUCGAACAAAUCUGCAAUAAGAGGAAUGGGGUACCUAUUUUUUAUAGUGAUUUUGUUUAAGGCCCUGUAGUCGAUGCACAUUCUCAAAGAUCCAUCAUGCUUCUUUUGAAAUAACACCGGUGCGCCGAACGGGGCUUUAGAUGGUCUAAUGAACCCGGCAUCUAAAAGCUCUAUCAACUGCUUCCGCAAUUCUUCUAGUUCCGGUGGAGCCAUCCGAUAUGGUGCCCUUGCUGGUGGUUCAGCAUUAGGCAACAGCUCAAUCUUGUGGUCCACCUCCCUCUUAGGUGGCAAUCUUUUGGGCAACUUUACCGGCAUUACAUCUUGAAAUGACUUUAGCAACCGUUCCACUUCCUUUGGAAAUUCCACCUCGAAUUUAUCAUCCACAUUGUCUCUCAAGGUAGCUAGGUAGGAGACUUCAUUUCGACGAACUCCUUUGGCAAAUUGAAUUGCCGACAAGGUUUUCCCCCCCAUGCUUCCUUUCCUUUUCAUUCUCACCAUAUAUCAUUGAUUUGCAUCGGAGAUGGUCAUGUAGUUCUCGGAAGGGUGAAUAUCCGCAUUAAGCCUGUCAAGUAAACUUAAUCCAACUACAAAAUCGUAAUCAUCAAGUGGGAUUACCUUAAUGGUCGCUUUGCCCGUCCACUCACCAAGUUUGAGUUCCACCCCUUUUGCCACACCCGUUAUGGGAAUGCUUUCUGAAUUCACCGUUUUGAUUCGUCCCGAAUCUUCCUCGAUUCUAAGGCCAAGUUCCUUUGCCAUUUCUUUAGACAUAAAUAAAUCAGAUGCACCAGUAUCAACAAGUGCAUUCAAUCUUCUGCCAGCUACGAUGAUGUCCACAAACAUCAACCCAUUGCUUGACUUCUCUUCAACACCUCCUAAUAUCGAAUUGAGGCUUUUGGUGUCAUCUUCGGCUUCUUCGCGUGCCUCCAUGGCAUGAAAAGCGGCUUUCUUUGGACAGACACUCAUUCUAUGUGGGCCUUGGCAAAGAAAGCACUUCAUUGGUCCUUUUCUAUCCUAAGGCUUACCUUGACUAGACUUUGGGCCUUCGUCGUUCUUUUCUCUUUGAUCCUUGUUUCCCCCACCAUUAUCUUUGGGUCUCGACUUGGGUUUGUAAGAAUCUUUAUUAUCAAACGUUCUUCCCCCAACAUCAUAGAAAUUUUCUGCCUUGGCCAUAGCUUCGGUCAGUUCGGUGAUAUCUAGGCGACGCAACUCUUGCUUGGCCCACAUUUUUAAACCAUCCUCGAACCAAUAGAAUGCUUCUUUCUCAUUCAAGUCUGAGAUCUGAAGCAUCAACUUGCUGAAUUCCCGAACAUAAUCUCGAACAGUGCCUUGUUGCGUAAGCCGACGCAACUUAGCACGAGCCUCCUUUUCGGCAUGUUGUGGAUAAAACUGCUUCUUCAACUCUCUUUGGAACUCCUCCCAAGUUCCAAUGGUCGUUCCUCCACGUUUCUCAUCCGUGGACCUACGUCUCCACCACAAGAGAGCAACAUCAGAAAAGUAAAUUGAAGCGGUGUUUACCUUGGUGGCAUCAUCCUCAAUGCCAAUUGCUCGAAAAUACUGCUCCAAUUCCCACAGGAAGUUGUCUACUUCUCUUGCGGACCUAAUCCCCUUGAACUUCUUGGGUUUUGGAACAUCCACAUGACGUUGCUUCGGUCCCGAAGCCAACAUCCCACUUCCCAAGGCAGCCUUACAGAUUCUGAGCUCCCCCUUAAGCUCAGCAAUCUCUUCCUUCAUGGCAGUCAGCAGGGCCUCAAGAGCUUCGUCCCUCCCUGUUAGUUUGUCCGAAGUGGAUCUGAUGGAGUCCAACACAAACUCCUUGCUAUCUUCCCUCAGUUCAUCCAUACGGGUUAGGACCACUUCGAGUGUCUCCUUCAUGUCACCAGCGGACUCCUCGAGAUUAACCACUCGAAUUUCCAAGCUCGACAGCAUAUCCCUCGAUCGACUAGCCUUUCUAGCCCUCCCACGGGUCUCCAUUGGCUCAUUCUGAUCAACUUCUUUCGACAUAUCUCAAAAGUGCUUUCGAACGGCUCUGAUACCAACUGUCACGGACUUAAGAUUCUUUCCUCAGAAUCCAUGCGGCCUUAGGCAGUUUCUUACUCCAAAACGCCUAAGUCAGCCUAACUUCCACAAAAGAAGGAUUCAACAGAAUUCCUCCCUAAAACACAACUCAAGCGAAAGCAACUCAAAGCCAACAAGAUGAAAAAAAAAUGAGACAAGAAUAAGCCAGGGAAAAUAAGAACACAAGAGAGAAAAGUUUGAGUGAAUGCUCUCAAGGAUUCUUCUUACUCAAAACUCAAGUGAUUUACAAUGAGGGAAGAGGUCUCUUAUUUAUAGUUGAGCCUCCCCAAAUCCAACGGUGCAAAAUUAAGUACAUCAACGGCUAUGAUUAAAGGGCACCUACCACCAAACCUUUAAGAAUAUAAAAUCAUAUCUUCUAAGAUUACAUAUCUUAUCUAAGAUAUGUAAUCUUAUAAAAUAAUAUAUUAUAUUUGUCUAACCUGUAGAUGGGCCUUCAAUCUCUUCAAGCAACGGGCCGGUCUGAUUGGGCCAAAUGACCUCCUUCCUUCUUGAUGGUUCACACAGAUGUGUCAUGGUUGCGGGCUCCCAUGCGCAACCCAUGACACUAGCAGCUAAGGUUGGAUAGCUAAGUAAAGGAAAUUAAUAAAUUAAAGUGUUUUGAAUGACAAAAUUGUAAUUAAAAUAAAAUUUAGUACAACAAAAGGCUUUCUUCUUCAUUUUGCAAUUCUCCAUUGUCGAAAUCAUAGAAAUAACUUAGGAGAAUUGGAUAAGCAUCUAGGCCUUGCAUGUGAGUUCAAUUCUUAACCAUUUCUUGUAAUUUUUAUGUUUUUUGGAUCGUUGUAACUAGGUCCAACUGCCUCGUAACUUUUUUUUUUGAUUUUAUUAAAAAUUGUGGAAGUUGCCAUUGAUGAAUAUUGAUUGCCUUUUAUGAAUAUUAUGUAUUUGGAACCUUUGUUAUGCUAGUUGAUGGAUUUGUAAAGAGAUUUUUUAUUGAACCUUGAUUUUUAGUUUAAAUUUUGAAUAAGUCAAAAUAUUAGGGUUUGAUUAUAAAUUUGAGGCUUAUUAGGGGCUGGGCUUAGUAUAUUUUGAUAAAUUAUUGAUAUGAGAAAAUUAGUUAAUUUGAUGAAUUUCGAGUUAAGGGACUAAAUAACAAAAAUUGUAAAAGUUUGGGGUAAUUGUGUAAUUUCAAAAAAUAAAAGGGUAUUAGUUGUAAAAUGGAUUUGAAAUGAAAUAUAUGCUAAGGGAUUUUCCAUUAUAGAUCAAGAAUCCAUAGAUAUUCGGGGAAAAGGAAAAUUAGCUGAGUAGUCCCUAAACGUCUACAAUUUCUGCGAUUUAGUCCAGGUAAGUUCGUUUUACUAUUAAUUUUAUUGAAUAUUCCAUACUAUUCAUUUUUGGUUGAAUUAUGGAUUUUAUUGAGUUAUGCUUAUCGAAAUAAAAAUACGGUGAUUAUUCGGGUUAAGUGCCUAGCAAGCUUUGUGCUGGUGAUUAUUCGGGCUAUGUGCCUAGCAGGCUUUGUGCCGGUGAUUAUUCGAGCUAAGUGCCUAGUAGGCUUUGUGCCGAUGAUUUUUUGGGCAAAGUGCCUAGCAAGCUUUGUGCCGGUGAUUAUUCGGGCUAAGUGCCUAACAGGCUUUGUACAGGUGAUUAUUCGAGCUAAGUGCCGAGCAGGCUUUGUGCCCAUGCUUAUUCAGGCUAAGUGCCUAACAGGCUUUGUGCCAGUGAUUAUUCGGGCUAUGUGCCUAGUAGGCUUUGUGUCGGUGAUUAUUCGGGCUUUGUGCCUAGCAGUAUAUGUGCCGAUGUAGUGGAAAUUGCAUUUAAUUGGAUAGUUUUGGGUGAAUUAUUAAAAGAAAUUUAUAUCGAACUUAUUAAGCUUGUUUAUGCUUAUUAGUUUGAUUUAUUCUUAUAAGACCUCUAGAAUCAUUGCUUUGAUUGGAUCGACUAGGAAGCUCACUCACUAUCAUCAACAUCUCAGUAGUCAUUUUGGUUCUUAUUAGUUGGUUUAAGUGGCAUGUAAUAGGAAAUGGUCUAUAGCACUUGAAUAUUUUGUAUGGAUGUAAAUAUUGUAAGUAACUUAUUAUGCUUGUUUUCUAGCAGAAAUAGUUAAUUUUGUGUGCUUAAUUAGGUAAACCUUUUGGAACAUAUAUAUAAGUAGAAGUUUUAUAAAUCUUGUGGUGUCAAAUGAUGAUGAUUGAAUACUUCAAGUAUGCUAUGUGAAUUAGUUUAGUUAUAAGCUGUUAUGAUGAUUAAUUUUUGUUAAGUGUUUGGUAUGUUUGAAAAUAUGGUGAAUUGGUACUUCGUUGAGAAUGAUAUAUAUGAUUGUUAAUACUAGUAGAUGAAUGACAUAUUUUGCACCAUUUGGUAUAUGUUGGUAAGUAAACUCAAUGAUAUGUAUAAUGCAAAUAUGAUAGAAGUUAGUUAAAUAUUUUGGCCCAGAUUUUGUACAUGAUUAUGCAUAUUACAUGUUGUCAUUUGAGGUGCCUAACAACAUUUAAGGUGCCUAAGGGCAUAUUAGUUGUAUGCUCUUAUACUAUGACUGAUUAGCUGGAAUAUGCAUGAUUUUGGUGCCGUAUUAUAGCUUGUAUAUAUGUGAAAUUUUGGUUACAGGUGCAUUCCAAAAUGGGUGAGAGAAAUGGAUUGUAAAAUAGUCUAUUUUCGUCCAUAGGGACAGAGACACGAGCGUGUGUCUCUGCCGUGUGUGGCGACACGGUCAUGUGUCCCCUGUAGCUUUUAAAGGGUUGCAAGUCAGGCUGCUACACGGCUUAGCGCAUGGCCUGGCGCACCAGUGUGUGGGGUUAUUUCGAAUGGCACACGGCCUGGCACUCGGGCAUGUGGCUUGGCCGUGUGACCUAAGUCAGUGACUUACAUGAGCACAGACACAGGCUAUGACACGGCCGUGUGUCCCUAUUUUGAAUGCCCACAUGGCUUGGCCACACGGCCGUGUGACCCCUGCAGUUUGGAAAAUUUUCCUAGUUUCCUGAAAAAUUCUUUGAGUUUCUGAUUUAGUCCUGACUUGUUUUUAACGUGUUUUAAAGCUUUGAGAGCCCGUAUAGGGAAAAAUAUGUAUGAUUUGGAUUGGUUUUAAAAUGAUUAUUGAUAUGAUUUGAAAUGUUUAAAAAUUAUGUUCAUUUGAAUUGUAAACGCGGACAAUGAUUCGUAACCCUAUUCUGGUAACAGAUACAGGUUAGGGGUGUUAUAUUUAUUGGUAUCAGAGUUAUGGUUUAGUUAGUUCUCGGAUUGAACCUAGCAUGUACAAAGUCUAGAAAUACAUGCCACUUGACUAACCAAUGAUUGUGUGAUAGCUUUUGAUUAUUUUUAAUUACUCUUAUAUAGAUGUAAACUGAAAAAUAUACAAGAUUUUUCCUAUGCAAUUUAUCACCUUUUUACUUAAAUUCGUUGUUUGCUAGCUGAAAAAUAUAUAAGAUUUUUCCUAUGUAAUUUAUCACCUUUUUACUUAAAUUCGUUGUUAAAACUAAGUGAUUGUUUAAUAAAUUAAUGAAAUAUGUGAAAAUAUGAAAUUAGGACACAAAAAUUAUUAAAAUAUGAUUUUAUGCUUUGUUAUAGUGUUUUCAUGCAUAAAAUGGCUUUUCUUAUAUUUAUUUGAACAUAUUAUAUUUUUAAGACAUAAAAUGGGCCAUGCAUGAUUAAAUUAAAUAAUAAAAUAUAAAAUUAUAUUUAAUAAUUUCUUUUAAAAUAUUUCAUUAAUAAUUUGGGUUUUAAUUAAUUAUUUAAAUUGGAUAAAUUUUAUUCUUUUGUUCUUUAAUUUAUUGAUUUAUUUUGGACAGGUCUGAUAGCUUUGUUGGAUUACAAAAACUAUCCGAAUUGAACACCAAGUCAACCCAAUUUCGACUACACAUGGCUGUCCAAAUGAACCACUGUUUGGUUUAAUUACAUAAGGUCCUUGCAAUGUUGAAGAAAUUAGAGAUUUGCCCGAAGAUUUACAUUUGAUCGAGUCUCAAUCUUGAGUUGUUAUGGCAUUUAAAUUGCUUAAAAAUCAAGAAAAAUUCAAGUCAAAAUCCACUAAGCAUGGUCAGCCACUCAUUGGAAAAGCUUGAAGCAACUAAACCUCUCUAUUUUUAGCAAACUUCUAUCCUCUCUUCACCUAUAAAUAAGACUUCAUUUCAAAAUUCCUAAUCAUCUCUCAAUUCUCUUAGCAUUUUCCAUUCCCCAUGUCUAGCAUCAUCUUUUCAUAGAGAUUUUAGCAAUUAAGCCUCUUAAAGUGCCCUAGGUCGGCCACCUUGGAGAGUCAUUAGCAAAGGAGCAAAGCAAAGGAGCGAAUGAGCCUCGUUGGUAAGAGUCUUGGGUGACAACCACUUUGAUUCAAGUUUAAUCUUUGUUUUCUUUAAUUUAAUCUGAAAAUGUUUGCUAUGAGUUCUUUGUUCUUGUUUACAACAAUAUUUGCUUAAUUUUAUUUAAGUUAGGAUGAUUGCUUUGAUUAAAUAAUAUUUAUUUUAUUGUUUGUGCCUUAAUCAAUCAUGUUUUCAAUUAAAACCAAGUCUGUAUUUCGUUCAUACGUGAUUGAAAUGCACUUGAAUUAGCUGAGUGAUCCUAACCAGACGACGGCUAGUGGACGCAUAAUUGAAAUGUGAUUGCUCAAUUUAGAUCCUAACCCAAUUAAAUUGCAGGUUGCAUAACAACUCUAACGAAGCUCUAUUAUCUACAUAGUUUUUAGAUUUGUGUGAUUAAACUGUUUCAAACCUAACACGUCCCUGUUACCUCACAUAAAUGCUAAGAAACUCUUAGUAAAUAAGGAUCAGUAAAAUGCGUAUUUGCAAAGUAAAGGAUUCUGAAAAGACCUAAUGUGCUUUCCAAACUCAUGAAAGAUAGAGUUGCCAUGGAAUGUUUUUCCGAAUGUUAUUAAGCAUGUUGGUAAUAAAUUGAGUUUAAUUAAAGUAAUUGUCCGAGUUUAUUUAUUUAUAAUCGUUGCAAAUUGUGUUUAAUUUUUCUAAAAUCUAUUUUACUCAUAUAGUUUGCAUACUUAGGGUAAUUUGCGUUAGGGAUCAUUGCAUUUAGUUUAAUAUAUUUAAUUUUAAUGAUCACUUCUCAACUAUAUUGUGUUUUUAUUUACCAAGUUGUUAGUACAAUUUUACAAUUAAGUGAUUUAACACAAAUACAAUCCCUGUGGAGACAAUAACUCGAUACUUACUUAUUACUUGAUAACGAAUACGUACACUUGCACAAACCUACGCGUUACAUUGUUAAAACUAAGUAAUUGUUUAAUAAAUUAAUGAAAUAUGUGAAAAUAUGAAAUUAGGCAUAGAAAUUAUUAAAAUGUGAUUUUAUACUUUACUAUAUAGUUUUUCAUGCAUAAAAUGACUUAUUUUAUAUUUAUUUGAACAUAUUAUAUUUUUGAGACAUAAAAUAGGUCAUGCAUGAUUAAAUUAAAUAAUAAAAUAUAAAAUUAUAUUUAAUAAUUCAUUUUAAAAUAUUUCAUUACUAGUUUGGGUUUUAAUUAAUUAUUUAUUUUAUUCUUUGGUCCUUUAAUUUAUUGAUUUAUUUUGGACAGGUUUGAUAGCUUUGUUCGAUUACAAAAACCGUCCAAAUUGAAGACCAAGUCAACCCAAUUUUGGCUACAUAUGGCUGUCCACAUAAACCACUUUUUGGUUUAAUUAAAAAAGGUCCUUGCAAUGUUGAAGAAAUUAGAGAUUUGCUCGAAGAUUUACAUGUGACCGAGUCACAGUCCUAUUUUUUAUGGCAUUUAAAUUACUUAAAAAUUAAGCAAAAUUCAACUCAAAAUCUACUAAUCAUGGUCAGCCACUCAUUGAAGAAGCUUGAAGAGACUAAACCUUUCUAUUUUUAGCAAACUACUCUCCUCUCUUCACCUAUAAAUAAGACUUCAUUUCACCAUUCCUAAUCAUCCAUCAUCCAUCAUCCCUCAUCAUUAUCUCUUUUCUCUCAGUUCUCUUUAUCAUUUUCCAUUUCCCACACCUAGCAUGAUCUCUUUAUAGAGGUUUUAGCAAUUAAGCCUCUUAAAGAGUUCUUGGUCAGCCAACUUGGAGAGCCAUUAGCAAAGGAGCAAAGCGAAUGAGCGAAUGAGCCUCGUCGGUCAGAGUCUUGGGUGACAGCCACUUUGAUUUUGGGUUUAAUCUUUCUUUUCUUUGAUUUAAUCUGAAAAUGCCUGCUAUGUGUUCUUUGUUCUUGUUACAACAAUGUUAGCUUAAUUUUAUUUAGGCUAGGACGAUUGCUUUGAUUAAAUAAUAUUUAUUUGAUUCAUGCUUAUAAUGUUUGUGCCUUAAUCGAUCAUGUUUUCAAUUAAAAUAAAGUCUGUAUUUCGUUCAUACGUGAUUAAAAUGCACCUAAAUUAGCUGAGUGAUCCUAACAAGACGACAAAUGGCGGACACAUAAUUGAAAUGUGCAUGCUCACUUUAGAUCCUAACCUGAUUAAAUUGCAGGUUGCAUAACAACUCUAACCAAGCUCUGUUAUCUGCAUAGUUGUUAGAUUUGUGUUAUUAAACUGUUUAAAACCUAACACGUCCUUAUUACCUCGCACGAAUGCUAGGAAACCCUUAAUAAAUAAGGAUCAGUAAAAUUCAUAUUUACUAAGUAAAUGAUUUCGAAAGGACCUAAUGUGCUUUCCAAACUCAUGAAAGAUCGAGUUGCCAUGCAAUGUUUUUUCGAAUGUUAUUAAGCAUGUUGAUAAUAAAUUGAGUUUAAUUAAAGUAAUUGUCCUAGUUUAUUUAUGUUAUAAUUGUUGCAAAUUGUGUUUAAUUUUGAUAAAAUCUAUUUCAUUCAUAUAGCUUGCAUAAUUAGGAUAAUUUGCGUAAGGGAUCAUUGCAUUUAGUUUAAUACAUUUAAUUUUAAUCAUCACUUCUCAACUAUAUUGUGUUUUUAUUUACUAAGUUGUUAGUAUAAUUUUUAUAAUUAAGUGAUCUAACAAAAAUACCAUCCCUGUGGAGAUAAUAACUUGAUACUUACUUAUUACUUGAUAACGACUGUGUACACUUGCGCAAACCUACGCGUUACAAGUUUUUGGCGUCGUUGCCGGGGAUUGUUAACUGUUGCCAUAGUCAUUUUUCGUGAAAUUGUUUACUUCAAAUUUGGUUUGUUUCUAACAUUACUAACUUAUUCUUUUUAACUUUGUGAUUUUCUUUUCAAGUGUUUAUGAGCAUAGAUUGGAUUAUUGAUUUACUCCCUAUAGACCCUAAAAUUAAGUGAACUUUUAGACAAAGAAAACAUGAACGAACACUCAAAGACAAGUUGAGAUAGACCUUGGAAAUCAGAAUCAAGACCAAGGUACUAAAGCCAAUCGUGUACGAAAUCCCAUCCUCAUUGCCGAUGAUAGGGAUCAAUGCAUCAGAUAAUAUGCUGUGCCACUUUUCAGUGAGUUAAAUCCAGGAAUUAGAAGGCCAGAUAUUGAGGCAACCUAAUUUGAAUUGAAACCAGUUAUGUUUCAAAUGCUCCAGACGGUGAGCAAAUUCAGUGGUAUGCCCACGAAAAAUCCACAUCUCCACCUUCAAUUAUUUAUGAAGAUGAGUGAUUCAUCCAAGAUAGCCAGAGUGACUGAAGACACACUAAGGUUGAAGUUGUUUCCAUACUCGUUGCGAGAUCAAGCACGAGCAUAGCUCAAUUCAUUGCCACCAAGUUCCGUAUCUACAUGGCAAGAAUUAGCAGAGAGAUUUUUGGUUAAGUAUUUCCCGCCUAGCAAAAAUGCUAAGUUGAGGAACGAGAUCACAACUUUCCAACAAUUGGAUGACGAGUCUUUGUAUGAGGCUUGAGAGUGAUUCAAGGAGUUACUUCAUAAGUGUCCUCAUCAUAGGAUUCCUCAUUGUAUCUAGUUGGAGACAUUUUAUAAUAGUCUCAAUGCACAUACAAGAUUGAUGGUAGAUGCUUCUGUGAAUGGUGCAAUUUUUUCAAAGUCUUAUAAUGAGGCUUAUGAGAUCAUCGAGAGGAGCGCGAGUAAUAACUCUCAAUGGCCAACAAAUGGAACAGCUUCAGGAAGACGUGUAGCUUGAGUUCAUGAAGUUGACGCCCUCACUUUGUUAUCAGCUCAGGUAUCGUCUAUUUCCUCUAUGGUAAAACAAUUUACCGCUAAUAGUAUUAAUAAUUUUGCAGCUCAGCCACCAAGUCCAUUUGAAGUAGUUUCUUGUGUGUACUGUAGGGAAGGUCAUUCUUUUGAGAAUUGUCCAUCAAAUCCUGAGUUAGUGUACUAUGUAGGGAACCAACAUCAGAAUAGGAGUGGAUAAGGGCCCCAGUCCAACUUCUACAAUCCUUCAUGGCGUAAUCAUCCUAACUUUUCUUGGAGCAACCAAGGAAAUGGACUGAACAACAACUUAUUGCAUCAUAGACCCAACCAAUCUCAAAGGAUUAAUUAGCAAGUUCUAAAACCACCUCAAGCUGAGGCAUCAAAUAGUUUGGAGAACUUGUUGAAAGCGUACAUAGCAAAGAAUGUCACUUUGACCCAAAGCCAAGCAGUAACUUUGAAAAUUUGCAAAAUCAAAUGGGUCAGUUAGCUACAAAACUUCUUAACAGAUCGCAAGGAACCUUGCUGAGCAAUACUGAGAAUCCAAGAAAUUUGGGUAAAGAACAUAUCAAGGCAGUGGCAUUGCAAAGUGGUAAAAUUCUAGAAGCCCCGAUUGAUUGAUGUUGAAGAUAAGCCCAUUGAGAAGAAUCAACCAGCUGUUGAAAUUCCUACACCAAAAGAGUCAAAAUCUGCUAAGAUUGACAAGGUAAAUCCUAACUUAGUGAAUUCAGAUACUUUAACAUCUUCUUUAGAUGCAGAUUUACCUACUCAGAAGAGUUAUCUAAUUCAACCGAAAGUUCUAUCACCUCCAUAUCUGUAAAGAUUGCAGCAACACAAGUAGAAAUAAGAGGUUCAAUUCAAGAAGUUUUGGAUGUUUUGAAGGAGUUACACAUCAAUAUUCUGUUGGUGGAGGCUUUAGAACAAAUUCCAAAUUAUGUGAAGUUUAUGAAGGAUAUACUGUCCAAGAAGAAAUGACUAAGGAAGUAUGAGACUGUUGCCUUGACAAAGGAGUGCAAUGCGUUGUUGCAUAACAAACUUCCACCGAAAUUUAAAGACCUAAGAAGCUUUACUGUACCCUAUAACAUUAAUGGAUGUCUAUUUUCAAGAUGCUAGGGAUAGGUGAAGUGAGACCUACAACUGUGAUGCUUCAGGUAGCAGAUUGAUCUUUAGCAUAUCCUGAGGGAAAGAUCGAGGAUGUUUUGGCAAGAGUCAAUAAAUUUAUUUUUUCUACUGAUUUCAUUGUCUUAGAUUUUGAAGCAGAUAAGGAACUGCCGAUCAUCCUUGGGAGACCUUUCUUAGGCACGGGAAGAACGUUAAUUGAUAUGCAGAAAGGUGAACUCACCAUGCGAGUUCAAGACGAUCAGGUAACCUUUAACAUUCUUAGAGCGGUGAAAUUUCCUGAUUCGAUAGAAGAGUGUUCAGUUAUGGAAGACAUAGAGACCUUGGUUUCUAUGGAAAGCAAUUUUGAAGAAGAUCCAUGGGAGAAAGCCUUAGAUCUUGACCCUUUAGAGGAUGAAGAAAGUGAAGAAAACAUGGCUUUGAUGGAAGCAAAUCCGAGAAAUUUUAUUCAAUCCACACGGUUUGAACCGUUAGAGUUCGAAGUUAGAGAAUUUGUGCAACCCAAGUUGUCAAUUGAAGAACCACCUAAACUCGAACUAAAGGUACUUCCUUCCCAUUUGAAAUAUGUUUAUUUAGGUGACUGUUCCACUUUGCCUAUGAUUAUUUCAGCAGAAUUGAUGAAAGAUCAAAAGGAGCAACUAAUUACUGUUCUAAAAAAAAUUUAAAAAAACAAUUGGUUGGACCAUAGUUGAUAUUUGAGGUAUAAGCACUUUUUUUUGCAUGCAUAAAAUUAUUUUAGAAGAAGGUGAAAGAGAUCGAAUUGAUGGGCAAAUGAGGCUCAAUCCUAUUAUGAAAGAAGUUGUGAGAAAGGAAGUGAUCAUUUUUCGUUGCCUUUUAUGGAUCAGAUGUUAGAUCGAUUGGCAGGUAAUGAAUUCUUUUUUUUUUUAGAUGGCUAUUUGGGAUAUAACCAAAUAGUUGUAGCUCUGGAGGACCAACAUAAAACAACCUUUACUUGUCCAUACGGUAUGUUUGCUUUUAGGUGAAUGCCUUUUGGUUUAUGCAAUGUACCUGCAACAUUUCAACGAUGCAUGAUGGCAAUAUUCACUGGUAUGGUUGAAAAUUUUGUUGAGGUUUUCAAGGAUGAUUUUUCUAUUUUGGUAACACUUAUGAUAUUUGUUUGAGUACUUUGGCUAAGAUACUAAAGAGAUGCGAAGAGACAAAUCUUGUCCUUAACUGGGAAAAAUGUCAUUUUAUGGUUAAGGAAAGGAUUGUCUUAAGGCAUAAAAUCUCAAAGAGAGGAAUUAAAGUCGAAAAAGCAAAGGUGGACAUAAUAGAAAUAUUAUCGGCCCCAAUUAAUAUGAAAUGAGUCAGAAGUUUCUUGUAACACCCCUUACUCGAGUCCAAGGCCGGGACAGGGUACGAGGCAUUAUCGGACUUAAACAUACACAACAAUGUAAAACCGGGCCAUAGAAAUUUCAUUCAAAUUAAAAAAUUCAUUCAUACUCAUAAUGUCCCUUAUAUGGGCUUACGAGGCCCAAUACAUACAUCGGGGGCGUUUUUGGAUUAAUCAGAGAACUUAUGAACUUUUUUACAACACUUAGAAAAUUUUCUAGUUUUGGAGAGUCACACGCCUGUGUGGGUUAGGCCGUGUGGUCACACACACCCGUGUGACUUGGGGCACACCUGUAUCCUCAGCCCAUGUAACUCUCUGUUUAUGAUGUCAGCAACAAUAUAGGGUCACACGGCCAAGUCACACACCCGUGUGAUAGACCGUGUCCUCCAUACGGAUGAGAAACACGGUCGUAUCUUUGCCCGUGUGGCCCAGAAAAUGGCUAUUUACCAAUCCACUUGGCACCCUCGUUAGCACUUACUUAAACAUAACUUCAAUGGCACUUUUUGAGGUAAUUUCAUAUCGAUUUAUUCAUGCAUAAGGAACCAUACUUUGCCUAGUUUAAACUUAUCAACUUCAUGCCAUAAUUAUCAUUAACACAUUCUUACCUUCAUACUUAUGCUAAGGUCUAUCCAUAGGCCAAUUUUGUCACAAAACCGUCAACUAAUCUAGGGCACAUUCAUAAUUCAUCCGUACCAAACACACGUGUCCAGACGAUAUCAAAACCUUUAGCACAUGCAUGCAUACAUGGAUAGGUUUACAACCCAAUAAUCAAUAUGAGCCACAUCACAUGGCCAUAUAUAAAAUGACUCAUAUUCCAAUUAUGAGGCAAUACAUUUGGACAAAUCAAAUGACACAUACCCAAUUGACUAAGUCCCUAUACAUGCCAUAGAAUUAAAGUGCUUGAAAUCAUUUAUACCUUUCAAUAGCUGGAUAGUGUGAUGGAAUCUCCGACAAUCUCCAACUCGAGCUAGCUUAGUGACCCUAUAAAAUGAGGAAAAAGAAAGGGGAAAGCUAUAUAGCUUAGUAAGUCCAUAUGAAAAUAAUAAGAGAUUUAUUAACAUGUUUUUUUUUUCCAUAUUCUCACAACAUGUUCUCAAGUUAAUACAAUCAUAAUUCCACAAAAUUCUACUAUUUACUCUUGUUCAUCUCAAGCUGUCUACUAGAGUCACAGUCACUAAAUUAUUUAUAUCUUGAGAUACCGAACUCCAAGUUAAGAUCCACUAAUUUUCCUUGAAACUAGACUCACAUAGCUUUUUACCAUAAAAUUUUCAGAAUUUUUGGUCUAGCCAAUAAGUGCAGUUUAUUCUUUAAAAUUUCCCCUAUUCUGCUGUUUGUCAGUUUCAACCCUUCUUCAGUAAACAUUAAUUAUCUCACAGUACAGAAUUCGGAUGAUGUUCCUGUCUAUUUCUAUUGAAAAUAGACUCAGUAAUAAUUUAGUCAUAUAAAUUAUAACCUAUAAUUAUUUUCAUACAUUUUUUGAUGAUUUUCCAAAUUUAAGACAAGGGAACCUGAAAUCACUCUAGCCUUGUCUCACAGAAAUCCAAAUAUCUCAUAACGUGAAAUUCUUUUGCUUACAUCGUUUCUUCUAUGUGAAACUAGACUCGAUAAGCUUUAAUUUUAUUUUAUUCAACUUUAACUCGAUUUCCACAAUUUGUGGUGGGUUUUCAAAUUCGGACUACUGCUGCUGUCCAAAACUGUUUUAGUGUAAAAUAAUGAUAACUAAGUUUAUAACACCUUUACAAAUCAUUUCAACCAUCAUGGUAAAAAUAUAUAUAUUUAUACAUCAUAAGCAUAGACCCAUAAUCACAAGAUCAUCACAAAAUCAUUCUCAUGGGCAUGACUUACUUAUUGGCAUCCUUACCCAAGGUGCAUCAUAAACCGAAAUCAUUUCUCAUGAGUUUUGCACACAUGGUUUUACAUGUCCCGGACAUGGUUUUACACUGGCUCUCAUACAUCAGUGUCGAUCCCAUGUCCUAGACAUGGUCUUACAUUGACACAUAUAACAAUGCUGAUGCCAUGUUCCAAGCAUGGUCUUACACUGGUUCGCAUAUUGAGGUCAAUGCCAUGUCCUAGACAUGGUCUUACACUAGCUCACAUAACAAUGCCAAUGCCAUGUUCCAAACAUGGUCUUACAUUGGUUCGCUUAUUGAGGCUCAUGCCAUGCCCCAGACAUGGUCUUACACUGGCUCACAUAACAAUGCUGAUGCCAUGUUCCAAACAUGGUCUUACAUUGGCUCUCAUAAAUCAGGGCUAAUGCUGUGUCCCAGACAUGGUCUUACACUGACACAUAUCGAGGCUGAUGCCAUGUCCCAGACAUGGUCUUACACUGACACAUAUCGAGGCCAAUGCCAUGUCCCAGACAUGGUCUUACACUAGCUUUCAUAAUGCCAUGGUCCAACCAUGGUCUUUUCCGUCAAUUCAUCACGAGUCUUAGUCCGAUUGUACUCGACCCUGUAUUUUUCUUAGAUUGAUCUUUCAAUUCAAACUCAUAUUAUCAUGAUUCGAUAAAAAUUUUACGUAAUAAUAAUAUAUUAUAUCAUUUCUAAUUUAAUAAUUGAUCACUGUCAACUAACCAUAUGAACUUACCUCGUUCGCUGAAACAACGAAUUGAGUCGACUAACCCAAUACUUUGAUUUCCCUCGUUCUCUGUCCAAAUCUUGUCUCUCCCCAAUCUAUAUAAUAACAAAUUUUACUUAUUUAGUGGUCAAUUUAUACAAUUUAUUUGAAAAUUUCACAUUAGGACAACUUUACACUAUUGCCCUUAAUGUUUACCAUUCCUACAAUUUAGUCCCUAUAACAUAAAAGUGCAAAUUCAUGAAAUUAAACACAACCCAAGCUUAGUUGAAUUUUUUAUAAUUAUUACUAGCUUCCCAUAAAACAUACUUUGGCAAAUUUACAAUUUUGCCCCUAAGCUUUUACAAAAUUACAAUUUUGCCCCUAGGCCCGUAAAACUAUUUUCAUUGAAUUUCCUCAUUAACCAAGCCUAGCCGAAAUUGAUUUAAGCUUAUAGAAACUCUCAAUUUCAAUUAUUCCACACAUUUAUCACCUAUUUUAUAACCUUUACAGAAAGGUCCAUUUUAAGUGGUUUCAUGAAAAAUCCUUUCACAAAAGUUGUUAAUUAAACAACCAAUAUUCAUUUUCUUUCAUAAAAAUUCAGCAAAAAACAUGAGUAUUCACAUGGAAAAACCCUAGAAUCUUUGUAAACUAGUCCCUCCAUUAGUUAUGUAACACCCUUAUCCCGUAACCAUCACUGAAUAGGUAAGGGGCGUCACCGGAUGACAAAACAUUACAGAACAAUACAGAAUCACUGAUAUCAUAUAAUAUCAAUACAUAGAUAUUCAUUCACAAUUUAACCUUUAAUAUAGUCUACGAGACUUAAAACAUACAUUUAGGAAAGAUCAGGAUUAAACCGAACUCAUUCAGAAUUUUUAGAACUUAAUCAAAUAUUUCAAAGCUGUCAAAGCCACACGCCCGUGUGACUAGGCUGUGUGACUUACACGGGCAUAAGCCAUGCCCAUGUGAUCCAACCGUGCCAAAAAGAGGUCCUAUACUGACUUUUUCACACGGCCAACAAACACGGCAGUGUGCCAUGACCGUGUGGUACAUAGCUAGCUACUAAUUUAAGCCCAUGGCCAUAAGGCACGCCCGUGUUCCCUAAUCGUGCAAAUUUUAAGAGGUUACUGCCAAACUAACAUGGCCACCAGGCAUGCUCAUGGCCUCUGACCGUGUGGCAUAAUGCAGGCUUGAUUUAAGCCAAUUUGCCACCCCUUUAAGGGUCAAUCCUGCAAGCAAUGCUAAGCAACAUUCAUACAACAAAUUUUCAGCCAAUUUCAUGAUCAAAACAUGCUUCAUUACAACUAUAUCAUCAUCAUUAAACAACCCAUUCAAAACCAUACCAAAUCUUAACACAAACAUACCAUUUUCUAGCCAACUCUCAUGGCUUAACAUAUAUACAAUUCAAAAUUUAUUACAUGGAUAUUCUAGCCUAUACAUGCCACACUUUAAAAUAUUUACACUUCCAAAAGUACCAAAAUGAGAUCGAUAGUGUGGUGAAAAUCCUCGACUAUCCUUGAGCCUUCAGUAGCUACGAUAAUUGUAAAAUAGAUAGUAAGCACACAGAGUAAGCUACAAGGACCUUAGUAAGCCAAAUACAAUUGGUCUAAUUACUAAAGCAUAUAUGUACCAUUCAACCAUAUAGAUUCAUAACCAUUUCAUAGAAUAAUUCAUACUUAACCAUAUACCAUUGUUGUAUAUAUGUCAUGCUUCAUUUCCAAUUCCAUACAUAUUUCACAGAGACAGAGUUUUUCAUAUUCAGAAAUUUAGUAUGAUACAAACGUACCUGCAUAGGAUAUACAUUUCAUAUACUCAUUUUUCAUACGUUAUCAUCAGACUGUUUAAAAACAAUAUAGAUGUAACGCCCCCACGCCCGAGACCAUCGCCGGAGUCGAAUAUAAGGUGUUACUAAGCUUAGUUUAACAUUUUUAGAACUUUGGAUUAUUGUUUCUACAUUCACAUCUUUUAAGCUACUUGCGUCACAGUCACAAGAAAAAUCAUAUCUCGAGUUACGAAACUCAAAAUUAAGAUCCGUAAAUUUUCCCUGAAUCUAGGCUCAUAUACCUAUCUACUAAUUGUUUUCUAGAAUUUUUGGUUGGGCCAAUUAGUACAGUUUAUUAGUUAAAGUUACCCCUAUUUAAGGACUCAACUGGUCUGACCUCUGUUUACUACGAACCACAUUUAUCUCUGUAAAAAAUUCAUAUGACUAUGAUAUUUGUUUCUACUAAAACUAUACUCAAUAAGGAGUCUGAGGAUAUAAAAUACACCACCUAAUUAUAUCUUUAAAAUUUAUGGUGAAUUUCUAAAGUUGGAACAGGGGAUUCAGAAACUGCUAUGACUCUGUUUCACUAAAAUUAAAAUAUAUUCUAACAUAUAAUUCCUUUACUUGUUUCAUUUGUUUCAUGUGAAACUAGACAUAAUAAGCUUCAAUUUGAUAUGUAGUUCAUCACCAAAUUCAAUUUAUAUGAUUUUUAAUAAAUUUUCAAACUCGCAACAGUGUUGCUGCAGUAUUCUAUUUAUGGCAAAUUUCAUCCUUUUUAUGAGUUUUUAUACACUAAGUAUCUUAAUAGUUUUCCUUAACAUCAAACAUAAUAUAAACUAACCAUUUUCAUAAUUUAUCAUUAUCAAGCAUUUCCUCAACCAUUCCACAACCAUACCAUAAGAUCAUUUACACAAAAUAGGUAUAUUGCUAUACAUGCCAUACUUAAAUUUACAAGCCAUUUACCAAAAGUCUUCCGGAUAGUGUGACUGAGCCUUCGACCUAUCCCGACUCCUGAGCUGGCUUGUCCAAAACUACAAUGAGUAAGAAUGAGGGAGUACGAAUAAAUGCUUAGUAAGUUCAUAUGCAAAUAAUAAGUAACAUAACAAACAGUUAUACCAAUCAACAUUAGCAUACAUCACUAAAACACAUAUCACAUUUUUAAUCAUUUUUCAUCAUCUUAUUACCUUAUCGUGGUUGUAUCAAUACUCAACCUGAGGGUUAAAUACAUACCUGUCCAAAAUAUCCAUUUCAUAUCACUUACCAAUACGUCUCUUUACAUCUCGAAUAUUCCUCCAUUUGAGUAGAACUUUACCCGUUGAACACAUCGAAAUAUAAUUCGGAUACAUGGAUAACUUGCACAUAAGUGCCAUAUAUUCAAUCAAGCAAUCAUGUAACCCGCCCAUAAGCGAACUCGGACUCAACUCAACGAGCUUGGGCGUUCGUAUCCAUAAGUGAACUCGGACUCAACUCAACGAGUUCGGAUGCCUAGUUACAUUUCACGAACUUGGACUCAACUCAACGAGUUCGGACAUUCGCAUCCAUAAGUGAACUCGGACUCAACUCAACGAGUUCGGAUGCUCAACCAUCCUAGUGACAUGUCACUUGUAUCCUAAUCUAUUCCUAAGGUUCAAGCGGGAUUUUUCUCGAACACUUAUCCUUGCCGUCUUCCGUAGAAUGCCGAAGUCAAUACUCGGUAACAAUUAUAUUUAACAAGUAGCUCACAUAAUUUACAUAUUAUUUGAAAUUAACCACAAAGCAUACAUUUUAUAAUAAAAUUCAGCAUAACAUAUAAUUAACAUCAAUAACUUAAAGAUAACAAUUAUGCUACUUUAUUUACACAUGAACUUACCUUGGUACCAAAAUACAAAGAUUUUGCAAUUUAGUCCACAAUCUUUUCUUUUCCUCGAUUGAUGUCGAUUCCACAUCUUUCUUGAUCUAAAAUAACACAUUUAGCUCAUUUAAUACUCACAUUAUCAAAUUAAUCCUUAACUCAAAUUUUGGCAAAAUUACAAUUUUUCCCCUAAACUUUUGCAUAUUUACAUUUUUUCCCCUAGGCUCGGGAUUAAACUUUAUUCCUUAUUCUUAUGUUUUACAACAUGCUGAUCACUUUUCUCUUCUAUGGCAACAUCAAAUUCUCACUCUAACAUGUACUUAUGACUAUUAGGUAUUUUUACCGAUUAAGCCCUUUUACUCGUUUUCGCUCAAAACCGAGUAGCACAAGUUGUCUAACAUAAUUUAAAACCCCAUAUUCUAUCAUAAAACAUCAAAAUACACAAAUUUCACCUAUGGGUAUUUUUCCAAAUAUGAACCCUAGGUUGAAUUAUUGUUAGCAUAAGCUUAAUCGAGCUACCGGGAUCUCAAAAACGUAAAAAAUAUUAAAAACGGGGCUUAGAAUCACUUACUAUGAAGCUUGAAAGUUGAAGAAACCCUAGCUAUGGUGAGAGUGAAGUUUCGGCAGCAACUAAAUGGGGAAGAUGACUAUUUUGUGUUAUUUUUCCCAUUUUAUUUCAUUUAAUAUCAAAAUGACCAAAAUACCCUUACUACUAAACUUUCCAAAAAUUCCUUCCAUGUCCUAAAUUUGUCCAUGAACUUAAAAUUGGUCAAAUUGCUAUUUAAGACCUCCUCAUUAAUAUUCCAAAACAAUUUCAUACUAAAAAUUUCUAGAAUGCAAAAUUUGCAACUUAUUCGAUUUAGUCCCUACUUUCAAUUUAAGCACUUUAGGCAUAGAAUUUCAUCACGAAAUUUUCACACAAUCAUGCAAUCACAUCAUAAUCAUCAAAAUAAUUAUAAAAUAAUUAUUUCUAUCUCGGAUUUGUGGUCACGAAACCACUAUUCCGAUUAGGCCCUAAUUCGGGAUAUUACAAUAGAUGUUCAUAACCAAGUACAAUGGCGACGUCCCGGACGUGGUCUUAUAUGUAAUCCAUUCAUCAGGCUCUCAUCGCCAUCCAAUACAAUUUAAAGUUUAUAUAAGCAGAAUUUAUUUCAAUUAACACUUAAUUGUAAUUUGACUUACAACGUACGGAUUUCGGAUAGAACGAGUCGACUAUUCAACUAUUUUGGACUUCCCUCGAUCUAAGUCAGAUUUUCUUUGUUCUUGAUCUAAUACAAUACAAUUUCAACCAUUCAAUCAUUCAUUUCAUUCAAAAUAAUCCAUGAACACAUAUUUAGGGCAUUUUGCAUUUCAGCCCUUAUAAUAUUACACUUUGACAAUUUAGUCUAUUUUUCACAAAAUCACAAAUAUGCAUAAUUCAUCAAUACUAUAGCUUGGCCAAAUAUACAUGGCUUCCAUACAGCCCAAAUAACACAUUUAAUUCACAAUUUAGUCCUUCAAAACCUUAUUUUCACAAUUUAGCUCAAUAAGCUCUAUUUCAUCAAAAUUCAAAGACAAAGCUUAAUAAUCUCAUACAUAUCUUUCAUAUUCCAUAUAAAAACAUCAUAAAGAUCAUAUAAUCAUCAAUGACACAUUUCAUAAUCUUCAACAAAAACAGAAAUUCAGACAUGGGUUUUGAAGAACACGAAGCAACGGUCACAGAAACGUAGAAAUUAUCAAAAGCUAAACAAAUUUCAUACCUCAAUUUAACUAUCAAAGUGCCGAAUAUAAAAAAGCUUCAAACCCUUCUUUCUUUUGCUGAUUGUCGGCUAACAUGCAAGAAAAUAAAGCCAUCUCUUGUUUUGUUUUUAUUUAAUAUAUCAUUUAUACACUUUUUACCAUUUUAGCCUUGUUAAUAAAACAUUAAUUUCCACCCAAUAAUGUCCAUAAUUGUCCAUACCAUAUAACAAUGGUCUAAUUGCAUCUUAAAGACCUCAUAUUUAACAAGACAAAUCAAUUAGGCACUUAACCAAAUAGAAAGCUACUUUUGCAUUCACUGUGAUUAAGUCCUUUUCCAUAAUUAAGCAUAGAAAUAGACAAAUUAAAUCACAGAAAUUUUGCAAAUAUAAAUUCACAUAUCACAGACACAGAAAAUAAUAUUAAAAUAUUUUUUAGGUCCUGAAACACUAUUCCGACUAGGGUCAAAACAAGACUGUUACAAUUUUCCCCCUCUUAGGGAUUUUCGUCCUCGAAAAUCUUACCGUUAAAUAGAUUCGGAUAUUGUUGUCUCAUUGAAUAUUCAGGCUCCCAUGUAGCCUCUUCUACUACAUGUCUAUGCCAUAGCACUUUAACUAACGGGAUUCUCGUAUUACGUAAUUCUUUGAUCUCUCGAGCUAAGAUUCGAAUCGAAUUUUCUUCAUAAGUCAUAUCAGACCGAAUUUCAAUCUCAGACGGUGAAAUUACAUAAGACGGAUCAGAUCUAUAUCAUCGAAGCAUCGAUACAUGAAAUACAUUAUGAAUCUUUUCUAACUCAGAUGGUGGACUCAAUCUAUAAGCAACAAGCCCAAUUCGCUCGGUGAUUUCAUACGGUGCAAUGAACCUCGAACUCAACUUCCCCUUUACCAAAUCGGAACAGUUUCUUCCACGAAGAUACUUUCAAAAACACUUUAUCACCGACCUAAAAUUCAAUAUCUUUUCGUUUCAAAUCUUCAUAAGAUUUCUGACGAUCAGAGGUAGCUUUUAGACUAUCUCGGAUUACUUUCACUUUCUAUUCUGUUUCUUUUAUCAAAUCAAUGCCGUAAAUCUUAUUCUCACUGAGCUCAUACCAGUAUAACGGAGUUCUACACUUUCUACCAUAUAAGGCUUCAUAUGGUGCCAUUUUGAUACUCGAUUGAAAGCUAUUAUUAUAGGCGAAUUCAAUCAAAGGUAAAUUCUGUUCCCACGCACCUUCAAACUCGAGAAUGCAACAUCUCAACAUAUCCUCAAGUUUCUGAAUAAUCCGUUCAGAUUGACCAUCUAUUUGCAGAUGAAAAGCAGUGCUAAAAUGCAAUUUAGGUCUCAGAGCAUCUUACAAUUUCUUCCAGAAUCAUGAUGUAAAUCUCGGGCCUCUAUCAGACACUAUUGACAAUGGCACACCAGGCAAUCUCACAAUAUUUGAAAUAUACAACUCAGCUAGCUUAUCUAGCGAAUAAUCAAAUCGAAUUGAAAUAAAAUGAGCUGAUUUUAUCAAACGAUCAACAACAACCCAAACUGCGUCUUUCUUUUUCGGAGAUAGAGGCAAACCCGAAACAAAAUCCAUGGUCACCCAAUCUCAUUUCCACUCUGGAAUCAUAAUUGGUUGUAAUAACCCAGAUGGCACCUGAUGCUCAGCUUUAACUUGCUGACAGAUCAAACAUCUCAAAACAAAGUCAGAAAUAUCUCUUUUCAUUCCCGACCACCAAUAUAGUUGUUUCAAAUCAUUAUACAUUUUUGUACUUCUUGGAUGUACAUAAAAUCUACUAUUGUGGGCUUCACUCAAAAUCGUUUGAAUCAAAUCUGGAUUUCUCAGAACAAAAAGUCUAUUUCUGAACCUCAGGUACAUCUAUCCGGAAUUCAGAAUCAGAAUCAGAAUUACACUGAGUUCGUUUAACCAUAAUUUCAUUAUCAACCUUCUGAGCUUCGAUAAUCUAUUGUAAAAAUAAGGGUUUUUCUUUCAAUUCAGCUAAAACUGAACAAUCAUCAGACAGAACUAAAUGAGCAUCCAUUGCAAAUAAUGAUUUUUAACUCAAAGCAUCAGCAACCACAUUAACUUUUUCUAGAUGAUAAUCAAUCACAAGUUUAUAGUCUUUUAACAUUUCUAACCAUCUUCUCUAUCGUAAAUUCAAAUCUUUUUGCAUCAUUAAAUACUUCAGAAAUUUAUGAUCAGAAAACACGUGACAUUUCUCACCAAACAGACAGUGACGCUAGAUCUUCAAAGCAAACACAAUGGCAGCUAACUUAAGGUCUCGAAGCAUAAGCAACAACUUUUCCUUCUUGCAUUAAAACACAACCGAGUCCAUUCAACGAAGCAUAGCUAUAAACAACGAAUACUUUAUUCGACUCAGGUUGUACCAAUACCAGAGCUUCAGUUAACAGAGCUUUUAACCGCUCAAAACUUUUCUGACAUUUCUCAGACCAUUCAAACUUCGCAUCUUUCUGAAGCAAUUUUGUCAACGGAGUUGCUAUCAUAGAGAAAUAUUUUACAAAUCAUCUGUAGUAACCAGAAAGUCCUAGAAAAUUGCGGACUUCAGAUACAUUCCUUGGAGGCUUCCAAUCCAGAAUAGCUAAAAUCUUGCUCGGAUCAACUCGGAUACCAGAAGUUGAUACUAUAUGACCCAGAAAACCAACUUUUCACAACCAGAAUUCACAUUUACUGAACUUUACAUACAACUGUUUAUCUCGCAAAGUUUGUAGCACUAUUCUCAGAUGUUCGGCAUGCUCAGAUUCAUCACGUGAAUAAAUCAAUAUGUCUUCAAUAAAAAAUACAACAAAUUGAUCUAAAUACGGUCUAAAAAUUUUAUUCAUCAAAUCCAUAAAGAUAGCAGGUGCAUUAAUCCGAAAGGCAUAACUAAAAAUUUAUAAUGGCCGUACCUCGUUCUGAAAGCAAUUUUCGAAAUGUUAGAGUCCCUUACCCGCAACUGAUAGUAACCCGAUCUUAGAUCUAUCUUUGAAAGCACCUUUCAACGGAUUGGAUAAAUCAUCAAUUCUAGGCAUCUUUAUGGUCACUUUAUUAAGUUGUCUGUAAUCAAUACACAUUCUCAUUGUGCCAUCUUUCCUUUUCACAAAUAGAACAGGAGCACCCCAAGGUGAAAAGCUCGGUCUAGCAAAUCCUCGAUCAGUCAAUUCUUGUAACUGAGAUUUUAAUUCCUUUAACUCGGUUGGAUCCAUUCUAUACGGAGCUAUUGAAACUAGAGUAAUACCAGGUACUAAUUCAAUGCCAAACUCGACUUCUCAAAUCGAAGGCAAACCAGGUAGUUCUUCAGGAAAUACAUCAGAGAAUUCACAGACAACAGGCACUGAUUCAACUUUCUUAUCAUUCACUUUCGAAUCUAACACAUAAACUAAGUAAGCUUCACAACCUUUCUUCACAACCUCUCUUCACAACUUUUUUUCAAUCUCUGAUCAUAUUCAUAGCUAUUCUAUCACUAAACUCUAUAGUUUCACACUUGUGAGUUUAUUCAAUACAUUUCUUACAAAAUUCCAUUACAAAACACCACUCUGGUAAGGAGGAAGGGUGAGGUCGUAAGGUCCCUAACUCGUCUCUUAUACACAUAUAAAUAUGACACAAAUUUCAUCAUCAAAGUAACGUCAUCACAAUUAUAUCAUUCAUUUCAGGCAAACUAUCGUUCACAUUUGUAUUUCACAGAUUUUUCCAAUUAUCUUAUUUAAUCAAGUUCACCUAUGCAUACAUUCUAUGAAUUUCGAAUGUUUUUUCUCAUCACAUUCACUUAAUCAAACAUAUCAAACACAUAACAUCAUGUGAGGGCCAACAAAUAUGAAUAAAUGUAUCACAAUCGAAACUUUCAUCUCACACAUUAUCAUAUACAUAUCAUUACAAUCAUAUAAAUUAGUCCAAUCGAUUUAACACAUUUACUUAAACUAUACGAGUUUUCCAAUCAUAAUUAUUCAAAUAAGUAUACAUGGACAUUCAUUCCACCAAUAUUUUUGGUAAGUUACCUGAACAUAAAUAUUCACUGGAGCAAAUCAAUCUUAUACAUCAUGGAAUUAUCGAUCAAUCAUAGAUAAGCUCAUUAUGUUGCUUACACAUUCUAUUUCAUGUUUCUCAUGUCUCAUAUAUGUACAUACAUAUAUAUAUCAUGAAUUCUUAUUCGUACCUUUCUGAGUUUUAACUCAUCAUAAUUGCACUUUACUCAAUCACCUUAGUACCACUAUCAACAUGGUCGGGUGUAGCUCGGUUGGAGAGUACCUUUGUCUAAACAAGAUGGUUCUUAUUCGCGUUGGGAGACAUCAUACUAUCACAAAUCCGUGGCACGUACAGCUAAACCUUCACACAUGCUAGGUUAGUCUGAGAACCGACUAAACUAUAGCUCUAAUACCACUAAAUGUAACACCCCUUACCCGAGUCUGAGGCUGGGACAGGGUAUGAGGCAUUACCGGACUUAAACGUACACAACUAUGUAAAACCAGCCCAUAGAAAUUUCAUUCAAAUUAAAAACCUUCAUUCAUAUUCAUAAUGUCCCUUAUAUGGACUUACGAGGCCCAAUACAUACAUCGGGGGAGGUUUGGGACUAAAUCGAGAACUUACGAACUUUUUUAGAACCUUUAAAAAUUUUCUAAUUUUGGAGAGUUACAUGACCGUGAGGGUUAGGCCGUGUGGUCACACACACCCGUGUGACUUGGGGCAUGCCCGUUUCCUCAGCCCAUGUAACUCUCUGUUUAUGACAUUAGCAACGAUAUAGGGUUACAUGGCUAAGUCACACGCCCGUGUACUAGACCGUGUCCUCCACACGGAUGAGAUACACGACCAUUUCUCUGCCCGUGUGGCCCAGAAAAUGGCUAUUUACCAAUCCACUUGGCAUCCUCGUUAGCACUUACUUAAACAUAACUUCAAUGGCACUUUUCGAGGUAAUUUAAUAUUGAUUUAUUCAUGCAUAAGGCACCAUACUUUGCCUAGUUUAAACUUAUCAACUUCAUGUUAUAAUUAUCGUUAACACAUUCUUACACUUUAUACUUAUGCUAAGGUCUAUCCAUAGGCCAAUUUAGUCACUUUAAAACCAUCAACUAAUCUAGGGCACAUUCACAAUUCAUCCAUACCAAACACACAUGACCACACCAUAUGAAACCUUUAGCACAUGCAUGCAUACAUGGAUAGGUUUACAACCCAAUAACCAAUAUGAGCCACAUCACAUGGCCAUAUACAAAACAAAUCCUAUUCCCAGUAUGAGCCAAUACAUUUUUCCAAAUCAAAUGACAUAUACCCAAUUGACUAAUUCCCUAUACAUUCCAUAGACUUAAAGUGCUUGAAAUCAUUUAUUCCCUUCAAUAGCUGGAUAGUGUGAUGGAAUCUCUGACAAUCUCCAACCCGAGCUAGCUUAGUGACCCUAUAAAAUGUGGAAAAAGGAAGGGGUAAGCUAUAUAUCUUAAUAAGUACAUAUGAAAAUAAUAAGAGAUUUAUUGACAUGUUUUUUUUUCCAUAUUCUCACAACAUGUUCUCAAGUUAAUACAAUCAUAAUUCCACAAAAUUCUACUAUUUACUAUUGUGCAUCUCAAGCUGUCUACUCGAGUCAGUCACUAAAUUAUUUAUAUCUUGAGCUACUGAACUCCAAAUUAAGAUCCACUAAUUUUUCUUGAAACUAUACUCACAUAGCAUUUUACAAUAAAAUUUUUAGAAGUUUUGGUCUAGUGAAUAAGUACAGUUUAUUCUUUAAAAUCUCCCCUAUUCUGCUGUUUGACAGUUUCAACCCUUCUUCACUAAAAAUUAAUUAUCUCAGAGUACGAUAUUUGGAUAAUGUUCCUUUAUAUUUUUCUUGAAAAUAGACUCAUUAAUGAUUUAGUCAUAUAAAUUCUAAACCAUAAUUAUUUUCACAAAAUUUUUAAUGAUUUUCCAAAGUUAAGACAAGGGAACCUGAAAUCACACUAGCCCUGUCUCACAGAAGUCCAAAUAUCUCAUAACGUGAAAUUCUUUUGCUUACACCACUUUUUCUAUGUGAAACUAGACUCAAUAAGAUUUAAAUUCAUGUUUUAUUCUUCUUUAACUCGAUUUCCACAAUUUGUGGUGGAUUUUCAAAGUCAGACUACUGCUGUUGUCCAAAACUGUUUUAGUGUAAAAUAAUGAUAACUAAGUUUAUAACACCUUUACGAAUCAUUUCAACCAUCAUGGUAAAAAUACAUAUUUAUUCAUCAUAAGCAUAGACCCAUAAUCCAUCACAAAAUCAUUCUCAUGGGCAUGACUUACUUAUUUGCAUCCUUACCUAAGGUGCAUCAUAAUCCGAAAUCAUUUCUCAUGAGUUUUACACACAUACCUGUACCACUUGUAACAUUAUCAUAACUUUUCUCAAUCAUGACACAAUAUUUAAAUCACCGUUGAACCAGUUGGAAUACUAAAGGAUACCCGAUAAGCCUCAUACAAAAGAGUAAAAUGCCGAUGCCAUGUCCCGGACAUGGUCUUACAUUGACUCUCAUACAUCAGUGUCGAUGCCAUGUCCUAGACAAGGUUUUACACUGACAUAUUGUGACAGCCCUAAAGUGACCCUAGUCGAAAAGUGGUUUCGGGACCGCAAAACCGAGUCUUAUAAAUAAUUAGAGGUUAUAUUUUGUGUUUAUGAUGUAGUAAAUGCUUAUGUGAUAGUUCCAUACAUCAAUUUGGUCAGUGUAUGUGAAAAUUAUUAGUAGGGACUUAUGUGAGACAAUUUAGAAAUAUGCUAGGCAAGUGCUAAAGUGGCCUAUUAAUAUAUGUGGGAAAGUGCUUGCCCUUGCAUGUCAAAUUAGCCAAAGUAUAGGUAGUGGCCGGCCAUGCUACAAAUUGUAUAAUCAAGUGUGAAUUUUAUAUUAACUUUAAUUAACUAGGUGCCAUAUUAGUAUGGAGGAUGUAAUAAAAUAAAGAAAUGAUAACUAAAGGAAGGGAUGGGUGAAAGAAAAAAAAAAGAGAUCAUCAUUCAUGUUUCUUCCUAGCCGAAUCUAGAGAAAAAAAAAAGGGGAACAAGAGCAUUCGGUGAUGAAAACAAGUUGUGUUCCUUGGUUCUUCUUGGCCGAAUUGAAAGGAGGAAGAAGGGAGUGAAGCCAUCGGUCAUCUUAGGUCAAUAUUAAGGUAAGGUGUUCAUAUUAGCUCUUGAAAUUUUAGUUGAUCUUGAGUGAGAUAUCAUGUUAUAUUUUUUGUAACCCAUGAUGAAAUUUUGAUUUUUGGAUUGAGUAAGGUUUUCGACUAUGGUAGCUAAAAAUGGUGAGUUUUGUUGUUUCAUGUUAAAGUUAGGUGAAUGAUGAUAGAUGAGUGUUUGAACCAUAAAAAGAAUUCGGCUACCUUGUUAUGAACUAGGGCCGAUUGUGAGUUGGUUGUGGUUGAAUAUUACAUGCUUGGUAGAAUGGUGGAUGAAAGUGCCGAAUGUGGUCUUUGGUUUGGCAUGAGGUGAUAAAUAAAGGUUUAAAGGUAGCUUAAGUUAAUUGAUACUCACUAAUGAUUUCGAAUGGAAGCUUUGUUAAGUGUGAAAUGAGUGGCCGAGAGAGAGAACUAUAGACUAUUGCCGAAUGUAUGUUGGGUUGAUAGAGUCUCCAAAUUGAUUUUAUGUGAGUAUGCAUGACCGAAUAUAUCGGCCACAUGAGUAAAGAAAUGGGUUAUUUGAUAUGUGGUAAAAGUUAAGUGUUAAACGAAAUGGAAAUGAUAUCAUAUUGGAAUAUGUAUACUCGACCACAUGAAUGAACACAUAGAUUGGUGUUGCAUGUAUUCGGUUAUAAGUAAGCAUAUUGGUGGCUUAAUCUUGGCUUAGACAAUCGGCUAAAAGAGAGUGUGGGUUAAUAUGUUGAGUUGAUUCAUGAUUUCAUAUGUAUGUGACUUUAAUGUCUAAUGUAUAUAUAUGGGUUAAGUACUUUGAGUUCCUCUUUUCGAUGCUCAAAUGAUUAAAUCAAUUUAUUUGUUAAAUUAAGCUCAAGAGCAAAGGGGAACUAAAUCCGAUAAAGGGAAGGAAAAAGUGGUUGAAUAGCCAUCGAAAUCGUUCGACAACAUCCGAGGUAAGUUUUCGAGUAACGAGACUUAGUUUACGAUUUGAUUAAGUCAUGACGUAUGAGCAUAACAAAUAUACGGUGAUAUGAUGAUUCUACUUGAAUUAUAUGUUGAGUUAAUUAGUCUAUACGUAUGACGGGUAGCCGUAUGUGCAUAGAGAUUGUGUCAUAAAGCAAACUAAACCAUGCUGUUUGUAUGUGGCUAGUGAGCCGAAAAUGGGAUUGCUUAAUACGUGACUUGUGUUUGAACUCUAAUUAUGAAAAUGAAAUAUAGAUGUGUCAUGAUUUAUUGAUAUGUGCAUGAAUAUUUGGAUGAUAAUCGGGCUAAGUCCCGAAGGCAUUUUUCGCUAGUGACUAGUUCCGGGCUAAGUCCUGAAGGCAUUUGUGCGAGUUACUAUAUCCGGGCUAAGUCCCGAAGGCAUUUGUGCGAGUUACUAUAUCCGGGCUAAGUCCCGAAGGCAUUGGUGCGAGUUACUAUAUCUAGGCUAUGUCCCGAAGGCAUUGAGCGAGUAGCUAUAUCCGGUUAAAUUUCGAAGGUACUUGGCUUGGGAGUGAGCGACCUUGCUGUAACAAUUUCUGUAACACCCCGAACUCAUGGCCGUUACCGGAAAUCGAACACGAGGUGUUACCGGCUUACUUCAUUUAUUUCCUCCUAUUUUUUUUUGUUCCAGGCAAGAUGGCUACUGUAUCGUGGUCGCUUUAAAAAUCAUAUUUUGAGUUAUAAACUCGAAAUACAAUUCUGUAAAAUUUCCCCGAAACUAGACUUAUAUAUAUUUAUGGGGGAAUUUUUUUAGAAUUUUUGGUUGGGCCAAUUAGUACAUUUUAUUUGUUAAAGUCUCCCCUGUUUCAAGGUUCGACUACACUGACCUCUGUACCUUACGAUUUAAAUAUCUUCCUGUACAGGGCUUCAAUGCCUAUGCCGUUUGUCUCUAAUGAAACUAGACUUGAUAAUGAAUUUGUACAUAUAAGGCAUGACCUCUAAUUAUCUUGAUAAAAUUUAUGGUGAAUUUUCUAAAUCAAAAUAGGGGAUCCAGAAAUCGCUCUGGCCCUAUUUUACAAGAAUUUAAUUAACUCCUAACAUAUAGCUCAUAUGGUCUUUUUGUUUCUUUCAUAUGAAAAUAGACUCAUCAAGGUUCGAUUUCAUAAUUUAUUCAUUAUUUAAUUCCAUUUCUACUAUUUUUAGUGAUUUUUCAAUCUCACAUCACUGCUGUUGUCAGCAUCUGUUAUUAAAACAAACUAUGCCUAUUUCAUGAUUUUUCCUUGAUCUAACUAAUAAUUCAUCAAACAUGUCACAAUUUAUGACCAUGACUAGCCAUGCCAAAGGCUAAUCAUCACCGAGCAUCUCCCUACUACACUAUUACCAAAUCAUGAAUUUAACACCGAAAAUAAUCAGCCAUGACCUAUGGCAUAAUAACCGAGUAGGCCUCAACCAAUACUCAACCAAAACCGAAUUACCAAGACUUGUGUCCAAACAUCAUAGAACCAAAUCCAACCGAACAUUUAUGCCAUUUUCGCAUGGCUAAAAGUUUACAUACCAAAUUUCAACAAAACAUAAUAGCCUAUACAUGCCGAAAUGUUCUCCUAGACCAACUAAGAAGAAAAUACCAAAAGUUGCUAGCCGGUGUGAUGACUUCGAUGACGGUCCCGAGUACGCAAAAAGUCGAGUCCAAGAAACCUAAAAUAGGUUACAAGCAAACACCGAAUGAGUAUAUAACUCAGUAAGUCAUAAGCAUUACACUACCAUCCAUUAAUAAAAUUUUCACAAGAGGAAACAACGAAAUGAGGCUAAGUACUCCAUCCAUACCGAACUAUGCCAUAGUUUCUUAGACCUUACGAUUCAAUCUCAUUCCAAGUCCUACAUUGACAUUUCAUACGCUAUUCAAUAGAAUAAUUCAGGCAUUUCCAUACAUCAUUUUAUUUUCGUUACAAUCAUAUAACUAAACAAACUUUCACCUAUUCCACGAUGAACCUUAUGUACGUGACUUCAAUUAUAAUCAUCACAUAGGUUCAAAACUUACCACGCUCAACUCCAAAUAUAAACAUAGCACCUAUUAGCCAUGAACUCAAGGUACUUACCCUUUCCGCUGUCCGAAAUCGACUCGGUAAGGUCGCACCCUUAAUAUAAAUAAUUGAUAGAAAAUAUAUAUAUAGUGGGUUCGCACACAUAGUGCUUAAUAAUCAACCACGCACGCUUAGUGCCAUGCAUUUCAAGCCCGCACACUUAGUGCCAAUCUCACAACCGUGAACACUUAUUGCCCGCACACUUAGUGCCGAAAACCAGCCACUCUAUACGCUUCACUUCCUUUUUACAUUCGACAAUUUCAUCUCUACAUACAUAUACAUUUGUAUACAUUUCAUCUCAUUAAACACAAUUGCAUAGGUAUUACGAUCAUUUAAAUCAAUACCAACUAUAUGCUUAAUGACUUACCUUGUGUUGGGUAAAAUAAUUCCAAGUCGGCUACUCGAUGACCUUCGAUUUCCCCUUGUUGGACGCCUCUCCUUUAGGAUCUUGAGCUUAAACAAAUAAAUUAACUCAUUCAACCCCUUUGCUACAUAUAUUGGUAUUCACAUUUUAAUGAUUUUAUGACAUACGGAACGGCAUGGUAAAAUUUUUAUCUUGCUACCUUAUGUUCUUAGCUAUUCGGCUAAUAACCUUAUGUAAUUACCAUACUUUCAAUAAUCCAAUCACACAUGCAUAUGCAUACUUGGACAUUCGGCAAUCACCUUUGCUAGUUUUUCCCAUUUUUUUGUCGGUUAUAUAUAUACAUAGUCCUAAGGUAAUAUCACGAAUGGGCUUACAUAUAUAUGUAUAUAUAGCCGAAUAUGCAAAGCUUAAACUCAACAUCACAUAAGCUCCUAAGUGAUGGCCGAAUAUGUAUAUCUAUAUAUAUAUCAACUAUACUAUUACUUUUAAUUCAUCUAAUCACAAAAUUUCAUCUCAUGAACACUUGACCCAGUUCUCACAAAAAAUGAAACAACAACUAAAAUGAACAUCCCAUUUUUACCCCAUAUGGCCAAUUGCUUCAUUUGUUACCCAACUAACAAUUCAACAAUUUCAACUUCAUUACAACCUCUACCUAUCCAAUAUAACAUGAACACAAUCCUCCACCCCUAAAUUAGAUUCGGCAAUCACUUAACCCAUUUUAACCUCAACUUUCAAGUUAAAAGCAAUUAACCACUCACCAUAUCCUACAUUACUAUCCAUUUUAAUGACAUUAACACAUCUACUAAGAGUUUCAAGCUUCUUGGCCGAAUUUCAACCUCAAACUCCUAAGUCUAAUCUAUAGGAUGAGUAGAAUUUGAACUAACCAUCUCAAACAUGCAUAGAUUUUCAGGAAUCAUUCAAUACAUACCUCAUUCUAGCCAUCUUCCAAGCCAAAAUCAAAUAACCAAAUCUCCCUUCCUUCUCCUCACUCACGGCAAUAGCCAAAGAAAAAAAAGAUGAACACUCCCUUCUCCCUCCUUAUUUUAUUCAUCUUUUCCUUUUUAAUUCCUUUCUUUAAUUUAUUUUAAUUUACUUACCAAUAUUAAAUAAUAAACAACAUAAACUUGGAGGAAUAGAACAAUGCUUGGCCGGCCACUUAACAUGAAUUGGGCACUUUGACAUGCAAACCCAAACUUUCCUAUUUUAAUACUAUUUGGUCCUUACUUAUUUACCUAUCAUAAUUUUCUAAGUCUCUCAACUAGAUCUUUUCAAGCAAAAUAUCAAAUUUUUAUACAAGUACUAUCACACAUAUAAGAUAUGCAAAUAAAAUUUUAACUAAAUUUUAUGACUCGGUUUUGUGGUCCCGAAACCACAUUCCGACUAGGGUCAAAUUAGGGCUGUCACAGUUUCAAUUAAUAUGCUCGUAAAAUUCCAGUAAUGAGGUAUGUCUCGUAUAUGCAUUGAUUUAGUUGAUCCCCUACAAUUAGUAUUCGCUCAGUCGAUAAAUGAGCUACCGGCCUUUGGCUAAGUUGAUCUUUUGUGUAUGAAUAUAAGGGUUGGUAAUGUGAAGUAAGUAUGAUAUUGAGAAUUUGUGCAUAUGAAAUUAUCUGUUUAGCCAUAUGAAUGCUACACUUUAGUUGUGUCUAAUUUUAUGGCUCAAACUUACUAAGCAUUAAAUGCUUACUCCGUUCUUUGAAUCUCUGUUUUAUAGAUUUUGGUUCGUCAGCUAUCAGACUCGGGAUUAUUGAAGUCGAAGUCGCCCACACUAUCAAAGCCCCCUUUGGUACACUUUUGGUUGAACUUUGAAAUGGCAUGUAUAGGACUACCCGUUUUGUUGUUGGUCAUGGACCCUUUGGUUUUGUAUAAAUUUGGAUAGCCAUGCGAAAAUGGCUUAUAUACACUUUGAGCUUAGUAUUAUAAUCGUCUUGUAUGAUGUUUGUUAAGAGGUAUGGAAAUGUUUGGGAACGAUUAGCCAUUGGAAUGGUUAACCAUGAUCAUAUUUUGUGCUAUAUAUGCUAAAGGGCUAGUUGAAUCAUGGAAACUAUGUAAUAGGUAAAGUCUACCUUAAAAAUAGAUGCUGAUAGUAGCAGUGACGUGAAUGUGAAAAAUCACUAAAAAUAGUAGGAAUGGAAUUAAAUAGUGAAUAAAUUAUGUAAUUGAAACUUUAUGAAUCUAUUUUCAUAGGAAAGUAACGAAACGAUCAUAUAAAUAGUAUAUUAUGAGAUAUUUAAGUUUUCGCAAAACAGGGCCAGAAUGGUUUCUGGAUUCCCUGUUCCGAAUUUGGAAAUUCAUUAUAAAUUAACCAGAGAUAAUUAGAAGUCAUGCCAUAUAUGUGUAGAUUCCAUUUCAAGACUAGUUCCUAUAGAAACAAACGGCAUCAGUAUUGAAGCCCUGUACAGGGAGAUAUCCAAGUCGUAAUGCGCAAAGGUCAGUGUAGUCGAACCCUGAAACAGGGGAGAAUUUAACUAAUAAACUGUACUAAUUGGUUUGACCAAAAAUUCUAGAAAAAAAUUUGUAGAUGGAAAUAUGAGUCUAGUUCCAGGAAAAAUUUACGGAACUGGUUUUCGAGUUUUGGAACUCGAGAUAUGAUUUUUAAGGUGACAGUGAUGCAGUUAGCCAGCUCGUCUAGAAAUUUAAAAUGGACUGUGCAAAUAAGUGAUUUAAGUCUGCAAACCCCUCGUGUCCGACUCCGGCAACGGUCUCGGGUACGGGGUGUUACACAUAUAUAAUAAUGCUGAUGCUAUGUUCCAAACAUGGUCUUACACUGGUUCGCAUAUUGAGGCCGAUGCCAUGUCCCAGACAUGGUCUUACACUGGCUCACAUAACAAUGCUGAUGCCAUGUUCCAAAUAUGGUCUUACACUGGUUAGCAUAUUGAGGCCGAUGCCAUGUCCCAGACAUGGUCUUACAUUGGCUCACAUAACAAUGCCGAUGACAUGUUCCAAACAUGGUCUUACAUUGGCUCUCAUAAACCGGUGCCGAUGCCAUGUCCUAGACAUGGUCUUACACUGACACAUAUUGAGGUCAAUGCCAUGCCCCAGACAUGGUCUUACACUGGCUCUCAUAAAUCGGUGCCGAUGCCAUGUCCCAGACAUGGUCUUACACUGACACAUGUCGAGGCCCAUGCCAUGCCCCAGACAUGGUCUUACACUGGCUCUCAUAUCACCAUGGUCCAACCAUGGUCUUUUUCGUAAAUUCAUCACGAGUCUUAGUCCGAUUAUACUCGACCCUGUAUUCUUCUUAGAUUGAUCUUUCAAUUCAAUCUCAUAUUAUCAUGAUUCGAUAACAAUUAUACGUAAUAAUAAUACAUUAUAUCAUUUCUAAUUUAAUAAUUGAUCAUUGUCAACUAACCAUAUGAACUUACCUCGUUCUCUGUCCAAAUCUUGUCUCUCCCCAAUCUAUAUAAUAACAAGUUUUACGUAUUUAGUCAUCAAUUUAUACAAUUUAGUCCAAAAAUUCACAUUAGGACAACUUUACACUUUUGCCCCUAAUGUUUACCAUUCUUGCAAUUUAGUCCCUAUAACAUAAAAGUGCAAAUUCAUGAAAUUAAAAACAACCCAAGCUUAGCUAAAUUUUUAUAAUUAUUACUAGCUACCCAUAAAACAUACUUUGGAAAUUUAUAGUUUUGCCCCUAAGCUUUCACAAAAUUAUAAUUUUGCCCCUAGGCCCAUAAAAUGAUUUUCAUCAAAUUUCCUCAUUAACCAAGCCUAGCCGAACCUGAUUUAAGCUUAUAGCAACUCUAAAUUUCAAUUAUUCCACACAUUUAUCACCUAUUUUAUAACCUUUAUAAAAAGGUCCAUUUUAGGUGGUUUCAUGAAAAAUCCUUUCACAAAAGUUCUUAAUUAAACCACAAAGAUUCAUUUUCUUUCAUAAAAAUUCAGUGAACAACAUGAGUAUUCACAUGGAAAAACCCUAGACUCUCAACCAUUUUGUAAACUAGUCCCUCCAUUAGUUAGCUUAAGCUACAAGGGUCAUAAAGAUACAAAAAUGAUCGAGAAAGACCUUCAAAAACACUUACUUGAAAGAGAACUAAGUGGCUGAAAGUUUGGGCUCUCAAAACCCCCAUGUUUUCUGCCAUUUUUGGUGGAUGAAGAAGAAAGAUGAAAAUUCCUUUUUGUUUUAUUUUAUUACCAGAUAAGUCACCUAAUGCCCACCAAACUUUGACUUUUCAAUUUCUGUCUCCAUGUUCAGCCACUAAUUUUUAUUAGUCUAUUUGCUCACUAAGGACCUUUAAUUUAGUGUUCCAUAGCUGUUUAACAACAUUAGCUUGUAGAACAAAUCUUUUGCACUUUAUGUGAUUUAGUCUUUUUUCGCAAUUAAGCACAAAAUCGCUAAAAUUAAUUCAACAAAUUUUUCAUACAUUCAUAUAGUCAUGCUAUAACACAUAAAAUAAUAAAAAUAAUAAUUUUUAUAACCUCAAAUUAAUGGUUCUGACUAGGCCCAAAAUCAGGGUGUUACAUUUCUUAAGCCAUGCUGAUUUUUACCAAAAAUUUAUCAAAGAUUUCUCAAAAAUUUCUAAACUAUUGUGUUUGUUGUUAGAGAAAGAUACAGUGUUUGAUUUCAACAAAGCAUGUUUGGAAGCUUUUGAAGAUCUACAAAAACAAUUAAUCUCUGCCCUAAUAAUCAUUACACCUGAUUGGAGUUUACCUUUUUUAGUUGAUGUGUGACGCAAGUGAUUAUGUCGUUGGAGCUGUGAUGGGUAAAAAAAGAAACAAAGUGUUUCACCCUAUUUACUAUGCCCAUAGAACUUUCACGGGAGCCUAACUCAAUUAUACGAUAACUAAAAAGGAACUCUUUGUUAUAGUUUUUGCUUUUGACAAAUUCUGCUCAUAUCUUAUAGGUACCAAAGUUACAGUAUUUACUGACCAUGCAGCCCACGUAGCCAUUAAAUACUUGUUCAUGAAGAAAGAUGUGACACCAAGGCUAAUUCAUUGGAUACUUUUACUCCAAGAAUUUGACCUUGAGAUCCAAGACAAAAAAGGUGUCAAAAAUCAAAUAACUGAUCAUUCGUCGAGGUUGGAGCAAGAUGAGGUAACUCAAUCACGUGUGCCUAUCAGUGAGAAUUUCCCAAAUGAAUACUUAUUUGAGGUAAGUCGAAUUCAUGAAACACCUUGGUUUGCUAAUUUUGCCAAUUAUCUUACAUGUGGAAUAAUUCCUCGAGAAAUGACAUACCAACAAAGGAAAAUAUUCCUUCAUGAUAGUCGAUAUUAUUUUUAGGAGGAUCCAUUUUUGUUUAAACAGUGUGCAGAUAAUAUAAUCCAAAAGUGUGUAGCUGAAAGUGAGAUUGCUGAGAUCUUGUAUCAUUACCAUUCUUCUUCAAGUGAGGGACACUUUGGUGGUUUACGUACUGCAACAAAGAUUUUGCAAGCAGGUUUCUUUUGGCCUACACUAUUUAAAGAUGCUUAUGCUUAUGUGAAGAACUGUGAUAAAUGCCAAAGGAUCAAAAAUAUAUCAAGGAGGAAUAAGAUGCCCUUAACAAACAUUUUGGAGAUUGAAUUAUUCGACGUAUGGGGAAUUGACUUCUUAGGCCCGUUUCCUUCUUCGUAUAGGAAUGAAUACAUCUUAGUUGCCCUGGACUAUUUAUCCAAGUGGGUUGAAGCUGAAGAAUACCCUACAAAUGAUGCUAAGGUAGUCAUGUGAUUCCUAUAUAAGCUUGUGUUUACAUGAUUUGGGACACUAAGAGCUAUUAUUAGUGAUGAAGGUUCUCACUUUAUGAACAAAUGGCCUAAGUGGUUACUUGACAAAUAUAACGUAAAGCACAACAUUGUUAGUGCCUAUCACCCCCUAGUCUAAUGGAUAAGUUGAAAGAGUGAACCGUGAAAUCAAAGGUAUCCUUUAAAGGGUAGUAUGCCCUAGCAGAAAAGAUUGGUCUCGAAGGCUCGGUGAUGCAUUAUGGGCCUAUCGAACAGCAUUUAAGACACCGUUAGGAAUGACUCCUUAUCGGUUAGUCUUUGGAAAGGCAUGUCAUUUGCCAUUAAAGUUGGAGAAUAGAGCUCACUGGGCUUUGAAGCAAUUGAACUUUGACCUUAAGCAAGCCGGUGAGAGAAGGAUUCUACAACUUGAUGAGUUGGAAGAGCUGAGGUUGUUUUCCUAUGAGAAUGCCAAAAUGUGUAAAGAAAGAUCAAAGAGAUGGCAUGAUAGUCAUAUACAACCUCGCGAGUUUAAAGAAGGUCAGAAGAUUUUGUUGUUUAAUUGAAGGUUGAAGUUAUUUCCUAGGAAGCUUAAAUCUCGAUGGACAGGACCCUAUAUGUAAUAGCCCAAAAUUGGGUCUAGUUGGAAUAGAGGUUUCGGGACCACAAAAUUCGAGAUAGAAAUAAUUAUUUUAUGAUUAUUUUGAGGUUUAUGAUAUGAUUUCAUGAUUUUGUGAAAAUUUUGUGAAGAAAUUCUAUGCAUAAAGUGCUCAAUUUGAAGUUAGGGACUAAAUUGAAUAAGUUGCAAAACUUGCAUUCUAGAAGUUUCUAGUAUGAAAUUGCUUUGAAAUAUUAAUUAGGAAGUCUUAAAUAGAAAUUUGACCAAUUUCUAAGUUAUGGACAAAAAUUGGACAUGGAUGGAAUUUUUGAAAGUUUAGCAAGGAAGGGCAUUUUGGUCAUUUGGUAAUUAAAAGAAAUAAAAAGGAAAAAUAAAGCCAAAAUUGACUCAUCUUUUUCAUGGAGGCAAAAAUUAGCAUGGGGGAAGCCAUGGCUAAGGUUUUCAAGCUUUCCAAGCUCAAUAGUAAGUCCGUUCUAACCCCAUUUUUCAAGUUCUUUACGUUUUUGGAAUCCCGGUAAUUUGAUUAAGCUUAUUCUAGCAAUAAUUUAAGCUAGGGUUCAUAUUUGGAAAAAUAUCCAUAGGUGAAAUGUGUUUAUUUUGAUGUUUUCUGAUAGAAUAUGAGGUUUUAAAUUAUGUUAGACAAUUUGUGCUACUCGGUUUAGAGUGAAAACGAGUAAAAGGGCUUAAUCGGUAAAAAUACCUAAUAGUCAUAAGUAUAUGUUAGAGUGAGAAUUUGAUGUUUCCAUAGGAGGGAAAAGUGAUCAGCAUGUCAUAAAACAUAAGAAUAAGGGAUGAAGUUUAAUUCCCGAGCCUAGGGGCAAAAGUGUAAAUAUGCAAAAGUUUAGGGGCAAAAUUGUGAUUUUUCAAAAGUUUGAGUUAAGGACUGUUUUGAAUAGUACAUUAAUUAAAUAAGUAAAAUAUGAUGUUUUAGUUCUUGGAAAAUGAUAUUUGAACCUAGAAUGAGAGAAAAAUCAAAAAUUGGGAAAGUUGGUAAAAUGACCGUUUUAGUAUCGAGGUAAGUUCAUAUGUCUAAUAAGCAUUAAUUUAUGCAUGUUUCAAUGUAAAAUUUAUAUAUUUACUAUGAUUGCUGAGGUGUUGAAAGUAUGUAAGUUGGUGUGAUAAUAAUACAGCAAUAAUGCUGUAAUUUAUAUUUGAAAGUUAAAUUUAGUGAAUUAAUUGAAUUAUGUUAAAUUAAAUGUUUAUGGUGCCCAGUUUAUGAAUUGAUCUAAAAAUAUGUCUAUGGUACAUGAAGUGCAUUGAAUUAUCAUACAUAAAUGUGAUUUCUAUGAUUAUGGAUAUUAUGAGAAAUUGUAAGUUCAUAUGAUUUUUAAUAAGGCAAUGUGUAAUUUAAUGUUAUUACCUUGAUAUUAAAUGAGAUGUAAGUUUAUAUGUAAGUAAUACAUCAAUUUUACUUAUAUUAUGAUAUUUUAUAAUAAUGUUGGAAAUAUGUUUGUUGAUAAUUACUUGAUUGGUGAAAUUGUUGGGAAAGAGAGAGAAAUCCCGGUUGAACCUUCGAAAAGAUUGGAUGAUACAGAUGGUAUGUAGCUAGGUCAUAUGUAUGGUGCUGAGUGCACAUCAUGUGUACAAGAGAGCUACAAGACAUUAUGAUGUAGCUAGGUCGCAUGGGUGAUACUAUGUGUACACCAUGUAGACAAGAGAGCUACGGGAUAUAUGUAGCUAGGUCGCAUGCGUGGUUCCAGGUGAAGGACACCAUGUAGAUAAGAGAGCUACGAGAUAAACUGGCUAGGUCACAUGGGUGGUACUAAGUGUUCAUCAUGUGUACAAGAGAGCCGAACUAUAUGAUGGGUGGAGCUAUGUGCUGAAACCACCAAGUAUCGAGGAUUGAUCUGAAGUGUUCAACGGGAGACUCUCUAUGUAUUGCUUUGUGAGUUUUGUGAUGAAUAAGUGUAGGAACUUGGUUAUGUGAAUGAUGUGUACAUUAAGUGACCGGGAUGUGGUAAGGUUAUAAACAAGUAAAUUAUACGUGAGGAUGAUUUUAUGGUGACCUUGUAAUCAUGGGCCUAUACUUGUGAUGUAUGAAAUGUGGUGAAAAUGAUUUGUGAUAUGUAUGUUAAAAUGAGGUUAAUACAAAGAAAGUGUGAAAGAGUGAAUUAGCAAUAAAACUGUUUUGGACAGUAGCAGUGAUGUGAUUUUUAAAAAUCACCAAAAAUAGUAGAAACUAAAUCAGAGACUGAAUGAGAUAUCAAAUUAAAUUUUAAUGAGUCUAUUUUCAUAUAAAAGAAACAGAUCAAGAAAAGGAGUUCUAUAUUUUGAGAUAUUUAUGUUUUUGUGAGACUGGUUCAGAAUGAUUACAUGAUCCCCUGUUCUGACUUUGGAAAAUCACAAAAAUUUGGAGAAAAAUAAUUAGAGGCUCAAAAUUAUAUUUUUAAAAUACCUAAUGAGUCUAUUUCAAGAUAAAUCAACAAGAACAUUAUCUGAGUUCUGUACUGUGAGAUAAUUAAUUUUUAGUGAAGAGAGGCAGAACUGUCAGAAAGUGAAAUAGGGGAAAAUUUAAUGAAUAAAUUGUACUAAUUGGCUAAACCAAAAUUAUGAAAAUUUUAUGGUGGAAAUAUAUGUGAGUCUAGUUUCAGGGGAAAUUUACGGAUCUUAAUUUGGAGCUCUUUAGCUCGAAUUAUAAAUAAGUAAGUGACUAUGACUCGUGUGGACAGUUUGUUGUGAGCAUUUAUUAGUAAAUUGUGAAAUCGUACUUACAAGAAUGCUAUAUACAUUAAGGAUGUGGAAUGGAGAGGAGGAGGAGGAAAAUAAAUAUAUGUGGAAUACAUGGAAACUAUGGUAUAUGAAAUAUCGAUAUAAUGAAAUAAAUGAUAUGUGUUUAUAAGAAAACAGAAAGAGAAUGAUAUGUAUCAUGACAUGUAUAUAUAUAUAUGACUAGUCUCAAUGUAAUGCUUGUUGGGUAUGGAGUUGAAUUGAAAUGUUUCAGGCAAACAUGUUAUUCUACGCAUCUGAAUUGUGGUAUUUUAUAAAGAUAUUAUCUAGCUUUAAAUAUGAAUGCUUGAUGAUUAAGCUGAAGAUAUUUGGUAAGAUGAUAAUCUUGGUAUAAAUGUAUAAGUGUGUAAGAGAUUAAGGUUGACCAAAGCUUGGAAAAUAGCCUAGGUAUAUUCCACACAGGCAGAGACACAACCAUGUGUCUCAGCCGUGUAUGGAACACGACUUUGGGACACGGGCGUGUGGAACCUUAAAGCAUGAAAUUUCCAAGAUUUUCAUAAGUUCUCGAUUUAGUCCCAAACGCUUUCUAAAGUAUGUUUUGGGCCUCAUAGACUCAAAUAAGGGACUAUGUGUAAGUGAAUGAAUGUUUUGAAAUAUGAAUGAAAUUUUAUGGCCUGUAUUUUAGUUUAAUGUUUGUAUGUUUGUCCGGUAACACCUCGUACCUUAUCCCGGCCUCGAGUACGGGUAAGGGGUAUUACACUAUACCAUCUACCGAGUUUAUCCUUAUGGAGUUAUUGAAUUAUACAACAAUUACAGAAGUACGUUUAAAGUACGUUUGAAGUUGAGCGAGUUGUAUCCUCAUUCAAAUUAACAGACCCUUGAUUUUUCAUGAACUUAUUUUGUAAAUAAAUAAAUAAUUAGAAUUUAUUUUCUUAACUUAUUACAUUUAAUUAAUUCUGUCUAAGGAGAUUGGAAAUUAAGUGGGACCACUGUGACCCCUCCAACCUUUCCUGGGAAUUAAUUUAAUGUAAUUUGUUAAGAAGAAAAUUUCUAAUUAAGAUUUAAAAUUUUUAAGUUUCAUUUGUUUUGUUUAAAUUUUAAAUUUUUAUGUUAAUAAAGGGGGUCAAAUUUAGCCCAAGUACUAAUAAGUUUUUUUUUCUUUCUUGAGUAAGUUUGUAAAUACAGUUUGAGUUUGAGGCCCAAGACAGCAAAAAGGAGGGAAAAAUCCAUACAUUUCUGCCACUCCCAUUACUUGCUACCCAAGUAACCCUAAUGUAGCUAAAUUUUCAGUACAUGUUGCCCUAAUUCUUCCCUAUAUAAACUCCUCUUCAUUCUACUAUUUUUCAUAUCCCUCAAAGCAAUUUUCUUAACCCUAAAAAUCCCUCUUUUGUUGCUAGCCUCAAAUCCCGAAAGAAACCUUAGUUUCUCUUUCCUUUUUGCCAAAAUCACCUAUUUCCGUCACAAGAAGAUUGCCAAAGCACCAACGUUGCUGCAGCACAUGGCUGUUGUCGCUGCCGCACAUUGUCGUUGCUGUCGCACCAUCUUUGCCAUUGCAAGAUUUUCAUCAUUGCAAGUCCUUACCCACGCUGCCGAUUUUUCUUUUCCCCCUUGUGCAGAAACUUUGCCAAAUUCUAAAGAAAAGAUACCAUGUCUCAUAAAAGAACUAGAUCUUCAAAGACUACUCCUGAAAACCUGAUUUUGAUCGAUGAAGAAGUGAAAGAGAGAGUUGAAUCAAUCUUCAAGCAUCAACCUAUGAUGCUGAAAAAUUUUUUUAACUUGGAGAGUCAUGAUUUGAUGGUUAUUCCUAUACCGAUUAGAAAGAAAAUCAAUGCUCUCAAGUGGGAACGAUUUUGUGAUGCUUAUUCACUUCCCGACGAUGAACUAGUUCAAGAAUUCUAUGCUAGUUUGACUAUGCAAUAUCCUACUAAGUGAGAAAGAUUUUAUGUUAUAAUUGGUGCAAAUUGUGUUUAAUUUUGCUAAAAUCUAUUUCAUUCAUAUAGUUUGCAUACUUAGGGUAAUUUGCAUUAGGGAUAAUUGCAUUUAGUUUAAGAUAUUUAAUUUUAAUCAUCACUUCCCAACUAUAUGUGUUUUUAUUUACCAAGUUGUUAGUAUAAUUUUACAAUUAACUGAUUUAACACAAAUACAAUCCCUGUGGAGACGAUAACUCGAUACUUACUUAUUACUUGAUAACGACUGUGCACACUUGCAGAAACCUACGUGUUACAUUGCUAAAACUAAGUAAUUUUUUAAUAAAUUAAUGAAAUAUGUGAAAAUAUGAAAUUAGGACAUAGAAAUUAUUAAAAUGUGACUUUAUGCUUUACUAUAUAGUUUUUCAUGCAUAAAAUGGCUUAUUAUAUAUUUAUUUGAACAUAUUAUACUUUUAAGACAUAAAAUGGGCCAUGCAUGAUUAAGUUACAUAAUAAAAUAUAAAAUUAUAUUUAAUAAUUCAUUUUAAAAUAUUUCAUUAAUAAUUUGGGUUUUAAUUAAUUAAUUAUUUUUUUCUUUGGUCCUUUAAUUUAUUGAUUUGUUUGGGACAGGUCCAAUGGCUUUGUUGGAUUACAAAAAUCGUCCAAAUUGAAGACCAAGUCAACCCAAUUUCGGCUACACAUGGCUAUCCACAUAAACCAUUUUUUGGAUUAAUUACACAAGGUCCUUGUAAUGUUGAAGAAAUUACAGAUUUGCUCGAAGAUUUACAUUUGACCAAGUCUCGGUCCUAAUUUGUUAUGGCAUUUAAAUUACUUAAAAAUCAAGAAAAAUUCAACUCAAAAUCCACUAAUCAUCCACUCAUUGAAGAAGCUUGAAGAGACGAAACCUCUUUAUUUUUAGCAACUUACUCUCCUCACUUCACCAAUAAAUGAAACUUCAUUUCAUCAUUCGUAAUCAUCCAUCAUCCAUCAUCCAUCAUCCUUCGUCCCUCAUCCCUCAUCAUUCUCUCUUUUCUCUCAAUUCUCUUUAGCAUUUUCCAUUCCCCAUGCCUAGCAUCAUCUCUUUAUAGAGAUUUUAACAAUUAAGCCUCUUAAAGUACCCUUGGUCAGCCACCUUGGAGAGCCAUCAAUAAAGGAGCAAAGCGAAGGAGCCUCAUUGGUCAGAGUCUUGGGUGACAACCACUUUGAUUUGUGUUUAAUCUUUCUUUUCUUUGAUUUAAUCUGAAAAUAUGUGCUAUGUCCUUUUUGUUCUUGUUACAACAAUCUUAGCUUAAUUUUAUUUAACCUAAGAUGAUUGCUUUAAUUAAAUAAUAUUUAUUUAAUUCAGUUUAUAAUGUUUGUGCCUCAGUUGAUCAUAUUUUCAAUUAAAAUCAAGUCUGUAUUUUGUUCUUAUGUGAUUGAAAUGCACCUGAAUUAGCUGAGCGAUCCUAACCAGACGACGGUUAGUAGACACAUAAUUGAAAUGUGCGUGCUCAAUUUAGAUCCUAACCCGAUUAAAUUGAAGGUUGCAUAACAACUCUAACCAAGCUCUGUUAUCUGCAUAGUUGUUAGAUUUUUGUGAUUAAACUGUUUCAAACCUAACACGUCCUUAUUACCUGGCACGAAUGCUAAGAAACCCUUAGUAAAUAAGGAUCAGUAAAAUUCAUAUUUACUAAGUAAAGGAUUCCAAAAGGACCUAAUGUGGUUUCUAAACUCAUGAAAGAUCGAAUUGCCAUGGAAUGUUUUUCUAAAUGUUAUUAAGCAUGUUGAUAGUAAAUUGAGUUUAAUUAAAGUAAUUGUCCUAGUUUAUUUAUGUUAUAAUUGUUGCAAAUGGUGUUUGAUUUUGCUAGAAUCUAUUUCAUUCAUAUAGUGUUCAUAUUUAGGAUAACUUGCAUCAGGGAUCAUUGCAUUUAGUUUAAUAUAUUUAAUUUUAAUCAUCACUUCUCAAUCAUAUUAUGUUUUUAUUUACCAAGUUGUUAAUAUAAUUUUACAAUUAAGUUACUUAACACAAAUACAAUCCCUGUGGAGACGAUAACUCGAUACUUACUUAUUACUUGAUAAUGACUGUGCACACUUUCCUAAACCUAUGUGUUACAAUAGAUAACAAGAUGUCGUUAGGAUCCAAUCGAGCAGGUUUUGAUGGGGUGGAAAAUUUUAUUCCACCUAAUGAUGAGGAAAGUAAGCAAAAUAAACCUGGACUGCAAGGAUCUAGGGAUGUUGCACUUAAUGCAUUUCUCUAGAUGAUGCAUGACAUGUAUGAUGCAUACUAAGGUUAAAUUAUACAGUUCCACAACCUCAAUCUUCUCAUCCUCAAGGUUCGAGUAGGCAACAUGUUCAUAGAGUAUCCAUUGAUAAAGUUCAAAUGUGUAGAGCCGUUGAAUUUUGUAGUAAUGUGAGUGAUGAUCCAACAAAGGUAGAAUAUUGGUUAGAACAUACUUAGAGGGUGCUAGAUGAAAUGUUGCUCUCCUUUGAAGAUUGUUUAUGGUGUACAGUAUCAUUGUUAAAUGAGGAAGCAAUUCAAUAGUGGUCCAUACUAACGACAGUGGUGCAAAAGAAAGAAUUUCUUAAGUUGAAGCAAGGAAAUAGAUCAGUAGUAGAGUAUGAGAGACAAUUCGUUUAGAUUAGCAAAUAUACUCAUGAGAUCGUGUCUACUGAAGAGGGCAUGAGUGUACAUUUUGAAGAUGGACUGAGGGAUGAGAUUAAGAUGCUAGUAGGAGCUUUAGAGAUCCGAGAAUUUCUGGUGUCAUCUGAUAGAGCCCAGAAAAUAGAGGAAUUUUGUUAAAGUAAAAGACAGAAUGAAGAAAAACAACGAGAAUUUAGUAAACCCAGGGGAUCCAAAGCUUUUUCCAAUUCUUCACCGAAGAAAAUGAAAGAAUCCAGUAAUAAGUUUUCUACCUUGUCAGGGUUUUUGGGAAAAGAUCAGUGGAGACCAAAUAGCAAGAGAACUCUAGCUUCUUCAGUAGCUAGUGUAAGCAAUGUGAAGAAUUCUAAUAGAGCAGAGUGUAAGAAAUGUGGGCGGAUUCACUUUGGUAUCUAUAGAAUUAAUAAUGGGACGUGUUUUAAUUGUAGAUCUCUUGAUCAUUUUAAAAGAGAGUUUCCAAAUUUAAAAGAGGCUAUUAAAGAGCAUAACGAGAAAUCGGUGACUACUUCUAACAGAGGUAGGGGCCAACAGAGGUGGAGUUAAAGAGUCGACGACCAAAUCUAAAGUCAAAGCUCUCGCAAGGACAUAUGCCAUUCGUGCGCGAGAGGAAGCAUUAGCUCCUAAUGUUAUUACGAGUACAUUUUCUAUAUUUAAUGUUAGUGUGUAUACUUUAAUUGACCCAGGGUCAACGCAUUCAUAUAUAUGCAUUACAUUAAUGAUGGAAAAGAAAUUAUCUGUUGAAUCUACUGAUUAUGAUAUAAAAGUUACUAAUCCAUUAGGUCAAAGUGUGAUAGUUAACUUAAUGUGUCGUAAUUGUCCACUAAACGUUAGAGGCUAUGGAUUCCUUACAGAUUUGAUGUUGUUACCCUUUCUGGAGUUUGAUGUUAUUCUGGGUAUAGAUUGGUUAUCGUUACAUGAUACGAUAGUAAAUUGUAGACAAAAAUGGAUUGACUUGAACUGUCAUACAGGAGAGAUGAUUUCAGUUGAGUUUGAGAGUCUGAAAGAUGUUGUUCGAAUUAUUUCAUCUUUUUCUACUGAAUGAUUGACACGGAAAGGUAGUGAAGUGUUUCUAGCAUAUAUUAUUGAUAUUAGAGAUUUAGAAUUAAAGCUAGAUUCAUUACCAAUUGUUAAUGAAUUCGCUGAUGUAUUUCCUGAAGAGUUACCGGGUAUACCCUCUGGUCGUGAAGUUAAGUUUGUGAUUGACUUGGUUCUUGGAACUACGCCAAUAUCGAUAUCACCAUAAUGUAUGGCACCAACUGAAUUGAAAGAAUUGAAAGCAUAGUUGCAAGAUUUACUAUAUUGAGGGUUUAUUCGUCCUAGCGUAUCUCCCUAGGGUGCACCUGUGUUGUUUGUGAAAAAGAAAGAUAGCUCUUUGAGAUUGUGUAUAGAUUACAGACAGUUGAACAAAGUCACAAUAAAAAAUAAGUAUCCUUUGCCACGUAUCGAUGAUUUAUUUGAUCAACUGAAAGGUUCCACAGUGUUCUCAAAGGUAGAUCUCAAAUCUAGGUAUUAUCAAUUAAAAGUUAAAGAUUGUGAUGUGUCAAAGACUACUUACAGAACUCGAUAUGGUCAUUAUGAGUUUCUGGUAAUGCCAUUCGGCUUGACUAAUGCCCAUGUUGCUUUUAUAGAUUUAAUUAAUUGGGUUUUUCAACCUCAUUUGGAUAGAUUCGUUGUUGUGUUUAUUGAUGAUAUAUUGAUCUAUUCCAAGUCUAAAUCCGAGCAUGCCCAACAUUUGAAAAUCGUACUAUAGACUUUAAGAGAAAAAUAGUUGUAUGCAAAAUUUAGUAAGUGUGAAUUCUGGCUUCGAGAAGUUAGAUUUUUGGGUCACAUAGAUCAGUCGAUGGAUUUGAGUUGAUCCGAGUAAAAUUUCUGCUGUAAUGAAUUGGAAGACCCUGAAGAAUGUUUCAAAAGUGCAAAGUUUUCUGGGUUUCGCAGGUUACUAUUGACGUUUUGUCAAAAAAAUUUCGAUUAUUGCUUUGCCAAUGACCAAAUUAUUACAGAAAAAAGUUGAGUUUAGUUGGUCCAAUAAAUGCCAAAAGAGUUUCGAUCAACUGAAGAAAAUGUUGAUUGAAGCUCCAGUGUUGACUCAACCUAAAUCGGGGAUAACAUAUGUUACUUUUAGUGAUGCAUCUCUAAAUGGUUUGGGUUGUGUGUUGAUGCAAGUAGGAAAACUAGUAGCUUAUGCUUCUUGACAGUUGAAGUUGAAUGAAAAGAAUUAUCCUACUCACCAUCUCAAGUUGGCCGUGAUUGUAUUCGCUUUAAAGAUUUAGAGACAUUAUCUUUACGGCGAGAAAUGUCAUGUGUUCAUAGAUCACAAAAGUUUAAAGUAUUUUAUGACUAAAAAAGAAUUGAAUUUGAGACAAAGAUGGUGGUUAGAACUAUUAAAAUAUUACAAUCUAGUUAUUGAUUAUCAUUCGAGAAAGGCUAAUGUAGUUGUGGAUGCACUCAGUCGAAAGUCAUCAUUGUUUGCACUUCGAAUGUUAAACGCCCAUUUAGUUCUAAAUGGUGAUGGUUUGGUAUUAGCAGAAUUGAAAACGAGACCCCUUGUUUCUUCAGCGAAUUUGAGAGUUGCAAGAAGAAGAUUCAGAUUUGUUUAUGAAAUGACAGUUGGCUUAGAAUAAAUUGAGUUUAGAAUAUAAUGUUGAUGAUAAUGGUAUAUUACAUUAUCGUGACAGAAUUUGUGCUCCGAGUAAUUCUAUUUUGAAACAUGAUAUUCUCUCUGAAGCUCACAGUAGUAUACACUCUAUUCAUCCGAGUAGCACGAAGAUGUAUUGUGACUUGAAACAGAUGUACUAGUGGCCAGGUAUGAAACAAGAAAUUUGUGAAUUUGUAGUUAAAUGCUUAAUUUGUUAGUAAGUCAAAGCAAAACAUCAAGUACCCUCGGGUUUACUACAACCUGUCAUGAUUCCUGAAUGGAAAUGGGAGCGAGUCAUGAUGGAUUUCAUAUCUGGUUUACCUGUAGCUCUGAGAAAGAAAGAUUCAAUCUAGGUGAUUGUUGAUAGAUUGUUGAAAUUGGCACAUUUUAUUCAAAUCAGAGCAGACUACACCCUUGAAAGAUUAGCAGAAAUUUAUGUGUCUGAGAUUGUAAUAUUACACAGGGUUCUGGUAUCUAUUAUUUCAGAUUGAGAUUCGAUAUUUACAUCGAGAUUUUGGAGCAAACUUCACGAGGCUUUAGGGAUUGUGCUUAAUUUUAGCACUGCAUUUCAUCCUCAGACUAACAGGCAAUCAGAACGAGUGAUUCAGAUUUUGGAAGAUAUGUAGAGAUGUUGUAUACUUGAGUUUGAAGGUAACUGGGAAAUGUACUUACCGUUAGCUGAAUUUACGUAUAAUAACAACUAUCAAUCUAGUAUGAAAUGACACUGUUUGAAGCUCUUUAAAGGAGGAAGGGUGUAAAAGACUAUUGUAUUGAUCAGAACUGAGUGAAUCCAAAAUGGUGGGAAUUGAUUUUAUCCGAGAAACAAAAGAAGAAGUUUGACUUAUUCAGGAUUGGUUGAAAGCUGCAUCUGAUUGUCAGAAGUCGUACACGGAUCUGAAAAGAAAAGAUAUUGAAUUUGCAGUUGGCGAUCGAGUAUUCCUAAAAGUUUCUCCGUGGAAGAAAGUGCUACGUUUCGGUAGGAAAGGAAAGCUGAGUCCGAGACUUAUAGGACCGUACGAGAUUGUUGAAAUAAUUGACCCUAUAGCUUAUAGAUUGGCCUUGCCCCUUGGACUCAAGAUAAUACACAAUGAAUUCCACGUUUCGAUGUUGAGUAGGUAUAGAUCUAAUUUUUUUGCAUGUGAUUCCUCAUAGUGAAAUUGAGUUAUAGACGAACUUGACGUAUUUGGAAGAACCUGUGAGAAUCUUAGCUUGAGAAGUUAAUAAGUUACAGAAUAAACAAGUACCAUAAAAGUCUUGUGGCAUCGAAAUGGUUCUGAAGAAGCUACUUGGGAAAUCGAGGAAUCAAUGAAACUACAAUACCCGAAUCUAUUUUUAGGUAACAAUUUCGAGGACAAAAUUAUCUAAAGGGGGAAGAAUUAUAACAGCCCAAUUUUCAAUGGUGACAGAGCAGUGGUUUCGAGAACACAAACUUCCAUCGUGUCGGCUCAUAAAUAUUAUUUUUAGAAUAUACAUAGAGUCAUUAGAGUCCUAUUAAAAUUUAGUUUAGAAAUAUUAACGUUUAGAUAGUUAAUUAAAGAAAAAGGACUAAAUUGAAAAAGGUGCAAAUGUUGUAAUUAGUUAAGUAAAUGACUAAUUAUUUAUUAACCACAUGAAGAGGGACUAAUAUAGCAAUUAGACCCUAGUAGCUAAGGUUGGAUGGCUAAGUAAAGGAAAUUAAUAAAUUAAAGUGUUUUGAGUGGCAAAAUUGUAAAUAAAAUAAAAUUUAGUAAAACAAAAGGCUUUCUUCUUCAUUUUUCAAUUAUCCAUUGCCGAAACCAUAGUAAGAACUUGGGAGAAUCAGCUAAGCAUCUAGGCCUUGCAUGUGAGUUCAAUUCUUAACCAUUUCUUGUAAUUUUUAUAUUUUUGAGAUCGUUACAACUAGGUCUAACUGGCUCGUAACUUCAUUUUUGAUUUUGUUAAAAAUUGUGGAAGUUUCCAUUGAUGAAUAUUGAUUUUUUUUUAUGAAUAUUAUGUAUUUGGAGCCUUUGUUAUACUAGUUGAUGGAUUUGUAAAGAGAUUUUUUGUUGAAUCUUGAUUUUUGGUCUAAACUGUGAAUAAGUCAAAAUAUUAGGGUUUGAUUGUAAAUUUGAGGUUUAUUACAGGCUAUUUGAGGGCUUAGUAUAUUUGGAUAAAUUAUUGAUUUGAGAAAAUUAGUUAAUUUGAUGAAUUUCGGGUUAAGGGACUAAACAGUAAAAAUUGUAAAAGUUUGGGGUAAUUGUAUAAUUUUGAAAAAUAAAAGGGCAUUAGUUUUAAAAUGGAUUUUAAAUGAAAUAUAUGCUAAUAAUUAAAAGAUUUUACAUUAUAGAUCAAGAAUUCGUAGAUAUUCGGGAAAAGGAAAAUUAACGGAGUAGUCCCUAAACUUCUAUAACUUUUACGAUUUAGUCCAAGUAAGUUCGUUACAUGGUUACUAUUAAUUUUAUUGAAUAUUCCAUACUAUUCAUUUUUGGUUGAAUUAUGGAUUUUAUUAAGUUAUGCUUAUCGAAAUAGAAAUAAGAUGAUUAUUCAGGCUAAGUGGCUAGCAGGCUAUGUGCUGGUGAUUAUUCGGGCUAUGUGCCUAGCAGGCUGUGUUCUAGUGAUUAUUUGGACUAAGUGCCUAGCAGGCUUUGUGCCAGUGAUUAUUUGGGCUAAGUGCUUAGCAGGCUUUGUGCCGGUGAUUAUUCGGGCUAUGUGCCUAGCAGGACUUGUGCUAGUGAUUAUUCGGGCUUUGUGCCUAUCAGGCUUUGUGCUGAAUAUUAUUCGGGCUUUGUGCCUAGUAGGCUAUGUACCGGUGUAUUGGAAGUUGCAUUUAAUUGGAUAGUUUUUGUUGAAUUAUUAAAGGAAAUUUAUAUCGAACUUACUUAGCUUGUUGAUGCUUAUUAGUUUGAUUUAUUCUUGUAGGACAUUUGGAUUUGUUGCUUUGAUUGGAUCGACUCAGAAGCUCGCACACUAUCAUCAACAUCUCGGUAGUCAUUUUGGCUCUUAUUAGUUGGUUUAAAUGGCAUGUAUUAGGAAAGGGUCUAUAGUACUUGAAUAUUUUGUAUGGAUGUAAAUAUUGUAAGUAACUUAUUAUGCUUGUUUUCUAGUAGAAAUAGUUAAACUUGUGUGCUUAAUUAGGUAAACCUUUUGGAACAUAUAUAUAAGUAGAAGCUGUAUAAAUCUUGUGGUGUCAAAUGAUUAUGAUUGAAUACUUCAAGUAUGCUAUGUGAAUUAGUUUAGUUAUAAGUUGUUAUGAUGAUUAAUUUUUGUUAAGUGUUUGGUAUGUUUGGAAAUAUAGUGAAAUGGUACUUUGUUGCGAAUGACUUAUAUGAUUGUUAAUACUAGUAGAUGAAUGACAUAUUUUGCACCAUUUGGUAUAUGUUGGUAAGUAAACUCAAUGAUAUGUAUAAUGCAAAUAUGUUUAGAAGUUAGUUGAAUAUUUUGGCCAAAUUUAGUACAUGAUUAUGCAUAUUACAUGUUGCCAUUUGAGGUGCCUAAGGGCAUAUUGGUUGUAUUCUCUUAUACCAUAAUUGAUUAGCUAGAAUAUGCAUGAUUUUGGUGCUUUAUUAUAACUUGUAUAUAUGUGAAAUUUUGGUUGUAGGUGCAUGCCAAAAUGGGUGAGAAAAAAUGGCUUGUAAAAUGACCUAUUUUCGUCUACACGGGUAGAGACAUGGGCGUGUGUCUCAGCUGUGUGUGACACACAGCCAGACAACAUGACUGUGUGUCCCUUAUAGCUUUUAAAGGGUUGCAAGUUAAGCUAUUACACGGCCUAGUACAUAGCCUGGCGUACGGGCGUGUGAGGUUAUUUCGAAGGGUACACGGCCUAGCACACAGGCGUGUUGCUUGGCCAUGUGACCCAAGUCAAUGAGUUACAUGGGUACGGACACGGGCUGUGAUACAGCUUUGUGUCCCUAUUUCGAAUGCUCACAUGACUGUGUGACCCUUGCAGUUUCCUAAAAAAUUCUCUGAGAUUCCGAUUUAGUCCUGACUUGUUUCUAACGUUUUUUUAGGGCCUUAAAAUCAUGCAUAGGGAACAAUAUGUAUGGUUUGGAUUGGUUUUACAAUGAUUAUUGAUAUGAUUUGAGAUGUUUAAAAAUUAUGUUCGUUUGAAUUGUAAAUGCUGGUAAUGCUUCGUAACCCUAUUCUAGCGACUGAUACGGGUUAAGGGUGUCAAAAUAUCUCUUGUGGAGUUGUUUUCUUAAUGGCAAUGGAUGGAGAUCGGUUGAUCAAAAAAUAUGCAGUAGAGGCUACUUUGGCCCAUAACAACUCCGGUAAGUUAGCAUUGGACAACAUACAUCAAACUUUCUCCAUGAUCGUUCUGUUCAUUCGUUCUACAAUGCUAUUUUAUUGUAGAGUACAAUGAACUAUCAAGUGUCUCACAAUCCCUUCUGACUUGCAUAGUUCAUUAAACUCAUCAGAACAAAACUCAAUGCUAUUGUCUAUACAGAGGUAUUUUAUUUGUUUUCCUGUCUGUCUUUCAAUCAUAGUUCUUCAAGACUUAAAUGCAGAAAACACAUCGCUUUUCUGCUUUAGGGAAAACACCCAAACUUUUCUGGAAAAAUAAUCAAUAAAAGUUAGCAUAUAAUUAGCUCAACCUCCUGUAGGAACUCUGGAUGGCCCCCACAGAUCAGAAAGAAUAUACUCUAGCAUUCCCUUUGUGUUAUGGAUUCCUCUAAUGAAUCGAACUUUCUUUUGCUUCCCAAAAAUGCAGUGAUCACAGAACUUCAAUUUGACAAAUUCCUUACCCAUCACGAAGUCCUCUUUUGCUCAAUUCCCUUAUGCCAUUCUCACUCAUAUGCCCUAGGCACAUAUGCCAAAGUCUAGUAAUGUCAUCAUCUGACAAGGAAGAGGAAGCAACAACUGCAUCACUAGUAACAGUAGAACCCUACAAAAUAUAUAAUUUGGCAGCCUUUCUCUGCCCUUUCAUCACAAUGAGGGAACCUUUGGAAAUCUUCAACACCCCACUUUCAACUGUGUAUUUGUACCCUAUUGAAUCAAGAUUACUCAACGAAAUCAAAUUUCUCUUCAAUUCUAGAACAUUUCGCACGUCACUAAGUGUUCUAACAACUCCAUCAAACACCUUCAGACACUAUUUUGUAAGUUGUAAAGCAAUCCCUAUUGAGACUCAUAUGGAAGGUGCACCUCGAAUCAAGGACCCACUCGUCACUCACUUUAUAAUUGUUGAUAAAAGUGACUAGAAGUUCACCGUCACUGUAGUUUUCUAUAACAUCAGCUUCACCAGAUUUUUCUGGUUAUUUGCUCUUUUGAUUCCCAGCCUCCCUUUUGGUCUUGCUUUGCAACUUAAAACACUCAGAUUUAAUACUCCCCUUCUUCUUACAAAAUUACAAGUUUUACCUCUAUUUGAAAACUUCGAUCUUUCUUUAGAUUUACUGUGAGUAUUCUAUUCUUGUGUCCUUCCACAUCAUCAUCAGCUUUCCGAUCUUAUCUUCCAUGAACAACAAGAUCCUCUUCCUGAGAAUCGAUUUUAACCACAAGAUGCUUCAUCUUAUCAUAUGAGGCCAAAUAAUCAUAAACCUUAUCAAUUGUGAGAAACACGUGGCUAUAUAAAAUCGUAUCUCUAAAGGUUGAAUAAGACAUGGGCAACAGACAAAGUAGAAUCAACCCUAGAUCAUCCUUAUCAUAUUGAACCUCUAUAGCCUCCAAGUUUGAGAGAAUUUCUUUAAACACUGUUAAGUGUUCGUGCAUAAACGCACCUUCAUCCAAACGAUGAAUAUAAAGACGCUGCUUCAUAUGCAACUUGCUAGCUAGAUUUUUUGACAUACAUAUUUGUUCCAUCCUCUUCCAUAAUGUAGCGGUGGUCUUCUCCUUCAUCACAUCCGGUAGCAUUUCGUUAGACAAAUGCAGAAGUAACCAUGUUAAUGUAUUUCGAUCUUUACGCCUCUUCUCUUCCUCCGUCAAUGUCAAACGCAUCUUAUCUAUCCCUAGCAGGGCAUCCUCUAAGUCUAUCUGUGCAAAAUUGUCUACAUCUUUAUCUGCUACAACGCAAAUCUACUGUUGCGAUCCAACAACAAAAUUUCAUACUUUAAAGACGUCAUUACCAUGAUUGAGAUGAACAACCUGGAAGCUCUGAUACCAAUUGUUAAAAAAAUAGAACGCCAAUAAUGACAAUGUAUCAUAAAGAAAAAAGAAAGAAAAAUAAAGAACAUAUAGAUUUUACAUGGAAACCCUUUCGGAAAAAAAAACCACGAGCAAAGGAGAAGAUAAUUCACUAUAUCAAAUUUGAAUAAAUACAAGAGGAGUAGACUAUAUCUAUUUAUAGGCUUGUAAAACCAUAUUCUAAUAGAAAGAGUGUAGUAAGUUGAAACACCUUAUUCUAAUCAACAUCAAAUAGAUGAAGUGUAAUAAGGUUGAAAAACCUUGUUCUAAAAUAAAAUAAAAGAAGUGUAAUUCAAUAUGGAUUUUACUUUUAUUUUAUUUUACCAUUGUAUUUUAUUUUAAUAAGAAUUUGGGUCACUCAAUUCUAACAGGGGGGAGAUGAUGUUUCAUUUUAUGGUAAUGGAUUUUAGAAGGGGCUUCUAGUAAUGGAUUUUAGAAGGGGCUUCUAGUAAUGGGUUUAUUGAUCCUUUAUGGUGCAACAAUAGAUAACUGUAUUUGCAUGCUGGUAUGAUCUCUGUCUUAUGUUUACCAUCUUGUUUUGGGGAUGUAUGUGCUGGACUAAGGUUUUCCUAGGUUGGCGUAAGGAAGACUAUAAGCUUGAGAAAUUUCAUUAUCAUACACUGUUUCAGAUUUGAAGCAUAAAGACAUGUUGGUAUCUUACUCGUGAACAAAUAUAGCAAUAGUUGGUUGAAGCUUUUUAGAAAACCAUGGAAAUGAAAGCAUCCUUCUACGUUUCAAAAUUUUAAUAUAGAUGCAUUUUUUGUUGAAAAUUAUAAUUUUUAAUAUGUUAUUAAUCGUGUUGGUUUUUAUGUUUUGAUGUUCUCCUGUAUCUCCAUUUUUUUGUCUGACUUUAUCUAUUUAUUUAUUUUUAUUCUGCAGCAUAUUGAAGAUUUGACUCAUGAAAAGUUUUCAUUGCAAUGAGCACUUGAGGCCUUACGUACAUUAGCAGAAUCUUUGGCUGCUAAAAAUUCGUCCUUGACUUAUAGUUAUAAUCACUAGGUUUGUUUCUGUUAGAGUAUUAACAGAAUUAGUUAUGGUUUGUUAUGAGCUGGUUAGCCAAAAUACUAUUAGACUUUCUCUUUAAAUAUGAGGUCAUUGUACAUAAACAAUGUGUGAAUAAAAUACAGAAUUAAAUAUUUCUCUUCAAGUAUUAUUUCAUUAGAGGUUUACCUAAGAUUCUAAGAUGGUAUCAGUCGCCUAGUUCGUACCUGAUUGUUGCUUCCGCUCCGAAUUUAUGGAUUCGUCAGUUGACUCUUCUUCUGGUGAUUCUGCUAACAUGCCUUUCUCUCAUUCGCGAUUAGUUCACAGCUUUCCUCGUCAUGAAAUAGUGAAAUUGGAUGAGACGAACUUCAUUUAAUGGCAACUUCAAGUACGGCUUAUUGUUGAAGGCUAUAACCUUCAAGGUUUUUUGGAUGGUACUGUUGCUGCACCGCCGCAGUUGGUGGUGUCGUCUGAUGGUAGUCUUGUUCUGAAUCCAAACGCGAUCUUGUUUACAAAGCAGGAUAAGCUGCUUGCAUUCUGGCUUUUUUCUACGGUUAAUGCUUCUUUGCUCUCCUAUUUCAUUUUAACUAAGUCUGCUUUUGAUAUUUGGAGUACUGCAAGUAAUCUUUUUGCAGCAUCUUCCACUAAAAAGGUGUCUCAGAUUUGACAUGAUCUUCAUGCGCUCAAGAAGGGUGGAUCUACUAUCAAGGAAUAUGUGUCAAAGAUUCAGACUCUCUGUGCACUCCUUAAAUCAUCGGGAUCUGGUGUUUCAGAGGCUGAGAAAGUGGAGUUUUUUCUCACUGGUCUUCCUCCUAAAUUUGACUCGAUUUUCAUGCUCUUCUCUGUUUUAUAGGAGUCUUUGUAGUUUAAGAAACUUGUUGAUAUACUAAUGGGCUUUGAAACUAGAUUGAUGCGCGCAGUUCGUGAGAUCCUGAUAGUUGCAAAUGUAGUGAAAGCAUCUGGAACUGUUGACUCCGAUUCACGUAGUGUACGCGGAAGACGGGUUUCGUUGGGGUCGCGUGGUGGUCGCGGUUCUCGAUCUAGAGUGCAAUGCUAGAUUUGCAGUCAGUUUGGCCAUGUUGCCCAGCGGUGUUACUAUCGCUUUAACAGAGACUAUGGCUCUUCCGUUGAUGGUGCUCCAAUCGUUGGUGGAGAAGCGUGGUUUUGCUCCUACGCAACGUGUUGAGGGCAGAUCCUGGGGGCCACCUCACCAAAUGGAGCAAGAUAAUUUCUUUGGGUAUUCUCAACCCAAUUGGAUUGGUAAUUAUGCUAGCCUAGGUUUCGGUGCUUUGUCACCACAUGCUGCACCACAUGGUUCUCGCCCAUAUUAUGGGCCCUAUGGUCGACCCCCUCGGCCUAAUGUUGGUUGUGGGUCUUUACAUGCUUUGGGUCAUCCUCAAGGGGAUGUGUAUGAUGGUGUUUGUCAGCCACCUAUAGCAGGUUGUUUUUCUAGGCCAUCUAGCCCAUUUGCUCCACCACAUGGGCCGGUUCGUGGUCCUCAAUAUGUAUCUUAGCAAUCCCCUAGUUCACCCCUUGCUAAUUGUGUUGAUGUUGACAGCACUCUGCCAACUGCUUUGCCUGAGGUUCUAUGGCGAAUAAGCCUCGUGCUUGGGUUUUUGAUGUUGACAAUUCGCAGUGCAUUGGAUUGCCCAGGAUUCUUGAUUUUCGUGCUUCGAAUUUUUUAGAUGCCUCACGCUAUGACUCCAAUUGCUGUAGUGAUGAUUCGUAUAUUCCUACGCCAGCUGGGACUGCCUUUUGGUACUCGGAUUCUGGUGCUUCACAUCAUGUGUGUCAGAACACUGCAGAUUUAAAUGCCACCACUCCGUAUUCAAGUACUUCUGAACUUUUAAUGGGUAAUGGGGCUCCUACUAAGAUUUUAUCUGUUGGGGACACGGUUAUUUCCACUCGAUCCAAGGUGUUAUGUCUGACAAAUGUUUUAUGUGUUCCAAGCAUUCGUAAGAAUCUCAUGUCUGUGUCACAAUUUGCUAAAGAUAACAACAUUUUUUUGAAUUUCACCCGCUCUAUUGUGUUAUUAAGGAUGUCCAGAUGCAGGAAAUCUUGCUACGGGGCCAAGUUCGUGAUGGGCUCUAGCAUUUUUCAGUAAACGUCUCUGCUUCGUCUCCUACCACAUCUACUGUUCAUAAUGUUACUCUUCAAGCUAGUUCUUCUGUUUCUUCUAAUGUUUUUACUUUGUGGCAUAAUAGGCUCGGCCAUCCGUCACCUAAAGUAGUUAAGGUUGUUUUAAAUAAAUGUGGCAUUAUUGCUGAUAAGAAAUCUCUUUUUAAUGUUUGUAUUACCUGUCAAAAAGGAAAAUCCCAUAAAUUACCUUUUUCUAAUUCUACUACUAAAUAUGUGGAAUUGUUUGAGUUGGUGGUUUCUGACUUGUGAGGCCCAGCUCUUGUUGAUUAUGAAGGGAAUUUGUAUUAUGUGUUAUUUGUAGAUAUGUGAAGUCAUUUUACGUGGGUAUAUCUCGUUAAAAGAAAAUCUCAAGCACUUGAGUGUUUUCUUCAGUUUCAAAAAAUGGUCAAUACUCAAUUUGGGAAAUGAAUUAAGAAGUUUCAAAGUGAUUGGGGAGACGAAUUUUGAGGGUUUGCUUUUAUUCUUGCUAAUCAGGGAAUUAUUCAUCGUGUGACGUGUCCUCAUACUUUUGAACAAAAUAGAGUUACUGAGCAUAAACAUUGACACAUAGUGGAAACUAUCCUCACACUGUUGGCACAGGCUAAUCAUCCUAUGAAACUCUGGUGAUAUGCUUUUUGUAGUGCUGUUCAUCUUAUCAACCGAUUGCCUACUUCGAUUCUUCACAGUAAGUCUCCAUAUCAGAAGCUUUAUGGGUGUAAACCUCGGUAUGAUCAUCUUCGAGUAUUUGGUUGCUGCUGGUUUACGCAUUUACGACCAUUUACUCGACAUAAAUUAGGGUUUCGGUCUCAACCUUGUACAUUUUUAGGUUACAGUUCUCACCAUAAGGGCUAUUUUUGUUGUCUUCCUGAUGGAAAGGUGAUAGUGUCUCGUCAUGUUGUGUUUGAUGAAACUCGAUUCUUGUCUGUGUCAUCUAUGGAGAAUGAUACUGAUGGUUUGAUGCAAUGCCCUACAUAUGUUCUUGUUGUUCCAACAUCUUCCAUGUUUCGUCAAUCUGAUUCUUGUCCUCCCGUGGAGGUCUCUCCUUCUGGCUCUCUACCUGAUUCCCCUAAUUUGGUGCAUGAGGGUGUGCGAGAUGGAUCUGGUAUUUCACCUAUGACUUGUAGUCAACCAGCUGGCGUUUCAAUUGCCUCAAAUUCUAAUAAGCAAAAGCCUUGUCCUACACCUCGUCCUCUCUAUCAGUCUUUACCAGUACCGCUACAAGGUCCUCCUGUUGCUUUAGGAAAUGUUCAUGCCAUGGUGACUCAGUCUAAGGAAGGAGUUUUUAAGCCUAAGGUUUUAACUGCAGAGGCUGUUGAGUUUGAGCCUUGCUUUGUUACGGAGGCAUUCACUCAUCUAGAGUGGAAGUUAGCUAUCCAAGCUGAGUAUGAUGCGCUGAUGGCUAACUCUACCUGGGAUCUUGUGUCUUUACCUCCUGGCCGAAAGGCCAUAGGGUGCAAAUGGUUGUUCAAAAUCAAGAGAAAAUUUGAUGGGUCUAUUAAUCACAGAAAGGCACGCUUGGUUGCUAAGGGCUGCUCUCAAGUCCCUGGAUGCGAUUUUAAUGAUACAUUUAGUCCCGUUGUCAAACCAACUACUAUCCGCAUCAUCUUGUCUAUUGUAGCUUCGAGCGGGUGGUCACUCCGACAAGUCGAUGUGAAUAAUGCCUUCUUGAAUGGGGACAUUGACACUGAAGUCUUGAUGCAUCAACCCCCAGGGUUUGCACAUUGUGAUUCUGAUGGGAAGCCACUUGUUUGUCAUUUGAAGAAAGCUUUGUAUGGGCUUCGGCAGGCUCUAAAUGCUUGGUUUGAUAAACUAAAGAAAUUUCUCGUAUCUGUUGGGUUUGUCGUAUCCAAGUCUGAUGCAUCUCUAUUUGCUCGAGAUACAUCUAACUCCAGAUUGUAUGUGCUUGUUUAUGUGGACGAUAUAAUCAUCACGGGGGAUGUUCCUACGGCUAUUACUAGUUUUAUCCAACUUUUGAAUGCUGAGUUUUCACUUAAAGAUAUAGGUGACCUUCAUUACUUUCUUGGGAUUGAAGUGACUCGCUCAUUCGCAGGGUGUAUUCACUUGUGUUAGAAGAAAUACAUUCGUGACCUUUUGGCUCGAAGCUCGUUGUUACAUGCUAAGCUAGUUCAUACUCCUAUGGUAAGUUCAGCGCAUUUGUCUAAAGAUGAUGGAGAUAGAUUGAGUGAUCCUUCUGAGUAUCGUAGUCUAGCCGAUGCCUUAUAGUAUGCAGUUCUGACUCGUCCCGAUAUUGCUUAUGCCGUUAACCGUAUUUUCCAGUUCAUGCAUAGUCCUACCACUACGCAUAUGGUUGCCUUAAAAAUAAUUUUGCGCUAUUUGUGUGGUACACUUGACUAUGGUAUUAUUUUUCAGCCAUCUAGCCAUUUGUCUCUUGUAGGGUACGCCGAUGCUAACUGGGGUCUGGAUUUUGAUGACCGCUGCUUUACAUCUGGUUACUGCGUGUAUUUUGGUCAUACGCCUAUCUCGUGAUUUUCCAAGAAACAACAAGUUGUUUCUCGGUCUAUAGCUGAAGCAGAGUAUAGGAGUCCUGCAACUGCUACUAGUGAUAUUAUUUGGUUAAUGUCACUACUUCAAGAGUUGCGGGUGUCGUCCGAUGAUAAACUUAUUGUCUAGUGUGAUAAUUCUACUGCCGUUGCGGUUGCAGCUAAUCCUGUUCUUCAUUCAAAAUUCAAACAUGUUGAGCUUGACUUAUUUUUUGUUCUCGAGAAGGUUGCUAAUGGCUCCAUGAUUGUUGGGGAGGUCCUUGCGUGUGACCAGGUAGCUGACAUUCUUACUAAGCCACUCUCCGUAACAUUUUUUAAUCGUUUUCGGAAUUCUCUUUGGGUUUUACCCGUUGGGAAGAUGGAUGAAUGUUAGAGUAUUAACAGAAUAGUUAUGGUUUGUUAUGAGCUGGUGAGCAGUGUGGUUAGCCAAAAUACUAUUAGACUUUCUCUUUAAAUAUGAGGUCAUUGUACACAAACAAGGUGUGAAUAAAAUACAGAAUUAAAUAUUUCUCUUCAAGUAUUAUUUUAUUAGAGGUUUACCUUAAAUUUUAAGAGCUUCCAAAUCUAAUAUUUUUCUGGCAUCACUGUAAUGUCAUGGUCUUGUGGACAUAAUUUGUAACACCCUGAAUUUAUUAAAUUUUUGUUGUUUAUGUGUAGUAAAUAAUUUGUUAUGGUGUGUUGAUUAAGUGCUUUAGAAGUUUCGUUUAAAUCUUGUGUUCAAAUUUUGUGGUGCACAUGAGUGUAACAUUUUUGUUCUUUGCAUUUAUUAAAUCUCUUAUUUGUUUUAUUUUAAUUUAUUUUGUUGAGCAAAUCCCUAUUUUCUCUCUUUUGCAACCAUCUAACCUCACCCCUCCUUUUUGCUGCACUUUUUUUUUCUUUCUUUUACUGUUGAAAUUGUUUUUGUUUCUUUCUCUUUCCUUUUGAGUCAUCUUUCUCCUUUUCGCUAAGUAUUUCAUUGUUGCUAUUAUUGCUUUUGUGGGACUUCAAUUGACGUUCCAAUUUUAAUUAUAUCCAAUGAUAGUGUAAGUUGUUAAAUUAUUUUGUGGUGAUUUAGGUUUUAUUUCGUUCGCUGUGUAAAGGUGAAUUUAUAGGCGUUGUUCUUGUAAGAUGUUUUGAUGAAUGCAUAUUGAUUUUCUUGUUAGGCGAAGGUGGUGCGAGUCAAGACCUUCCAGCGGAAUAAGCUUCGUUUCAGACGCUAUUCUUUGAGUGGUAAGGGUUCGAUUUUGGUUUUGGGGACUGAAAUUUUGUUAAUUAGAUGCUAUUUUGGAAGGAUCAUUUGAUGGUUCAUUCAUAUGAUUUAUUGAUCAAUUGUAGAAUCCAUGAGUUCCCGAUAGUGUGGUUAAUUAAUUACGUCUUUAGGUGUGUGAUCUUACCAGAAAAACUAGUUGGAAAAAUUGCAAAACAGGGCUAUUUUCUGAAACUGUCCAACAUCACAUAACCUGCACAGUGACUAACUGUGUGUUUUUACAGGCCGUGUGGACUACAAGGCUAGUUUUUUGGGCUGUGUGGGCUUUUUAGGCCAAUUUUAAAGCCCAUUUUGGAGUCAAAUAAGAGGCUCAAAAAUAAGAUCCGUGGGCUUCAUAUAUGCCGAGAAAAGCGUCACUUUUAGUAUGUAAAUACAUAUGGGUAAGCUUAGGUGAUAUGUUAAAUAGGUUACAUUGUUUUUAAACCAUAUCGUAUGCUAUAUUCCGUAUGAAAUAUGUGUAUAUACAUGUCAUACGAUAUAUGAUAUAAAUAUGUAUGAUAAUAUGAUUAUGAUUAUACUUUUGUUUGGGGGUGGGUUAUGAUAUGAUGGAGGAAGUGCUAUAAGGUAGUCUUUACUACAAUUUUGGCGACUUGAUCGCACAUUUCUGUCUAGCAGUUCAACUGCAUAUUUAUAAGUGGCACAUCACCACAUAUUGGAAUGGUUGGAUGGAAGUGUUCAUGUAGUCCUAUUUGGUGUGAUUUGUUGGACGGAGUUAGUGUGUAACGUAUAGGGGUAGGAUAUGAUAUGAUAUGAUAUGUUAUAAGAUGCGAUACGAUAUGACAUGAGAUCCGAUUUGAUAUGAUAUGUUAUAAAAUAUGUUGUUAUGAAGUCUAAUUUGAGCUGUUAUAUGUAAGCCUUAUCACACACUAGGCAUAAAGCUCAUGCAUUUGUUUGAUUCGUUUCAGGUGAUCCUCAGACUUAUGAUUGGACGGCGACACUACAGCCCGAUUUUCACGUUUUUGAUGUAGUAUGUUCUGGUUUAUAUUUUUAUGGACUCUUACGGACUUUUGGGACAUUUUAAAUUGUUUGGGACUUUAAAAUUUAUUUUCGAUUUUGGUUAUGAAAAAUUUCUAAUUUUAAACUGAAGAUUAAAUCAAGGCAAUAAAUAGUAAAUCAGAGAUAGAUAAGAUUAAGUUCCUAAAAAGGUUAUGUUGCUAAAUUUUUAUCGAAAUUUGCUAGAAUGUUUUUUGCCUCGUAAAAUUAUUUAAGUAAAUUUGGAUUUUUUUUAGUAGAAGCUAUUAAGCAUGUUUUUACCUCAAACUAUUCACGAGUUUUUGAUAAAUUAGCCUGUUUUUAAAUAGUUGCAUAAAAUUGAAUUUUAUUAAGGUUAGAAGUGGGUUUUCAUUAAAAUUUAAGCUUUAACAUUUUCACCAAUAGUGUGUGGGGUAAGCAUUCGAUCGAGUCGAGUCGGAUUGAGUCAAAAAAUUUCGAGUUAGUUGAGUUGACGAAUCCUAUUUUAGCAACCGAACUCAAUUUGAAUUUUUUUCGAAUCGGAUCAAAUCGAGUCAAAAAAUUUCGAGUCGAGUUAACGAAUCCUAUUAUUUGUACUCAAUGUUGCGCUUACAUGAACCGAUUAUUUAACUAGGAAACGAAGUAUAAAAUUAUUUAACAAUAUAAACAAUAUAAUGGUUUUGCCUUUUAACUUAAUUAGUAAACAUUUAUCAAAACAACAUAGUUUUACAUUUUAACUUAAUGGUUUUGACUUUUACCUUUAGAAAAGGUAAACAUUCAUCAAAAUGACGUAGUUUUGCCUUUUCUUAUUUGGAUUUUCGGAUAACUCGAAUUGUGUAAUUUAUAUUCGAGUUAAACCGAAAAACUUAUUUUUUUAUUCGAGUUGACCCAAAUAACUUGAUUAAUUCAAAUAACUUGAACUAUUUAAUUCAAAAUUUGAAAAUUUUAUCAAGUUUUUCGAAUCGAAUCGGAUUUUACUCACUCCUAAUAGUGUGACCUCUACAAUCUGACCGUAACGUUUAGGUUGGGCUUAGGGUGUUACAUAAUUAUUAACAUAUAAUAUAUUUUCGAUGUUAUCAUGUGUUGGGCUAUCCUUGAAUAACUUAAAUAUUAUUUUCUAUGCUUAUUCUUUUAAUAUUUGAAUUUUUUAUGCAUGAAGGCUUCUUAGCAACCAGCAUUAUUGGGGUCGAGAAAAUAGAUGGUAAAUUUCAAAAUAUUUCUGUGUUCAUGAAUGGGAUCAAAUAUCUUGAAACAAUAAAGACAAUGACUCCAAUUCUCUAGAAACCUUCUUCUGUUUCUAUGUACGUUGUUUAUUUAUUGGAGCUUAUAUUAUGAAAUUCCGAAAGGUACUCGAUCUAUUUUCAUUGUCCCAUUCACUAUUCUGAACCUUUUUAAGAAACCUUUGCUAUCUGUUGACACAUUUUUUCUCCCAGAGAAGUGUUGUCAACAACCUAAAAUCUGAUAUGAAUAAGUUGCAGGAAGAAAUCAAGGCCCAACCGGUUAGUAUUAUGUUAUAAUUAGGGUACUUAUGAUCAGCUUAAGUUCUUCGUAAAAUAAUUGAAUCUUGUGGGAUUGCAUAUUGCUUAAUUCAUAUCAUAUGGUUAGUCUAGGUGCGUUUGUAGUUUAGAUGCUCCUUCAGUUGAAUCUUCGUAAAAUAAUUUUACAUCUUUUACCAUAUGUGUUGUAGUAUUGAUGCUUCUUCAGUUGCUACUACUUGAAAUGGUAAUAAAUUAAGUUUUGCAAUCCUCAUCCUGUUCAUGAGCAUGAGUCUUGCCUAUGCUAAUCUCGACCUGUAAUAAGUCUUAGUCAUUUUGGCCGUGCAUAUUUUCUAUAAAUAAAAUGUAGAGUUAUUCUACUAGAAAGUCAUAUUAGAGACUUAGCAUUUCAUAAUAAAUAUGACUAAAUUGACAAAAUUUGGAUGCUGGCUUAUGAAUUCCUAUUUGAACAUCGCAGAUUGGAUAUGACCUUUGUCAGUUUGCGGAGCCUAUGUUGUUGAACCAUCUCUUACAGGUUUAUGUUUAUUUUCGUAUUUCCUGGUUAAGGUAUAAUUAAAGAAAUAACCUCUUGUAUCUAUUUGUUUAUUCUUCUAUAGAAGAGAAAUAUUGAUUUCAGAUUCAAUAACCCUAUAGUUCUAUUGAAAGUUCAAAGAAAUGAUACCUUGGAGAGCUGUUGUUGUUGUUGCUUUGAUAAUGUGACAUUUUUCGACUCAUUUCAAUUAUGUGUUGUACUGCUUGAGGCUCAGUACAUGCAGAAUGUUUGGCGUGUUGGUUUUCGUCUAUAGUCUAAUGUUGUAAUAUAGUUCGUUCCUCCUAAAAUAGGCACAAACAAGCACAUAGAGCCUCUUUUGCUUUUCAAGCAUAGCAAAGUUGCUUUAGUUGGAGCUGAGUUAUCCAUUUCAAUUUGGUGACUUAAUUGCAUUUUGUUGUUUGUAUAUGUAAAAUUUGGUGACUUAAUUUCAUGGUCGUGUUGGUGAUGUUUUGGUAACUUUUUGUAUAUGUAAUAUUGUUGUAACUUUUUUAUGCUGUAAAAUUUAACAUAUGGAUUAUGACAUAUAAACUAAUAAUAUUAUGUAACUUUUUAUUAAUGUAUGAAAAUUAUCUUUGAAUGUAAAAUAUAAUUCUCAAGCUAUUUAUUAGUUCUAAUUUUUUACUUUUUAGUUUAGAGGAUAAUUAAAUUAUUUAUUUUGCUGAUGAUAUUCUAGCACAUUAAAUAUGCAUUGCAGUUUAAAAAUAAUAAAGUAAGCUAUAUAUUAUUUUUCUAAUAUUAUAUAUUUUUAUUUUUAUUAAUUCAUAUUUUAAUAAUAAAUUAUAUUAAGAAUAUUAUUAAAUUAUAUAUUUUUAUUUUAUUAAAUUAUAUUUAACAAUAAUUAUAUUAAAAUAUAAUUAAAAUAUUUAUUAUUUUUAUUAUAUUAUAUUUAAUAAUAAUCUUAUUAAAAUUUAAUAACAAUAAUAAUCAUCUAGCUAAAACAAUUCUAUUAAAGGUAUUUUAGUCAUUUCAAUUUUUUUUUAUGUUAUUACAACAUUAUUCCAUCCAACCAAAUACCAAAAUACUAUUAUAAUUUUAUUUUAUUCCAUUCAAUUAAACAAAUAAAUUACAAAUUACAUCUUUAUUCCAACCAAAUGUAGUGUUAGUUAUACUCAAUCUCUGACACUUCAUUGUUCUCACGUCUUUGUAGGGAUAGCACCAACAAAUGGAUAAGUAGCCUCUGCAGAAGUCUUUUCAAUUCCAACCAAUCAUGUUGGAUAUCUUUGAGCUAAUGCAGAGUAUUGUCAUACAAUUUCAGAAGUUGUGCAUCCACGAGGGCCAGUAAACAACGUAGAUAGAGUCGACAUCUUUUAAAAUAAGUUGUGUUUGCUUAAUUUUCCUAUGUUAUAAAAAGACCCUCCAUUUUUAAUAAAUAAGAGAAAAUUGAUGUAUUAAGUUAAAUGUAAAGACAAAAAAUUGUUAAAUGUAGGCAAGGAUCAGUUAAUAUUAUUAUUUUUUAAUAUUACCACAACAAUCUUAUACCAAUAAAAUAUUUUUAAAUAAGAUUAUUACAUUUUUAAUGUGAUUUUUAAAUAUUAAUAACUAAAUAAAACAGUAACUAUAUUAAUAAGUCAAUUUAUAAGACUAUGCUGAAAAAAAAAUUAUUUGAGAAACUAGGAUGAAAUUCUAAAAAUUUAUUGAUCUACACUAUUUUUGAAGAGAGAAAGGAAAAUACAUCCUACACGCAUCCUACAGGGCGCGUUUUCACUGUAAUGUGGCGGUGACGCGUUUUCACUUAGGUAAAAAUUGUUUUUUUCUUUCUUUUUUCUUGCGAUUAGAAAUUAGAAGUUUGUAUAUUUAUUUUUAUCUGUGUUUGAGAUAGACAUGGUUACAGUUUUAAGGAAUAUUUGAAUUUACAGUGAUGUCGUGGAGUUGGGUGACCUACAAAUUUCAUCUGCUAUGUGAGUAUAGAGCCAUCACCCCAGAAGUCAGAUCACGUUGCAACUCAAGGUCCAAGUGGACGUGAUUGUACAGUCUGGGGUUGAAGUGUAACUAGGGCUUCAAGUUUACAAAGGUUACACUGUCAAAGGAUGGAGUAUAAAUAGAGCCCUAGUUGACGGUGGUCAUGCGGGCAUGACAACUAGUUUUUCCUCGUCAGAGGAGGAUGCUUUAUAAAACCUAAACAGAAGUACGAGUAAGAAAAACAUAGUGGCAUUUUAGUAUAAUCAAGUAUUUUAUUUUAUCCAUGUCCUCCAAAUGCAGUGACCCUAUUAUUAUAACCUAUAACAUAAUUGGGAUGUAAUAGGUUUUACUAGCAGGGUUACUACAUUUGCUAGAGAUGGAGAACACAAAUUACUUGAUUAUACUGGGAGACCCAUUGCGUUUUCCUUCCUCGUACUUCUGUUUGGGUUUUAUAAAAAAUGAUCCUCUGAUGAGGAGAAGCUAGUUGUUGUCCCCACACAACCACUAUCAACUAGGGUUCCAUUUCUGCUUCACCCUUGAAGCCCUAGUUACACUUCAACCUGAGAUAGUAUAUUCGCCGCCAACUUGGACCUCAAGUUGCAAAGUGAUCCUGGUUUCUUGCCCGAUGGCACCAGACUCACACUACAAGUGAAAUUUGUAAGUAACCAAGCUCCAUGACAUCACCAUAAACCCAAAUACAACUUAAAACUAUGACUAUGUCUCCCUCAAAACAAGAGAGAAAUAAAUCUUCAAACCCGAAAUUUCGUACACACAAGAAAAAUAAAAAAUAAUUUAGGAUAAUGAAUUAGGGGAUAUGAACGUGCAUUUAUAUAGAGGAUGUGGUGGGUAAAAAGGGAUUUUUUUAUCCCAGGAUUCUCGAAAAAAACUACCUUUUUUACUCACCCCAUGCCUCUACGAAUGAGUGUUUUUUCCCUUACAAAAGAGCUCUAUAAAGAGAACUCAAUACAUGCCUUUGAUUUUCCAUACUGACAUUCGAAGCAAAUUGUUGAUCUAAAGGAUACUUGGCAGUAGGACUAAUCGGAGUUGUCGUGAAAACUUGAAUUUCGUCAUUACACUGUUGUCGAAGCAAAGGUAAUUCAUUAAUUUAUGUGUAGGUUUAGGGUUUGUGGUGAUGAGUACUAUAGUUUUUCCUAUUUUAUCAGUUUUAAACAUAUGGAAUAGGCUAUCUCAUUGAAGAUGAGCAGACAAGUUAUAACAACCCAUUUUCAGUAGUGUCAGAAACAGUGGUUUUGGAACCACAAUUUUAAUGUGUGUGUCCGUAAAUAUUAAUUAUUUAAUAUUUACGAGGUCUUUAGGGUCAACUUAAAUUUUGGUUAGGAAAUUUUAACAUUUAGAUAGUUAAUUAAACAAAAAGAACUAAACUGUGAAAGUUGUAAAAUCUAGCUAUAAUUGAAUUAUAUUGAUUAGAUGGUGUAAAUCACAUAAGUGGAAUGGUUUAAAGGGCAAAUAUACUAUUUCUAAUUAGCAUGCAUAGAUAAGGCUUGAAUUAUGCUAAAAAUGUGUGUUUAAUUGAAGGGCAAACUUAAGUAAAAUAAAACAAAAAUAAUGUAUCAUCAUCCCAAAAUGGUUUUGAUUGAAAUUUAACUGAAGAAAAAGGCAUUGAAGGUUUGAAGGUUUGAUGAUGCGAUUUCCCGAGCUUGGAGGGUUCAGAAAAUAGCUUGAAUGGGAUGGACCAUCUUAAAAGGGUUCAAUUGGUGGAAACCUCAACUCGUAGCACUUGAAUGCUUUAAGGAACAGUAGAUAUGUUAAAACUACGACCCACUUAAACUUGACUAAAUACUCAAAUAGUGGUAUGCAAAGUCGUCACACCCCGAGAUGGUGAACAGUGUGAUAAGAUAAUUGGGUGAACGCCACAAACUCGUAAAAGUUUAAUAAGUUUGAUUUAGUUCAAUUAAGAACUAGGAGAGAAAAUAUUCUCACAAAUAAAAUUGUAUUCAAGAUUAUUGUGUAUGUAACUAAAACAAUGUCCUCUUACAAGUUAUUUAUAGGCCCUAAUACAAUUAUUCAAAUACCUCUAAAAGACCUUUCAACUUCGGCAUUUAACUAGUGUUAAUACAAACAUUUAAAUUCAUUUUAAAUCAUGUUGGGUAUCCAAAAAGUCAUGUCUUUUCACUUGAUUUUUGUAUAGUUGAAAAGGCAUGUCUCUUCACUUUGUUGAUGACUUAAUGUUCCGUUAAUGAGCUGUUUGGUGUCCAGUCACUUUCCUUAUGGUUGAAAGUUAUGUUUUUUGGCAUUCUUUUCUUGUAAUGGCACCAUAAUGAACUUUAAGUGUUUGAAACAGAUAAAAUUUGAAGAGUCACUCUUGGUCCAUUCGAUCAGUCACAAUACAUCACAUUGAAAGCUGAUUCUUGAUUGAAUUUUGUGCAUUUAUUCACCUUCAACAUUGUAAUGGGGUUUAUGCAAGUGUACAUAAUCAUUCAAGUAAUAAGUAAGUAAAAUGAGUUAUCGUCUCCACAAAGACUGUAUAAGCUUAACCAAAUAUUUUUAAAAUUAUAACUUCACAAUUUGAUGUAAAAAUUCAAUAAUUUGAAUGGUGAUGAUUAAACUAAGUAAAUUAAUUAGAUGCAAAGAUUGAUCCCUAUGCAAUUCUAAUCUAGAUGCAAUUUACCUAAAUGAAUGAAUGAAUGGCUUUAGCAACAAAAACAGUCAACAUUAAAUGGGCUAGGAUAAUUAUAUUAAUCAACUCAAUUUACUUUAUCAUGCUUAACAAUGUCCGAAAAUACUUCCACAACAACUCGAUCUUUCAUGAGUUUGGAAACAAAAUUAAGUCAUUUUGGAGUCAUUUACUUAGGUAACUAUGCAUUUUACUAAUCAUAUUAACUAAGGGUUUCAUAGAAUUUAUGUAAGGUCACAAGGAAAUUUAUGUUUGGAAUAGUUUAAUUACAUAAACCUAAAAUCUAUGCAAGGCAAUAGAGCUAACUAAAGAUAUUACAAACCUCAACUUAGUUGAGUUUAAGGAUCUAAAUUGCGUUGCACUUUUCAAUUAUGUGUCUACUAGUCGUCGUCUGGUUAGGAUCGCUCAGCUAAUUUGUAACAACCCGAAUUAGGGCCUAAUUGGAAUAGUGGUUUUGUGACCACAAAUCCGAGAUAGAAAUAAUUGUUUUAUAAUUAUUUUGGGGUUUAUGAUAUGAUUUCAUGAUUUCGUGAAAAUUUCGUGAUGAAAUUCUGUGCAUUUCGUGCUUAAGUUGAGAUUAGGGACUAAAUCGAAUAAAUUGUAAAACUCGUGUUUUAGAAGUUUUUAGUAUGAAAUUGCUUUGAGAUAUUAACUAGGAGGUCUUAAAUAGCAAUUUGACCCAUUCUUAAGUUAUGGACAAAAGUUGGACAUGGAGGGAAUUUUUUUGAAAGUUUAGUAGUAAGGGCAUUUUGGUCAUUUGUAUAUUAAAUGAAAUAAAAUGGGAAAAAUAACACAAAAUUGGUUAUCAUCUUCAUUAGUUGCUGCCGAAAAUUGCUCUCCUCCAUAGCUAGGGUUUCUUUAACUUUCAAGCUUCAUAGUAAGUGAUUUCAAGCCCCGUUUUUAAUGUUAUUCACAUUUUUGAAAUCCUCGUAGCUCGGUUUACUUAUUUCUACCAUUAGUUCGAGUUAGGGUUUAUGUUUAAAAAUUUACCCAUGAAUGAUAGGCAUGUAUUUUGUUGUUUGAUGGUAGAAUAUGAAUGUUUGAAGUUAGGAGAACGAUCUUUUCUAAGCGAUUUUUAACGAAAACGAGCAAAACGGCAUAAUCGAUAAAAAUACCUAUUGUUCAUAACUAUGUGUUAGAGUGAGAAUUUGAUGUUGCCAUAGAAGAGAAAAAUGAUCAGUAGGUCAUUUAGAGGUUCGGGUACUGUUUCCUCAUAGCUUCCUCGAGUUCCCACAUAGCCUCUUCUAUCCCAUGUAUGUGCCACAAUACUUUCACUAAGGCUAUACUUUUAUUUCUUAACUGUUUAAUUUCUUAAGCCAAAAUCUUUAUUGGUUCCUCCUCAUAGGUCAUAUCCGGUCGAAUCUUAAUUUCUGUUGGAGAAAUCACAUGUGAAGGAUCAGAACGAUAACGUCGCAACAUUGAUACAUGAAACACGUUAUGAAUUCCUUCUAACUCUACCGGUAAGGCCAACCGAUAUGCCACUGGUCCAAUCCUCUCAGUAAUCUCGUACGGCCCAAUAAAACGCGGACUCAACUUGCCUUUUCGGCUAAAUCUCAGAAUCUUUUUCCAUGGUGACACCUUCAAGAACACUUUAUCACCCACCUGAAAUUCAAUCUCUUUUCUUUUUAAAUCUGCAUAUGACUUUUGUCGAUCUGAAGCAACUUUCAAGCAAUCCCGAAUUACUUUUAUUUUCUCUUCGGUUUCUUUAACUAGAUCAACUCCAUGAAUCUAUUUCUCACUAAGUUCGGUCUAAUAUAAAGGAGUUCGACACUUACGACCAUACAAGGCUUCGUACGGUGCCAUUUGUAUACUUGACUGAUAACUGUUAUUGUAGGCAAAUUCAAUCAAAGAUAGAUAUUUCUCCCAACUACCUCCAAAUUCUAAGACACAGCAUCUAAGCAUAUCCUCGAGUACCUGGAUUACUCUUUCCGACUGACCAUCUAUUUGUGGAUGAAACGCGGUACUAAAGUUCAAUUUUGUACCCAAAGCUUCUUGUAACUUUUUCCAAAAUCUCGAGAUAAAUCUCGGAUCUCUAUCUGAUAUUAUAGACAUAGGUACUCCGUGCAACCUCACAAUUUCAGCAAUAUAUAAUUCAGCUAAUUUAUCAAGUGAGUAAUCGGUACGUACUGGUAUAAAGUGGGCUGACUUUGUUAAUCUAUCAACCACUACCCAGAUAGUAUCCUUCUUUUUAGUAGUUAAAGGCAAACCGGUUACAAAAUCCAUGGUAAUCUUGUCCCAUUUCCACUCAGGCACCAUUACCGGUUGAAGUAAUCCUGAAGGCACUUGAUGUUCAGCUUUUACUUGUUGAUAGAUCAAACACUUGGUUGCAAAUUCAGAAAUGUCCCUUUUCAUACUUGGCCACCAAUACAACUUCUUUAAAUCAUUAUACAUUUUUGUGCUACCAGGGUGAACUAAUAAACAGCCACUAUGCGCCUCUUGUAAUAUUUUCUGAAUCAAUUUAUCAUUUUUCGGUACACAUAUCCUGUCUCGAAACAUCAAACAGCCAUCUGGUCCAACUCGAAAAUCUCAGUCGUAACAUAAUUCGCAUUGAGUUCUCUUGGUUCGCAACUCACUAUCGUUCUUUUGAGCAUCACAAAUCAACUGGAGAAAUAACGGUUUAGCCCUCAUCUCUGCUAAGAUUGACCCAUCAUCAGACAACGCUAACCCCGUAUUCAUGGCUCUCAAAGUAAAAAGAAAUUUCCUGCUCAAGGCGUCAGCAACUACAUUUGCUUUUCUCGGAUGAUAAUCAAUCACUAGAUCAUAAUCCUUUAAUAAUUCAAGCCAUCUCCUCUGUCACAGAUUCAAAUCCUUUUGAUUCAUCAAAUACUUCAAACUUUUGUGAUCAGUAAAAAUUCGGCAUUUUUCACCAUACAAAUAAUGUCGCCAAAUCUUCAAGGCAAAGACAAUAGCGGCCAAUUCCAAAUCAUGUGUAGGAUAGUUCUUCUCAUGCGGUUUUAACUGUCUCGAAGCAUAAGCUACCACUUUACCCUCUUGCAUCAACACAUAUCCAAGGGCUGUCAAUGAUGCAUCACUAUAAAUUACGAACUCCUUUCCUGGCUCGGGCUGUACCAAAAUUGGUGCUUCAGUCAAUCGUGCUUUCAACUUUUCAAAACUCUGCUGACAUUUAUCAGUCCAUUCAAACUUAACAUUCUUUUGCAACAACUUAGUCAUAGGAGAGGCAAUCAUCGAAAAUCCCUCAACAAAACGUCUAUAAUACUCGGCUAAGCCUAAAAAGCUUCUAACCUCGGAUACAUUCUUUGGCGGUUUCCAAUCAACGAUCGUAGAAAUCUUGCUUGGAUCCACCCAAAUACCAUCACCUGAGACUAUAUGUGACAGCCCUAAAUUGACCCUAGUCGAAAAGUGGUUUCGGGACCACGAAACCGAGUCCUAUAAGAAAUUAAAAGUUAUAUUCCGUGUUUAUAAUGUGAGUAAAUGCAUGUGUGAAAGUUUCAUGCAUUAAUUUGAUCAUUUUUAUGUGAAUUUAUUAAAAUGGACUUAUAUGAAACAUUGUUGGAAAGUGUUAGGUUAAUCUUACAAUGGUCUAUUAGUACAUGCAUUCAAAAGGGUGGACUUGCAUGUCAAUUUCUCCACUUUGAUAGUAGUGGCCGGCCAUGACAAUGAGGAUAGACAAAAUGUGAUGGGUAAAACAUAUUAUAAGCAUUUUGUGAUAACAUGUUAUGUUAAGAACAAUAAAAUAUGAGGGGAGUGGGAGGAGAAACCAAAGUUGUUUCAUCCUUGCUCCCCCAUUUUGCCGUAACUAGAUGAAAAAAAAAGAAGUUGUAUUCUUUGGCUCUUCUUGGCCGAAAAGAAAAGAGGAAGAAGGGAGGAAAGCAUUCGGUCAUCUUAGGUUAAUAUUAAGCUCAAGAGCCUAGAGGAUCAAAGUUGGAUAAGGGAAAGGAAAAAGUGAUCGAAGAGCCGUCGUAAUCGUUCGGCAACUUCCGAGGUAAGUUUUAAGUGAUUAAACGUUGAGUAAAUUCAAUCAUAAUAGGACAUAAUGAGUUGAUUUAAUAAGGUAUGAUGUGGCCAUGAUAUGUCUUAAACUCAAAUGGUAAGUUCAUAAGUGUUUGGACUUGGAAAUUUAAGAGCAAAUUGUAAUAAUUUGCUUAGGACAGCAGCAGUAACGUGAUUUUAGAAAAUCACUAUAAAUUGUUGGUGUGGAAUUAUAGGCUGAAUAAAAUAUGUAAUCAAAGCUUAAUUAGUCUAGUUUCUUAUAAAAGAGACCGUGUAAGCAAAGAAAUUUCCUAUAAAUAGAUAUUUAAAGUUGUGUGAGACAGUGUCAGAAUGACUCCGAAAUCCCCUGUUCUGUUUUUAGAAAAUCAUUAUAAUUUGUAGAAAAAUGGUUAUAAGAUAAAAUUUAUAUGCUUAGACUCCUUAAUGAGUCUAGUUUCAAAUUAAAACAAAUAUAACAUAUUUUUAAUUCUGUACAAUGAUAAAUUUGAUUCGUAGUGAAGAGUGGUCAGAUUAGUCAAACAGUGAAACAGGGGAAACUUUAAUAAAAAUCUGGUAUUGAUUGGCCAAACCUAAAAUUAUGAAAAUUUUAUGUAUGGAAGAUAUAUGAGUCUAUAUUCAAGGAAAAUUGACGGAAAUUUAUUUUGAUUUUUGUAACUCCAGUUAUAAAUGAUUUUGUGACUAUUGCUCAGGAAAACAGCUUGUAGUGAAUAUGUGAAUUUGUUGAAAACAUUGAUGAAACUAUUUGAGUUGCUUAUAAGCUAUUGCUGAAAUUGAUGCACAAGAUAAAUAUAUGUAUAUGUGGUAAAGCCUAAUGGCUAAUGUGAAAUAUGUAUGAGAUAUGUAUAUGUGGUAAAGCCGAAUGGCUAAUGUGAAAUAUGUAUGAGAUAUGUAUAUGUGGUAAGUAAAGCCGAAUGGCUAAUGUGAAAUAUGUAUGGGAUAUGUAUAUGUGGUAAAGCCGAAUGGCUAAUGUGAAAUAUGUAUGGGAUAUGUAUAUGUGGUAAAGCCGAAUGGCUAAUGUGAAAUAUGUAUGAGAUAUGUAUAUGUGGUAAAGCCGAAUGGCUAAUGUGAAAUAUAUAUAUGAGAUAUGUAUAUGUGGUAAAGCCGCAUGGCUAGUGUGAAAUAUGUAUGAGAUACGUAUAUGUGGUAAAGCCGAAGGGCUAGUGUGAAAUAUGUAGGAGAUGUGUGUAUAUUGUGGCCGAAUGACCAAAUGUGAAAGGUGUGUAUUAUUAGAUAUUUGAUGAGGCAAAUGAAUUAAAAAUAUGACAGUUGAUGUGAAUGUUGUAACAUGUGAUUAAAUGUACAUGAAACUUGGAAAUAUAUUUCGGGUAAGACCCGAUGACUACGUAUGGAGAUUAUGUCCGGGUAAGACCCGAUGACUACGUGUGGAAAUAUAUUCCGAGUAAGACCCGAUGACUACGUGUGGAGAUUUUGUCCGGGUAAGACCCGAUAACUUCGUGUGGAGAUUUCAUCUGAGCUAAAGGUCUCGCCGAUAAUCUGAGUAGAGGUUAAAGCUAUAAGACUUCGUAAUAAGAAUUGCUUAUAAAUAUAUUCAAUGCGAAAGGUUAAACAGGUAUGUACUCCAAGUUUAUAUGUGAGCUUGAUUUGAACUAAAUCAUAAGGUAGUUAUGUGAUGCAUACGUGAGCAAUCUAUGAAACUAUUCCUAUGAUUAUGUGACAUCGGAUUAGUGUGAGAGGUUAUGUGAAAUUAUGCAAUAUAUCUAUGUCACAUGAGCUCACUUUUAUGUGAAAAUUUAUCUACCUAUUGUAUAUGCUGAGAUGUGCAUAUUCGGUAAAGGGAUGGUAUGCCCGAAGGAAGAGUGAAAUAAAAAUACGAACAACUAUGUUAUAAUUUGAUUGUUAUCUGUUGACACUGCUUAAAACUUACUAAGCAUUGUAAUGCUUACUCCGUUUACUUUGUUUUUUUUUUCUGUUUUAUAGAUCUCAUUUCGAAGCUACAGGCUCGGGGAUCGUUAGCAACUAGUCACACUAUCACUAUCCACUGCUUGUUACUAUUAUGUUUUGAAUUAUUUUAUGGCAUGUAUAGAAUAGACCAGUGGCCGAAGAAUAUUUUGGUUAAUGUAUAUAAGUCAUGCGAAAAUGGCAUCUUUUGAAUGUGUACUUAUAGAAGUUUAAAUUGUAUCCCUGACUGUCUUUAGUACUUAUCUAAAGGAAUGUUCAAAAAAAAAAAUUUACUGUUCUGAUAUGAGUUUCAAGUCCGGUAAUGCCCCUUUACCUAUUCCGGCGACGGAUACGGGAUUGGGGUGUUACAUUUUAUUGGUAUCAGAGCUACGGUUUAGUCGAUUCUAGGACUAACGUAGCACGCGUGAGUCUAUUUAUACAUGCCAUAAAGUGAUAAAGUGAUAGUGUGAUGAUUUUUGACUAUUAAAAUGUGUUUGUUGUAUUGUAAUGAAUCAUGAUCCCGAUCGAGCUGUAGCAAGCUUCUGACUAUGAGAAUUUGCGAUAUAACUUCACUUGGAUACGCUUAAAUUAUUAAGUUGAUCAGGUACGCGUCAUGUACUCGUAUUUGAAUUUUGAUUUGGAUUGAAUUAUAAGGGUAUAAGUGAUGCAAUUUUGAAAGAGUGUUAUGACUAUAAAUGUGAUCUUUGUAUGUGGCUAUGGAACUGAAAGUUGAAUGGUCGAUAAGCAUGUUGUGUUUGUAUUCAAGUAAUGUAAAGGAUAUACUAAUGUGUAUUAUUAUUAUAUAUAUAAGUACAUGAGAAUUGAGAGUUAGAUGCCCGGGCUAAGUCCCGAAGAGCAUUCGAGCUGGUGUUAUAUCCGGGCUAGGUCCCGAAGAGCAUUCGAGCUGGUGUUAUAUCCGGGCUAAGUCUCGAAGAGCAUUCGUGCUAGUGAUAUAUCCGGGCUAAGUCCCGAAGAGCAUUCGUGCUGGUGUUAUAUCCAGGCUAGGUCCCGAAGAGCAUUCGUGCUGGUGUUAUAUCCGAGCUAGGUCCUGAAGAGCAUUCGAGCUGGUGUUAUAUCCGGGCUAGGUCCCGAAGAGCAUUCGAGCUGGUGUUAUAUCCGGGCUAUCGGUACUGAUUCAAACUUUAGUUGAGGCAACUCAGUAUUCAUUACAUAAGCCAGAUAAGCUUCACACCCUUUCCUCAUGUAUUUCUUUGCAGACAUGUGUGAAAUCACCAUAGGCAAUUUAUUUGAUUCAUCUGUUUCAACCCACAGAAUUUCUCCAUUUUCACAUUUCAACUCUACUGUUUUUUUGUUUACAAUCUACCUUGGCAUCAUACAAUGUCAACCAGUCCAUUCCCAAGAUAACGUCAAACUCAUCAAAUGGUAACAACAUCAAAUUAGCCGGAAAAUAGUGACCUUGAAUCAUUAAUGGGCAAUUCUUGCAAACCUUGUCAACUAGCACAUAUUGGCCUAAGGGGUUCGACACUUUAAUCAUAAACUCAGUAAACUCAACAGGCAACUUUUUAUUAGAUACUAAAUUCAUGCAAAUAUAGGAAUGAGUGGACCCGGGAUCAAUCAAUGCAAUAACAAUAGUAUCAUAAAGAGAAAUUAUACCAGUAAUGACAUCGGGAGAUGAUGCAUCUUCUCGGGCACGUAUAGCAUAAGCUCUAGCAGGUGCUCUAGCUUCUGAUCUUGCCGUUGAAUCUUUCAUCGCAGUUUUACUGCUAGUCCCACCUCCAGUAUUUCCCGGUGGUCUACCUCUACUAGCGGUGGUAUUCUUUCUAGCACUUUGAAAUCUUUCUUCUUUAACUUUCUCCGGACAGUCUCUAAUAAAAUGGUCGCGAGAUCCGCACCUUAAACAAGCUCGCUCGGUUCCCCAACACUCACCAUAAUGUUGCCUUCCACAUUGCUGACACUCGGGCUUUCUAGGUCGCACAUUACCCACACUUGCCACCGAAGUAGCUUGAGCUUUAGACCCCGAAUAUGCUCUACCACGAUCUCUGUGUGAAUCCCCAGUUGAAACCGUCAUUCGAGGGUUUGUCUCUUUGGACCUCUUUGAUUGAGAUUGAAAUGGCUUGCUUAUCGGCCUUUUUCUGGCAUCUCGAGCCUCAAUAGCAGCUUUUCUUCUUUCUUUGUUCAAUUCUUCGGCUUUAAGAGCUCGAUCAACCAAUACUACAAAUUCUUUCAACUCCAAAAUUCCUACAAGCAAUUUAAUGUCCUCAUUUAGCCCAUCUUCAAACCUUCUGCACAUAAUGGCCUCAGUGGACACACAUUCCUGGGCAUACUUGCUGAGUCUCACAAAUUCGAGUUCAUACUCUGCCACAAACAUCUUGCCUUACUUCAAUUCAAGGAACUCCUUCCGUUUUUGAUCAAUAAAUCGCAGACUUAUGUAUUUCUUUCUAAAUUCUUCCUGGAAGAAAUCCCAAGUAACUCUUUCUUUUGGCACCACUGCUACCAAAGUCUUCCACCAGUGGUAGGCCGAAUCUCUCAAAAGUGAUACAGCACACUUUAAGCACUCCUCGGGUGUACAUGAGAGCUCAUCAAAUACACGGGUAGAAUUUUCAAGCCAGAAUUCCGCUUUCUCAGGAUCAUCAUCGAUCUUUGCUCUAAACUCUUCGGCCCCUUGUUUUCGAAUCUUGUCAACUGGAGGCUUGUUCAUCCUUACCAAAUCUAUGCCUUGAGCAGCUACAGGAAUCGUCUGAGGUAUAGGAGGGGGUGGAGGAGGUUGAGCAUUUGGAUUUGCUCGAAUAAAUUCAGUAUACCAAUUGUUCAUCAUUUGGAGAAAGGCAUCCCGAGCCUCAUCUCCCUGUCUAAAUGCCUCAGGUCUACUUUCCACAGGUGCGGUCCCUUGUACGGGAGCCGGCGCAUUACUAGCAUCAUCAUCAGCCGCAGUUCCUUCAGGAUCCAUUACUAUAUUAAAACAAAACACAGUUUAGAAUAAUCAGGAGUCACCACACUAUCACAAUAUUUUUAUGGCAUGUAUAACUAGACUUUUACACACACUUUAUUAGUCCGAGAACCGACUAAACCAUAGGUCUGAUACCACUAAAUGUAACACCCCUUACCCGUAUCCGUCGCCGGAACAGGGCAUGAGGUAUUAACAAAUUAUAGUAUAUACUAUAAAAUAAAACCCAACAAAAAUAUGGCGUGCAAUUUGAUCAUGGAUCAUUAUAACAUAUGCCAUUAACAAUACAAACCAACUUCAAAGGCUUCGUACAAAAUGAUUAGUUUGAUACUAUAAGUAGUAAUUUGAACCUAGAAAAUUAUGACACGUAACAAAAUAACUAAGUCUGCUAUACGUGCCAUAUUUCAAAAUGUUGAGUUCAGAUACCAAGAGUAUUGAUAGUGCGGGCGGAUCUUCUACGAUCUCUGACUCCUGUGCUAGCUGGAUGACACUAUAAGACAAAGGAGAGAAAAGAAAGUAAGCUUAUAGCUUAGUAAGUAAGUAUAUAAAUAACAAAUAAGGAAUCUAAUAUGUUUACAACAUAACUCAAUUAUAUCAUAUUUUUAAUUUUACUGUUUACUCCAAUUUGAUCAAGCUGUCUCGCCUGUGUCAUGAUCACUAAAUAAAUCAUAAAUCGAGUUACGGAACUCAAAAUUCAAAUCCGUAAAAUUUCCCUGAAUCUAGACUCAUAAAAAUUCUUACUAAUUUUUUUCUAGAAUUUUUGGUUCAUCCAAUUAGUACAGUUUAUUAGUUAAAGUUUCCCAUGUUACACAGCUCAACUGAUCUGACCUCUGUUCAUUACGAAUUGAAUUUCUCUCAGUAAACAAUUCAAACAACCAUGAAACCUAAAACUAGACUCAAUAAGUAAUUUAUGUAUAUAAACUAUAUUUCUUAAUUUGUUUUGUACAAUUUUUAAUGAUUUUUCAAAGUUGAAACAGGGGAUCACAUAGUCAUCCUGAGCAAGUCUCACACAAUUGUAAAUAUCUCAAAAUAUAGAAUUCCUUUGCUUUCUCUGUUUCUUUUAUAUGAAAAUAGACUCAUUAAGCUUUAAUUUAAAAUCUCAUUUAACCUCUAAUUAAAUUCCUUCUAUUUUUGGUGAAUUUUCAAAAUCACGUCACUGCUACUGUCCAAAACAGUUUUAAUGCUAAUUUCACUCUUUCACACAUUCUUUAUACUAACCUCAUUUUAACUUACAUAUAUAUAUACCACAAAUCAUUUUCACCAUAUUUCAUACAUCACAAGUGUAGGUCCAUGACUACAAUGUCACCACAAAACCAUCCCGUUGAACAAUUCGGAUUAAUCCUCGAUACUUGAUGGUUUCAGCACACAACCCCACCAUCAUAUUUCAUUUAAUUCGGCUCUCUUGUACACAUGGUGAACACUUAGUACCACUCAUGCGACCUAGCCGAUUUAUCUCGUAGCUCUCUUGUCUACAUGGUGUCCUUCACUUGGAAUCACGCAUGCGACCUAGCUAUAUUUAUCUCUCACGUAGCUCUCUUGUCUACAUGGGAUACAUCCCGUAUCACACAUGUGACCUAGCUACUAUAUAGUAUCUCGUAGCCUUCUUGUACACAUGAUGUGCACUCGGCACCAUACAUGUGACCUAGCUACGCUCCCCCUAUUUUAUUCGAUUUUUCCGAAUGUUCAACCGGGAUCUCUCUCUCUAUUAUUUAUUUCCAUUCUUCCAAUAGUCGAUUUAUACUUCAACAUCAGCUAAUAUAUAUAUAAUAGGCUGAAAUAUAAAAAUGUAAAUGAAAUUAAUGUAUUAUUUACAUACAAACUUACCUCGGUGCAAAAUAUGGGAAUUUUGCAAUUUAGUCCAAAACUUUCUCCUUCCCCCAUUCGAGGUCGAUUCCACGCCUUUCUUGAUCUAUAACAACAUAUUUAGCUCAUUAAACACUCAAACUAUUUAUUUUAAUCCAAAAAUCACAUUAUACAAAAAUUACAUUUUUGCCCCCUAACUUUUACAAAUUUACAACUUUUCCCCAAGGCUCGAAAAUUUAAUUUUAGCCCUUAUUCUUAUGUUUAAUGACCUACUGAUCAUUUUUCUCUUCUAUGGCAACAUCAAAUUCUCACUCUAACACAUAGUUAUGAACAAUAGGUAUUUUUAUCGAUUAUGCCGUUUUGCUCGUUUUCGUUAAAAAUCGCUUAGAAAAGAUCGUUCUCCUAACUUCAAACAUUCAUAUUCUACCAUCAAACAACAAAAUACAUGCCUAUCAUUCAUGGGUAAAUUUUUAAACCAAACCCUAACUCAAACUAAUGGUAGAAAUAAGUAAACCGAGCUACGAGGAUUUCAAAAAUGUGAAGAACAUUAAAAACGGGGCUUGAAAUCACUUACUAUGAAGCUUGAAAGUUGAAGAAACCCUAGCUAUGGAGGAGAACAAUUUUCGGCAGCAACUAAUGAAGAUGAUAACCAAUUUUGUGUUAUUUUUCCCAUUUUAUUUCAUUUAAUAUACAAAUGACCAAAAUGCCCUUACUACUAAACUUUCAAAAAAAUUCCUUCCAUGUCCAACUUUUGUCCAUAACUUAAGAAUGCGUCAAAUUGCUAUUUAAUACCUCCUAGUUAAUAUCCCAAAGCAAUUUCAUACUAAAAACUUCUAAAACACGAGUUUUACAAUUUAUUCGAUUUAGUCCCUAAUCUCAACUUAAGCGCGAAAUGCAAAGAAUUUCAUCAUGAAAUUUUCACGAAAUCAUGAAAUCAUAUCAUAAACCCCAAAAUAAUUAUAAAACAAUUAUUUCUAUCUCAGAUUUGUGGUCACGAAACUACUAUUCUGAUUAGGCCCUAAUUUGGGUUGUUAGAUAAUCUGAGUGCACCCAAUCACUUAUGAAUGAAAUGCAUCAUCAUAUUAAUUGAAAACAUGAUUGAUUGAGGCCUAAACAUGUUCAACAUGAAUAAAAUAGAUCUUAUUGAAUUAACAUAACCAUCCUAGCAAAUAAGAUUUAAAAUAUCAUUGUUGAUGUCAAAAACAAUAAACUCAAGUCAAAUAUGAUUAAAAUAAAUAACAAGAGGAAAGAGUAAACUCUAUUCAAUUUAGCAGCCUUUCAGAUCUAUUCUGACUAAUGCGCUCCUCCAUUUUGCCCGAUGUUUCUUUUGCUAAGGAGUUCCUAAGGUGGCCGACCAAAGAAUGCUUUUGACAAAGCUUUUGUGGCUAAAGGAUGGAAAGAAGAUAAGCUACUAUUGUAACACCUCUUACCCGUAUUCAACGCCGGAAUAGGGUUAUAAAGUAUUAUCAGACUUACAACUUAAACAACCAUCCAAUUCGAAUCGAAAAUCAUCAACCAAAUUUAAUUCCAAUCAAAUACAAUCACAUUGUCUAUAUUACGAGCCUACGAGGGCCUAAACAUACUUUGAGGUGUGGUUCGGGACUAAACCAAUAGCUUAAGAAAUUUUUACUAAACUUAGAAAAUUUUCCAAACUGUAGGGGUCACAUGCCCGUGUGCCCCGGCCGUGUCUCUCAUAUGGCCAAGAGACACACCUGUGUCUCAAUCCGUGUGGACAUUCGAAAUGGGAUCACAUGGCCAUGUCCCAGCCCGUGUCCGACCCUGUGUAACUCUCUAGUUUACACGGCCAGACCACAUGCCUAUAUGUCUAGUCCGUGUACUACUCGAAAUGGCCACACAUGCCCGUGUGCCAGGCUGUGUGCUAGGCCAUGCAAAAACUGGAAGGUAUACUGACUUGUGCCACACGGCCAUUCAUACGCCCGUGUGUUAGGCCAUGUGGAGCAUACUAACUUGGUUUCUAAAUCCACACCAGGGGCCACAUGGCCAUGCCACAUAAUCGUGUGUCACACACAGUUGAGACACACGCCCGUGUCUCUGUUCGUGUGGGUAAAAAUAGGCUAUUUACCAAGCCAAUUUGCCACCCAAAUUUACAUGUACCUACACAACCCAAAGGGUACAAAUUCAUAGCAUAAAUGAACAUCUAACUUAACCAAAAUUAAGGCUAAAUCAUACCAUUUCCAAACUAGCAAUCAACAUGCUUAUAAACAUAUGUUUUACUCAUUCAACACAUACCAAAAACCCAUAUACAAAUCAACUAACUAACCUUUCCCAAACAUACAUCAUUUUGCACCAAUUCACAAGCACAAUUCAUAUAUGAUAUUAACCAUUUAACAACCAUAUUACCUAUCACAAGCAAUUAUGAACUCAUCAAUAAAGUGUAUUAACACAUGUAUAUAUAUACAUCACCAUCUUAGACAAAAUAAGCCAACUCUCAUGGCUAAAAACAAAACCAAACUUAAUAUCUACAAGCCAACACAAAUGGUCAAAAUACAUAUACCAAAAAGACCAAGUCUCUAUACAUGCCAUAUACUUAAAACACCAAAGUUCAUAGGUACGAAGUGAUAGGUGGAUAGUGUUAAGCGAUCUCCGACGAUCCCCAAAUCUGAGCUAUCUUGAUAACACUAUAAAACACGGGAAAAUAAACAAAGUAAGCUAUAAAGCUUAGUAAGCUCGUAUACCAUAAACUUAAUUCAAUCUCAAGAUUAUAAAUAAAAAAUUUGAAUAUAGUAACAUUUAGCAUAUAUUAGCUAACAAACCUUUCAUAUACACAAUUAUGAUAUUAAUCAUAUUCUUUACAAGUUUCUUCACACCAAAGCUUAUAUAUGUAAUGUACGUACCUGUACCAUCUCAUAUCAUUAUCAUACUCAAUCACGCCUUCCGUUUACCCGAUGAACCAUUUGGAAUAGAAGUUGGAUACUCAAUAGUCUCGCACACUAGGUAACUAUAUCAUGGCACGAAGCCAAAUUAAUGUAGCUUAUAUUCGAUAUACAGGUAUCAUGGCCCGAAGGCAAAUUAGUAUAACUCGCACCCGAAGUGCUAGUAUCAUGGCCCGAAGCCAACUCGAUGUAUCCUCUAAUGGCAUGUCACUAGUAUCCUAAACUAUUCCUAAGGUUCAACCGGGAUUUCGAAUGUCGAAUCAUCGUCAAAUCACUAUCGAUCAUAUUCAUAGUCUCAUAUUCACAAUUUAUGCAAUAUCAAAGCAUAUAAAUACAUUUCUAUCAAAGCUUAUAAUAUACGAACUUACCUUGGACGUAAAAAUGAUGAAAUAGACCGAUUAAUCUGAAACUUUAUUUUUCCCUCGAUCUAGAUCCAAACUUCAUUUUUAUUGACUAAAUAUAAUCAAAAUUAACUUAUUUAAUCAUCUUUCAAUUCAAUUUAAUCCAAAAUUCAUAUUUAAGUAAAUUUACACUUUUACCCCUAGAAUUUCACAACUUUUACAAUUUAGUCCCUAGGCUCGUAAAAAAAUUUAUUCAAUUUCAUCACAACCCAAGCCUAGCCGAAUUACUAUUAUAUUGCUAGCAGCCCAUAUUUUUCAUCUAUUUCACAUUUUAACCACAAAGUUUCCACAUUUCACAAAUUAAUCCCUAAUUUGCAUUAUUACUAAAAAUCACUAAACAAAACUUGUUUAACUAUCAACGAACAUUCAAAAUCUAUCAUCAAUCGACAAAAAUCAUACAUAUUCAUUAAUGAAAAAAUCCUAAACCUUUAAUAUUUUUUGAAAAAUAGUCCCUGGGCUAGCUAGACCUAGUUGCAACAAUCUCAAAAACGUAGAAAUCAUUAAAAAUGGGACAAAAACAGAGUUACAAUUAAACAAUGAAAUGGCCAAAUGCUUGAACACCAAAAAUGGCUUCCCUUAGCCCUAGUUUUCAGUUUCAGGAAGAUGAAUGAAAGAAUAAUUUCAUUUUUUUAUUUAAUUAUACAUUAAUUACUAAAUACAAAUUUUAACCUUAAAAACAUUUAAGAACUACACCAAAUACCUCUCCACUUACAUCCACUACCUCACAAAUAGGUUAAUAACCACAUAAGAACCUUUACUUUAAUAUUCUAUAGCUAUUAGACACAUAUAACUAAUAGCACGCAAGUUUUAAACUUUAUGCGAUUUAGUCCUUUUUAUCAAAUUAAACAUUCAAACAUUAAAAUUUUUGAACAAAACUUUCACACAAUUAUACUAUCAUGCUAUAAACAUUAAAAUAAUAAUAAAAUAAUUAUUUUGACCUCAAAUUUGUGGUUUCAAAACCAUUGUUCUGAUUUGACUAAAAAUUGACUAUUACAGCUAUGCAAAAGAAGGAAAAGGGAAAUAAAAUAAGGAGAAAUUACUAAUAUGAGAAGAGAAAUGAGUUGUGAGGGAUGAAAGAUUAAGGGAUUGGUGCAUGGUAUUUAUAGGUGAAGGUAAGGGGUAGAGUUAGCUAAAAAUAUAUUCAAAAUUCCUUCAUUUUCUACCACACAUGGUCGGCCAUAUUUCAAGGAGAAGGGGAUAACUAAGUCUCCUCAAUUUGAAUUCAAACCAAGGUUAUUAAUAGCCAUAAGGUGGAUGAUUUCAACAGCAAGUUGUUGGGCUAGUUUCUGAUUAUUUUCCAACUAUAAGGACCUUCAAUUAAAUACCCCAAAGCUUACUUUUGGGUAGCCAUCUACUUGUGCCAAAACUGGGCUUUAGUUCCCCCUUAUUAGGCGGUUUCUCAGUCCAAUAAUUUAACAUCCAUGUCUAUCUUUUAGCACCUCUUUUAAUGGGUCAAAUUAUCAACCCCAUGACCCAAAUUGCAUGGUCUUGCCAUCCACAUAAAUUAAUUUGUGCAUGUCCAUGUUUCAUUUACAUUAAUCACAUCUUAAAUGGUCCUCCUACAUAGUAAAAAAAAUCACAUAUUAAUAAAUUAACAUGAAAUAAUAUAAAAUAUGUACAAAAAUCAUGUAAUUAAGUAUAAUUUCACAUACUUUAUAAAUUCAUGCCCAAUAUUACUAAUUAAGUAAAAUUCACUUAUUUUAAUAAUAAUUACUCAAGAUUGACAUAUUUAUUAAGUAAAAAGAUGGUAAAAUAUAUAGAAAUACCCUAUAUAAUUUCAAGUUUACACACCCCCCAAACUUAAACCAUUGCUCGUCCCGAGUAAUGUUCAUACACAAUACAACUUUUGCUAAGGCAAUUUUGCAAAAUGAUCACACAUCAACAAAAUCAUGCUCAAAAAUUCUUUUUAUCAAUAAGUAGCUCGAAUGCAAAUAUUAUUUCCAAACUUUAUACUAAAUACAUCAUAAUGUGAACAUGAAUCAUAGUAUGCAUGCAUUUUCAUAGUUAUACAUAAAAUUCACAAAUUAAUAAGGUUUCCUUAUCAACUAAACAUAGCAAUCUCAAGCUUUAAUUAGUGGUCUUCAUAAGUUAAGCUUAUUAAUUUCUCUCCAGUAAUGUAGUUGGUAUAAUCAUCCAAUCAAUAGGUCUUUUAUUAGGUUGUAAUGGGGCUAGGCUACAGGUAGGGAUAAUGGGAAGUGAAUUUUUAGGUUCAAUCAUCUUAACCCUAACUUGUUUUGGAUCUUUCUGUGUCACGACUUUCAUAAAAUUGGGUCAUUGGAACACCCUCGAACUUAUUUCGAACUCAUGCUCAACUAAUUCUUUUAGACUUUGGGCAAACUUUUCGCUUUAUUUUUUUUUUACUUUUUUGAACAAAAUUUCCUUCUUUUUUUUUGAAUCAUGUACAUCUUUUCAUAUCUUUCCUCAAACUUUGAUCACCAAGAUAAAUUCAUUUAAGAUAGGUGCAAAAGAAUAGGAUAAAAUGAAAAAGAUGAUAAUGUGGCUUAUAAUGUAGAUACUUUGCAAUAAAUAGGCAUUAAGCUCAAAAAUUAAGUUUCAAGGGUUAAUUAAUUAAUAAGGUCAACUUGAAAGGCUCAAAUGACCCAAAGGAAAUGAGCCUAUAUCAUAUUAGAUUCUUAUACCUCCUAGGACUUCACCUCAAGAAUGUUACCAAGUCAAUUCUAAAGACUUAAACCUUCAUACAUGUCUAUUUCUAAAGAAAUCAAAUUUUCAUGGCAAAUACUACAUAAGACUAAAAAUCAUACAAGCAUUCCAUCACUUAAGAUAACAUACGAAUAACUUAGAUAAAAUCAAAAGCCAUGCUUGCAUUUGAACAUACAUACGAACAAAAAUUAUUUUUGAACAUUCAUUUAUUUUGGCAUACUUAAGUAAAAAUAUUAAAACAUACUUUAAAAUUCAUGUGAAAUGUUUUACCCCCCUUUAAAAAGAAACAAUGUCAUCAUUGCAAAAACAAAGUAAUGAAUGAAAACUAAACACCAUGUAGAGUUGCAAGAAAAGAGAGGUGAGUCAUAAAGACCGCUUAAGUACCAAGUCUUUCUCAACAACCCAAUCCUAGACAUGUUCAUUCUCAUUACCACAUCACUUUGCUUUUUCUAUUGAAGCGGCAUUGACCUUAUUUAUUCAUGCAUGCUAUUUAUUAUGCGAAAGCAAAAAUUUAAUUAAGAAAUAAAAAUAAACAACUAAAAAGAAAUAAAAACUAAAGACAAGAAAUUCCUCCUUUUAUUUAUUUGAAUUAUCCUCCCCAUCUUCGUCAUUUGAUGUUUCAUCCUAGCUUGUAUUGUCAUCUUCCUUCCAUGACUCGAAGAUAUAAUCCAGAAACUCAGGAACAAAAUUGUUAGAGAUAUUUUUAAAAGUAUUUCUUACAUAAUUAUCCCUAAUCUUCGAAUAUUUCCAAUAAGCUUGUUUUUGGUUAUGCAUUAAUUUCAUCAUAUCCAUCAUAAUUGACACUUCCGAUUUCUUCAUAGUAUUUAAAGAAAUGGGCAUAUGAAUAGUCAACUCAAGAUCAACACUUGGUUUAACUGGCUCAUCAACAUUCAGCUCUUCUCUUGGUUUAGAAAUUUUUGGUUCCUUUAUUGGUUUUGGAUUUUUUAGUUCUUCCUCAAAUUAUGCUUCUUUUGUCUCAGUAACUGAGUUAUCCUCCAUUUUGGAUUUGUUCAAUGAAUCAUCAGUUUCUGGUUCUGUUGGUUCACUCGGUUCAAUUAGGUUUAGCUCAUGGACAUUCUCCACUAGCCUUUCAAGAUCAUGGGCCAUUAUGCAACCUUGAACAUAUGGGCCCUUCAAAUCUGCUUUUGUUUAACUUUGGCCCUUACGCAAAGUGAAGUUAUCAAUGAUGGAAAGUAAGCACUUCCAAUAUUCGCUCCAUCGAGAUUGUCAAACUGUGUGAGAUAGGCAUGAAACUAUAUCGAACAAAGUAGAACCAUACCUUACCCAACAGCUUUCAAUAUUCCCUUCGGCAAGAAUGAAUACCAUACUUUCUUAUAAUCUAAUGGUGUAACAACCUAUUUUUAGUGAAAUUGGAACAGUGGUCUCGGGACCACAAAUUUGAGCCAAAAAGAAAAUUUAUGUUAAUAUUAUUGCAUGGUCUGCAUUAUGAUAGGAAUGUUAUAUGAAAAUUCUGAUAAAUUUUUUUUAUUGAUUAUAUGUUUAAUUAGGGAAAUGACCAAAUUGCAUAAAAUGCAAAAGUUGAGUUCUAGUAGCUAAAAGGAUCAAAUAGCUAUGGAAUUAAAAAUGAGAGGUCCUUAUAUGGUAAUUAGACCAUUAAAUAAAAGUUAGUAGAUAUUUUUGGUGAUUCAUCCAUGAAAAAUUAGAAAAAGAAAAGGAUGAAAUUGGAAAGUUCAAAAAUUAAAUAUGAUAAAUAAAAUAAAUAUCAAAUAAUAUCAAUUUAUAUCAUAUUCUUUCCCAAAAUUUUACAUGGAAACCCUAGGAAAGAGAAAGGAAACUAAUCAAGCUUAAUUAGAUCCGGAUAACUCAAAUUUGGAGUUAGAUCGAGGAAAAGAAGAAGUGUCGAUUAGUAGAUUCUUAUAUAUAAACAAGUAUCAAGGUAAGUUCGUGUAACUUAAUUAUGUACAUUCGUAUGUUUGAAUUGAAUGUUAUAUUUGUUUGAAUUGUAUAAAUGUGUAAUGAAUAACACCUCUAACCCGUAUCCGUCGUCGUAACAGGGUUUCGGAGCAUUACCGAAACUUUAAGAACAUUUUACAAAUAAUUUAUGAAAAUUACUGUUCAUUAACCCAGAUCAUUUAAAACAUCUCUUAGUUGGACCCUCGAGGCCUAAUACGAGCAUUAGAAUCGAGUUGGAACCUAAUCUGGAACUCUAAGAAUUUUUCACGAAAUUACAAAACUUUUCUAUGUUGCAGGGCUCACACGCCCAUGUCGUCUAAGGGACAUGCCCGUGUGACCCUGGGACACGUCCGUGCUACUGGCUGUGUUCGACCCCAUGUAACUCUCUAACUUGUGCACACAGCCAUGCCAUACGCCUGUGUGCUAGGCUGUGUGGUUAAUUAAUUCAAUUUGAAAUUAGGUGCAGGUUUCACAAGGCCAAGACACACGCCCGUGUUCUUGGUCGUGUAGCACACACGGUUGAGACACACGCCCGUAUGCUCAAUUCUGAGCAUUCUUUUUCUCAAAAUUAAGGUGCAGGGGACACACGACCUAACUACAUGCCGAUGUACUUGGCCAUGUGGACAAAAUAAAGCUAUUUUUGGCUUUAUUUCUCAUCCAAAAUCACACCAAAAGGCCUGCGCUUAAAACUCACAUCCUAUACCUACCAUUUGAGCAUUUAAAUUAAGCAAACUCCAUCAUUCAACAAGGCAUAUUAUUACAUGCAUAUAUGUUUAUAAACUUUCGUUGGUUUAACUUAGGCAUUAACAUCAUUUGAUCACAUAUACUUAACAUAAGACGUGUAUAUAUCAUAAUAACCUACUUAAUCAUACCAAAAUAAACCAUUACUAGCCAUUCCAAUUGCUAGGUUACAAAACAUCAUUUUCAAUCCAUUAUUGGCCAAGUUGUCCUACACAUGUCAUUAUACCAGAAUGAUUCUACUAUAAAUACUCAAAAUAGCUAGUAGAUAGUGUGAUGAUGUUCCAAUGAUCUCUAACCUUCGCAAGCAUCCGAGCAUUAUAAAGUAGGGGAAAAUAAAACGGGAUAAGCAUUACAUGCUUAGUAUGUUCGUAUAACGAAAACUAAACUUACCAAUCCCGUUUAUUAAAUCUAAGAAUACAAUAUCAUGUUUUCCAUUCAUUUGGCAUAAUUUCCUAAACACAUGCAUUCAUUCAAACAUGUUAGUCAAAAAUCUUCAUAUACAUCAAGUAAGGAUAGAUGAGCUCAUCAUGCAAUAUUCUUUCAAGACAUUAUCAUUUCAUCUCAUAAUACUCAUACCAUGUCAGGAGUUGUGUCCGUUGAAUCAUUGAAAUCCUAAUGGAUGUUCAAGUGGUACACUCGAGGUGUACGAUUCAAUAACCCGUCAAUUCUUUCUCAAGAGUACCCAUUAGGGCACUUAAUGAAGGAACGGACUCUCGAGCCACACGACGUAUAAUAGGAUUACCAGCCCAGGCUAAAUCCUUUAUAUAACGUAUGCUUAGAAGAGCUCAAUUAGGAUAACCAAUCCAGGCUAAACCUUAAUUGUAGCAUAUGCUUAAGAGGGUUUACAUUAGGAUUACCCGUCUGGGCUAAACCCUUUUUAUAAUCAGGUCCAUAGGAUUACUCGACCAAGUUAAAUCUCGUCUGUAACAAAUUCAAGACCUCAUUCAUUUCGGGAAAACACACAUGUUCAUUGGAAUUCAAUAUUCAAUCGAGACAUAACCCUUUUUGACCAUUGUCAAACAUGUAUUAAUUUCUCAUAUUAUAACAUCCAUGUAAAUCACAUAAAUAACAAUUACAUUUCAUACAAUCACAACAUUUAAUUUAACAUAAUUAUAGGCUCAAUUAAGAUACACGAACUUACCUCGACACUUGUUCGCGUAAGUAAUCUACUAAUCAAAACUUUUUCUUUUCCUCUAUCUAACCUCGAUUGUGAGUUGUCCGGAUCUAUAUAAAUAGCUUUAGUCAUUAAUUUCUCAUAUUUCAUAAUUACCAUUUUGCCCCUAACUUUUCCAUAAAUUCCAAUUUUGUCCCUAGGAUCGGAAAAUGAAACUGGUGCAAUUUACUCCCUAUUCCAAGCCUAACCAAAAUCCCCUUACAAAAUUUACAGCACAUGUAUUCAUAAAAUUUUAGCAUUUUUCUUCAAUUUCACAAUUUUACAUUUUAAUCCCUAAUUCAUGUUUUCAUCAAAAAUCACUUUGUAAAAGUUGUUUAUCUAUCAACAACCUUUCAUUUUCUACCAUAAAUUUCUAAUUUUCAACAUAUUCAUCCAUGACCCAAAUUUUAUACCUUGAUAACUUUUCAAAUUAAUCCCCCAAAUAGAUAGAUUAAGUUAUCCCGGUUACAAAAAUAUCAAAAUUACUAAAAACAGGAUAAAGAAACUUACCCAAUUAAGCCAUAAAUGUUUCUUCUCUCUCUCCUAGGGUUUCCAUGUAUUUUAGGUUGAAGAAGAUGAGAAAAUAAGAUGAUAUUUUCUUUUCAUAUUUUAAUUAAUUAAAUAUUUUUCAAAUUCCAAUUUAGUCUUGCCCUUUUUCAAAAUUUCCAUGGAUGUGUCACUAAAAAUCUACAUACUUUUCUUUAAUAGUCUAAUUACCAUAUAAGGACCUCUAGUUUUGAAUUCCAUGGCUAUUUAAUCCUUAUAGCUACUAGAAUUCAACUUUCGCAUUUUAUGCGAUUUAGUCCUCGUAAUUAAAUACUUAAUCGAUAAAAUUUUCGUAUCAAAAAUUUCACACGACAUGUCCAUCAUAAUACGGACUAUAUAAUAAAAUAAAAAUAAACUUUAUUUUCGAAUCAGAUUUGUGGUCCUGAAACCACUGUUUCGAUUUUACUAAAAAAUGGGUUGUUACAACUCUCCCCCUUUAAGGAUUUUCGUCCUCGAAAAUCUUACCAGUAAUAAGAUUCGGGUAUUGCUUAUUCAUAGUAUCCUCCGACUCCUAGGCAGCCUCCUCUAUACCAUGUCAUUGCCGAAGAACUUUUACUAAUGCUACCAUCUUAUUUUUUAACUCUUUUGUUUCCUGGGCUAAGAUUUUGAUUGGUUCUUCAAUAUAUGUCAUAUCAAGCUAAAUCUCUACCUCUGUACGAGAAAUAACAUGUAAAGGAUCAGAUCAAUACCGUCGUAGCAUAGCGAAUGAAAAGCAUAUGAAUCCGAUCAAGUCCUAGUGGUAAAGCUAACCAAUAUGCAAUCAAUCCAAUUCUUUCUGUAAUAUCAUAUGGUCCAAUGGACAGUGGACUCAGUUUUCCUUUGCGACCAAACUGGAGAACUUUCUUCCAAGGCGAUACUUUCAAGAAUACCUUGUCACCAACUUGAAAUUCUAUUUCAUUUCAUUUCAGAUUAGCAUAAGACUUUUAAUGAUCAGAGGCUGCUUUCAAACUGUCCCGAAUUACUUUCACUUUUUCCUCUAUUUCACAGACCAAGUCAACUCUGUGUAACUUUUUCUCAUUGAGUUCUAUCCAAUACAACAGAGUUCUACAUUUGCGACUAUAAAGCUUCAUACGGUGCCAUUUUGAUACUAGACUGAUAACUGUUAUUGUAAGCAAAUUCAACUAAAGGCAAAUACUUUUCCCAGUUACCUUCAAACUCAAGUAUAAAGCACCGAAGCAUAUCUUCCAAGAUAUGUAUUACAUGUUCAGAUUGACCAUCUGUCUAUGGAUGAAAUGCAGUGCUAAAGUGUAAUUGAGUACCCAGAGCUUCUUGCAAUUGGCUCUAGAAUCGAGAUGUAAACCGAGGGUCUCUAUCUAAAAUAAUGGAGAUAGACACUCCAUGCAAUCUGAUAAUCUCAGAAACAUAUAAUUCAACCAAUCUAUCCAAGGAAAAAUCCAUACGUACUGAAAUAAAGUGUGCAGACUUUGUCAACCGAUCAACAAUUACCCAAAUGGCAUCUUUCUUCUUUGGAGACAGGAGUAACCCCGAUACAAAGUCCAUAGUAAUUCUUUCCCAUUUCCAUUCUAGUAUCGUAAUAGGCUGUAAUAGUCCAAAAGGCAACUGAUGUUUACCUUUUACUUGCUGACUUAUCAAACAUUUAGAUACAAACUCAGAAAUAUCUCGUUUCAUUCCCGGCCACCAAUACAUCUUUUUUAGAUCAUUAUACAUCUUAUUACUACCAGGAUGUAUAGACAUGUUACCAUUAUGAGCUUCAUUCAAAAUAUUCUGUACUGGUUCUGAACUUUUCAGUACACAUACUCUGCCUCUGAAUAACAAACAACCAUUAGUCGAUUCACUUUGUAACCAUUUUGUUUGUAACUUACUAUCAUUUUUCUGAGCUUCAAAUAUCUUCUGCAAAAAUGUUGUCUAGCUUUUAACUCAGCUAUAAUUGAGCCAUCAUUAGAUAAUGACAAUAGAGUAUUCAUAGCUCACAAGGAAAACAUGGAUUUUCUACUCAGAGCAUCAGCAACUACACUGGCUUUUCCAGGAUGGUAGUCAAUAACAAGAUCAUAAUCUUUCAAUAACUUAAGCCACCUGCGCCGUCUCAAAUUCAAAUCUUUCUGUGUCAUCAAGUACUUCAAACUUUUAUGAUCUGUCAAUAUGAGACAGUUUUCACCAAACAGGUAAUGCUGCCAAAUUUUCAAUUCAAACACUAUGGCUGCCAAUUCAAUAUCAUGUGUCGAGUAGUUUCUUUAAUUUGGUUUUAGCUGUCUUGAAGCAUAGGAUACUACUUUACCUUAUUGCAUCAAAACUUAGCCUAAACCAUUCAAUGACACAUCACUAUAAACUAUAAACUCCUUACCAUGUUUUGGCUGAACUAACACUGGAGCAUCUAUCAAUAGAGCUUUUAAUCUAUCAAAACUUUGCUGGCAUUUAUCAAUCCACUCAAAUUUCACAUCUUUUUGCAAUAGACGGGUCAUCAAAGAAGCUAUCAUUUAAAAACCUUUUACAAACCUCCGAUAAUAACCAGCUAGUCCUAGAAAACUUUGGACUUCAGACACAUUCUUCAGUGGCUUCCAAUUAACAAUGGCUAAAAUUUUAUUCAGAUAUACUCUGACACUUUUAGUAGAUACUAUAUGCCCGAGAAAACUAACUUCCCAUAGCCAAAAUUCACAUUUACUGAAUUUGGCAUACAAUUGUUUCUCUUGCAGGGUUUGUAACACUAUUCUCAAAUACUCAGCAUGUUUAUUUUCAUCUCAGGAGUAAACCAAAAUAUUGUCAAUAAAUACCACCACAAACUUGUCUAAAUAUAGGCUAAAAAUUCUGUUAAUCAAAUCCAUAAACACUGCAGGUGCAUUUGUCAAACUGAAUGGCAUUACAAGAAAUUCACAAUGUCCAUACCUGGUUCUAAAAGCUUUCUUUGGUACAUUCAAAUUUUUACCCAUUGUUGAUAAUAGCCAGAAUGGAGAUCAAUCUUGGAAAUUAUAGUAGUACAUUUUAACUGGUCAAACAGGUCAUCAAUACGACUUGUUCUUUAUUGUAACUUUGUUGAGUUGUCUACAAUCAAUGCACAGUCUCAACGAUCCGUCCUUCUUCUUUACAAAUAGAACCGGCACACCCCAAAGUGAGAAACUAGGUCGAGCAAAACCUCUAUCAAUCAAUUCUUGCAACUGUGCUUUCAACUCUUUCAACUCAGUAAGAGCCAUCCUGUAAGGUGUUAUGGAUAUAGGUGUUGUACCCGGAACAAAAUCUAUAGAGAAUUCCACUUUUCUAUUCAGUGGUAAACUAGGUAAUUCUUCUGGGAAUACAUCAGGAAAUUCGCAUACAACUGACACUGAUUGAAUCUUUGACUCAGAUACUUUAGUAUCCAACACAUAUGCAAGAUAAGCAUCAUAACCCUUUUUGACAUAUUUCUGUGCUUAUAUUGCUGAAAUCAUAUUAAGUAAUCCAUCUAGUUUAUUAGAUUCAACAUGAAGUAAUUUACCACCCUCACAUUUCAAUACAAUAUAUUUCUGUUUACAAUUCACCACUGCAUCAUAUUGGGUUAACCAAUCCAUUCCCAAAAUCACAUCAAAUUCAUCAAAUGGCAAUAACAUCAAGUCAGUCGAAAAGCAAUAACCUUUUACCAUUAAUGGAAAGUACUUACAAACUUUAUCCACUAUAACACACUGGCCCAGAGGGUUUGAAACUUUAACCACAAGUUUAGUGAAUUCAAUAGGUAAAUUCUUAACAGACACUAAGUUCGUGCAUAUGUAUGAAUGUGUGGAACCAGGAUCAAUCAAAGCAAUAAUAUCAAUAUCUAGUAAAGAAAAUGUACCAGUAAUGAUGUAUGGUGUAAAGGCAUCUCCUCUAGCACGAAUGGAAUAUGUCCUUGCAGGUGCUCAUGCCUCAGAUCUAACUGUUGUAUCCUUGGUAGUACCUCAACUACCACUAACAUUUCCAGGACGAUGGGGUGGUCUGCCUCUCGAGACAGGAUUACUAGGCUUUGGAGCUGGUUUUAUCUUUUUUUCAACUCUUUUUGGACAAUAUCUGAGAAAAUGGUCAAGUGAACCACAUCCAAAACAAGCUCCACUUCUAGACUGACAUUCCCCAUGACGAAAUUUGUUACAAUGUUUACAUUUUGGUUUGGGAUUACCAACACUACCCACACUGGUCAUAGAUAGAGAUGAAGACCUUUGGUUAGAACAUUGAGAGCCCCGCUGUAACACCCCUUACUCGUGUUCGACGCUGGAAUAGGGUACGAGGCAUUACCAGACUUAAACACAAGCAUACAUACAUUUCGAAGCCAUCAAUUUUUGUCCAAUUUUAUAACUUUUUUCAUUCAAUCAUAAAGUUCCUAUUACGAGCCUACAAGGCCCAAAAUAUGCUUUGAAAGUGGUUCGGGACUAAACCGAGAACUUUAAAAAAUUUUACAACACUUAGAAAAUUUUUGCCUAAACAGGGGUGUUAUAGCGGGUAAGGGGGUAUAUUAAAUCUAAGAAUACAAUAUCAUGUUUUCCAUUCAUUUGGCAUAAUUGCCUAAACACAUGCAUUCAUUCAAACAUGUUAGUCACAAAAUCUUCAUAUACAUCAAGUAAGGAUAAAUGAGCUCAUCAUGCAAUAUUCUUUCAAGACAUUAUCAUUUCAUCUCAUAAUACUCAUACCAUGUCAGGAGUUGUGUCCAAUGAAUCAUUGAAAUCCCGAUGGAUGUUCAAGUUGUAUACUUGAGAUGUACGAUUCAAUAACUCGUCAAUUCGUUUUCAAGAGUACCCAUUAGGGCACUCAAGGAACACACUCUCGAGCCACAUGACGUAUAAUAGGAUUACCAGUCCAAACUAAAUCCUUUAUAUAACAUAUGCUCAAAAGAGGUCAAUUAGGAUUACCAAUCCAGCUAAACCCUAAUUGUAACAUAUGCUUAGAGGGUUUACAUCAGGAUUACCUAUUCGAGCUAAAUCCUUUUUAUAAUGAGGUCAAUAGGAUUACUCAUCUGAGCUAAAUUCGAUUAGUAAAAAAUGCAAGACCUCAUUCAUUUCGGGAAAGCACAUAUGUUCAUCGAAAUUCAAUAUUCAAUCGAGACAUAACCCUUUUUCACCAUUUUCAAGCAUGUAUUAAUUUUUCAUCUUGUAACAUUAAAUCACAUAAAUAAUAACCACAUUUCAUACAAUCACAACAUUUAAUUUAACAUAACUACUGGCUCGAUUAAGUUACACGAACUUACCUCGACACUUGUUCACGUAUGUAAUCUACAAAUCCAAAACCUUUUCUUUUUCUCGAUCUAACCUCAAAUGUGAGUUGUCUGGAUCUAUAUAAAUAGCUUCAAUCAUCAAUUUCUCAUAUUUCAUACUCAUUUGGACUCAAUUUACGUCCUAGGAAAAAUUACCAUUUUGCCCCUAACUUUCCAUAAAUUCCAAUUUCGUCCCUAGGCUCAGAAAAUGAAACUUGUGCAAUUUAAUCCCUAUUUCAAGCCUAACCAAAAUCCCUUUACAAAAUUUACAGCACAUGCAUUCAUAAAAAUUCGACAUUUUUCUUCAAUUUCACAAUUUUACAUUUUAAUCCCUAAAUCAUGUUUUCAUCAAAAAUCACUUUGUAAAAGUUGUUUAUCUAUCAACAACCUUUCAUUUUCUACCAUAAAUAUCUAAUUUUCAGCAUAUUCAUCCAUGAUGCAAAUUUCAUACCUUGAAAUCUUUUCAAAUUAAUCCCCCAAAUAGAUAGAUUAAGCUAUCCUAGUUUCAAAAAUAUCAAAAUUACUAAAAAUGGGAUAAGAAAACUUACCCAACUAAGCCAUGAAAGUUUCUUCUCUGUCUCCUAGGGUUUCCAUGUAUUUUAGGUUGAAGAAGAUGAGAAAAUAAGAUGAAAUUUUCUUUUCAUCUUUUAAUUAAUUAAAUAUUUUUCAAAUUCCAAUUUAGUCCUUGCCCUUUUUCUAAAUUUCCAUGGAUGAGUCACCAAAAAUCUUCAUACUUUUAUUUAAUGGUCUAAUUACCAUAUAAUGACCUCUAGUUUUGAAUUCCAUAGCUAUUUAAUCCUUAUAGCUACUAGAACUCAACUUUCGCAUUUUAUGCGAUUUAGUCCUUCUCAGAAUUAAACAUUUAAUCGAUAAAAUUUUAGUAUCAAAAUUUUCACACGACAUGUCUAUCACAAUAUGGAUCAUAUAAUAAAAUAAAAAUAAACUUUAUUUUCGGAUCAGAUUUGUGGCCCUGAAACUAGUGUUCCAAUUUCACUGAAAAAUGGGUUAUUACUAAUGUAUGAAAUUAAUCGCAUGUUUGAUAUUACUCAAUAAAUGAUAAGUCCCGUUUGAAUAAUUUUUGAUGGAUAAAUAAAUUUUCCUGUAUUGAUUAUACUCCUGCAUAUGUUGCAGACAUUAUAGCUCAGACGAGCAUCCUGUUAAAAUCCUACUCGAGCAUCCUGUUAUAUAGUUCCUGCAAGCAUUUUGACCUGUAGUGAUUCUACAUGUGUUGCACAUUACUGCAGCUCUUUGUGAGCAUCCUGUUACAUGAUUCGAUCAGUUGUGAUCCAGCAUAUAAUGCGGACACAAACGCAGCUCUUCGUGAGUGUCCUGAUAUAGGCUCUUAUGAGCUUCCUCACAUAGCUCACUUGAACUUUCUGUUACCUUAUCCGGUGCUCCCUGAUAAUAAUUCUUCGGAGUUACCUGUAAAUCUUUAUAAGCUCCUUGAUUAAAACUCUUAUGAGUUUCCUAUGUAGCCCGGAUAAGCGUCCUAUUACAUGGCCCAUCUGAGCAUCCUGAUAUAUGGCUUGAGAAUGUGCUCCCUGAUUAUGUGCCCUAACAGGUACCCCUGAACAUGAAUUGACAGAUCACUGAUGAUACGAACCGCCUCAGGGAGAGUCGAUUCGUAUGCUGAGUUGCCAGAUCGUCUACGAGAAAGUAUCGUUCAAUUCGCUUUUGGAAUGAAGUUGAUAGAAAAAUAGGACGGAAGCUAUGUAUAAUGGUUUAAUGAUGGAUGUAAUGCCCAUGAAUGGCGCCUCUACAUCGACACCACCAGCAGCCUCCGUACGCGCUAGCUACCCCCACCACGUUGCCUCCGUACUUGCAAAUAAAGACAAGCAAAGGACAACUACAACAACAAUAGCAAAAAAACGAGCAGAGCAAUGAAAAAAGAAAAGGAAUUGUAUUUUUCUUUGUCGUUUUAUUUGGUUCGGCUAUGAAGCCAAGAACCUUUCCUUUUGUAAAAACUACGAACGGACACCAAUCAAUCGAGUAUAAAAAAAUAUUUUUGAAGGUGGUUCAUUUUUUCGCUGUUCUGAUUCUUAUUUUUUCUCUUUAUUUUCUCGCCUAGUUUUUAUCCUUUUUUACUAAGAUACACACACAAAAAGAGCGGAUCGCUUUUUUAUGCAUACAUGUAUAGAAAUUAAGAGAAAGGAAUCAAAAAAAAAAGAGUUUUUGGGCAGAAGGUGAUUAUCGUUCUUUUGUUCUUUUUUGUUAGAGCAAGAUUUGCAUCGUUCUUUGGUGAUUUUCUUUCUUUCAUUUCUCAUUUUAAUAUAGAAUAAAAAGGAUUGGGAUAAAGAAACACUCACCUGAAUCAAUCAGGUUGUCAGAGUUGCAUCUUCCUCUUCGAAAUCAAGCCCAACUCAUUGCUAGUCAUCUAUUACAAUGAUGGUGUGGCAAUUGGGGGUGAGUUCUGGUCGGCCAAAUGAGGGAUUAAAAAGAGGCUAGGGUUUCAAUUUCAAAAGGACCGAUUGUUUCAUUUUUUUGGGAGGAAUUGUUUGCUUUUAUAAAAGUUUUGAAACGGUACCGUGUAAGAAGGGUGGGGGGAGCCUUUUGCGCCUAAAAAUGUCUAUUUAUGCAACAAGUCCUUCCCCUUGUGCAUAGCCUUCAAUUUGCGUCCAAUUUGCCUACCUUGUGUUUUAAAAUUUGGCCUGCUAAUUUGUGCAUUAUUUCACUUUGAUCCGCGGUUCCAUGCAGCAUUGUAGGCACGAGAUAUUUACAAAUUCAGUCUUUAUACAUUUAUGCGCUUUGAGCAUUGGUCCAUAUUAUGAUUACUUUAUUUGUAAAUUAUCCUCCCUAUUUUAUUGCAGUAUUAAUUUGGUCUUACAGUUGUACAAUUGAUUAAUUUUUAAUACAUUUAAUAUGUGUAUGCCUUAAUCCAUGUUAAUAAUUUUGGUUGUUACAUUUGUACAAUUAUUUUUAGAUUGUUUUUUUUUUCACAUUAUGUAUCCUAUUUCUUUAAAUAUUUUAUAUGUAUUUGUAUGUUAAUCAUUAGUUUAAGUUUUUUAUAAUAACUAUUAUUUUGCAUGUUGUAAUAUUUUUUUAUGUAUUAUAUUGUUUUAAUACACUAUUAAUAAGUGUUGUUAAUAUAUUUAUAUACAUAAAUUAUUUAAAAUAUUUCUUAAUUUAUGUUUAAUCUGCAAGUCUUUAUGUACAUAUGAGACUGUUUUGGAAAAUCUAUCUUUGUAUUCAUAAAAUUGUUAUUUUGAAAACGUGUCUCCAUAUUAUGUUAUCCAAGUAUGUUAUUUAAUUUCUCUUUUAAAUAGUUUUAAGUAAAAUGGUAUGUAUGAUAAUAUAAUUUCACAUAUAUUUAUUUCUAAACAAAAGUUUUAAAUAAAAAAUCUAUCAUAUGAGUAAUACCUUGCCAUGAAUUAUAAUUUAUUCAUAUAUAGUAUAUUAUUUAAAUUAUUAUUAAACAUAUGUUUUGUACUUAUAUUUAAUUUGCAUCUAUUAUUAAAGCUUUGAUAUUCUUAUACAUAUAGAUUUUAAUAAACUUGUAAUUAAUUGCAUUUUUUAUUAAUUAUGUAAAUAAUUUAUGAUAAAACUAGGUUAAUUCUAUAAUUCAUAUUUUAAUUAAAUGAUAUUUGGACAUAUAAUUAUUUUUAACAUUUUUUCACAUGUAUAUGGCACAUAUUAAAUUAUUUUUACUAUGGUACAUGUUAUUAUUUUCAUAUAACUUUAUGUAAAUAUUUUUCUAUGUAUAUAUAUCCUGUUUAAAAAUUAUUUAUGCGGAUAAUGUUUUUAAGAACCCUUUUAAAUCAUAUAAUUUAUUGUAUUUCAUAUUAUCCUUAUGUUCUUUAUAUAUAUAUAUUUUGCUAUUUAUAUAACUUAUAUGUUUACUUCUUUUUUUUAUACAAUAUUAAUUUCAUUCUUUUUAUCAAUAAUUAUACCCAAUGUUUAUCUAUAUAUAAAGAUUUCAUAAAUUUACUUUAUAUAUUAUCUUAUAUCAUAUAUCAUGUGUCCACCCAUCUAUUUUGAAAAUGUCUUAUACUAUAUCGACCUCUAAACUCCAUUUUGUUUUCGUAUAUGAUAUGUUGGUUGACUUAUAUUGUGCCAUGUUUAUUAUUGGCGUAUAUCAUCAUCUAUUGUUUUAUUUCUUAUAUAAAUCAUUUGUCAACCACGUUUACGAGUUUGAUUAUAUUUUCUUGAUAAAUUAUGCUUAGUUAUAAGUUUGUUAAUUGGUAUUGCAUUUUAUGUAUGCAUAUUACCCCAAGUUUUAUUUUCCCUUUAGCCUACAAAUGUCGCAUUACAAUUUUCAACUUCCUUUUUUGAAAAAUUCUAAUUAAUUAUUCCAUCAUAUUUCAAGUCAAACUAAUAUGUUUUAAGCUAGUUUUAUAAUCAAUCAUUUAAAAAUCCUUUAAAACGAAGACGAGAUUCGAUCUUUGACAAUUCACGGAAUAGUGCCCUAACGUGUUGGGUUGCAAUUUCGCGUUUGCUCAAAAUAAUAGAAUAUCCCUUCGAAAUUUCACUCAUGCCUAUUAAAAAUUCUUUAAAACGAAGGCGAUGUGCGAUAUUUGGCAAUUCGCGGAAUCGUGCCCUAACGUGUUGGGUUGCAAUUUCUCGUUUUCUUAAAAUAAUCAAAUAACCCUUCAAAAUUUCACGCAUACCUUCUAAAAAUGAUUUAAAACAAAGGAAAUAUUCGACAUUUGACAAUUCGAGAAUCAUGCCCUAUCGUGCUGGAUUCUGAUUUCUCAUUUGCUCAAAACAAUCGAACAUUCCUUUAUAUUCUCACUCAAGUUUAUAAAAAAUACUUAAAAAUGAAGACGAUGUUCAAUGUUUGGCGAUUUGAGAAUCGUGCCCUGUCGUGCUGGGUUGCACUUUUUCAUUAGAUCAAAACAAUUGAAGAUCCCUUCGAAAUUUCACUUACAUUUUCUAAAAUCUUCUAAAAUAAAGGCGAUAUUCAAUGUUUGGCGAUUUGGGAAUCGAGCCCUAUCGUGCUGGGUUGCACUUUUUCAUUUGUCCAAAAUAAUCGAAUAUCUCCUCAGAAUUUCACACGUACUUUAUAAGGUAAGGCAAUGGUCGAUGUUUGGAAAUUCGAGGAAUCGUAUCCUACUACGCUGGGUUUCAAUUUUCCGUUAGACCAAAUAGUUGAGCAUCCUUUUGUAAUUCUCGAAUUAUAAACUUUCGAACAUCGAAACAAGAAGAUUUUGACAACCAACUCAGGUUACUCAAACAUUAUAAAAAAGAACCACAUUUCAAAAACUUUUUAAUUUUAGACAUAAGGACAGUACUUAAUCGAUUCGGUACCAAUUUUGGGCGUAGCGAGGGUGUUAAUCCUUCCUCAUGCGUAACUGACUCCCGAACCCGUUUUCUCAAAAGUUCGUAGACCAAAAUCAUUGUUUUAAUAAACCAAAAAAUGUUUUAUUAAACUAACCUCAUUUUUAGGUGAUCCGAUCACACCAAAACAAAAGAUCGGUGGUGACUCCAUAUUUCUGUUUUUCAAAAGUCAAUUUCCCCCUUUUCUUAAAUUUAAAAUUUUUUAAAUCGUGGGAUGGUUUCGAUAGCUUGGCGACUCCGCUGGGGACUUGAGAGUCGAGCCAUAAAAAUUUAUUAUUUACUGUCCUUUUGUCAAAAACCGAAAAUGUAUUUUAAAAAUCAUGUAUCUUUCGAUUGCAUUCGAUUGUAUGAUUGUUUUGGUGCGGGUCUUGUAGAAUAGUACUGCAUUUCAUUGCAUGACCACUAUGGUCACACCUUCUAAGUGAGAGUAAGAAACUACGCUUUCGUGAGGUUUUCACCUCCGCAUGGGCUAGUGGAUUGCUUCCGGGGUACAUCUGUACCUAUGAUUUCGUGAGAUUUUCAUCUCCGCAUGGUCAUAGGGAAAUGUAUCCCCCCGAACCGAACUCGAUCUAUAUAUGCCUAUAAUGGGUGAGGAUUGAGAAAUCUGCUGGUUCGGGUACCUUAUCCCUAGAACCGAGCCACAUAUAGAGAGACCUAGGAACUUACCCCGGGUAGAGCCACUUCGAAUCCCUAGUGAUCACCCGAUUAGGUACUUUGUCAUUUGUUUAUUUCUAUACUAAUGUGUUUUGUUUUUGUUUGUUCAUGACUGCAUUGCAUUACAUCAUCAUAAAAAGGAGGUGUUGAUUCGUAAUCAAUUGCUAAAUAGAACAAUUUGUCAUAAGAAAACGAAUUUCCUAAUAACGCGAGUUACAAUACGGUUGUCCGAAUUUGGUCCAAGUGAACACGACAGAAGAAGGCUAACAGUUCAUGGAGGAAAACAAGACUUUACCUAAGGAUUCAAGCCGAUAAAGAUUAUCCAAAAGCCAUCGCGUCCUGACUUUCUUAAAGAAGCUAAUCAACAUCACGAGGAUAGUAAUUCGUGGCCUGAUCAAGCAAAAAAGAUCCAGUAGAGGCAUGCAUUGGAAGCUUGCGAGAUUUGACUUUCACGGGGAUCAGUUCCCUCGCCAGGAAUACGAAAGCAAGGCUGUAUACAUAAUCCGUUUUAUGAAAAAGAAUUUGUUUUAUUGAAAAGUUGUUCUAGGGGAAUUGAAUUCAAAAUCAACAUCUUUCUUUCCUUUGCAUUCAUCCCGUGCAUUUGCAUUGCAUUGCAUCAUUUACAUUGCAUUGCAUUAUUUGCAUUACAUUGCAUCAUUUGCAUUAGAUUUCCCUAAAACGACCUUAAUUAGGUAAAAUUAUUUUAGAACCGACAAAAGAUAUGGACCAAAGAUUGGAGAGAAUGGAGCAAAAGAAAAUACAGAUGCAAGAGCAAUUGAUCAAAAUUCAACAAGAUAUGUGAGAAAUGCUAGAACUCCAAAGAAAUAUGAUGGGCCAGUUAACCCAUUUACUGGCCAGAGAAUUUGAAAAAAGGAGUGGCCCAGUGGUCAAUAAUGAGGAUGAUGUUGAAGGGAUCAUCUAUUCCCCAGGCUUUGCCCCAAUAAGCGUUCCGACCCAACCAGACAUGCAAGGGGUACCCAUUAUUAUCGGACACCAAUAUCAGACGGAUACAUCAGUACUGUUUAGCUUCUCGAGGGGUUCAGGUUUUAACCCGAAAGAUGAUCAAGCCAAGCCAGUUGUUCUGGCAAAAACGAAGGCAAGGGGAGAGUAGACUUUAAAGGCCCAGAAGGUAAAUAGUACGAGUAGGUAUAACAAGGGUCGUUCGGAGCUGAUUAUAGUAGGCCGACCAAGGUCAGUAACUACCAGCCAUCAGGCCUCCUCAAGGCAAGAACCCAAUCGAAGAUCGAGCUCAGAAAAACCCUAAUACAUGCCCAUUCCAAUCACGUACGGAGAGUUGUACCGCGUUUUGUUUGACGCACAUGUCGUAUCCCCUUUUUACAUGAAACCUAUAUUGCCCCCAUAUCCUAAAUGGUACGAUGCAAGCAGCCAAUGUGAAUACCACGCGAGAAUCACAGGGCAUUCCAUCGAGAACUGUACCGCUUUUAAAAAGAUUGUCGAAAAGCUCACCAAUUUGGGUAUCAUAAAAUUCAAUGAUCCCUCUGGAGCGGGAAAUCGGUUAUCCAACCUUUCUGUUAAAGAGGCGAACAUUAUGAGUUCCAUGCUGGAUUGGGGCAUGAGAUUUAAGGGUGCAUCGAGCUCGAAACUCUAAUGCAAGGCCUGGUAUUAGGGAACCCAAACAUCAACGACGUAUCAGAAGAGGGAACUCGGGAGUAGACUUUUUCAAGCUUCUAACCUUACGUACUUAGGGUGUUUUAAAAAAUGGGACUGUGAAAGAGAUCCUUGUAUUUUUAAGAGCUAAUCUAGAGUAAUAUUCAAAACAUACUUGUUGUUUUAAGCCUAGAAGCAACAAGAAUCCUUUUGUGAAAUAGGCUUAUAUCCAAAAUCUUUAUUUCAAUGAAAUGCAUGUUUGAGUAAAUUUUCUUUUAUUCUUUCCAUUUUAUACUGUACAAACGAUUAUUCUUAGAUUAUUUCAUUUAUGAUCAUACCAUACAAAUAAUCAUCCUUAGAAUCAUUUAUUGGAAUAUGCCUUCGUACCUAUAACAGGUCUCCAGACAUCAAUGACGUGAGCGACGCUGUCACUAAUUCCGAGUCUCUCUUUAAGAAAGAUAUGUGUCUAGAGGGAUCUCAGGACCUUGAAGGUGACAGAGAUUGUGACUUAUUUCUCGAUUUGUUAAGGACGGUAGAACAAGAUGAAAAAACUGAUCCUACUUUACGAAGGGUCAAUGGACAUUGUGAACAAGGGGCAAAGGUUGAAACCUGAGUCACCACAGGGACAAAAUGAAUUGUCUUUAAGUUACUUCAAGAAAUUAAAAGAUAUUUUCACAUAAUCAUGACGAGAUAUAUUUGAUAUUAAGAUCUGUGGAUGAUACAAAAUGUCUAUACAGUGCCAGAAGGACACGUGUCAAAGGUUUCAUGGUACCCACGCUAAUCAUGAGGUUUAGGUAUUGUUGAUCCACCAUGGAAGGGGAUUACAUUGGUUAAAGCCACAUUCAUUUCCUCACAGAUUUUCUCUAUAUGAGGCAAGGAUGUUAUCAGGCCAUUCUCAUCAAUUCAUCUUGGCAGUCAUUGAUUACUUCACGAAGGGGGUGAGGGUCGCUUCAUAUGUCAAUAAUUACAAGAUCAAUAGUCGUCAAAAUUCAAAAAAAAUGUGGGGUUGUUGACAAGUAAUGUCAGAAAGGAUCACUUUCAAAUACAACUGCACAAUCUCAAAAGUUUGCAGUUUGCUCAAAGAUCAGACACUAUAUCACAGUGCAGUAAAAGUAGCCAAAAAGAAAGAUAAAAGUUCAAAAAAAAGGGAAAAACAAACAAUAGAAUAAAUUCAUAGUGAAAAAUGACUAAGUCUUGUAAAUACUGGCAUAAAGAAGUUAUCAUUUACCCUCUAUAUUCGUCGAACGUCUGCCAGAACCUUCGUCGGGGCAACACAUUGUUCGAAACGAUUUUGAAAGCAAGAUUUCUUUUGGUCAAGUCUUAGCUGAAGUUGGAUUAGGCAGAAUAGAUCUAACCCCGAUAUGAUCAGUUGAAUUUGAAGAAAGGAGGUUGAAAGCCAUAUGACAUGGCCCAAUGUACCAGAAAUGAAUGAUGCAAGCUUACAUCGAAAAGGUUCUUCCUAGAGGAUUCCAUGAGGGGGACCUGGCACUGAAAAGUUCAUUUUUACACAAAAGGACUUCCAAGGAAAGUGAAAGGCCACGGCAAAAACCGUCAAAUGAUGCUUUGAGAUCUUCAAAAAAAAUAAGAGAAAAGAAGAAGAAAAGAAAAGAAAGAAAUAAAGAAGAAAAAGAAGAAAAGAAAAGAAAAGGAGAGGCCAAGGCGAAAACCCGCAAAGGGCGCUUGGAGACCGAGGGUAUUUUGAGUUGAAAAACUGAAAAGGGCAGCUCAAAUUUGAAUCAAAGUAGGGCAUACAGUAGUCUUGCUAUGCCUGAAUUAACAAUGAAGAAGUAUGCUACGUCUCGGGGCAUCGACAAAGUACCCCGGAUCCCCUAAACACAUAUUAAGCUCAGAAAGGUCCUCAAGAAGUUGGUACAGAGAAGCUCAAGUUGCGAUAUCUGGGGCACCUAGUUUCCAUUUUGCUCAUUUUGAAUUUGUUAUCUUUGAUUACCUUAUUCUUUUCAGGAUACGUCCCAAUAAACUUCCUUCUUAUUGCAUCGUUAUCAUUAAUUAACUUAUUCAUGUUGAGUUAAUUGCCUUUUAUUGUAUUUGCAAUUUUUGAUUAAUCUAUUUAUUUUGAGCUACCCUACUAAUCAAUUCCCUUCUUGACCAUUGUUUUGAUCCUUUUCAAGCAUUUUGCAUUGAAAUAACGAUUAAUGGACUAAUAAUACCUUCGCAAAAGGGUUCUGCAUAUUACUCUAGAAGCUUCUAAACAACAUAGGAACCUGAAACACGGCCAUCAUUUAGAAUUCACCAAGCCUAAAGGUUGAAAAUGUUUCUAAAUUGCGACUAUCUCUUUGAAUUUUCUGUCAAAGAUAUCAGUUGAAUGAAAAGGCAAGAUAUUUCGUCGGUGAUACAACCUCGACAAAUGACGAGCAAUGUCAACUAAGGGGGUUCAUUCUCGAGAAAAGAAAAAUGAUAUUCUGCAUUCAUCGAGCAUAUACAAUGGGUCAUUACACCCAAGGAAUGGUGUAAUAGAUCAAAUUGAUUAAAGAUGAAACAAAUCCUAUACUCUGAGUUGCAGUAGGUUGGAUAAGCAAAAACUCCAUAAAGUUUGAGUGGGGCAACAUUGUCAAGCAGAUGAGAUUGUUUCUUCGAGUUUUCUAUUAAGAAUGCCAGCUAAACAAGACAACAGAAUAAUACGUCAACAAUAAAACCUCAGUGAACGAUGAGUAAUAUCAAAUCAAGCAUUAAAAAUGCAAUUUUGCAUCCAUACAAACGUCAUUCAUAGGAGCAUUUGGUUCAAUCAAGUCAUGACAUCCUAAUCAUUAGGCAUGAACUCAUACACAUUAUACAGGUUGAGUCCUUCAAGGGACAAUGAGGAUUGAUGUUCCUUAAUCCCCUAAAUAAUAGGGUAACAAGCUAAAGCAUGGCAGUCUGACAUUCCUUGAAGCAGAUAACAGAUUUGGCGCCUCUAUAGCAGCGGAGAGCAGAUCGAAGAUAACAGAUUUGGCGUAUCUGUAGCGGCGGAGAGCAGAUCGAAGAUAACAAAUUUGGCAUCUCUGUAUUGUCAGAGGGCAGAUCGAAGAUAACAUAUUUGGCAUCUCUAUAGCGGCAGAGAGCAGAUCGAAGAUAACAGAUUUGGCGUCUCUAUAGCAGCGAAAAGUAGAUCGAAGAUAACAGAUUUGGCGUCUCUGUAGCGGCAGAGAAAAGAUCGAAUAUAACAGAUUUGGCGUCUCUGUAGCGGCGGAGAGCAGAUCGAACAUAACAGAUUUGGCAUCUCUGUAGUGGUAGAGAGCAGAUCGAAGAUAGCAGUUUUGGCAUCUCUGUAUCAGGCGGGGAGCAGAUCGAAGACAUAGCUGAUUUGGCUUUCACGUGUUUACGUUGAAGUAGAUCCAAGAUGAUUUUACAUCUCUGUAUCAGGCGGGGAGCAAAUCGAAGACAUAGCUGAUUUGGCUUUCACGUGUUUACGUUGAAGCAGAUCCAUGAUGAUUUGGCAUCUUUGUAUCAGGCAGGGAGCAGAUCAAAGACAUAGUUGAUUUGGCUUUCACGUGUUUACAUUGAGCAGAUUUGACAUCUCUGUAUUGUUAGAGGGCAGAUCGAAGAUAGCAGAUUUGGCAUCUUUGUGUUGACAGAGAGCAGAUCGAAUUUGGCGAAUCUAAGCUUCCUGAUAUUGCAGCGAAGCAGAUUUAAGCCAUCAUCCUAGCUCCCUAAUAUUGUAGUAGAGUAGGCUAAAAAUUACAGAUUUUAUCUCUCUGAAGCUGCAAUAGAACAGAUCAAGCUAAUCGCAGAAGAAUAUAUUAAAGCCAUAAACCUCAAGUUGCAGUGGAAUAGGUCAGAGCUACGAGUAGUUGCAGUGGAGCACAUUGAAGAUACUUGAAGGAAAGAAGCGCCAAGAAGAGUCGAAACUCAGCUGGCCCAUGAAAAAUUGGCCUUUUUAUAGUCUUUACUCUAUUCUCGUCACACGAUAAUGAGCAAAGAAGGGCAGCUGUAAUGCCCAAUUUUGGCCCGGGCCCAUGCAAACACAAAUCAAACAAAACCACAAAAAAAUGAAAAAUACAAUAAUAUAAAAAUCCAAAUGUCAAUAGUAGCCCAGUUUAUCGUCCAAUUACAAAAAUUAUGGCCCAACUACUAGAAUAGGCCAAAAAAGCCCAAAUUAUCAAUGUUCUAGAACCCUAGCAGCAAGGAACACAGUAGCCUCCAGCACUACCCUGAAUGGCGCCUCCACGUCGACACCACCAGCAGCCUCAGUACGCGCCAGCUACCCCCACCACGUUGCCUCCGUACCUGCAAAUAAAGACAAGAAAGGACGACCACAUCAGCAAUAGCAAAAAAACAAGCAGAGUAAUGAAAAAAGAAAAGGAAUUGUAUUUUUCUUUGUCGUUUUAUUUGGUUUGGCUAUAAAGCCAAGAACCUUUCCUUUUGUAAAAACUACGAACGGACACCAAGCAAUCGAGUAUAAAAAAAUAUUUUUGAAGGUGGUUCAUUUUUUCGCUGUUCUGAUUCUUAUUUUUUCUCUUUAUUUUCUCGCCUAGUUUUUAUCCUUUUUUACUAAGAUACACACACAAAAAGAGGGAAUCCCUUUUUUACGCAUACAUGUAUAGAAAUUAAGAGAAAGGAAUCAAAAAAAAAGAGUUUUUCGGUAGAAGGUGAUUAUCCUUCUUUUGUUCUUUUUGUUGGAGCAGGAUUUGCAUCGUUCUUUGGUGAUUUUCUUUCUUUCAUUUCUCAUUUUAAUAUAGAAUAAAAAGUAUUGGGAUAAAGAAACACUCACCUGAAUCAAUCGGGUUGUCAGAGUUGCAUCUUCCUCUUCGAAAUUAAGCCCAACUCAUUGCUAGUCAUCUAUUACAAUGAUAGUGUGGCGAUUGGGGGAGAGUUUUGGUCGGCCAAAUGAGAGAUUAAAAAGAGGCUAGGGUUUCAAUUUCAAAAGGACCGAUUGUUUCAUCUUUUUGGGAGGAAUUGUUUGCUUUUAUAAAAGUUUUGAAAUGGUACCAUGUAAGAAGGGUGGGGGGAGCCUUUUGCACCUAAAAUGGUCUAUUUAUGCAACAAGUCCUUCCCCUUGCGCACAGCCUUCAAUUUGCGUCAAAUUUGCCUACCUUGUGUUUUAAAAUUUGGCCUGCUAAUUUGUGCGUUAUUUCACUUUGAUCCGCGGUUCCAUGCAGCAUUGUAGGCAUGAGAUAUUUACAAAAUCAGUCCUUAUACAUUUAUGCGCUUUGAGCAUUGGUCCAUAUUAUGAUUACUUUAUCUGUAAAUUAUCCUCCCUAUUUUAUUGCAGUAUUAAUUUGGUCUUACAGUUGUACAAUUGAUUAAUUUUUAAUACAUUUAGUAUGUGUAUGCCUUAAUCCAUGUUAAUAAUUUUGGUUGUUACAUUUGUACAAUUAUUUUUAGAUUGUUUUUUUUUCACAUUAUGUAUCCUAUUUCUUUAAAUAUUUUAUAUGUUUUUGUAUGUUAAUCAUUAGUUUAAGUUUUUUAUAAUAACUAUUAUUUUGCAUGUUGUAAUAUUUUUUUAUGUAUUAUAUUGUUUUAAUACACUAUUAAUAAGUGUUGUUAAUAUAUUUAUAUACAUAAAUUAUUUAAAAUAUUUCUUAAUUUAUGUUUAAUUCGCAAGUCUUUAUGUACGUAUGAUACUGUUUUGGAAAAUCUAUCUUUGUAUUCAUAAAAUUGCUAUUUUGAACACGUGUCUCCAUAUUAUGUUAUCCAAGUAUCUUAUUUAAUUUCUCUUUUAAAUAGUUUUAAGUAAAAUGGUAUGAUGAUAAUAUAAUUUCACAUAUAUUUAUUUUUAAACAAAAGUUUUAAAUAAAAAAUCUAUCAUAUGUGUAAUACCUUGCCAUGAAUUAUAAUUUAUUCAUAUUUAGUAUAUUAUUUAAAUUAUUAUUAAACAUAUGUUUUGUACUUAUAUUUAAUUUGCAUCUAUUAUUAAAGCUUUGAUAUUCUUAUACAUAUAGAUUUUAAUAAACUUGUAAUUACUUGCAUUUUUUAUUUAUUAUGUAUAUAAUUUAUGAUAAAACUAGGUUAAUUCUAUAAUUCAUAUUUUAAUUAAAUGAUAUUUUGACAUAUAAUUAUUUUUAACAUUUUUCCACAUGUAUAUGGCACAUAUUAAAUUAUUUUUACUAUGGUACAUGUUAUUAUUUUCAUAUAUCUUUGUGUAAAUAUUUUUCUAUGUAUAUAUAUCCUCUUUAAAAAUUAUUUAUGCGUAUAAUGUUUUUAAGAACCCUUUUAAAUCAUAUAAUUUAUUGUAUUUCAUAUUAUCCUUAUGUUUUUUUUAUAUAUAUAUUUUGCUAUUUAUAUAACUUAUAUGUUUACUUCUUUUUUUUAUACAAUAUUAAUUUCAUUCUUUUUAUCAAUAAUUAUACCCAAUGAUUAUCUAUAUAUAAAGAUUUCAUAAAUUUACUUUAUAUAUUAUCUUAUAUCAUAUAUCAUGUGUUCACCCAUCUAUUUUGAAAAUGUCUUAUACCAUAUCGACCUUUAAACUCCAUUUUGUUUUCGUAUAUGAUAUGUUGAUUGACUUAUAAUGUGCCAUGUUUAUUAUUGGCAUAUAUCAUUUAUCUAUUUUUUUAUUUCUUAUAUAAAUCAUUUGUCAACCACGUUUACGAGUUUGAUUAAAUUUUUUUUUGAUCAAUUAUGCUUAGUUAUAAGUUUGUUAAUUGGUAUUGCAUUUUAUGUAUGCAUAUUACCCCAAGUUCUAUUUUCCCUUUAGCCUACAAAUGUCGCAUUACAAUUUUCAACUUCCUUUUUUGAAAAAUUCUAAUUAAUUAUUCCAUCAUAUUUCAAGUCAAACUAAUAUGUUUUAAGGUAGUUUUAUAAUCAAUCAUAUAAAAAUCCUUAAAACGAAGACGAGAUUCGAUCUUUGACAAUUCGCGGAAUAGUGCCCUAACGUGUUGGGUUGCAAUUUUGCGUUUACUCAAAAUAAUAGAAUAUCCCUUCGAAAUUUCACUCAUGCCUAUUAAAAAUUCUUUAAAACAAAGGCGAUAUGCGAUAUUUGGCAAUUCGCGGAAUCGUGCCCUAACGUAUUGUGUUGCAAUUUCUCGUUUGCUUAAAAUAAUCAAAUAUCCCUUCAAAAUUUCAUGCAUACCUUCUAAAAAUCAUUUAAAACAAAGGAAAUAUUCGGCGUUUGACAAUUCGAGAAUCAUGCCCUAUCGUGCUGGAUUGUGAUUUCUCGUUUGCUCAAAACAAUCAAACAUUCCUUUAUAUUCUCACUCAAGUUUAUAAAAAAUACUUAAAAACGAAGACGAUGUUCAAUGUUUGGUGAUUUGAGAAUCGUGCCCUUUCGUGCUGGGUUGUGCUUUUUCAUUAGAUCGAAACAAUUGAAGAUCCCUUCGGAAUUUCACUCACAUUUUCUAAAAUCUUUUAAAAUAAAGGCGAUAUUCGAUGUUUGGUGAUUUGGGAAUCGAGCCCUAUCGUGCUGGGUUGCGCUUUUUCAUUUGUCCAAAAUAAUCGAAUAUCUCCUCGGAAUUUCACACGUACUUUAUAAGGUAAGGCAAUGGUCGAUGUUUGGAAAUUUGAGGAAUCGUAUCCUACUACGGUGGGUUUCGAUUUUCCGUUAGACCAAAUAAUUGAGCAUCCUUUUGUAAUUCUUGAAUUAUAAACUUUCAGACAUCGAAACAAGAAGAUUUUGACAACCAACUCGGGUUACUCAAACGGUAAAAAAACGAACCACAUUUCAAAAACUUUUUAAUUUUAGACAUAAGGACAGUACUUAAUCGAUUCGGUACCAAUUUUGGGCAUAGUGAGGGUGUUAAUCCUUACUCAUGCGUAACCGACUCUUGAACCCGUUUUCUCAAAAGUUCGUAUACCAAAAUCACUGUUUUAAUAAACCAAAAAAUGUUUUAUUAAACUAACCUCAUUUUUAGGUGAUCUGAUCACACCAAAACAAAAGAUUGGUGGCGUCUCCAUAUUUCUGUUUUUCAAAAGUCGAUUUCCCACUUUUCUUAAAUUUAAAAUUUUUUAAAUCAUGGGAUGGUUUCGACAAUGGAUAUGGAAGAAAGGGUUCUUUAAAGCAAGCAGGAACCGAUAUUAGAAAAUAUCGACCCAAAUGCUUAAAGGCGUUCAAGGUGGAGGAUGAAAGUGAUAAACCUCGACCCGCUACUUAGCAAAGUAGGAACCUCGGUAUAAGGGUGAACGCCAAACUCGGUUGAGCGAUAAGUUAAAAAGAAGAACAAGGUUGACACCAACUAAGAACUAGAUAGGCCAACAAGUCUUCAACGAAAUAUGGGAGAAAGAUCCUCUCCAAAUAGUUUCAUUAACAAAGAAACAAUAAAACAAAGUUCAAAAAAACCCCUUUACAAAUGAAAGAAAACAAAUAUUUAUAGGCACAUAGAUGACCAUUCAAAUUCCGCAUCUAGGUGUUCACACAAUAAUAAAAACGUUCACACUAAUGUAUUAAAAUAGUUCAUAAAUUCGGCAGAUUCAUGCACUAGUUGAAUGGAAACUUUCUUCCCUCUAAGUGUGUGCAUGAAUGCUUAGUCAUAAAGAAAGGCUUCAAGUGACUUGUAUGUGCACCAAAGGUUGCAUUCAUCUCCUUGGGACAUUCAUGCACUUGUAUGGAACAUGUAUCUUCAUAAUUAAACACUUUAAUGGCAUGUAGGUUCAUAAAUGGCAGCAUGAACCUAGUAAAUUCGUUCUCCCCUUUGUGCAUGCACUUAAUUCAAUCAAUGUGUUGAAUUAUUGAGUUAAUUCCUUCCUUUGGACGUUCUUGAACCCAUCCAUGCAUGUGUAGUAGCUUAUAGGUCAAUUCAAAGCGUGAACAUGUUCAAGGAGCUCUAUGGUCAACAUAGAAUUAGUUAGCAGUUACUUCUUGGCCGAAUAAGUGCCUUGGAAAGUUAGGAGACAGCCACCAUACAUGCACUUAAGCCAUUCAUGCAUUUUAUCAUCCCAUGCAUUUGAUCCAUUCAUGGACUAGCCUUUAAUGUCCAUACAUGCAUUCGACACAUGCAUGAAUUUGUAGAAACCUUGCAUCUAGCUGUACAUGCACCAGCAUUUAAUACUUCUUCAUUCAUGAGUGUGGAAUGCCCAAAAGAGAUGUUUCUUCAUCCAUAUAUUGUGCCGUCCUUGAUCAUUGUAUCUACAAAAAAAAAGUAAAAUCAAAUUAUGAGACAUCAUGUAAACACAUUAAUGUCAUGCAUUAAAUUGGCUACAAUGUGAACAUAAUUAAAAUAUGUAAUAACUAUGACAUAUUAAAACAAAUAUUAAUAUAAAUCAAAUUUGAUGCUUAAAUAAUUAUGUUCAGAUUUUAUUUAAUGCAUUAAAGUCUAAAACCGGGUUUGAGCUAAAAUGAGCUAAGCUUUAGCCCUUAAGCUAAAGUUGAGCUGGGAUUAUACUCCUAAGCUGAAGUUGAGCUAAGGUUUAGCUCGUGAGCUGAAUAUGAGCUAGGAGUGAGCUUGGUUUAACUCAGGCAAGUUGGAUUGAGCUCGAAUAAGCUGGAUUUGAACUGGACGGAGCUCGUGGAACUGGAAACGAGCUGGGAUCAGCUUGCCAACAUGUCAAUGCUCGUCUUGACAGGCUUGCUCGAUAAAGUUCGCAGGGCGUGCUCGUAUCAACUGAUUUGUAUACCUUGUGUAUACUACCUGAGUAUCCAUCGAUAUUUCAAUAAUUCAAGGGAAUAAAUUCUUGACAUGAAAAAUUAUGAAAUUAAAAUAAGUGUGUAUCGAAUACUUCAGAAAUACUUGAAAGUUUGUAGCAUGAUGAGCUCAUCCAUGUUUAUUUGAUGUACAUGACGUAUGUGACUAACUUACUUAAUUAAGUGUAUGUGAUUAGGCAAAUUGCUAAUUUUUUAGGAAGCAUGUUAUUGAAUGCUUAUUUUAAUGAAUGAUAUUGGUAAGUUUAAUUUCUGUUAUAAAAACUUACUAAGCAUUAAAUGCUUACUAGGUUUUAUUUCCUCUAUUUUAUAAUGCUUAGAAGCUCGUAAAGGUUAGAGAUCGAUCGGAGCAUCUUCACACUAUCCUACAACUUGCUUUGGUAUAAAUAGUAAACUUAUUUUGGUAUAAUGGCAUGUAUAGGCUAAUUUUACCAAUGUUGGCAUGUAAGUGGAUGUUUGUAAUCUAGCCAUUGGAAUAGGUAGUGAUGGUAUGUUUUGGUACAUUUUUAAAAGGUUACAUUAUAAUUAACAUAUAUAUGUUUGGUAUGGUUAAUUGAAUUAUGGUAAGCUUAAAUAUUUUACAAAAAGGAAAGUUUAAACACAUGAAUUUAUAUAAGGAUGUUAUAUUAUACAUGAUAUUGAAGGUUGCUUGAUUUAUAUUACUUGAAUUGAUUGGAAAAUGUAUGCAAAUGUUGGUGUAGGUUGAAGGUUAAAUUUGGGUGAGAAAUAAGGCUAAGAAAUGACCUUAUUUUUUCCACACGGGCAUGUGUCUAGAUCGUGUGUGACAAAAGGCCUGGCACAUGGGCAUGUGGUUUGGUCGUGUGUCCCCUCCAUCUUAAAGUUUAGAAACAUAAUGCUCAUAAUUAGGCACACAGGUAGAGACAUGGGCCUGUGUCUUAGUAGUGUGUGACACAUGGCCUAGAACACAGGUGUGUGUCUUGGUUGUGUGAAUCCUACACCUAAUUUUUAAAAAUUAAAUUGACCAUACAGCCUAGCACACGGUCAUGUGGCUAGCAGUGUGACCCAAGUUAGAGAGUUACGUGGGUAAGGACAUGAUCUGGGACACAGUUGUGUGCCUCACAUCGAAUGCCCACACGGCCUGAGACAUGGGCAUGUCAUGUAACAGCCCAUUUUCGGUGAGAUCAGAACAGUGGUUUCAGGACCACAAAUCUGAGCUAAAAAUUUAAAAAUUUAUUUUAUCUUAUUUUAUUUUAUUUUAUGGUUGGCAUCAGGAUAGAAAGGUCACAUAAAAAUUUCGAUGCAAAAAUUUCGAUGCGAAAAUUUUAUCGAUUGUGUGGUUAAUUAGGUAAAGGACUAAAUUGCAUAAAAUGAAAAAUUUGGGUUCUAAUAGCUAUAGGUAUCAAUUAGCUAUGGAAUUUAAAUCUUAAGGUCUUUAUAUGGUAGUUAGAUCAUUGAAGGGUAGUUAGUAGAUAUUUUAAUGACUCAUCCAUGGAAAAAUUUAAAAUAGCUAGGAACCAAAUUGGAGAUCACUAAAAUAAAAAGAUGACAAAUACUUAAAUAGAAUCAUCAUCUUUUCUAUUCAUCUUCACCCCCAAAAUUUCUAUGGAAACCCUAAGAGAGAGGAUGAAAACUUUUCAAGCUCAAUAAGGUAUGAAAUCAAGUCUCGUUUUUAAUAAUUUUUUUAUUUUUGGAAUCAGGAUAACCUAAUGUCUCUAUUUAGGGGAUUAAUUUGAAAACUUAUCAAGGUAUAAAAUUUGGGUCAUGGAUGAAUAUGCUUAAAAUUAGAAAAUGAAAGUUUGUUCAUAGACAAACAACUUUUACAAAAAAAAUUUUGAUGAAAACUUGAUUUAGGGACUAAAAUGAAAAAGUGGUAAAAUCUAUGGAAAAUUCUGAAAUUUGUGAAAUGUAUGUGCUAUAAAUGUAGUAAAUGAAUUUUGGCUAGGCUUGGAAAGAGGGUUAAAUUUCGUGAAAUUCAUUUUUCGAGCCGAGGGACAAAAUCAAAAUUUUUGAAAUGAAUAAAGGCAAAAUGAUAAUUUUGCCUAGGACGUAAUAGAACGCAAAUGUGAUUGCAAUGUGAUAGAUUAAUAGUUAAAUUUAUCCAUAUAGAUCUGAAAAGACCAACCACCAAAUUAGAUUGAUGAAAGCAAAAGGUUUCGAAUUAGUAGAAACUAAAAAACGAACCAUUUUCAAAGUAAGUUUGUGUAACUUAAAAUUGUAUAUUAAUACGUUUCAAUUGAAUUGUAUGAUUUUUUUGUUAUGUAUGAGAUGAUAUAUAUACAUAUUGAUAUAGUUUUAAGUUGUGUAGUAUGGAAAAAUUAUCGAGUCCCUGUCGAAUGUUGAAUUUUGAUGGGUCGAAAAUAAUAGUACAUAUGUUGCAAAUAGAAUCUAGCUCGGACAGGUAAUUCUAAUGUAAGACCUUUUGAGUUAGACUAAAAAUUGGAUUUAGCCUGGACGGGUAAUCCAUAUUAAGUUCUUUAGAGCAUAUGCUACGGAUAGGAUUUAGCUUGGACUGGUAAUCCUACAGUAAAAUAUAUGACUCAAGGGUGUGUCUUUUUAUUAUGUACCUCAAUGGGCAAUUUUGCACAUGUGCAUAUUAUCAGAACAUCCAUCGAGAUUUCAAUAGUUUGAUGGAAAACACUCUUGAAGAAGUGGAAAGGUAAAAUUAAUGGAAGCUUGUAAUGUCAUGAGCUCAUCUAUGUUUAUUUGAAAUUCAUAUGAAAUUAUGUGACUUAACUUGUUUGAAUGAGUGCAUGUUUUUAGGUAACUUACUCAAAAUUGAUGGACUAUAUAUGUAUGUGUGCUUGUGUUAAUAAAUAAGACCGGUAAGUUUAUUUUCCAUUAUAUGAACUUACUAAGCAUAAAAUGCUUACUCCAUUUAUUUUUCCCUGUUUUAUAGUGUUCAAAACUCACAAAGGUUGGAAGCCGGUCGGAGUAGUCAUCACACUAUCCACUAUCUCAUUUUGGUAUAACUAGAAAUCUCAUUUUGGUAUAAUGGCAUGUAUAGGCUUAAUUGGGCAAUAAUGACUUGUAAUGGUUGUUUUAUAACCUAGCCAUUGGAAUGGCUAGUAAUGGUCUAAGUUUGGCCAUUUUAAAGUGAUGUUUUGAUAAUUAUAUAAGUGCUUAUUAUGUGUUGGUUUGAUGAGGUUGUGUUAGAAUACGAGGUUAUAACAUGAAUAAGUUAUAUAUAUUGAUGCAUGAGAUAUUACUAUAUGAUUGAUGACAAAUUUCUUGUGAAUAUGAUGUUGGAUAUGUCGAUGUAUGCUUGUGUGUUUUAGUGCAGAAAAAUGGUUAAUUUGGGUGACAAAUCAGGCUAGGAAAUGACCUCAUUUUCUCCACAAGGGCAGACACACGGCCUGUCCCAUAGGCGUGUGGUCCAGCCGUAUGUUCCCUAUAUAAAAAAAAUGCAAAACAUAAUGCUCAGAAUUGAGCACACGGGCAGAGACGCGGGCGUGUGUCUCAACCGUGUGGACCGCACGGCCUCAAACACUGGCGUGUGCCCUGGCCGUGUGAAGUUUGUACCUAAUUUAUGAAAAUUAAUUUUCCACAUGGCCUAGAACACGGGCGUGUGACUUGGCCGUGUGAGCUCAAUUUGGUCAUGCGUUACAAGUUAGAGAGUUACACGGGGUCGGGACAUGGGCGUGUGUGUCCAUACUGUAACAGACCGAUUUUGGGGCUAGUCGGAACAGUGGUUUCGGAACCACAAAUUUGAAGUAGGAAAAUUUUAUUUUAUUAGAUUUUUAUGGUCUAUAGUUCCACAGAAUGAUUUUGUAAAAAUCUUGUUCAAAAAUUUUGACGUUUGGGCACUCAAUUUAGUAAAAAGGACUAAAUUGUAAAAAGUGCAAAAGUCGAGUUCUACAUGCUAAAAGUGUCCAAUUGCUAUGAGAUUUUAAAUUAGAGGUCCUUAUGUGAUAAUUAGACCAUUUGUUAAGUUAGUGGACAAAAACUGGACAUGGUGAGAUAAAAUUUUAAAGUUUGGCAAAAAGGGCAUUUUGGUCAUUUGGUAAAGAAAAGAAUAAAAAGGGAAAAUAAAGCCAAAAUUGUGUCCAUCUUCUUCAACCUUGGCUGAAAUUUCCAAGCUCUUCAUAGCUAGGGUUUUGUCAUCUUUCAAGCUUGAUAGUAAGUGCAUUCUAGCCCCGUUUUUAAUCCUCUUUACGUUUUGAAGUAGGGUUCAUGUUUAAAAAUUUAACCAUGGGUGACAUGCAUGUGUUUUGAUUUUUAAUGGUAGAAAAGGAAAGUUUGAUGUGUAAUAAACAACUUUUACUAAGUGAUUUUUCAUGAAAAUACCUAAAAAGGACCUAUUUGUAAAAAGUUGUCAAAUGGGUAGUAAAAAUCUGAUUUAAUGAAAAAUUUGGGCUGAUAUGAGCGUGUUUAUGGUUCGGCUAGGAUUAGGUAACAAAGAAAUUGAAUACAUUUCAUUUCAUGAGCUUAAGGACUAAUUUGUAAAAAUGUGAAACUUUAGGGGCAAAAAGGUAAUUUUCCAUAGUAUGAUUUUUGGACUGAAUUGAGUUAUGUUAAUAAUGAGUAAGGUAAAUUUGCUAUUAUAAAUCAAGAACAAUGAAGUUCAGACCUUGAUCGGGGAAAGAAUAAGGUGUUUAAUGAUUAAAUCCAUUUAUACUAUUUUUAUACCGAGGUAAGUUCGUAUGUAAAUAAUGCAUUAUUAUUUAUGCUUUAAUUGCAUUAUUAUUGUAUGAAUUGGGAUUUACUCUUUGAAUGAAUUCGACAAAGUUCGACAAGCGAGAAAAACUCGAUUGAACCUUAGGAAUAGUUAGGAUACAAAUGUUAUGACAUUAAGGUUAGUUGAAACUACGUGUAAAACCAUAUUUGGGAUAUGGCAUUGAUAUGAGACUUCGUGUAAGACCAUAGCUGGGCUAUUGGCAUCAAUAUGAGAUUCCAUGUAAGACCAUAUCUGGGAUAUGGCAUUGGUAUGAUAAUAUGCGUGUGAGAUUUCCCGAGUAUCCUUUAGUAUUCCAAGUGGUUCAAUGGGAAACUUAACAGCAAUGUUUAAGUUGUGAAAGACUAUGGUAUGUUGUGUAAGAUUGUGGUAAGUUGCAAGUUGGUACAGGUAUGUAAAUAAAACCCAUGCUUAAUGAGCUCGAUAUGUGAUGGACCCUUGGUGAGGUAUGAUUGAGUAAGCUAUGAUGUUAAGGUUUUAAUAACAUCUAUGUUAAGUUUGAUAAUCAAAGUUUACAAUGAUAUUUAUGUUAAUUUACUUCAUGUUAAAUUUAUGCUAAAGUGUAUAUGAUGCCUAUUAUUUGCAUUGUAACACCCCUCGCCCGUAUCCCUCACCGGAACAGGGUUCGAGGUGUUACCCGACUUAAACUCAGUCAAUCACACAAAAACUGUGCUGAAAAAUUUCAAUCAAUUUAAAACUUUCUUUUCACAUGCAAUCUAUCCCAUAUAUGAGCUUACGAGGUCCAAAACAUUAUAACCCUAUACAUGCCAUAGACUCGAAAUACUAGGAUUUACUUACACCGAUACGUGAGCUCGACAGUGUGAUAAUAUCUCCGCUGAACUCCAACUCGAGCAGGUAACUGAAGUCAACAAUCUAUAAAAUAGAAAAAUGUAACAACGGAGUAAGCUUUCAUAAGCUUAGUAAGCCUUAAGCAAUGCAAACAAAUAAACGCAAUUAUACUUCGAUUAUUUAAUUUCUUAAGAGGGCAAAUUCUAGGGAUAUUGCCAUCUGGCCGAAUAUACACAAGCACAUAAUGCACAUUCAGCAUUCUUAUCACACUUAAUCUGAAUUCAUAUAACAUAUUUAAAUCAAAUACCCUCACAUACUUUCACACCCUGACCAGGUGUAUCAUGAUCAUAGGUAUAGUUUUAACAUUUAUUCACGUACGUAUCACAUUACUCACUUAUGAUUCACUUCAAAUCAAACUCACAUCUGAGUACAUACUGCGUACCUGGCCCACUUUACGUAUUAAAUGUAUUCAUUUGACAAUCUAGCACAAGGUACCUUAGUCAUAGGCUUUUCUCAAAUCACCGGCAUUUCGCCUACUAGGCUCGAGGCCCGAUAUCAUUUCACCGACUUUAUAGCCUGUUAGGCUCGAAAGCUCGAAUAGUAUCAUACCGAAAUUAUAGUCUACUAAGCUCAAAGGCUCGAAUAAUCAAAUCAACAAGUUCCAUAUAACAUAUUCAUAUCAAUUGAGUACUAACAUCAUUUGAACGUAUAUAAUUAUACAUCUCAAACACUUUUCUUUCAUCUCAUUUUCACACUUAACCUUUGAUAGCUUAUGCAUAACAUUUCACUCACAUUCAUUUCAAACUUAUCAUUCCAUUAUAAAAGCACAUUGCAUAUUUACCAACAUGUUAUACUUGCCAUUAGGCCAUAUAAGCAUGAUACAAUACACUAUCAUUUCAUCUUUAACAUUCGGCUAAACCCUUAUCUUACAAGGAACACCGAAUUCACAUAACAUAUCAUUUCACCGGCAUUACGCCUGCUAGGCACGAAGGCCCGAAUACACAUCACCGGCACGAAGCCUGCUAGGCACGAAGGCCCGAAUACACAUCACCGGCACAAAUCUUGCUAGGCACGAAGGCCCGAAUAUACAUCACCGGCACAAAGCCUGCUAGGCACGAAGGCCCGAAUAUACAUCACCGGCAUGAAGCCUGCUCAGCACGAAGGCUCGAAUACAGAUCACCGGCACGAAGGCCCGAAUAUAAUACUAGCACUAGGCCUGCGGGAUUUAUCCCUGAUAUAAUACCAGCACGAAGCCUGCGGGAUUUAACCCGGAUAUUUUACCAGCACGAAGCCUGCGGGUCUUUAAGCCCGGAUACACAUCAAAUAUCAUGCAUAUUUAAUCAUAUAUUAACACAUCUCAUUCAACAUAUCACAUUUCUAUUUCACCAUUCAAACUUAACCCAUAGUGACCAUUCGACUAUAAGUCAUAUGCAUAAAUUAUUUAUCGCGCAACUUAGUUCAAGUAGAACCAAAAGGUCACGAUUCAUCUAAUAUAUACAUAUUGCUCACUGAUUCGCACACAACCUUUCAAAUUAGCAAUUAUAAGAUGGUUCCGCACAUAGCCUAUCCUUAUCGAUAAUUUACGAUGGUUUUACCCUUACUCACAUAUAUGUCAUAGGCAUUUUUACCUAUGCUUCUCAAUUCACAUUCAUGAUUCAAUUCCAAUCGAUUUAACAUGCCUAAGUACAUAUCGCAUACCUGAAUAAUUUACUUUACGGAACGAAUCCACAUAUCGUAUUAGCCCAUAGUCUUAUAGCACCACACUUUUAAUGGUUUACCUCAUCGAAGUUCACAUUUAAUCACUUUAGUGCCAAGCCAUAUUCGGCUACCACAAAGGACUAAUAAUAAUAAUUUUAUACACAUCAUGGUUUCUUUUAAGUAUUUAAUAAUCACAAAUCGUGAUAUCUCCACCAGCACAUAUACGGCAUAGUUUAUUCAUUGUAACACUCAUUUAGUGCAUCAAAUUUCCAAAUCCAAUUCAACUUAAGCAUAAUAGCCAUAAUCGGCUUAUAGCCUUAAAUCAUUACAUAUUCGGCACAUUAACUAAAUAAAAUUUACAUUCCCUUUACCAUAUUAAUUUAACUCUUGGGCAUAUAAAAAGGAAUCAAGCUUAAACACUUAAGAACUUACCUCGAAUGUUGCCAAACGAUUACAACGGCUAUUCGAUUACUUUCUCUUUUCUCUUAUCCGAAUUUGCCCCUCUAUGCUCUUGAGCUUAAAAUUUAAAGAUUUUAAACUAGUCAUUAUUCGACUAUUCAAGCAUCACUUUCAAAAUAUAAUAUAUAUAUUCAAAUUUCACACCUAGUGAUCAUAGUAAGCUUAUAAGAAAUCAAUAAGCAACUCAUUAACAAAUUUUUGUUAAUGUUUACCACAUAAUCAUAAUUUCACUGCAAGCUGUCUUCCUGAGUAAUAGUCACUAAAUCAUUUAUAACUGGAGCUACAAAACUCCAAAUUAAGUGCUGUUAAUUUUAUCUGAAAAUAAACCCAUAUAUAUUUUACCCAUAAAAUUUUCAGGAUUUUUGGUUUGGCCAAUCAAUACCAGAUUUUUCUUAAAGUUUCCCUUAUUUCACUGCUUGACUAAUCUGACCACUCUUCACUACAAAUCAAAUUUCUCAUUGUACAGAAUUCAAAAUAUUUUCUCGUUUAUUUCAUUUGAAACUAGACUCAUUAAGGGGUCUAAGCAUAUAAAAUUCAUCUUAUAACCAUUUUUUUACAAUUUAUAAUGAUUUUAUAAAUACAGAACAGAGGAUCUAGAAGUCAUUCUGACCCUGUCCCACAUCACUUCAAAUAUAUCAUCGUCGGAAAUUCUUUUGCUUACACGGUUUCUUUUAUAAGAAACUGGACUCAUUAAGCUUUAAUUACAUAAUUUAUUCGGCUUCUAACUCAUCUCCCACAAUUUAUGGUGAUUUUCAAAAAUCACGUUACUGCUGCUGUCCCAAGCAGAUUUAUUACCAAUUCACUCUUUCACACAUACCUUGCAUGCAUGUUAUUUAAACAUGCAUAUCACAAAUCAAUCCUCACAUACCUAUAACUUCACUUAAGCAUAAUCUUUCUUUCAUCAUUUUAAAGCACAACAUUACUCAAUAUUAUCCAAGUUCACAUUCGGCCAUAAUACACACAAUAUGUUAGCCGAUUUUCCCCCCUUAGCAUCUAAGGCACAUGCAUGCUCAUUUGCUUGGCUCAACUUCAUCUAUUCUCCAUUUUUUAUAAAAAGAACAUGAAACAACAACCAUUUCUCUCAUUUCCAUUCAUGAUCGAAUGCUCACAACACAACCAAAAAUCAAAAAUAUGCAUCAUGGGUUAAGGUAGAAACAAGAAAAACCCAUGAACAUCAAAAUAGAAGCAAAGCACCAUGAACUCACCUUGGAUUUUCUUCCCCAAGUGACUGAACAUUCAAGAGCUCUUUUCCUCUCCUUUCUCUUCUAUUUCCGGCUGCCAUGAACAAGGAGGGACAAACUUUUCCCUUCCAUCAUUUUGUUAUUUUUAGUCUUUAUUUUAUGACAUAAAAUGACACAUAUCAAUUAGUACCAUAACUUCAUGUCUUAAAUUAUUAUUAUCUAAUGCACAUGUUGCUUCCCACCAACAUCAUGGACGGCCACUACACAUAAAAUGGGGAGUUUGACAUGCAAAUCCUCCCAUUUUACACUACAAAUUAUUUGCCCACUACAAUUUGGCCUAUAGCAUUUUCAGAAAUUUUCACAUAGGUCCUAUUUCAUAAUUUUACUCUCAAAUAACAAAAUCAAAGCAUGAAAUUUUCACACAUGCACUUUCACAUAUAAUAAACACAGAGUAUAACAUUUAAUUAUUUCUGUGACUCAGUUUUGUGAUCCCAAAACCACUUUCCGACUAGGGCCAAAUUAGGGUUGUCAUAUGCAUAGGAACUUACUAAGCUUUAAAGCUUGAAACCACUUUCCGACUAGGGCCAAAUUAGGGUUGUCACAUGCAUAGGAACUUACUAAGCUUUAAAGCUUACUCCCCUUUCUUUUUCCCUUGUCUUAUAGUGUCAUCAAGCUAGUUCGUGGAUCGAAGAUGAUCGGAAAUCCAUCCACACUAUCAGUAUCAUUUCGGGUACUUAUGAUUUCAUUAUUUUGAGUAUGGCAUGUAUAGGGACUUGGUCAUUUUGUUAUGUGUCACAUUCGAUUUGGCCAAAUGUUUUGGCUUAUAAUGGUUGAUAAUUCAUUUUGUAAAUGGCCAUUGAAAUUGGCUAAUAUUAGUUAAGUAUAUAUAGAUAUGAUGAUGUUUUCAUGGAUGUGAGAAUUUGCAUGGAUUGAAUUGAUGAGUAGGUGAUGUUUUUCAGUGCUAGAUGGUUGCAUGUAAAUGAUAUAUUGAUAUCUUGUUUGUGGCUAAAUUGGUUGUAUGAAUAUGCUUGGAUUGGUGUUGCUUGUUGUUGUGUAGGUUGGUGCAUGUAAAGGUGGCAAAAUGACUUGGUAGAUAGUCUUAUUUUUGCCCACAUGGACAGAGAAACGGCCGUGUGUCUCAACUGUGUGAGGGACACAACCAAGGGACAUGGGUGUGUGCCCAGGGCGUGUGAUGUCUGCACCUAUUUUAUGAAAAAUUAUGGAAAUUAAAUCGCCCACACGGCCUAAGCACACGGGCGUGUGACUUGGCCGUGUGACUUCAAUUUGUUGAUGACGUUAUAAAUAGAGAGUUACACAGGCUAGGGGCACGGCGUGUGUGAUCACACGGGCUACCGACAUGGGCGUGUUCCAAGCCACACGAGCAUGUGACCCCUGUUUUAGCAAAGCUUCUCUAAGUGUCGUAAAAUUUUCUAAAGUUCUCAGUUUAGUCUCGAACCACUCCUAAUGCAUGUUUUGGGCCUCGUAGGCUCGUUUUAGGGACGAUAUGAAUGUAUAGGAAAAGUUUUAAAUUUGAGUGGAAAUUCAUGUCUCUGUUUUAAAUGUUUGUUUGAGUUUAAGUUCAGUAAUACCUCGUACCAUGUUUUAGCAUCGAAUAUGGGUAAAGGGUGUUACAUACAUGGCCUGCCCACACGGGCGUGUCCCAUAUCCUCACAGGUGUGUGACUCCUAUUUAGUGAAAAAUUUUCUAAGUUUUGUAAAAUUCUCUAAAGUUCUCUGUUUAGUCUCGAACAACUUCCAAUGCACGCUUUGAGCCUUGUAGGCUCGUAUUAGGGACUUUUUGGUUAAAUGCAAAUAGUUUUAAUUUGGACGCAAAUUUAUAACCCGAAAUUGUAUGUUUGUUCAUGUGAUAAGCCCGGUAAUUCCUUGUACACUGCUCCAGCAUCGAAUACGGGUAAGGGGUGUUACAUGUCACUUGGCUGUGUGAGCAACAUUGCCUAGUCACAUGGGUGUGUGACCCCUGUAUAUAAGAAAAAAUUUGAAAUUUUGCAUAAAAUUUUCUAAGAUCUCGAUUUAGUCCCGACUUGUUUCUAAUGCUUAAAUUGGACCUCGAGGGUCCAUUCAAGGGACAAUAUGAUUAGUUUCGAAUAUGAAUAGUAAAUGGUAUGAAUUAUCUAUAAAUUGUUCUGUAAACUCUGGUAAUGCUCCGUAACCCUAAUCCAGCGACGGGUACGAAUUAGGGCUGUUACAAUUGGGAUCCCGAAUUUGUCACAACAUUAUGCACUUGAUGAAGGAAAUCCCAAUUUAUAUUUGUCAUCAUGGCAAAGUACUAAUCUUCUUCAACAUCAAGUAGGUUAAAUGAAUCAUUAAUGGACUUAAAGGGUAUGUUAAAUAAAUCCCAAUUUAUAUUUUUCAUCAUGACCGUGAAACAUUCAAAAUAGCCCUACAUGCCCGUGUUCCAGGCCGUGUGUUUAGCCGUGUAACUAUUGACUUGCAUGCAAUAAAUCCUAUAGGAAACACACGGCUGUGUCACCAGGCCAUGUGUUGCAUACGGCUGAGUUACACACCCGUGUCUCAGGCCGUGUGGACAUGAAUUUUCCCAAAUUCAAGCCAUUUCCAAUACCAAACCAUGCAUACACCUAAAGGCAUUUUGUGCACAAAUCAAGACAUAAAAACCUUACCUAAACAUGCAUAUAAUGACCAAUUCAAUAGCCUCAAAACAACCAACCAAUAUGCCAUUUCAAGGCACCUCACAAGAAAUAUCAAAGCUUACCUACACAUACAUAUUUAUUCACAUUUCCAUCAUCAAACAUGCUACAAUUAUGGCUAUUAACACUUCUAUCCCAAAAUAUGUCAUUUGAACUAUUCAAAACAUGCAACAUGAUAUAGUCACAACGACACAAACUAGCAAAGUAUCAAAAGUACCAACAUAGUUAACUUACAUAAAGUAUACAUACCAAAACACUUUCUAACCAUUUUCAAACUUAAUAGCCUAGUUCAAAUAUGAACUAAAACAUGUCACAAGUAACCAUUUUCAAACUCUCAUCAACAUGCCAAAUGAAUCAUAUCAACAAUCACUUUAAAGUAAUAAACAUCACAUAACUUGGUAAGGUAUCAAAGUGUACCUAACCAUUAUAACUUUUCAAAGCUUACAUAUACCAAAACAUGAUUAACACACGCACUAUAAUACCAUUACAAAUCAUCCUAUACAUUCCAUUAUUAACCUUAUCCAAAAUACUCAACAACUAUCAAAUUGUCCAAUGGUUAGUGUGAUAGAUCUCUGACAAACUUCUAAUCGAUUGAGCUUCUGAUAAUCUACAAAGUAAAGGAAGAAUAAUUACGUAAGUAAUGAGUGCUUAGUAAGCUCGUAUAAACUUUAACAUAAUAUACCAUUUAAAUAAUGAACUUCACAAAAUUAUAUAAACCUUUACCAAUUCCACAAGAUUAAUAAAGCCUAUAUAACAUCAACAAACUCUCAAGUUAGCAUACUUGUUCAAGAUACAUAUGAAAUUAACCAUAUAUAUAUAAACAUAACAUUUAAUUUAUCAUUGUUUCCAUACGAUCUUGUUUCAUUCCAUUUGCUUACUUACUGUUUCCAAUACCAUGAGUUUAAUAUAAGUCUAUUCAAGCAUCAUCGAACUCACAUGUUAAUAGAUUUAUUAACAAUCAUAUAAAAUCAAAUAUAACAUAAAUAACUUUCAUAGAAUACAUUACAUAAGCAUAAAUCUUUUCUUAUAAUUAUGAACCUUCCAUUAAGUCACUUACCAUUCCAUUCCUUUUCUUACUUAUUUCAUUUGCAUAGUAUAAUGUAUAAACAUAAAAAUCAACCAUAUGUGUUCCUAUCAUCCACAAUCUCAAUCGAUAUAUCACAUACAUUCAAUUUAAUACUCAAAUGUAUAGCAAAUCCAUCAAAUUCAUUAAAGAAAUUACCUUACUGAGAUUUUUAAUUCGAAGAACGACUUAGGGAUAGGAGCACAUCGUCAAUCCAACCAUAACACGCCAGAUGCCCAUACGAGUUAAUCCCUAUGAAACACACCAAAUGCUCACAAGAGCUAGUCCAAUCGAAACACACCAAUGCUCAUAAGAAUUAGUCCAACUGAAACACGCCAAAUAGAGAGUAUAACAUGAGAGUUUGCAACAAAUGCUGAACCUCGAUUUAUUUGGGAAAUAAAUAUAUACAUCCCUUCAAAUCGUCUCCAUUCCAAUCCCCCACAACACACUAUAUCACAACUAUCCUCUAUCCCGCGUUCAAUUCAAUCCGAACAUCAAAUUGAAUAACAUAUCUCAAAUAAUCAAUUCAUUAUCAAUAGUUGAAUAUAUAUUUUAUAUCAUGUUAUACUAUUCAACAAUUCAUAUAGAUGUCAAAAUUUUAAACCGUACAAACUUAUCUAGAUUGAAUUGUAGUGGUUGUAGAAAUUCAGGGACUAUUCUGUAAUUUUUCUUUUUCCACGAGUAGAAAUUCAACAAUUCAUAUAGAUGUCAAAAUUUUAAAUCGUACAAACUUAUCUAGAUUGAAUUGUAGUGGUUGUAGAAAUUCAGGGACUAUUCUGUAAUUUUUCUUUUUCCACGAGUAUCUACAGGAUCAUGAUCUAAAAUGUGAAAUUUCUCAAUUAUUGGCUUACAUUUCACAUUCCAAAUCAUUUUAUAAUUAAUAACCUUUUAUUUUUGAAAUUCAUACAAUUACCCUAUACUUUUAUAAUCUUUUUAAUUUAGUCCCUUAACCCGAAAUUUAUCAAAUUAACCAUUUUUCUCAAGUCAAUACUCUAUCCAAAUCUGCUAGGCCCUUAAACAGUCCCUAAUGAACAUUAAAUUUUCUAUCAAACCCUAAAAUUUGACAUUUUAACAAUUUAAUCUUAAAACCAAAAUCUAACAAAAAUCACUUUACAAAAUCAUCAAACAACACAAUAAAAGUUCAAAAUAUAUGGUAUUCAUCAUAAACAUUCAACAUUCAUCAAUGGAAACUUCAAAAAGUUUUAACAAAAUCAAAAACGAAAGUACAGGCUAGUUAGACCUAGUUGCAAUGAUCUCAAAAACAUAAAAAUUACAAGAAAUAAGUCAGAAUUAAGCUCAAAUGAAAGAAACGAAGCUUGAAGCUCUCCCUAAUGGUGAAUUCAACCGAGGUUGAAGAAAAAUGAAUAGGAAUUGUUUAGUUUUACAAUUUGCUUCACUUAAUUUCAAGUUAUUUACCAUUUUGCCAUUAAUUGCAUAAUAUUUUUGUCUUUUUCCUUACUAAUAUCGUCCUUCCACAUUAAUUAAGGCCUAAUUACCAUAUCGCUCCUUUCUCAAUUAAUAAUUAAGCCAUUUAGUCAUUAAAUGCAUUAAUUAACAAAUUUUACACCUUUUACAAUUUAGUCCUUUUUAAUUAAUUAUCUAAACAUUAAAAUUUCUUAAUGAAACUUUAAUAUAACAUUAAUAACACUCCACAAAUAUUUAAUAAAAUACUUACAGUUCGUUUUAUAGAAAGGAGAUCCUAAUACCUCAUUUUUUAAAACUACUUGACUUUAAGGUCAUACUACUUGAACCUAAUUGUUCUCUCAAAUAGCAUAAAUUACCAAUUAAACAUUUAUUUUAAUACGAUAUUUGACUCGUGAAUAUUAAAUAAUAGUAUUUCUGAACUCGCUCGUCAAAUUUGUGGCCUCGAAACCACUAUUUUUGACAUCACUGAAAAAUAAGCUGUUACAGGGGAACACUUAUAGAUGACAAUGUAAGUGAAUUUCUCCUCUUUGCUGUUUCAGGCCUUGACCCAAAUUGUAUUUACAAUCUAGAUUGCUUAAGAUAAAAUAAACUGAUUAGUACCUGGGCCAAAUUGACCCCCUUAUUGAACAUAAAAUAAAAAUAAAAAUUGGAAAUAAAAAUUAAAAUGGAAAUGAAAAUUUUCUUUUAGGCAACUUAGAAAAAUUUUUCUAAAAAUAUUACAUCAAAUUAAAUUCCCAAGAAAGGUUGGAGGGGUAACAAAUGGUCCCACUUAAGUUCCAAUAUUCUUAGACAGAUUUAAUUUGAAGAACUAAUUCAAGAAAAAUAAUUUCUAAGCAUGCCAUUUAUUCAAAUGAGAGAGAAAAAAACUGAAAAUAAAUUAAUGACAGAGAGAGAGAAGAGGACUCCCUCAAUGUUAUUAAUGAUUUUCAUUGACAAAGGCAAUGUUGAACGGCCAUUUAUUAUACCAACCAUAUCCAUCUAGAAAGAAGAACUAAUGUUGACCAGUAAUUAUAUUAAUAUUUGCUGAAAAAAUAGCAGUAGGAAAUAGUCUUUCUAUUUUGUCUUCUCGACUUUCUGCCAUUUGUACAAAUCUGCCUUCCCAUGAUGAUCUUUAAUGAAAUCAGCUCAUUUUUCGUUAUACCUUCUUUCUUUGGUACAAGUCCUAACCACUGAAUGUCAUAGAUGGGAUCCAUGAUCCUUGAUUUUAACCAUUGAAACUCAAAUUUCCCAAGAUAAAAUACUCGAGAUUGAAUUGAACUCUUCUAUCCCUUGAAAUAUCCCUUUUCAGUAUUUGCAAGAGUCCACUCGAUACCUUUCUCAUGCCUUUUCAAAAUAUCAAGUCCAACUUUGGUGGCCCUUCUUUUGAUGGGUUGGUUUGCUUGUACUUAUGUGAUGAUAGCUCUAUUGACUCAAACUGAACUUUUGAACUGAAUCUUUCCAAGGUAGCUUCCAAGCAUGUAUUUCAUCUUGAUGUGAAGAGUCAUAUGAAAUACCUUCCAAUGGAUCUUCUAUGGAAACGGUAAAAUAAUCUUUAACCUCAUUAGAAGAACUUACGGCCUUAAGUAUAUUAAAGGUUACUUGUUCAUCUUGAACUUGCAUGAUGAUUUCACCUUUCUCUACAUCAAUUCUCGUCCUAUCUAUUUCUAGGAAAUGCUUUCCAAGGAUGAUUGGUACUUCCUUAUCUGCUUCAAAAUCUAAGAUAAUAAAGUCAGCAAGAAAUAUGAAUUUAUCGACACAUACCAAGACAUCCUCAAUUUUUCCUUCUGGGUAUGCCAAAGAUUGAUCCACCAAUUGGAGUUUAAUAGUAGUUAGUCUAGCCUUACCAAUACCUAAUCGUCUAAACAUAGACGUAAACAUUAAAUUGAUACUCAAUCCCAAAUCACACAAAGCCUUACCACAAUAGGAUUAUCCAAUAUUGCAAGGUAUGAUGAAACUUUUUGGAUCCUUCAACUUAGGAGGCAACUUGUUCUGGAAAAAUAAGCUACAUUCUAUAGUCAGGCCUACAGCUUCAAAUUCCCCAAACCUUCUCUUCUUAAACAAAAAUUCUUUCAUAGCUUUCACAUAGUUCGGCAUCUGCUCUAAAGCUUCUACCAACGGGAUGUUGAUAUGUAGUUGUUUCAACACAUCCAACAUUCUCUUAAAUUGAGUAUCCUAUUUAUGUUGCUAGAGUAUUUGAGGAUAUAGAGGUUGUGGAACUUUGGCUUGGAUUGGACAGCUCUUCCAAGGUAAUAUUUCUGCAUCUAAUGAAGAGGUUAGCUUAUUAGAAUUCACUAGUUUAGAUUUUACCCAUUUAUAAUUUACAGAAUUUGGCUUCUCUGGUGCAAGAAUUUCAACUGUUGGUUUAUUUUUCUCUUUUUGGGGAGGUCCAUCUUCAACCUCAACCAUAUUGGGUUCAAAAGUCUUUCUGCUUCGUAAAUUGACCACUUUUCAAUUCUCCUUGCUUGAUUUUCUUAGGUUCUCCAUGACACUGGGCAAAGCUCCUUAUGGUCUAUUUCGAAGUUCGUUGGCUAGCUGCCCAAUCUAGUUCUCCAAAAUUCUCAAAGUUGUGUAUGCUUUUAAUAAUUUCUCAAGAUUAGAAGACUCGGAUGAUAGAUGAUUUUCUAUGUUGUUUGGUACAGCAUCUUGGGGUCCAUUUCUAAACUCAUCAGCUAAUUGUCCCACUUGAUUUUCACAAUUCUCCAAUGUUGUUGCCUUGCCUUCAAUCAAGGCAUUAAUUUUAGCAAUGCAUGCCUUCAAUAAAUUCUCCAAAUUAUUUGAAGGUUCAACUUGCGAUGGGUUUUAAACUUGUUAAUUGAAACCAAGAGGUCGAUUUGAUCGAUGUUGCAUGUAAGUGUUGUUCUGUCCACCUCCUUGGUAGUGAAUUGAUGGCUGAGCUACAACAUGAUUUAAACUUUUAGUAGUAAACUGUUUCAACUUUGAAAAGAUAGACGAUACCUGAGCUGGGAGUGAAGUAAGGACAUCUACUCCAUGCACUAUGGCUACUCUUCUUCCUAAAGCUGCUUGAUUUGUCGGCCACUAGUAAUUAUCACUGGCUAUUCUCUCAAUUCUUUCAUAAGCCUCAUUAUAAGAUUUCGAUAAAAUAGCACCAUUUACAAAAGUAUCUAACACCAACCUUGUGUAUAUGUUGAGACCAUUAUAAAACGUCUCCAACUAAAUGCAAUGAGGAAUCCCAUGACAAGGACACUUACGAAGUAAUUCCUUAAAUCUUUCCCAUGCCUUGUAUAAGGACUUCUCAUCCAAUUGUUGAAAAAUGGUGAUCUCCUUUCGUAACUUAGCAUUUUUGCUAGGUUCGAAAUACUUUACUAGAAACAAUUCAAGUAAUUCUUGCCAAGUAGAAAUUAAGUUGGAUGGCAACGAAUUAAUCCACACUCAUGCUCGAUCUCACAACGAGUAAGGAAACAACUUCAACUUCAGUGCAUCUUCAAUUACACUAGCUAUCUUGAAGGAAUCACUCACCUCCAUAAAUAAUCGAAGGCAAAAAUAUGGAUCUUCUGUGGGCAUUCCACUGAAUUGGCCUAUUGCUUGAAGCAUUUGAAACAUCACAGGCUUCAAUUCAAACUGCGGUGCCCCAAUCUCUAGUCUCUUAAUUCUUAAAUUUAGUUCAUUAAGAAGUGGCACGGCAUACCGUUUUAUAGGUCGGUCCCUAUCAUCAGCAUAAGGAUUGGAUUUCGAGCAUUAGCGGCUCUAUUCCCUUGAACAUCAUUUUGAUUCUCAUGGUCCAUUUUUGCAUCUUGUCUCUAGUCUAAUAUUUCUCAUCAUCUUUUUUGAAAUGCCUGCUCGAUUUCAAGGUUUAUAGGGACUAAAUCGAUGAUUCGAUCUAUGCUUAUUACGACCUAGAAAGAAAAUAAAAACAUAAAAAAGAGAAAAAAUUAAAAAAUUAAUUAGUAAAUUUAGAAAUUAAAUAAAAAUAAAAUAAAAACCAAAUUGCAAAAAAAUCUCACAAAAAUGAUUAAGGCAACAGUCCCCGGCAAUGGCACCAAAAACUUGUAAUGGGGUCUGUGCAAGUGUACAUAAUUGUUCAAGUAAUAAGUAAGUAAAAUGAGUUAUCGUCUCUACAGGGACUAUAUAAGCUUAACUGAAUAUUUUUAAAAUUAUACCUUUACAAUUUGAUGUAAAAAUUCAAUAAUUUGGAUGGUGAUGAUUAAACCAAGUAAAUUAAUUAGAUGCAAAGAUUGAUCCCUAUGCAAUUCUAAUCUAAAUGCAAUUUACCUAAAUGAAUGAAUGAAUGGCUUUAGCAACAAAAACAGUCAACAUUAAAUGGGCUAGGAUAAUUAUAUUAAUCAAUUCAAUUUACUUUAUCAUACUUAACAAUGUUCGUAAAUACUUCCACAACAAUUCGAUCUUUCAUGAGUUUGAAAAUCAAAUUAAGUCCUUUCGGAGUCUUUUACUUAGUUAAGUAUGCAUUUUAGUGAUCAUAUUAACUAAUGGUUUCUUAGAAUUUAUGUAAGGUCACAAGGACAAUUACAUUUGCAAAAAUUUAAUUACAUAAACCUAAAAAUUAUGCAAGGCAAUAGAGCUAACUAAAGAUAUUACAAACCUCAACUUGGUCAGGUUUAAGGAUCUAAAUUGAGCAUUGCACUUUUCAAUUAUGUGUCUACUAGUCAUCGUCUGGUUAGGAUCACUCAACUAAUCUGAGUGCACCCAAUCACGUAUGAAUGAAAUGCAUCAUGAUGUUAAUUUAAAACAUGAUUGACUGAGGCCUAAACAUGUUCAACAUGAAUAAAAUAGAUCUUAUUGAAUUAACAACAUCAUCCUAGCAAAUAGGGUUUAAAAUAUCAUCGUUGAUGUCAAAAACAAUAAACUCAAAGCAAACAUGAUUAAAUUAAAUAAAAAGAGGAAAGAGUAAACCUAUUCAUUUUAGUAGCCUUUCGGAUCUAUUCUGACUGAUUCCAUUCAGUAGCCUUUUGAAUCUAUUCUGACUGAUGCGCUCCUCCAUUCUACUCAAUACUUCUUUUGCUAAAGAGUUCCUAAGGUGGUCGACCAAAGAAUGCUUUUGACAAAGCUUUUGUGGCUAUGCAAGAGAAGGAAAAUGGAAAUGAAAUGUGGAGAAAAUGCUAAUGAGAGAAGAGAAAUGAGUAGUGAGGGAUGAGGGAUUAAGGGAUUGGUGCAUGGUAUUUAUAGGUAAAGGUAAAGGGUAGAGUUAGCUAAAAAUAGAUUCAAAAUUCCUUCAUUUUCUACCACACAUGCCUGGCCAUAUUUCAAGGAGUAGGGGAUGACUAAGUCUCCUGAAUUUGAAUUCAAACCAAGGCUAUUAUAGCCAUAGGGUGGACAGUUUUAAUAGCAAGUUGUUGGGCUGAUUUCUGAUUAUUUUCCAACUGUAAGGACCUUCAAUUAAAUACCCCAAAGCUUGCUUUUGGGCAGCCAUCUACUUGUGCUAAAACUGGGCUUUAGUUCCCCCUUAUUGGACGGUUUCUCAGUCUAAUUAUUUAGCAGAGAUGUCCAUCUUUUAGCACCUCUUUUAAUAGGUCAAAUUAUCAACCCCAUGACCCAAAUUGCAUGGUCUUGCCAUCCACAUGAAUUCAUUUGUGCAUGUCCAUGUUUCAUUCACAUUAAUCAAAUCUUCAAUUAUCCUCCUACAUAGUGAAAAAUCACAUAUUAAUAAAUUAACAUGAAAUAAUAUAAAACAUGUACAAAAAUCAUGUAAUUAAGCAUAAUUUCACAUACUUUAUAAAUUCAUGCCCAAUAUUACUAAUUAAGCAAAAUUCACUUAUUUUAAUAAUAAUUACUCAAGAUUAACAUAUUUAUUAAGCAAAAAGGUGUUAAAAAUAUAUAGAAAAACCCUAUAUAAUUUCGAGUUUACGAACAUCCACCAAAAAUGUUCCCUUUAUGCACCAACAAUUAAGUGACCGAAUGCCCACUCUUUUAUGCCAAAAUUGAACAGUCAUUUGAAUGUGGCAGCAUUUGAUUCUUCUUGGCAAACGAACAACUCUAUUGUAGCCUUAAAAUAUGUGACCAGCCUUUGGACUAUCCUAGGACAAACAAUUGAACACACAAUUAAUUUAUUUAAGAUACAUUAAACAUUGCAAACUUUUCAUAUUCACAUCUAAAACUCAAAAAUACUAAAACUCAAUAUUUAAUAAUAGAAUUCAACAUACAAAAACUCAAGCAUUUAUGACAAAAAUAACAGCCAAAAUAAAUGUAACAGCCCAUUUUCCAGUGAAAUUGGAACAGUGGUUUUGGGACCACAAAUCUGACCCAAAAAUAAAAUUUAUUUUAUUUUAUUAUAUGGUUCGUAUUAUGAUUGACAUGUUGUGUGAAAAUUUUGAUACGAAAAUUUAUCGAUUAAGUGUUUAAUUACGAGAAGGACUAAAUCGAAUGAAAUGUGAAAGUUGAAUUCUAGUAGCUAUAAGGAUUAAAUAGCCAUGGAAUUAAAAACUAGAGGUCCUUAUAUGGUAAUUUGACCAUUAAAUGAGUAUGUAGAUUUUUUUUUAUGACUCAUCCAUGGAAAAUUAGAAAAGAGUAGGGACUAAAUUGGAAAUUAAAUUAAUUAAUUAAUUAAAAGAUGAUAAAAAGAAAAUAUCAUCUUAUUUUGUCAUCUCCAACCCCAAAAUUCUACGGAAACCCUAGGAGAGCGAGAAGAAACUUUCCAGGCUUAAUUGGGUAAGUUUCCUUGUCCCGUUUUUAGUAAUUUUGAUAUUUUUGAAACUGGGAUAGUCUAAUCUAUCUAUUUGAGGGAUUGGUUAGAAAAGUUAUCAAGGUAUGAAAAAUGGGUCAUGGAUGAAUAUGCUGAAAAUUAGACAUUUAUGGUAGAAAAUGAAAGGUUGUUGAUAGAUAAACAACUUUUACAAAUUGAUUUUUGAUGAAAACAUGAUUUAGGGACUAAAAUGUAAAGUUGUGAAAUUUGAUGAAAACUUCUAAAAUUUUAUGAAUACGUGUGUUGUAAAUUUUAUAAUGGGGUUUUGGUUAGGCUUGGAAUAGGGAGUAAAUUGCACAAGUUUCCAGGCCUAAGGACAAAGUUAGAAGCAAAAUGGUAAUUUUACCUAGUACAUAAAUUGAGUCCAAAUAAACAUGAAAUAUGUGAAACUGAUGAUUAAAGCUAUUUAUAUAGAUAUGGACAACACAAAUUCAAGGUUAGAUCAAGGAAAAGAAAAGGUUUCAGAUUAUUAGAUCUUAUACGUGAACAAGCGUCAAGGUAAGUUCGUGUAACUUAAUCAAACUUGUAAAUAUGUUUAAUUGAAUGUUGUAUUUGUAUGUAAUGUAACUUAUAUUGAUAUGAAUUCUUUGAUUGCUAUAAUUAAUAUUUGAAUAAAUGCUUGAAGAUGGUGAAAAAGGGUUAAGUCCCAAUUGAAUAUUGAAUUCCGAUAAUUAUAUGCGCUUUCCCUGAAACUAAUAAGGUCCUGAAUUUGCUGCAGACAUGAUUUAGCUUAGACGAGUAAUCUUAUUGACAUUGUUAUAGAAAGGAUUUAGCCUGAACGGGUAAUCCUAAUAUAAUACCUCUCAAAUAUACGUUACGAUUAGGGUUUAGCCUGGACUGGUAAUCUUGUGAUACAAUAUGUGACUCGAGAGUGUGUUCCUUGGUUAAGUGCUGUAAGAGGUACCCUCAAUAAGAAUUAACGGAUUAAUAAACUGUACACCCCGAGUGUACCACUUGAGUAUUCAUCGGAAUUUUAAUGAUUCAACGAACAUAAAACUCUUGACAUGGCAUGAGAAUUAUGAGAUGAAAUGAUAAUAUCUUGAAAGAAUAAUAUAUGAUGAGCUCAUCUAUCCUUACUUGAUGUACAUGCAAACUUUGUGACUAACAUGUUUGAUUGGAUGCAUGUGUUUAGGCAAUUUAGCCAAAUGGAUGGAAAAGUUGUUGUUGUAUGCUUAGAUUUAAUAAACGGGAUUGGUAAGUUUAGUUUCCUUUAUACGAACUUACUAAGCAUGUAAUGCUUACUUCGUUCUACUUUCCUUGUUUUAUAGUGCUCGAAAGCUCGUGAAGGUUAGAGACCACUAAAGCAUCGUCACACUACCAACUAGUCAUUUUGAGUAUACUUAGUAAAAUCGUUUUGGUAUAAUGGCAUGUAUAGGACAACUUGACCAAUAGUAGCUUGAAAAUGAUGUUUUGUAACUAGUAAAGGCUUGUUUUGGUAUGAUUAAGUAGGUUAUGAUGAUAUAUCCAUAUGUCAUAUGUUAUGUAUAUGUGAUCAAAUGAUGCUAAUGCCUAAGUUAACCAUAGGUAAGUUUAUAAACACAUAUGCAUGUAAUGAUAUGCCUUGUUGAAUGAUGAAGUUUGUUAAAUUUGAAUGCUUGAAAUGGUUUGUAUUAGUUAUGUGUUUCAAGUGCUGUCUUGGGUGAAAUUUUGGGUGAGAAAUGAAGCUAGAAAUGGCUUCAUUUUGUCUACAUGGGCAGACACACGGGCCUGUGUCUAGACCGUGUGUGACACACGGCUUGGUAACAUGGGCAUGUGGUUAGGCUGUGUGUCCCCUACACCUUAAUUGUGAGAAAUAGAAUGCUCAAAAUUGUGCACACCGAUAGAGACACGCGCGUGUGUCUCAGCCGUGUGUACUACACGGCCUUGAACACGGGCAUGUGUCUUGAUCAUGUGAAACUUGCACCUAAUUUUGAAUUGAAUUAAUUAACUAUACGGCCUAUCACACAAGCGUGUGGCAUGGCCGUGUGCACAAGUUCGAGAGUUAUAUGGGGUCGAACACGGCCUGCAGCACGGGCGUGUCCUGGAGUCACACGGGCAUGUCCUUUAGACCACACGGGCGUGUGAGCCCUGCACCUUGGAAAUUUCUUAAAAUUUUGCGAAAAUACUUAGAGCUCUUGAUUAAGUCUCGACUUGAUUCUAAUGCUCGUAUUGGGACUCGAGGGUCCAAUUAAGGGACGUUUUGAAUUAUCUCGGUUAAUGAAUAGUAAUUUACAUAGAUUAAUUGUAAAAUGUUCUGAAAGUUUUGGUAAUAUUCUAAAACCCUAUUAUGAUGUUAGAUACAGGUUAGAGGUACUACAUUUAGUGGUAUCAAAGCUACAGUUUAGCCGAUUCUCAGAUUUGACGUGGCAAAAACGAGUUUAACUAUACAUGCCAUUAUAUAAAUUGUGAUAGUGUGAUGACUCCUGAUCAUUUUAAAUGUGUUUUUCAUAUAGUAAUGUCAUCCAACCGAGCUAGAGCUGAAUCCGAGGAAGCUGAGAGAAAUGCUUCACCUUCAAUUCAAAGAGUUUUGUUUGCAUCUAGUAGUGACAGGCCUGUGUCUGAGGGCCUAAGUGAGGAGGCAAAAUAAGCCUUCUUUCAAAUGAUGAAUGAAUGGUUUACACAGUAUUUAAGAAUAAACCCUACUGUACAAUGACCUCUCCCACUUGCUCCUCAACCGGUUCCUGAGGUACCACAGGGUGCUAAACUUGUAAGAAUUGGUAAACCUCCUAUAGAUAAAAUUCGUAAAUAUGAGGCGGGAAAAUUUAGAGCUAUCGCAGAUGAUGAUCUGGAAAGGUAUGAGUUUUGGCUAGAAAAUACUAUUCUGGUUUUUAAUGAAUUAUCCUGUACACUUGCUGAAUGUCUGAAGUGUGCAGUAUCUCUACUGAAAGAUACAACUUAUCAUUGGUGGAAUACCAUAACUUCAGUGGUACCGAGAGAGAAUGUUACAUAGAAAUUCUUCCAGGUUGAAUUUAGGAAGAAGUAUGUGAGUCAGAGAUUUAUGGAUCAGAAAAAAGAAAGAAUUUCUAGAGCUCAAACAAGGAAAUAUGACUGUGUCUGAAUAUAAACGAGAAUUUAUUCGCUGAGUAAAUACGCUCGAGAAUGGGUCCAGUCUGAGGCCGAGAUGUGUAAAAGCUUUGAAGAGGGUUUAAAUGAAGACAUCAAAUUAUUGAUUGGAAUUCUCGUGUUAAGGGAAUUUGCAGUGUUAUUGGAAUUCUCAAAUUAAGGGAAUUUGCGGUGUUAGCCGGUCGAGCACACAAAGCUGAGGAAUUGAGUAAAAAAAAAGAGACAAGCUGAAAGAGAGGCUCGGGUCUCUGGAAAAAGAACCAUGAGUAGGUCACAAUCAUUUGCUACUAAGAAAUUAAAGAAGUAUUAUGAUUGUGUUACCACCUCUACGGGAUAUUCUAGAAGAGAGCGGGACUCUCAAUGUUCUAACCUGAGGUCUUCCUCUCUAUCUGUAACCAAUGUGGGUAGUGUCAGUAAUCCCAAACUGAAAUGUAAACAUUGUAACAAAUUUCAUCAUGGGGAAUAUCAGUCUAGAAGUGGAUCUUGUUUUGGAUGUGGUUCACUUGACCAUUUUCUUAGGGAUUGUCCAGAAAGAAUGGAAAAAGAGAUAGAACCAGCUCUAAAGCCUAAUAAUCCUGUCUCAAGGGGUAGACCACCCCGUCACCCUGGCAAUGUUUGUGGUAGUCGAGGUACUACUAGGGAUACAGGAGUUAGAUCUGAGGCACGAGCACUUAUGAGAACAUAUGCUAUUUGUGCUAGAGAAUAUGCCUCUGCACUAGAUGUCAUUACUGGUAUAUUUUCUCUACUUGAUACUAAUAUUAUUGCAUUGAUUGAUCCUGGUUCCACACAUUCAUACAUAUGCUUGAACUUAGUGACUGUUAAAAUUUACCUGUUGAAUUCAUUGAAUUUGUGGUUAAAGUUUCAAACCCCCUGAGCCAGUGUGUUAUGGUGGAUAAAGUUUAUAAGAACUAUUUGUUGAUGGUAAAUGGUUGUUGCUUUCCGACUAACUUGAUGUUAUUGCCAUUUGAUGAAUUUGAUGUAAUCUUGGGGAUGGAUUGGUUAACCCAAUAUGAUGCAGUGGUGAAUUGUAAAUGGAAAUAUAUUGUAUUGAAAUGUCAGAAUGAUGAGUUGCUUCAUGUUGAAUCUGAUAAACUAGAUGGAUUACCUAAUGUGAUUUCAGCAAUAUCAACACAGAAAUAUGUUAGAAAGGGGUAUGACGCUUAUCUUGCAUAUGUGUUGGAUACUAAAGUAUCUGAGUCAAAGAUUCAGUCAGUUCCGAUUUUAUAUGAAUUUCCUGAUGUAUUCCCAGAAGAAUUACCUAGUUUACCAUCGGAUAAAGUAGGAUUCUCUAUAGAUCUUGUUCCAGGAACGACAUCGAUAUCCAUAGCACCUUACAAAAUGACUCCUAUUGAAUUAAAAGAGCUAAAAGUACAGUUGCAAGAAUUGAUUGACAAAGGUUUUGCUUGACCUAGUUUCUCACUUUGGGGUGCGUCAGUUUUGUUUGUAAAGAAGAAAGAUGGAUCGUUGAGGCUGUGCAUUAAUUAUAAACAGCUCAACAAAGUUACAAUAAAGAACAAGUAUCCAUUGCCUCAUAUUGUUGACUUGUUUGACCAGUUAAAAAGUGCCACUGCAUAUUCGAAGAUUGAUCUUCAUUCUAGUUAUUAUCAACUACUGUAACACCCCCUACCCGUAUCUAUUGCCGAAAUAGGUACGAGGCAUUACCGGAGUUUAUUGAACAUUUUCAGAUAAUUCUGAGUCAUUCAUUAUUCAUAUUUUGAAAAUAAUCAUAACAUCUCUUUAUUGAGCCCUCGAAGCCCCAAACACACAUUAAAAACCAACCGGAAUUAAAUCGAGAUCAUAAAAAAAAUUCGCAAAACCUUAAAUUUUAUUUUCAUCUAAGUACUUACUAUUUCAAUGCUUCUUAUAAUUAAACAUGUUACCAUUCAAUCAAUAGCUUGACACUUGUCCAAGCGUCAAGCCACAUCAUUGCUAGUAUACUUGCACAUAUUUCAUAUAAAUUCAACAUUGAUAUACUUAUUUUCUCGACAUGUCACACUUGAGUUUAAUAAUUGUCUUUACUUACAUAAUUUCAUUGUAUCAACAUAUCAAAGAUAAUCAUAUAUGUACAUGUCAUGAAACAUAUCAUGCUCUUACCGUUUCUUCAUAAGUAUAUAUCAAUCAUUUCGUUAUAUCAAUAUUUCAUGCUCCAUCAUUUCCAUAUAUUUUAUGUAUAUUUAUUCCGGUAAAGUUUAUAUCAAACUUAACAUAAAUUAUAUUCCAUGUACUUAUUCUUAUUUCGUUUAUCUAUCUUCAUAAUUAUUUCAUACAACUAUUUUGUACAUAUAUUUCCAUAUGACCAGUUCUUGUAAACAUUUCACACAACCGUUUUAUAUAACCAUUCGUCAUCUGAUGCAUAUUACUUGAAUAUCAAUUGUUCAAUAGAUGUCAUCGCGUCUCCCAUCCACGGUUUUAUUUAUCUUUGACAUGAUGCCAUAGUGUCUUUCAACUAUGGUCUUACUCAUUUUCUGUCAUGUUGCCAUGGUAUCUUUCAACCAUGGUCUUAUUCAUUUCAUAUCACGUUGCCAUGGUAUCUUUCAACCAUGGUCUUAUUCAUUUCCCGUCAUGUUUCCAUGGUAUCUUUAAACCAUGGUUUUAUUCAUUUCAUAUCACGUUGCAAUGGUAUCUUUCAACCAUGGUCUUAUUCAUUUCCCGUCAUGUUUCCAUGGUAUCUUUCAACCAUGGUCUUAUUCAUUUCAUAUCACGUUGCCAUGGUAUCUUUCAACCAUGGUCUUACACAUUUCAUAUCAGGUUGCCAUGGUAUCUUUCAACCAUGGUCUUACACAUUUCAUAUCAGGUUGCCAUGGUAUCUUUCAACCAUGGUCUUACACAUUUCAUAUUAGAUUGCCAUGGUAUCUUUCAACCAUGGUCUUACACAUUUCAUAUCAGAGAGCACACUCCCGCGAACCUCAUCCUUACAGUGGGAUUACCAGUCCAGGCUAAAUCCCCUGUAAUAUAAACUCAUAGAGUAUUGUCAAAAUUACCAGUCCAGGCUAAAUCCCCUGCAACGAUAAUUAGUCUAAUGAGCUUCGAUCUGAAUUACCAGUUCAGGCUAAAUUCAAACCUUAAUUCGGAUUACCCGUCUGGGCUAAAUCCAUUUUCCACAUAUUCUUCGAGAGGGUAUAUCAGGGUAGGAUCACCUGUCCGGGCUAGAUCCUUUUUACCGUCAAUUCUUUCUCAGAGAUCCAUCGAAAUUUCUUUUCAUUCAAUCGGGAUUUCUUCCCCUUUUUAUCAAAUAUAUCAAUGUUUCAUAAAUUUUCAUACAAUGAACUUUCAAAUCAUAUUCACAUCAAUAACAUACAUUUCAAGCAUUUAAGAAUAUAAUUCAAGUUAUACGAACUUACCUAGCGAAAUUGCAAAAAUAUCAAGAUUCAGGGACAUUUUGGUAAUUUACAAUUUUCCCAAUUUUCACUCGAUCUUAAAUUGACAAUUUCAUUCAAUUUAUUAAUUUGGAUAAUAAAACAAUUCAUUCCCUUCAAUUUGGUCAUUUUGACAUUUUUAUAAAUUUGCCCCCUGAAGUUUUACUUUUAUUCAAUUUAGUCCUUAAGCCUAAAACAUGCAAAUUAGCCAUGCUAGCUGAAUAUUCAUAUAUAUUUUCCUCCUCCUCCUCCUCUCCAUUCCACAUCCUUAAUGUAUAUAACACACUUGGAAGUAACAUCAUCUAUAAUUUUUAUUAUUUACUUUUAUGAAUAUUCAAACUGUCCAUCUGUGUCAUAGUCGCUAAUUUUCCCUAAAACUAGACUCAUAUAUCUUCUUUCCAUAAAAGUUUUAGAAUUUUUGGUUUAGCCAAUAAGUACAGUUUAUUCUUUAAAUUUACCCCUAUUAUGUUGUCUGACAGUUCUAACCCUUCUUCACUAAAAAUUAAUUAUCUCUUGUACAGAAUUCAAUUGAUAUUCAUGUUUAUUUCUAUUGAAAAUAGAAGAUUCUAAAAAUAUAAAUUUAAGCCCCUAAUUAUUUCUAUCCAAUUUUUUAUGAUUUUCCAAAGUCAGAACAGGGGAACACGAAUUCAUUCUGACCUUGUCUCACAAAAUUCAUUAUAUCUCAUGAUUUACAAAUCCAUUACUUACACCGUUUCUUCUAUAAGAAACUAAACUCAAUAAGAUUUAAUCUAAUAUUUUAUUCAUCCUAUAAUUCGAUUUCUACAAUGUUUGGUGAUUUUUCAAAGUUAGACUACUGCUGCUGUCUAGAACUGUUUUAGUGCAAGAUAUUAAUUACCAUGUUAUAACACCCUUAUUUUCUUUUUCUACACCAUUUCUCAUCACUUUCUCUUAUUUUCUCUUCACUAACAUAUGAAGAACAUAGGACCUUAUAUAAGAAAACUCUACUAUAACAUUAUUUCCAUGCUUUGUUUAUAAUAACAAACUUAAAAACAUAUUGAAAUCUUGAUGUACUUACCUUUUCUUAUUGACUUCAAUCUUUAACUUGAUUUUUCUCUCUCCUCCAGCUUCUAUUUCUUGAAUCCAACUUGAUAUUCUUGCUCCCCAUCAUCUCCUUUAUCUCUUGAUGGCUAUGGAAAUUCUUUCAAUUUUUAAGUGAAAAUAAUGAAUUUUUGGAGGAAGGACUAAAUUGUAAGAAAAUGAAAACUUUCUUUCUUCUUCUUUUUCUUCUCACGUUAGUUGCAUGAGAAAGGUGAUCAUAUCGUCCUCCCCUUUCUUUCCUUUCAUAUAUAUAUUAAAUAAAAUAAUAAUAAAAUAAUAAAAUAUCAUUUAAAAAUCAAUUUUUAUUUAAUUUAUCUAAAAUAUCUCCAACAUCAUCAUUUUCUCUAGAUUUCUCUCUCUUCCAAUUGACCAUUUUGCCCUUUGUGAUCUUUUAAAAUUCCAUUCUUGAGUCUCACUUAAUUUGGUAAAAUUGCAAUUUAGUCCCUCAUAAUUCUUCACCUAUUCAAUUUGGUCCUAAUUCAUCAAUUUUCCUUGGUUUCUAGAUCAUUCCACCCUUAAAAUAUUUGCACUAUUAGUCCUUCAACUUUUCAUAUUUACACUUUAAUCCUUCAAAUUUUGAGUAUUUACUCUUGGGCCACAAAACUUUUCUCGCUUUUACAAAUUAAUCCUUUCUUGAAUCAAUAUGUCAUAAUAUACUUCCCAAUAUUGACAUAACUCAAAAUUUCCCUUUUUGUCACUUUAUUUUCUUAUUUUACUAUAUCACGGAUAAUAUUUUACUAUAAAAUUUUUCGAGGUAUUACAUUUCUCUCCCCCUUAAAAUAAAUUUUGUCCUCAAAAUUUUCUUGUUUUCUUUUGAUCAUGAAUUUCAUUAUUUCUAUAAUUUCAUAGUUUCUUUUUGCACAUAUUUACCUAGUUUAUCAUUUAUAUCCAUUCUCUAUCCUUUCAUCUUAAAUUUUAUUUUCAAUUCAAUAUUUCACAUUUGCCUCUCAGAGCUUUUACCAACAGAAAUAGAAGAUAAUAUCAUAUGCAUCUUAUUAUCAAGUGUUUUAUCACAUAUAUUGGCUUGGAAAACCAAAGAAAGAUAGAGUAGUACCACUUGUGAAUCAAUCAGACUUGUGAUAAUUUCUGUCUAUUAGCAUAUUUAUCCAACCUUUCCAUAUAUUGAUUAUAGCAUCCAAACAUGAACAGUUGUAUAUACCUCUGAAAAUAUCAGUACAUAUAAAAUACCCGUAUAAAAUCUCCAAAAAAUUUUACUGUAAUAUACCUAUUUAUAACAGCUAUAUUCAAAUAUUUAAUUUAUUUACCAAUCCAUUGACUAGUAAAGUCAUCAAUAGUUUCACAUCAUUCAGUUCACUGAAGAAACUAAUUGGGAAGGAAUUUUCAGUUAACCAUUCUGUAAAUACCAUAUUUGAACAAAUCGAUUUUCCUAUAAAUAAUUUCUUUAUUUAACAGUGGUACUGUAUAUCCCAGCUAGUUUUUAGAAAAAUUUUGAUGUAUCUAUUUAGAACCCAUCUUUACCUAUUAACUCAUUCUCAAUUCCGACUAUAUUAUCAAUUGUUCAACCAUUGAACUUUUCACUUUCCACUUCUGAACUUAAUCAAUAUAAAUCUCAUGAACUUCAUUGCAUAUAACUGUACUAGUAAAGGGGUAUAGAUCGUAAAGUCUCAUAAUUUAAUUGUCAUAUAUUUACUCAUAUAACAUUUAUAAUUCUCAAGUACUAUAAAACAUUUAUUCGUACUUUUAUGAGUUCUGCUUCAUCAUAACUAACAUUUUUACUCAGAGAUAAUCAUUUACCUCGUAACGAAAAUUGUUUACCUUUUACUUAGCAGAUACCUAGUAGACUAGAUAGAACACUUCAGAUAUACGGGACUUAUACAGAGGUGCAUUAUUAUGCAUUAUUAAACAGAGAAAACUGAAGUGCUAUACAGAGAGUACGAAUGUGCUGAAUGUGCUAAUAAUCAGAGAGCACUAACGUGCUAGUAAUUAGAGAGCAUGCUGAGGUCCCUUAAUAUCCUAGUAGUUUUAAUCUUGUCUACUUGGGAAAAUUAUUUCAUGCACGCAUAUCACUUUUACACCUUUCGUAUAAUACUUUUACAUGCUUUAUAAUUUAAUCCUUGUGCCAAUAAUCCGUUUAUUUAUGUCUUCUUUACCUUUAAUACAUGUAAUAUUUUUCAAAAUUCAUUAUUCAUCCAUAAUUUACUAAUAAUCCUUAUCAUGUACUUCAUAUACCACUUUUAUAUAUUUUGCAAUUUAGUCAUCAGCACAAUAUUUCAUGUAGCAAUAUAAUUUAUAAUAUACAUAACAUUCAUCAUCAACAUGUAUUUAUUCAUACCUUUAUGAAUUCCGAUUCAUUCUAAUAAACUUUUUACUCAUAUACUUGAGUAUUGUUUCUAGUAUUAUCAGAAUUAUCUUGGGUUAGAAAGCAUCUCAUUUUAUAAGUAAAACAAAUCUCAUCAGAGUUGGCAGAUAUCAUACUUAUCACAUAUUAUAAUGACAUGUGUUUUUAGACUUCACAUAUACUACGUUUUGUCCGAGAACCGACUAAACCGUAGCUCUGAUACUACUAAAUGUAACACCCCCUACCAGUAUCUAUUGCCGGAAUAGGUACGAGGCAUUACUGGAGUUUACUGAACAUUUUCAGAUAAUUCUGAGUAAUUUAUUAUUCAUAUUUUGAAAAUAAUCAUAGCAUCUCUUUAUUGAUCCCUCGAAGCCCCAAACACACAUUAAAAACCAACCAGAAUUAAAUCGGGAUCAUAAAAAAAAUUCGCAAAAUCUUAAAUUUUAUUUUCAUCUAAGUACUUACUAUUUCAAUACUUCUUAUAAUUAAACAUGUUACCAUUCAAUCAAUAGCUUGACACUUGUCUAAGCGUCAAGCCACAUCAUUGUUAGUAUACCUGCACAUAUUUCAUAUAAAUUCAACAUUGAUAUACUUAUUUUCUCGACAUGUCACACUUGAGUUUAAUAAUUGUCUUUACUUACAUAAUUUCCUUGUAUCAACAUAUCAAAGAUAAUCGUAUACGUACAUGUCAUGAAACAUAUCAUUCUCUUACCAUUUCUUCAUAAGUAUAUAUCAAUCAUUUCAUUAUAUCAAUAUUUCAUGCUGCAUCAUUUCCAUAUAUUUUAUGUAUAUUUAUUCCGGUAAAAUUUAUAUCAAACUUAACAUAAAUUAUAUUCCAUGUACUUAUUCUUAUUUCGUUUAUCGAUCUUCAUAAUUAUUUCAUACAACUGUUUUGUACAUAUAUUUCCAUAUGAACAGUUCUUGUAAACAUUUCACACAACCAUUUUAUAUAACCAUUCGUCAUCUGAUGCAUAUUUCCUGAAUAUUAAUUGUUCAAUAGAUGUCAUCGCGUCUCCCAUCCACGGUCUUAUUUAUCUUUGACAUGAUGCCAUAGUGUCUUUCAACUAUGGUCUUACUCAUUUUCUGUCAUGUUGCCAUGGUAUCUUUCAACCAUGGUCUUAUUCAUUUCAUAUCACGUUGCCAUGGUAUCUUUCAACCAUGGUCUUAUUCAUUUCCCGUCAUGUUUCCAUGGUAUCUUUCAACCAUGGUCUUAUUCAUUUCAUAUCACGUUUCCAUGGUAUCUUUCAACCAUGGUCCUUCACAUUUCAUAUCAGGUUGCCAUGGUAUCUUUCAACCAUGGUCUUACACAUUUCAUAUCAGGUUGCCAUGGUAUCUUUCAACCAUGGUCUUACACAUUUCAUAUCAGAUUGCCAUGGUAUCUUUCAACCAUGGUCUUACACAUUUCAUAUCAGAGAACACACUCCCGCGAACCUCAUCCUUACAGUGGGAUUACCAGCCCAGGCUAAAUCCCCUAUAAUAUAAACUCAUAGAGUAUUGUCGGGAUUACCAGUCCAAGCUAAAUCCCCUGUAACGACAAUUACUCUAAUGAGCUUGGAUCUGAAUUACCAGUCCAGGCUAAAUUCAGACCCUAAUUCGGAUUACCCGUCUGGGCUAAAUCCAUUUUCCACAUAUUCUUCGGGAGGGUAUAUCGGGGUAGGAUCACCCAUCUGGGCUAGUUCCUUUUUACCGUCAAUUCCUUCUCAGAGAUCCAUCGAAAUUUCUUUUCAUUCAACCGGGAUUUCUUCCCCUUUUUAUCAAAUAUAUCAAUGUUUAAUAAAUUUUCAUACAAUGAACUUUCAAAUCAUAUUCACAUCAAUAAUAUACAUUUCAAGCAUUUAAGAAUAUAAUUCAAGUUAUACGAACUUACCUAGCGAAAUUGCAAAAAUAUCAAGAUUUAGGGACAUUUUGGUAAUUUACAAUUUUCCCAAUUUUCACUCGAUCUUAAAUUGACAAUUUCAUUCAAUUUAUUAAUUUGGAUAAUAAAACAAUUCAUUCCCUUCAAUUUGGUCAUUUUGACAUUUUUAUAAAUUUGCCCCCUGAAGUUUUACUUUUAUUCAAUUUAGUCCUUAAGCCUAAAACAUGCAAAUUAGCCAUGCUAGUUGAAUAUUCAUAUAUAUUUUCCUCCUCCUCCUCCUCUCCAUUCCACAUCCUUAAUGUAUAUAACACACUUGGAAGUAACAUCAUCUAUAAUUUUUAUUAUUUACUUUUAUGAAUAUUCAAACUGUCCAUCUGUGUCAUAGUCACUAAAUUAUUUAUAUCUGGAGCUAUAGAGCUCCAAAUUAAGAUCCGCUAAUUUUCCCUCAAACUAGACUCUUAUAUCUUCUUUCCUUAAAAGUUUUAGAAUUUUUGGUUUAGCCAAUAAGUACAGUUUAUUCUUUAAAUUUACCCCUAUUCUGUUGUCUAACAGUUCUGACCCUUCUUCACUAAAAAUUAAUUAUCUCCUGCACAGAAUUCAAAUGAUAUUCCUGUUUAUUUCUAUUGAAAAUAGAAGAUUCUAAAAAUAUAAAUUUAAGCCACUAAUUAUUUCUAUCCAAUUUUUUAUGAUUUUCCAAAGUUAGAACAGGGGAACCCGAAUUUAUUUUGACCUUGUCUCACAAAAUUCAUUAUAUCUCAUGAUUUACAAAUUCAUUACUUACACCGUUUCUUCUAUAAAAAACUAGACUCAAUAAGCUUUAAUCUAAUAUUUUAUUCAUCCUAUAAUUUGAUUUCUACAAUUUUUGGUGAUUUUUCAAAGUUAGACUACUGCUGCUGUCUAGAACUAUUUUAGUGCAAGAUAUUAAUUACCAUGUUAUAACACCCUUAUUUUCUUUUUCUACACCAUUUCUCAUCACUUUCUCUUAUUUUCUCUUCACUAACAUAUCAAGAACACAGGACCUUAUAUAAGAAAACUCUACUAUAACAUUUAUAAUAACAAACUUAAAAACAUAUUGAAAUCUUGAUGUACUUACCUUUUAUUAUUGACUUCAAUUUUUAACUUGAUUUUUCUCUCUUCUCCAGCUUCUAUUUCUUGAAUCCAACUUGAUAUUCUUGCUCCCCAUCAUCUCCUUGCUAUCUUUAUCUCUUGAUGGCUAUGGAAAUUCUUUCAAUUUUUAGGUGAAAAUAAUGAAUUUUUGGAGGAAGGACUAAAUUGUAAGAAAAUGAAAACUUUCUUUCUUCUUCUUCUUCUCACGUUAGUUGCAUGAGAAAGGUGAUCAUAUCAUCCUCCCCUUUUUGUCCUUUCAUAUAUAUAUUAAAUAAAAUAAUAAUAAAAUAAUAAAAUAUCAUUUAAAAAUUAAUUUUUAUUUAAUUUAUCUAAAAUAUCUCCAACAUCAUCAUUGUCUCUAGAUUUCUCUCUCUUCCAAUUGACCAUUUUGUCCUGUGUGAUCUUUUAAAAUUCCAUUCUUGAGUCAUCACUUAAUUUGGUAAAAUUACAAUUUAGUCCUUCAUAAUUCUUCACCUAUUCAAUUUGGUCCUAAUUCAUCAAUUUUCCUUGGUUUCUAGAUCAUUCCACCCUUAAAAUAUUUGCACUAUUAGUCCUUCAACUUUUCAUAUUUACACUUUAGUCCUUCAAAUUUUGAGUAUUUACUCUUGGGCCAUAAAACUUUUCUCGCUUUUACAAUUUAAUCCUUUCUUGAAUCAAUAUGUCAUAAUAUACUUUCCAAUAUUGACAUAACUCAAAAUUUCCCUUUUUGUCACUUUAUUUUCUUAUUUUAGUAUAUCACGGAUAAAAUUUUACUAUAAAAAUUUUGGGGGUAUUACAACUACUGGUAAAAGAUUCGGAUGUCCUAAAGACAACUUUUAAAACCAAGAAUGGACAUUAUGAGUUUCUUGUGAUGCCAUUUGGUUUGACAAAUGCACCUACAGUGUUUAUGGAUCUGAUGAAUAGAAUUUUCAGCUCAUAUUUAGACAGGUUUUUGGUGUUAUUUAUAGAUGAUAUUUUGGUUUACUCUAGAAAUGAAAAUGAGCAUGCUGAGUAUUUGAGAAUAGUGUUGCAAACUCUGCAAGAGAAAAAAUUAUAAUCCAAAUUUAGUAAAUAUGAAUUUUGGCUACGAGAAGUUAGUUUUCUUGGGUAUAUAGUAUCUGCUAAAGGUGUCAGAGUAGACACGAAUAAAAUUUCAGCUAGUUAAUUGGAAGCCACAGAAGAAUGUAUCUGAAGUCUGAAGUUUUCUGGGACUAGUUAGUUAUUAUCGAAGAUUUGUAAAAAAAAAUUCAAUGAUAGCUUCUCUAAUGACUAGUUUGCUACAGAAAGAUGUAAAAUUCGAGUGGACUGAUAAAUGCUAGUAGAGUUUUGACUAAUUAAAAGCUUUAUUGUAACAGUCCGAUUUAGACCCUAAUCGGAAUGGUGGUUUAGGGACCACGAAUUCAAGUCACAAAAAUAUUUAACUAUUAUUUUCCAUGCUUAUUAUAUGUUAAUUAGCAUGUGUGAAAGUUUCGUAUGAAAAUUUGAUUGUUUGUGUGCUUAAUUAAAUAAAAGGGCUUAAUCGCGUAAAAUGAAAACUUGAUAGUUAAAAGCAUAAGGGACAAAUUGGUGAUGGCUUUGUAUGUUGAAGUAUUUAAUUGGUAAUUUGACCAUGUUUCAUUAGAUGGACGGUAGUCACCAUGUAAUAUGAUGGUUUUAUAUUAGUGAAUAAAUGUUAAAUUUGUAAUUGAAUUAAAAGCUUAUUAUAUUACAAAACAUAAAAAAAAUUAAAAGCCAUGGUUCUUUUAUCUUUGCAUGACCGAAACUAGUAAAAUAAAAAGAAAAGAAAAGAGUUAGGCAUUCGGCUACUUCUCAAGCUAAAUCAAGGUAUUUUUUACUUCAAUUUUUGAUAAUUUUUACGUUUUUGGGAUCGUUGCUUCGAAUACUACCCGACCCAUGCUUGAAUUUUUUAUUUUGGUGAAUAUUUUGUGUUAAUCCACUAAUGAAUAUUUUUAUUUUGUGAUGUUUGAUGAUGAAAUAUCAAAAAUAUGUUUUAGACUAACAAGUUUUGUAUUGAAGUUUUUGAUGAUUUUGAGUUAAUAGGACUAAAUUGCAAAAAUAAUAAAUUAAAGGACUAAAAUUUAAAAUAAAUUAAAUGUAUGGACUAGUAUGAGUAUGUUGAAAAUUCAGCUCAACUAUGUUGUUGUGAGAUUUGGUGUAUUUUGUGUAUUGUGCAAUUUGGACUAAAUUGUAAAAGUAUGAAAUAUCAGGGGUAAAAUGGUAAUUUUCCCAUUUAUGUGUUGUUGGAUUAAAUUGAAUAAAAUUGUAUUUAAAUGAGAUUAAUUUGAAAUUAUAUAGAUCAAGAACAAAGGAAAUCAGACUUGGAUCGGGGAAAAACAAAAAUAGUCGAAUAGCCGAUUCGUAACGUCCGUCGAUAUUCGGGGUAAGUCUUUAAGUAAUUAAACAUGGUUUAUUUUGAACAUAGAAUGAUCUACUAUGAUGAUUCAAAUUUUAUAAUGUAUUAGUAUGUUAACCGAAUGAGAAUUAUCAAUGAAUUAAUGUGAUUGAGUUGUAUUUGAAUGAUAUCAAAAUCUCUGAAAGUGUGUAUGUGUUACAUGGAAUAUUAUAUGAUUCGAUAUAUGAAAUGUUAUGGAAUGAUUUUAUGUUUGUGAUAUUCCGACCUUGAGCCUAGCAACCUUGUGCUGGUGACUUUGAUCGGGCUUUGUGCCUAGCAGGCUUAUAGAUUUUAAGUCUAGCAGGCCUUGCGCCGGUGUGAAAUUCAGGCUUAUGCUUAGCAGGUUUUAUACCAGUGAUUUGCUUUCAAGUCCAUGACUAUAAGAGUUCAAGUUAUUGUGAAUAUUGAGCUAGUGUAAUUGAGCUAAAUGACAUUGUGUAUGUUCGGCCACAUAGGUAAGUAUAGGUAAGCUUAUAUUCAACUUGAUUAUUCGAUUACAUGUGAAUUAUAUUGAACUUAUAUAUUCGGUUUUAUGUGAAUUUAUUUUGAAUGUGCAUAUUCGGCCAUUUGUGAUGUUCUAUUGAAGUUGAACUAUAGGUUACAUUUGAUGUUUUAUUUAACUUCUAUAUUCGGCCAUACCUAUAAGUAUCUAUGUGAUGAUACAUUUGAUGUUGUAUAAUCGGUUAUAUAGGAAAUAUUUAUGUGGUGAUAUGUAUUUGAUAUUGAACAUUCAACCAAGGUAUCCUAUGGUAUAAAAGUAUAAUAUUAUUGAUAUAAUUUGUUUAGUUUGAAUGUUUUGAUUAUUCAUUGAGUUGUUUAAUUUGCUUAAGCCUUACUAAGCUAAGUUAGCUUACUCUGUGUGUUUUUGUUACUCUAUUUUAUAGAUUUUGGUUGUAAGUUACGAGCUCGGGGAUCGUUAUCGAAGUCAUCCACACUAUCGUCAACUUUCGGUACUUUUAAAAGUUUAUUUUCAAACUUUUGGCAUGUAUAGGCUAAUACAUAUUAUGUUCAACUUUGAAUAUGUAUAUAUUGAGCCACGCGAAUAUGGCUUAGCUUUAAAGCUUGAUUUCGGUUAUGUUUGGUAAUGGUUUAUUCUAUUUGAUUAUAACUAUAUGUGAAGUGAAUGAAAAGUAAAUGUGAAUGGUAUUAAAUGUGUUGGUAAUAGCUUGAGAUGAUAGGUGGAAUUGGCUGUGGUUGGUCACUCGAUUUUGAUAUGUAUAAAUAUCAAUAAAUAUGGUUUGAUGAUUUGAUUUUGAUGUAUGUUUAUUCAUUUAUAAACAUGAGCUCAGGUGUUAGCAUGUUUAUGUAUAUUAGAAAUGCAUGAUAUGAGGCAUGCCUAUAGUCGAAUAUGCAAAGAUAAGUUUAGUUCGGUUUGCAUGGAAAAAUGUAUAAGUACUAUAAUUAGUUAUAAGUUUAUUAAUGGUGAAUUAUUGAGAUUAUAUUGUUUAAUAAUGCUUGUUAGUGAGAUGUUGAUAAAUGACCAUUUGAAUAGUGAUUUUAUGUAAUAGUACACUAUGAGCAUUAUAUGCAUUUUUGCAAAAUUGAUAAUUAUGUGUACGUAUAUACAUGUACUUUGAUUGUUAAUUCGAAUGAUGGUUUGGGUAUAUAAUGAAAGUAUAUGCUUAUGUUUAUAUUUGUUAAUGAAAAUGUGAUUAUUUGAAAGGUAUAGAUUCGGUUGAAUUCUGAGGUAUGAUUCGUAAAUGCAAUAUGAUAAAUAAAGUAUGUUUAAUAUUUACUUAGCCAUGUGCUUAAUAUAUUUAUAAGUAUGACUAGUAUGAAAUUGUGAAUGUUUGGAAUUUUGUUGUUGUUCAGUAAUGCCUCGUAACCCUAGUCCGGCAACGAAUACGGGUUAGGGGUGUUACAUUUUAAAAUUGGUAUCAAAGCUACGAUUUAGUCGAUUCUAGGACUAACGUAGCGUGUGUGAGUUUAGCUAUACAUGCCAAAAAUUAUACUGCGAUAGUGUGAUGACUUCUGACAUUUGAAAAUGUGCUUUCAUAUAGUAAAUGGAUCUCGAUAGAGCUGUCACUGAUGAUGUCGAGAAUGUAGUGCCUGCUCCCGUGCAUGGGACAGUGCCAGUUGAAUCUCAACCUAUCUCGAGUAGCCAUGAAGGGGAGGCUAAGCAAGCCUUCUAUCAAAUGAUGAACAAUUGGUUUACUCAGUAUAUCCGGACUAAUCCGGCUAUACAACAACCUCCACCCCCAAAUAAUCCAUCUUCGAUACCUGUGAUACCUUCAAUGAUUGAUCCGAUAAGACUUAACAGGACUCUUGUAGAUAAAAUCAGAAAACACGGGGCCGAAGAGUUUAAGGCUAAUGAUGAUGAUGAUACUGAACGGGUUGAGUUAUGGCUCGAUAAUACUAUUUGUGUAUUUGAUGAGUUAUCAUGUACUCCAGAUGAAUGUUUAAAGUGUGUCAUACCUUUAUUACGAGACACUUCAUAUCACUGGUGGAAUACACUGGUAUCGGUGGUCCCGAAAGAGAUAGUGACUUGGGAAUUCUUUCAAACGGAGUUCCGUAAGAAAUAUAUCAGCCAGAGAUUUAUCGACCAGAAACGUAAAAAAUUUCUGGAAUUGAAACAGGGUCGUAUGACCGUAACUGAGUACGAGCGAAAAUUUGUGAGACUUAGUCGAUAUGCUCGUGAAUGUGUUUCAACCGAAGCUGUUAUGUUUAAAAUAUUUGAAGACAGUUUAAAUGAAGAUAUUAAAUUGCUGGUUGGUAUACUUGAAAUUAAAGAGUUCGUGGUACUUGUUGAGCGAGCUUCCAAAGCCGAAGAGCUCGGGAAAGAGAAAAGAAAAGCUGAUUUUGAAGCCAGAGAUUCCCGUAAAAGAUCAUGGAGAAGGACUUUUCACUCAGCAUCAAAGAAGUUCAGAGAUGAUUCUAGUCGAUUUAAAGCUACUUCAGACUUUUCUAGACGAGAUCAAGACCGACCUCCUGUGAUUUCACGAGCUACUUCAAUUGCUAGUGUUUGAAAUGAUCGACAGAAUAGACUCGAGUGUAAGCAUUGUGGUAAAUGGCAUUCUGGAAGUUGUAGAUUGCAUGAUUGGUCUUGUUUUAAAUGUGGAUCGAUGGAUCAUUUCAUCCGAGAUUUCGAAUGUUAGCCGAGCAAAACAUUGUUCAGAAUGCGAGAUCGAGCAACAUGUCAGCACGAGGCAGACCACCUAGACAUUCGGUUAAUGUGAGUGGUAGUCAAAGAGGGACGAAAGAUACAGCGGUUCAAUCUGAGGCUCGUGCACCUGCCAGAGCAUAUGCUAUACAAGCUCGCGAGGAGGCUUCUUCCCCAGAUGUUAUUACCGGUACUUUCACUCUUUAUGAUACUACUGUUAUUGCAUUGAUUGAUCCUGGUUUGACUCAUUCAUAUGUGUGUGAAACAUUAGUAUCCAGUAAGACUUUGCCUGUUGAGUCUACUGAGUUUGUAAUUUGAGAAUCAAACCCCCUGGGCCGGUGUGUUCUGGUUGACAAAGUGUGUAAGAAUUGCCGUUGAUGAUUCGGGAUUCAUGACGAGUUCGAUAUAAUUUUGAGUAUGGACUGGCUGACUUUGCAUGAUGCAGUUGUUAAUUGCAAAAGAAAGACCAUUGAUUUGAGAUGUCAGAACAACGAGAUUAUUCGGAUUGAAUCUAAUGGUCUGAGUGGUUUACCAGUAGUAAUAUCUUCGAUGUUAGCUCGGAAGUAUGUGAAAAAAGGUUGUGAAGCUUACUUUGCUUAUGUGCUGGAUAGUAAAUUUUAAUUUAUUUUAUUAUAUGGUCCGUAUUAUGAUUGACAUGUCGUGUGAAAAUUUGAUACGAAAAUUUUAUCGAUUAAGUGUUUAAUUACAAAAAGGACUAAAUCGCAUAAAAUGCAAAAGUUGAGUUCUAGUAGCUAUAAGGAUUAAAUAGAUAUGGAAUUCAAAACUAGAGGUCCUUAUAUGGUAAUUAGACCAUUAAAGAAGUAUGUAUAUAUUUUUUUUGAUGACUCAUCCAUGGAAAAAUUAAAAAGAGUAGGGACUAAAUUGGAAAUUGAAUUAAUUAAUUAAUUAAUUAAAAGAUCUUAUACGCAAACAAGUGUCGAGGUAAGUUCUUGUAACUUAAUCAGACUUGUAAAUAUGUUUAAUUAAAUGUUGUGUUUAUAUAUAAUUUGACUUAUAUUCAUAUGAAUUAUUUGAUUGCUAUAAUGAAUAUUUAAAUGCAUGCUUGAAGAUGGUGAAAAAGGGUUAAGUCCCGAUUAAAUAUUGAAUUCUGAUGAUUAUAUGAGCUUUCUCGUAUCUAAUAAGGUCCUGCAUUUGUUGCGGAUGGGAUUUAGCUCGAACGAGUAAUCCUAUUGACUUUGUUAUAGAAAGGAUUUAGCCUGGACGAGUAAUCCUGAUAUAAUACCUCUCGAGUAUACAUUAUGAUUAGGGUUUAAAGGAUUUAGCCUGGACUGGUAAUCCUGUUAUACGAUAUAUGACUCGAGAGCGUGUUCCUUGGUUAAGUGCCCUAAGGGGUACCCUCGAAUAAGAAUUAACGAAUUAUUGAAUUGUACACCCCGAGUGUACCACUUGAGUAUUAAUUGAAAUUUCAAUGAUUCAAUGGACAUAAAACUCUUGACAUGUGUGACAGCUCUAAUUUGGCCCUAGUCGGAAAGCGGUUUCUGGACCACAAAACCAAGUCACAAAAAUAAUUAAAUGUUAUAUUCUGUGAUUAUUACAUGUGAAAGUGCAUGUGUGAAAAUUUAAUGCUUUGAUUUUUCCAUUUGUGAGUGAAAUUAUGAAAUAGGACCUAUGUGAAAUUUUUUGAAAAUGCUAUAGGCUAAUUUGUAGUGGCCAAAAAAUGGUAGUGCAAAAUAGGAGGAUUUGCAUGUCAAACUCCCCAUUUUAUGUGUAGUGGCCGGCCAUGAUGUUGGUGGGAAGCAACAUGUGCAUUAGAUAAUAAUAAUUUAAGACAUGAAGUUAUGGUACUAAUUGAUAUGUGUCAUUUUAUGUCAUAAAAUAAAGACUAAAAAUAACAAAAUGAUGGAAGGGAAAAGUUUGUCUAUCCUUGUUCUUCAUAGCCGAAAAUAGGGGAGCAAGAGAGGGGAGAGCUCUUGAAUAUUCUGUCACUUGGGGAACAAAAAUCCAAGGUAAGUCCAUAGUAGUUUGCUUCUAUCUUGAUGUUCAUGGGUUCUUCUUGAUUCUACCUUAACCCAUGAAGCAUAUUUUUUUAUUUUUGGUUGUGCUGUGAGCAUUCGGUCAUGAAUGGAAAAAAGGAAAUGGUUGUUUUUUCAUGUUCUUUUGAUGAAUAAUGGAAGAUAGGUGAAGUUGAGCCAAGCAAAUGAGCAUGCAUGUGCCUUAGAUGCUAAGGGGGAAAAUCGGCUAACAUGUUGUGUGUAUUAUGGCCGAAUGUGAACUUGGAUAAUAUUGAGUAAUGUUUGUGCUUUAAAAUGAUGAAAUGGAGCUUAUGCUUAACUAAAAUCAUAGGUAUGUGAUGAUUGAUUUGUGGUAUGCAUGUUUAAAUAACAUGCAUGCAAGGUAUGUGUGAAAGAGUGAUUUGGUAAUAAAUCUGCUUGGGACAGCAGCAGUAAUGUGAUUUUAGAAAAUCACCAUAAAUUGUGGGAGAUGAUUUAGAAGCAUAAUAAAUUAUUUAAUUAAAGAUUAAUGAGUCUAGUUUCUUAUAAAAGAAACCGUGUAAGCAAAAUAAUUUCCGAUAAUGAGAUAUUUGAAGUUAUGUGGGACAGGGUCAAAAUGACUUCUAGAUCCUCUAUUCUGUUUUUAUAAAAUCAUUAUAAAUUGUAAAAAAAAUUUAAUAAGAUGAAAUUUAUAUGCUUAGACUCCUUAAUGAGUCUAGUUUCAAAUGAAAUAAACUAGAACAUAUUUUGAAUUCUGUAAAAUGAUAAAUUUGAUUCGUAGUGAAUAGUGGUCAGAUUAGUCAAAUAGUGAAACAGGGGAAACUUUAAGAAAAAUCUGGUAUUGAUUGGCCAAACCAAAAAUUCUGAAACUUUUAUGAAUAGAAGAUAUAUGAGUCUAUUUUCAGGGAAAAUUAACGUCAAUUGAUUCGGAGUUUCGUAACUCCGAUUAUAAAUGAUUUAGUUACUGUUGCUCAGGAAGACAGCUUACAGUGAAAUUUUGAUUAUGUGGUAAACAUUGACAAAAAUUUGUUAAUGAGUUGCUUAUUGAUUUCUUAUAAGCUUACUAUGAUCUGUAGAUGUGAAAUUCGAAUAUAUAUAUACAUAUAUUAUAUUUUGAAAGUGAUGCUUGAAUAGUCGAAUAAUGACUAGUUUAAAAUUGUUGAAUUUAAGCUCAAGAGCAUAGAGGGGCAAAUUCGGAUAAGGGAAAAGAGAAAGUAAUCGAAUAGCCGUUGUAAUCGUUCGGCAACAUUCGAGGUAAGUUCUUAAAUGUUUAAGCUUGAUUCCUUUUUAUAUGCCUAAGAUUUAAAUUAAUAUGGCAAAGAGAAUGUAAAUUUUAUUUAGUUAAUGUGCCGAAUAUGUAAUGAUUUAAGGCUAUAAGUCGAUUAUGGCUAUUAUGCUUAAGUUGAAUUGGAUUUGGAUAUUUGAUGCACUAAAUGAGUGGUACAAUGAAUAAACUAUGCCGUAUAUGUGCUGGUAGAGAUAUCACGAUUUGUGAUUAUUAAAUAUCUAAAGGAAACCAUGAUGUGUAUAAAAUUAUUAUUAUUAGUCAUUUGUGGUAGCCGAAUGUGGCUUGGUACUAAAGUGAUUAAAUGUGAACUUCGAUGAGGUAACUGUUAGUGAUCGAUGAUAUAAGUUAUGCAUUAUAAUAUAUAUUUGGGUUUCAAACCUAGCAGGCGUAAUGCCGAUGAAAUGACAUCGGACUUAAAGGUCUAGCAGGCUUAUGGCCAGUGAUGAAAUCAGGUUAUUACCUAGCAGGCAAAUUGCCGGUAAACUAUUAAAAGUGUGGUGCUAUAAGACUAUGGGCUAAUACGAUAUGUGGAUUCAUUCCGUAAAGUAAAUUAUUCAGGUACGAACAACCUAAUUAAGUACAUGUGAAUUAGAUUAAUUUGAUGAUUGAUGUGAAUCGAACAUAUAAGAAAUGGUUUCAUGUUUAUGUUCAACUAUGAGACCUUGUGUUAAAUCGACAAUCGAAUUCGUUCAAUACAUUAAGUUGGUCAGGUAUGCGAUAUGUACUUAUGCAUGUUAAAUCGAUUGGAAUCGAAUCAUGAAUGUGAAUUGAGAAGCAUAGGUGAAAAUGCCUAUGUCAUAUAUGUGAGUAAAGGUAAAACCAUCGUAAAUUAUCGAUAAGGAUGGGCUAUAUACGGAACCAUCUUAUAAUUGCUAAUUUGAAUAGUUGUGUGCGAAUCAGUGAGCAAGAUGUAUUGUAUUGAGAUGAUGCUUCAGUGAAAAUAUACAUAUGUUCUUUGUGUUGAAUGAAUAUUAAAUUAAAGUUAUGAGCCGUAUGUGACUAGCAUAUCUAGUCGAAUUUGAUACUAUUAAAUGAUGUACUAAGAUAUGUGUUCCAAUGUGGAAAUUAAACCCUAUGUGGUUGAAAGGAUGAAAAUCUUUGUUCAUAGAUAUGUGUUUCAAUUAUACAUGAUUGAAGUAUAAGUUAUGAAAGUGGGAAAGAACAAGUGAAUUAUUUAUCGAAAAAUGAUGUCGAACUUCGGGCCUAGUAGGCUAUAAUGCCGGUGAGAUAUUAUUCGGGCCUUUGAGCCUAGCAGGCUAUAAUGUCGGUGAAAUGAGAUGUUAUGUGAAUUCGGUGUUCCUUGUAAGAUAGGGAUUUAGCCGAAUGUUAAAGAUGAAAUGAUAGUGUAUUGUAUCAUGCUUAUAUGGCCUAAUGGCAAGUAUAACAUGUUGGUAAAUAUGCAAUGUGCUUUUAUAAUCGAAUGAUAAGUUUGAAAUGAAUGUGAGUGAAAUGUUAUGCAUAAGCUAUCAAAUGCUAAGUGUGAAAUUGAGAUGAAAGAAAAGUGUUUGAGAUGUAUAAUUAUAUACGUUCGAAUGAUGUUAGUACUUAAUUGAUAUGAAUAUGUUAUAUGGAACUCGUUGAUUUGACUAUUCGGGCCUUUGAGCCUAGCAGGCUAUGAUGCCGGUGAGAUAUUAUUUGGGCCUUUGAGCCUAGCUGGCUAUGAUGCCGGUGAGAUAUUAUUCAGGCCUUUGAGCCUAGCAGGCUAUGAUGCCGGUUAGAUAUUAUUCGGGCCUUUGAGCCUAGCAGGCUAUAAUGUCGGUGAGAUACUAUUCGGGCUUUCGAGCCUAGCAGGCUAUAAUGCCGGUGAAAUGAUAAUCAGGCCUCGAGCCUAGCAGGCGAAAUGCCGAUGAUUUGAGAAAAGUCUAAGACUAAGGUACCUCGUGUUAGAUUGACAAAUGAAUACAUUCAAUACGUUAAGUGGGUCAGGUACACAUUAUGUACUCAUAUGUGAGUUUGAUUUGAAGUGAAUCAUAAGUGUGUAAUAUGAUACAUACGUGAAUAAAUGUUUUAACUAUAUCUAUGAUCAUGAUACACCUAGUCAGGGUGUGAAAGUAUGUGAAAGUAUUUGAUUUAAUUAUGUUAUAUGAAUUCAGACUAAGUGUGAUAAGAAUGUUGAACAUGCAUUAUGUGCUUGUGUAUAUUCAGCCAGAUGGCAAUAUACCUAGAAUAUGGCCUCUUGAGAAAUUGAAUAAUCGAAGUAUAAUUGCAUUUAUUUGUUUACAUUGCAUAAAAAUUACUAAACUUAUGAAAGCUUACUCCGUUGUUACAUUCCUCUAUUUUAUAGAUUGUUGGCUCCAGUUACUUGCUCGGUUUGGAGUUCGUCGGAGAUAUUAUCACACUGUCGAGCUCACGCUAAUGGUGUAAGUAGAUCCUAGUAUUUCGAGUCUAUGGCAUGUAUAGGGUUUUAAUGUUGAGUAUGUGAUAUUAUAAUUUAUCCAAAGGUGGUGGCUUGUAUUGAUAAAGUGUUUUGGCCAUGUAAAUUGGCCUAUGUUGGCUAGUGAUGUUUUGGGCCUCGUAAGCCCAUAUAUGGAACAGCUUGCAUGUGAAAAGAAAAGUUUUAAAUUGAUUGAAAUUUUUCGGCAGGGUUUUUGUGUGAUUGACUGAGUUUAAGUCAGGUAACACCUCGAACCCUGUUCCUGCGAGAGAUACGGGCGAGGGGUGUUACAACAUGGCAUGAGAAUUAUGAGAUGAAAUGAUAAUGUCUUGAAAGAAUAAUAUAUGAUGAACUCAUCUAUCCUUACUUAAUGUACAUGCAAACUUUGUGACUAACAUGUUUGAUUGGAUGCAAGUGUUUAGGCAAUUUAGCCAAAUGGACGGAAAACUUGUUAUUGUAUGCUUAGAUUUAAUAAACGGGAUUGGUAUGUUUAGUUUCUGUUAUACGAACUUACUAAGCAUGUAAUGCUUACUCCAUUUUAUUUUCCUUGUUUUAUAGUGCUUGGAAGCUCGUAAAGGUUGGAGAUCACUAGAGCAUCAUCACACUAUCAACUAGUCAUUUUGGGUAUACUUAGUAAAAUCAUUUUGGUAUAAUGGCAUGUAUGGGACAACUUGACCAAUAGUGUCUUGAAAAUGAUGUUUUGUAACCUAGCCAUUGAAAUGGCUAGUAAAGGCUUGUUUUGGUAUGAUUAAGUAGGUUAUGAUGAUAUAUCCAUAUGUGAUAUGUUAUGUAUAUGUGAUCAAAUAAUGCUAAUGCUUAAGUUAAUCCAAGGUAAGUUUAUAAACACAUGCAUGUAAUGAUAUGCCUUGUUGAAUGAUGAAUUUUGUUAAAUUUGAAUGCUUGAAAUGGUUGGUAUUGGUUGUGUGUUUAAAGCGCAGAUCUUGGGUGAAAUUUUGGGUGAAAAAUGAAGCUAGAAAUGACUUCAUUUUGUCCAUACGGGCAGACACACGGGUGUGUGUCUAGACCGUGUGUGACACACGGCUUGGUAACAUGGACAUGUGGUUAGGCUGUAUUUCCCCUGCACCUUAAUUUUGAGAAAUAGAAUGCUCAGAAUUGAGCACACGGGUGUGUAUCUCAACCGUGUGUGCUACACGGCCUUGAACACGGGCGUGCAUUUUGGCCUAGUGAAACCUGCACCUAAUUUUGAAUUAAAUUAAUUAACCAUACAGCCUAGCACACGGGCAUGUGGCAUGGCAGUAUGCUCAAGUCAGAGAGUUACACGAGGUCAAACACGACCUACAGCACGAGCGUGUCCCAGAGUCACACGGACGUGUCCUUUGGGCCACACGGGCGUGUGAGCCCUGCACCUUGGAAAAUUCUUGAAAUUUCGUAAAAAAUUCUUAGAGCUCCCGAUUAAGUCUUGACUCAAUUCUAAUGCUCGUAUUGGGCCUCAAGGGUUCAAUUAAGGGACAUUUUGAAUGAUCUCGAUUAAUGAAUAGUAAUUUACAUUAAUUAAUUAUAAAAUGUUUUGAAAGUUUUGGUAAUGCUUCGAAACCCUCUUCCGACAUCGGAUACGGGUUAUGGGUGUUACAAUAAAUGACACACUUCACACACUUAUGACACAAACACAUAAUUAGCAUAUAAGAUGUAUAAAUGCAUGGCUUAAUUAAAAUGAAAACUUAUUUAACAUAUGAGUUUCAUAAUGCAUGACAUAAUUAAAAUACAAUCUUUAUUAACAUAUUAGAUGCUUUUAUGAUUGACUUAAUUAAAUGCAAAGCACUUAAUGCAAGACAUAAUUAAAUAUGCAAACACUUAUUAAACUAAAAUAAAACUUAAAAAUAAUAAAAUUCUUAUAGUUGACCCUUUAAUUAAUUCAAACCCAACACUAAAUAUGUCCAGACUUAACCCAAUUAACCAUCAAAGGAAUUGGGCUCAACCUAAUUUGAAUGAUAAGCUUCAUUUUGUUCAUGGGCCCUUCUCGUUUGGGCCAAUCUUGACAUCUUCAAAUUGCAACAUAAUUUGAUGUGAUCGGAAUCACAUCAUUCGGCCACUUUAAUUUUCUUUGCAUGUGAGUGAAUUUCUCAUCUUUUUCUUAUAAUUUUUAUAUUUUUGAAAUCGUUGCAACUAGAUCCAACUAACUUAUACCUCCAUUUUUGAAACUGUUAAAUGUUUUAAAAUGUGUCAUCGAUGAGUUUGAGGUGUUUGUAAAAUUUUGUGAUAGAUUACUUAGCUUGGUUGUUAAAUAGAAUUAUUUCGUCAAGUAAUUUUUGUUGAUUUUCAUGUUAAAGGACUAAAUUAUUUAAAAGGUAAAAUUUCAUAGUAUUUUUGUAAAAUUAUGUUAAAUAAAGGGUUUUAUACAGACCCUAAAUAUUCAGCCGGUAUGGGUUGUGUCCUAAUAAGGUUAAUUUUGUAUUUUUUCAAGUUUGGGAUUAAGUUGAAUAACGUGUAAAAGUUUGGUGCAAUUGUGAAAUAUUGUAAAUAGAAUGGAAUAUGUAUUAAAUUGAAUGAUACAUGAAAUUGAAGCUAAUAAUGUGCAAUAAACUAUUUUAUAGAUCAAGAACAAGUAGAUAAUCGAGGAAAAGAAAAAGUUGAUGAGUAGUCCUUGAACUUUUACAAACUCUGCAAUUUAGCCUUGGUAAGAUCAUUCGAUUUAUUUUAACAUAUUUUGACAUGUACAUUGAUUGUGAAAUUGGUUAUUGAAUAUUUUAGUGAAUGCUUGAUUAUAAACUAUUGUAAAUUUAGAAAAUAGUUGCUUUGAAACUUGUUAAACGAUAUUAUGUUGUAAGUCGAAUGAACAUAGGAUAGAGUACGAUUGGUAUGCUAAUAGGUUAUAGUGUACACUGUACAGGAUUGACUUGUGAUAAGGCAAUGAUUCCUGAUUUGUGUUUAUACACUGAGUAUAUCAUGCUUUAGCAUUUGUUGCGAACUAUCAUGUUAUAUUACUGUGAUUCUGGCAUGUUACCUAGGGCGGAUGUAAAGCCUUCGAGCUUGGCACUUAGUGCCCUGGUGUGUUUUUGGAGCGAUGUUAGCCUACGGGCUAGGCACGUGGUGCCAAGGCGUGUUUUCAGUUGGAUUGGCUCAUUUGAGCUCAUGGCAUGUUUCAGAUGGAUAGUUGUGUACUCAUAUUCGUAUACCGUUCAUCAAGCAAUAUCUCUAGUGUUAAUUAACUUGUUAUUGAAUUGUUUGAAAGUUGUCCAUGAAUUUCCUAAUAGCAUUGUGGCUUAAUAUUGAAUGAUCUCAUAUGAUUGUAUUAAAAUGUAACUCGUACAUGAUUGUAUGUAUAUACUCACAUGUUAAUGAUUGUGGUUGACAAGAAACAUUGUUUAUUACUCUUGUUAUUAUAAAUGUUAUGUUUAUUUCGGUAAGUUUUAUCAUUUAAAUCGUUAAACUUACUAAGCUUUAUAGAGGCUUAUACAUGUUAUUUUCUUGUUUCCUUCUAGAUAAAGUUUUGUGGAAUUGAGUGAUCGGAUCAACUUCAGGAUCACACUAUCCAGUUACAUUUUGGUAGUUUUUGAAGUUAACUUUUGGGUUAUAUGGCAUGUAAUAGGUGAAAUUUGCAGAUGUUUGAUAUGUAAAUUAUUUGGUAAUUAUGAAAGUGAUGAAUGAUGCCUAUGUUUAGUAUUAACUUGUAUGUGUUUAUGUUCAUGUCAUGUUAUUUGGUCAUUUGGUAUAAUUUUUAUAUAGGUGUUUGAAAUCAUGGUAUGAAUGUACAUGUUUGAAUGAGAAAAGUAAUGGUAAGUUUUUAAAUAAGAUGAUUUAUGGUUUUAAAGUUUGAAUAAUUACUUGUUAAUGUGUUUGGUGUAUGAAUGUGACAUGGAGAAUAGCCUUGAAUUUGGUUAGUUUUGUAAUGUGAAUUAAGGUGUCAAAUGAUGGCAUAUUGGUUAGAAAUAGGUUGAGUGAAUUUGACAUAUUUUUGGGUGUGAUUGAAUGUGUUUGAGCAUGAAAUUGUAGUUGAAAAUAGCUUGGCUUGGUGUUUGAGUUUUGGCAGAAAAAUGACUUGAAAUGCAUGCCCUUUAAGGUGCACAUGGCCUGGGACAUGGGCUACCACACAGUUGUGUAUCACCUUACACAGCCGUGUGUCAUAUUUAUUUUAGGUGCAGGUUUCACACAGUCGUGCACGAUCUGACACACGGCCUGCAGAAUGGAUGUGCGGCCCUAUUUCGAAUACCCAAAAAGGUGAACACAAGGACUGAGACACGGCCGUGUGUCCCACACUUUGAAUGCUCACACAGUCCAGGUUAUGUCAUACAGCCGUGUGACCCAUAUUUUUAAAAAUUUUUAAAUUUUCCAAACUUUUCUGAUUUUUUUCAAAACGAUCCCCGAAUGUUCCCAAACUAUUUUUAGGGCCCUAUAGGCUCGAUCUAAGGCCCAUAAGUGUAUUUCUAUCUUGAUUAAAAUGAGUUAUUGAAUGUGAUUAUUUAAUUUUCAUAAUUGUUUCUAUUUGAAGUUAAAUGUUAUGAAUUGUACUAUAAUACUCUGUAAGCCUAAUCUGGCGAUGGAGACAGGUUAGGUGUGUUACAUUUAGUGGUAUUAGAGCUAUGAUAAACGGUUCUCGGACUGAACGUAGCAUAUUUGAAAUCAAGAAAUUUCAUGCCAUAAAAAUCUGUGAUAUGUGAUAUUUAUUGAUCCAAUCUAACCCUUGUUUUUCUUAUAGAUUUUAAAGAUGUCAGUAGAAUCUAAUCAUGCUACCACGUAAGAAGUUAAUAGUAAUGUCCCCACUUUUGAACAAGAAUCAAGUCGUAGUUUACCGAUUUCAAAAAUGUUAGAAAAUGAAGUCAAAAAUAUUUUCUUUAGUUUAAUGGGUCAGCGGUUCACAGAAUUUAUGAUAACAAACCCUGUGGCUCAACAACAUCCUUCCCCUGUUAUACCCCCAGUGGUAACUUCAUCACCUCAAACGACUAAAUCGAGUCGAUGACCUCCAACUGAUAAAAUCUGAAAAUACGGUGCUGAAGAAUUUAGAGGUAGGUCAGAUGAUAGUCCUGCUAAAGCUGAAUACUGACUCAAAAAUAUCCAACAAGUCUUUGAUGAACUCGCCUGUUCUUCUAAUGAUUAUCUGAGGUAUGUCGUGUCGUUGCUUAAGGAUGAAUGAUCGCGAUUUUCAUGUGACAGGUUUUAAAUAUUUAUAAAGAAUCAUUAUUGAAACUAACUAUCAUCACGAUGUAGGCAAGUGUACCUAUCGAACAGUAGUAUAGUUUUAGCAAGACUGGAUUGUCGAACCCAAAGGAACUAAAAGUACUAGUAAUGACUGACUUUUUAUUAUCUAGCCUAAGAAUAAGGGGGUUUUGUUUUAACUAACUAAUUAUCUAAACUAAAAAUUCGCAGAAAGUAGAAUUGAGGGAUUACUUUUGGAAAAUGAUUGAAUUAAGACAAUACCUAAGGAAAAAUCCGCUUAGACUUUACUUGUUAUUCUAGCUCUGAAUCGGACGAUUUAUUCAUUUAACUUGUCCCGUAAAGAUUCCUAAGUUAUGUUAUUAUCCCUACUCAGGAAUAAUAACGUCUAAUCCCUAGAUUUAAUAAUUGAGACUUUUCUCUAAUUAACACCCUAGGGUUGCAUUAACUCCAUCUAUGGAUCCCCUUAUUAGGUUUCACCCUAAUCCGGUAAAAUCUUGUCACCCUAUGUCUAGGAGCGCAAUCAACUCCGCUUAAUUAUGACAAAUGUACUCUAUAGACAGGGUUUAUUCCUCCUCUGAAUAAGAGCUUAUCUUGAAUCAAUAUCCUAGGAUAUCAAAACAAGAAUUAAGAACACAUAAUUAAGAACAAGUUAAAUAUUUAUCAUACAAUUCAAAAAAUAAUAACAAGAUUCAUCUUAGGUUUCAUUCCCCUUAGGUAUUUAGGGGAUUUAGUUCAUAACUAAAAAGGAAAAAAUCUCAGAAGAAUAAUGAAUACAAAACAUAAAGAAAACCUAAAACUCCUGAAGGGAAAUUGAGGGGAGAUCUUCAGUCUUGAUGGUGACUCCAGCUUUUGAGAUGGAUCAAUCAGCUUCCCUUGAGUAGUUCCCUACCUCCUUCUCUUUGUGUUCCCUUUCUUCUUCCUCUAGGGUGUAUUUAUAGGCUUUGGAAUGCCUAGGAACCCUCAAAAUUAGCCUUUUCCAAGUUGGACUCAACUUGGACUCGGUAGGGACACGCCCAUGUCACACGCCGUGUGAGUCGUGCUUCGAUUCUGCCAAAUUGACACGGCUGUGUGGUAUGCCCGUGUGAGGAAGUCCAGGCCGUGUUGAUUUCGUACUUUGGCCCGUUUUCUCCAUUUUUGGCUCAUUUCUCGUUCUUUUCACUCUCCUAUGCUCACCUAAGUAUAAAACAUGAAAUUAAGGCAUUAGAAGCAUCGAAUUCAUCAAUUCUAAGGAAAAGUCAUCCACAAAAUGCGUUAAGCACGGGGUAAAAAUAUGUAUAAAUUAUAGUUUAUCAAAUACCCCCACACUUAAGCAUUUACUUGUCCUCAAGCAAAAUUCUCAACUCAUAUUCAAAAUAAAUUCUUCUAAACCUAUAAUUUCUAUCGAUAAUAUCUCAAAAUAAUCCAUAGGUAAUCAUACAUUGAAAAUUCAACUAAAAGAACAUCAAAGUUUCAAACAUUCCAAGUUGAGUAUUUAAUCAUGCAAAACUUUAGGCAUCUCCCCUUAUCUAAGUGGUUACCGCGAUUCAAAAUCUCACGGAGUUUAACAUCCGCACUAAAGAUUCACUCAAAGUGUUUAAGGACAAUGUAAGUAGCACUCAUCAGUCAAUAUGAAAAGUUAUUACCAUAGGCUUGCAUGAAAAUCACAUCUCCGCCACUAUAAAUUGAGAUGAUCCAUCAAUCAAAAGGUCUUUAGAGGGUUGUAACGUGGCUUUGGUUAAGGGGUGUGGUCACAAGUUGAAAGAAAUGGUUAGAAUCGAGAUUGAAUUGAAAAAUCACAUAACUAGAAAAAUAUUUAAUCAUCACUUACGUACAACAGAGCUUCUUCUCAGAAUAUGGAAUUUAAAUACUUAAGCUCAAAAACAAAAUAUUACUACUCAUGUGUAUACACAGUUUUUUUUAAGAACAAGUUAAAUAACAUAGACUAACUAUUAAGAACAAGACAUAGCUGAGUAACUAUUUCAAUUCAAAUCUCGACAAAAAUAGGGAUCAAAUUUAAUUUAGGGGAUUUCAACAAUAAUGGGUUAAGGGUUAAUAUUAUGGGUAAUACAAAAAAAGGGUUGUUAGGCUCAAAGGGGUUCACUAGGGGCUAAUUUUGGAGGUAGGCUUUUCAUGGCAUGGGUGGGUUAAUCCUAAGUGCCUUAAUCAUUCUGACAUAUCAAAUCAAAUGGUGUGGUCUUGACAUGCAUAAUCAAGCAAGUUCUAGAAUAACAGUUCAAUACUAACGCACUCAAAGCAAUAAUAAAAGUGAGCAUGAAAGAAUUAAUAGAUGCUCAAAAGGCUCAAAAAUCUCACAAAAUUAUGGCAUUUUGAUGUUUAAAAUUGUGAAUUCCAACUCAAAGUAAUACCUAAACUUUGGGGAAACAAUCUAAAUUUUAAAUUCUUAAAAAUCAACUUAUCAUGCUAUAUUCUCUAAUGUCUUAAAGUUUAAACAAUCAAUGCAUAAAUGCCUACGUUUUAAUUCAAGAUAUAUCAAUAAAAAUCAUAAAUCAAUCAAAAUUUAUCCUAAAUAUGAUAUGAGAGCUUUUCAAGAGAACAAGGCAGUCAUUCAGGGAUUUUUCUGAUAAUGACAUGGAUACUCCCCCACAAUUAAGAUGUACAUUGUCCUCAAUGUAUAAAGAUAGAUAUAAGAAUAUAGAAAUAAGAUAGGGAGAGGAGUAAACUUCCUGAGUGAUGAGUGAAUUUCCUUGAACUGGAGUUUUGGAGAAUAAUUGGCGUAAGGGUGGAGGAGGAUACUCCGGCGAUGAUAGAGGUUCAUUAGUCCAUAAUUCCUGCACCAAAAGAAUAUUAUAUCUGAAGUUGGUUAUGAUCAUGGUCGAGUAGGACAUGGCAGUCGUGGAAAACCUUUCCAAGUGGAGUUUCAAGUUUCUAAGUAAUAGUGAGCUGUGGAGCUCUUUAUAACUGUAACAGAAUUAGGAACUCUUUUAGGAAAUAUAUAAGGGUAAGUACUCAAUAGAAAUUAGCCAAAAUUAAAAAUUGUAAAAUAAUAAUAAUAAGUCCUAAUAAAAAUAAGGUGAAAGAAAAAUAAAAAGUAGUCUUAAAAUAAAAAAAAGUAAAAACAUAAAAUAAUAAAUAAAUGUUUUUAAACAUCUUCAUCGCUAAAUGGUUGGCAAGGUAGGGGUGGCAAUGAGAUGUUGAGUGCUGACAAAUCUGUUGUAGAGUAGCAUCAAUGUUUUCAAAUCGUUGAAAACACUGCUGCUUGAAUCGAGUGAGGCGUUCAGAGAUGUCAACAUAUGAAGCCGCUGCAUGAACUGACGAGAGGGUGGUGGUGGCUGAGACAGUGGGUCCUCGUGCUGUGGAGGGACAUCAUCAGUAAUGUCCUUGUGGGCCUCCUCCUCGGUAGAUUGGGCGAGACAAUAUUGAGGAGGGUAGGUUCCUCGGCGCUUUUCGAUCAUCUUCAUGCUAAGCAUGCUCGAGAUGCCUUGUGGACACAUCUGGCCAAUGAGGGUCAAGGAUGAUUCUUGGGCCGCGGUGCUAAAGAACCCGAAAUGUUAAGCCAAUCGCGUCACAUAGGGGCAAAUGGAGAUGACCCCCUUCCUAUGUCGCUCCGUCUAGUGUUGAAUGGCGAGGACAAUGAAAUAGGCAAGGUCGAUGACGUGCCCGUGCGACAUAAUAGAAAGUAGGCGUCAUGAGUACUGACGACGCCAGUGCUCUCUCGCCUUCCUGUUAUCGUGUGAGCCAAAAUGGUGUGUAGGUACCAUAGAGAUGGAGGGAGAGCCGAUGCCUUCGUGCGGCUAGGAUUGUAGGUGGCCGCACCUAGUACUAGUGCGUCCCAACACUGUGAAAGAGAACGAUGGAUGUGGCAGUUGAGAGCAUGUAAGUCAUUCUCCUCCUUGAAUUCCUCCGUAUAUAAACACAGUGCAGUACCAAAUUCUGGGACACUAAGCUGGAGGACUAAUCCACCUAGGAAAAAUUGCACCGUGCCUGGAUCAUUGUAGUUCGUCAUCACGGUCUAAAGAUGAAACGUGGAGCAUAAUUCCAUCGUGAGCUCGAGAUACGUCGGCUUAAUGAUCCCAAAGAACAGUUCCCAAGGGUCGGUGGUUAGGAGGGUCCGAAUCACAUCAGCCAACUGAACUUGUUCUGCUGCAACCUAGUCGAUACAGUGGCCCACAAUUAAAGGUCGGGCCUGGAGUAUUUGGAAAACUUCUUCUUGGGGCCCGAUGGGGAACCUCAGGAAAGGGUGACAAACUUCUGCGGUAGGACCUGAAGAAGAUGGCGUUCCCUUCCUUUUCUUUGAAGCAGGGACAGUGGCCUUUUUACCACGUGAAGACGACAUUGUUGCCUGCAAUUAGAAACAUUAAUUCGUCUUGAUGAGUAGACAGGGGAAAAUGCUCUAAAUUUGAAGAGGAAAAUCCAUAAAUAUAUUCAGCCACAAUUACUAAGUUUAGCAAAAACAAUAAGUUCAAUAACCUACUUUUGUGGCAUUAGCAUGGUGAUAUAAGUAAAAAUGGCAAAGAAUGGAAUGUAUCAUACUAUACAAAUGAACAUGAAUGCCAACACAAGAGGCAUGAAGUGUAUAGUUGGUGGUCCACGUUGACAGCAGUUGUACUGAGAGACAAGGUUACCUGGGAUUUCUUGAAAUCAGAGUUUAAAAAAAUAUAUCAGCAAACAAUAUCUAGAUUUGAGAAAGAAAGAAUUUCUUGAAUUAAGGUAAGGAAAUAAAUCAGCAGCUGAAUACGAGAGAGAGUUUGUGUAUCUCAGCAAGUAUGCUCAUGAAAUUGUGUCAAAUGAUGAAGAAAUGUGCAUCCAUUUUGAAGAUCGUUUGAAUGAUGAAAUUAAAAUGAUGAUUAUAGGGACAAAAAUACGACAGUUCAUGGUUUUAUCUAAUUAGGCUCAAAAGAUGGAGGAAGUUUAUAAAAAUAAGAAAUAGAAAGGAAGGAAGGCUCGAGAAUUUGGUAAAAUAAGCUUUUCCAAGUCGUUUUCCACACCGCCAUCAAAGAAAACAAAAGAAGAAUUUAAUCAUGUCACUUCAGCAUCUAGAUUUUCAGGUAAAAACAAAUUAAUUAAGUAUGAUUCUAAAUCUCAAGUUAAGCCUACCGAUAGAGUGGGAAGUGUUCAGAAUGCACCGAAACCUAUUUGUAAACAUUGUGGAAAACUUCAUACUAAAGAAUACAGAACCAAACUGGGUGCGUGUUACAAAUGUGGCUCGACAGAUCAUUUUGUGUGUAAUUGCCCAAGAAUGGUAGGAGAUAAUGAAGAACGAAGUGAUAGACAGGUGUCGACACCUCAGAAGAGUAGAUCUCCCCAGCAGAGUAGUAAUACUGGAGCUAAUUAUAUUGAGAUAAAAAAUACAGUUGCCCGAUCUAAAGUUAGAGCUCCUACAUAAGCAUAUGUUACUCGAACCAAGGAGGAAGCUGUUGCGCCUGAUGUUAUUUUUGGUAUAUUUUAUCUCUUUGAUGUUACUGUAUAAGCACUAAUUAACCCUGGGUCAACUCACUCAUAUAUUUGUACUGCAUUAGUAAUGGAUAAAAAUUUACUUGUUGAGUCAAUUGAGUUUGAUGUUCAAGUUAUAAAUCUAUCGGGUCAGAGCAUGAUAGUUAAUUUAAUAUGUCGUAAGUGUCCACUGAAAAUUCAGGGCUAUGAAUUUCUUGCAGAUUUGAUGUUGUUAUCAUUUUUGGAAUUUGAUAUUAUUCUGGGAAUGGAUUGGUUGACAUUACAUGAUGUUGUGGUAAAUUGUAGAUUGAAAUGGAUUGAUUUGAGAUGUCAAACAGGUGAAAUGAUUUCAGUUGAGUGAGAUAGAUCAAACAGUGUUGUAAGAGUUAUCUCAAUAAUUACGGCAUAGAAACUGAUUCGUAAAGGUUGUGAGGCAUUUUUUACUUAUAUACUUGAUACUCAAGAUUCAGAGUCGAAGCUAGAUCAGGUACUAAUUGUAAAAGAUUUUACUAAUGUGUUUCCUAAAGAGUUAACCGGAUUGUUGCUAGAAUGUGAAGUUGAAUUUGCUAUUGAUCUGACACCUGGAACUAUACCAAUAUCGAUCUCGUCGUAUCGAAUGGCACCAGCUGAGUUGAAAGAACUUAAAGAACAGUUGCAAGAAUUGUUAGACAGAGGUUUUAUUCGGCCGAGUGUGUCUCGUUGGGGAGCACCUGUGUUGUUUGUGAAAAAGAGAGACGGGUCGUUGAGAUUAUGUAUUGGUUACAAACAACUAAAUAAGGUUACAAUAAAGAAUAAAUAACCUUUGCCUCAUAUCGAUGAUUCAUUUGAUCAAUUGAAAGGUUCAACCGUGUUUUCAGAAAUAGAUCUCAAAUUUGGAUAUUAUUAGUUGCGAGUAAAAGAUUGUGACAUGCCAAAAAUUAUUUUUCGAACUCUUUAUGGCCAUUACAAAUUCUUGGUGAUGCCUUUCGGAUUAACCAAUGCCCCUACUGCUUUUAUGGAUAUGAUGAAUCGAGUUUUUCAACCUCAUUUGAAUAGAUUCAUAAUUGUAUUUAUUGAUGAUAUAUUAGUCUAUUCUAAAACAGAAUCUAAGCAUGCUCAGCAUUUAAGAAUUGUAUUAUAGAUUUUGCGCGAAAAACAGUUGUACGCAAAAUUCAGUAAAUGUGAGUUUGGCUUCGAGAAGUUGAAUUUCUUAGUCACAUAAUAUCUGCAGAUGGGAUUUGUGUUGAUCCGAGUAAAAUUUCUACUGUUGUCAACUGGAAAGCUCCGAAAAAUGUUUUAAAAGUACGAAGAUUUCUGGCCUUUGAUAAACUGUAAUUUAUACAUAUUUUUACCCCAUGCUUAACGCAUUUUACGGAUGAUUUUUCCUUAGAAUUGGUGAAUUCGAUGCUCCUAAUGCCUUAAUUUCAUGUUUUAUACUUAGGUGAGCAUAGGAAAGCGAAAGGAACGAUAAACGAGCCAAAAAUGGAGAAAAUGGGCCAAAGUACGAAAUCAACACAGCCUGGACUUCCUCACACUGGCAUACCACAUGGCCGUGUCAAUCUGGCAGAAUCGAAGCACGGUUCACACGGGCGUGUCCCUGCCGAGCCCAAGUUGAGUCCAAUUCAAAAAAAGCUAAUUUUGAGGGUAAUUAGGCAUUCCAAAGCUUAUAAAUACACCCUAUAGGAAGAGGAAAGGGGAAACAGAGAGAAAAAGGCAGGGAACUGCUCAAGAAAAGCUGAUUGAUCCAUCUCAAAAGCUGGAGUCACCAUCAAGACUGAAGAUCUCCCCUCAAUUUCCCUUCAGGAGUUUUGGGUUUUCUUUAUGUUUUGUAUUCAUUAUUCUUCUGAGAUGUUUUCCUUUUUAGUUAUGAACUAAAUCCCCUAAAUACCUAAGGGGAAUGAAACCUAAGAUGAAUCUUGUUAUUAUUUUCUAAAUUGUAUGAUAAAUAUUUAACUUGUUCUUAAUUAUGUGUUCUUAAUUCUUGUUUUGAUAUCCCAUGUGAUAAACUGUAUUUUUUACAUAUUUUUACCCCAUGCUUAACGCAUUUUAUGGAUGAUUUUUCCUUAGAAUUAGUGAAUUCGAUGCUCAUAAUGCCUUAAUUUCAUGAUUUAUACUUAGGUGAGCAUAGGAGAGCGAAAGGAACGAGAAAUGGGCCAAAAAGGGAGAAAAUGGACCAAAGUACAAAAUCAACACGGCCUGGACUUCCUUACACGAGCAGCCCACACGGCUGUGUCAAUCUGGCAGAAUCGAAGCACGACUCGUACGGGUAGAACACACGCUCGUGCCAUUCUAACAGGCUCAAACACGGCCUGAAGUAAUCGCUCACGGGCGUGCCACACGGGCGUGACCUUGCCAAGCCCAAAUUGAGUCCAAUUCAGAAAGGGGUAAUUUUAAAGGUUCUUAGGCAUUCCAAUGGCUAUAAAUACACCCUAGAGGAGGAAGAAAAAGGACACACAAAAUAGGGAGUAAGGAAUUACUCCAAGGAAGCCGAUUGAUUCAUCUCAGAGGCCGGAUUCAUCAUCAAGACUGAAGAUCUCUCCUUAAUUCUCCUUCAGGAGUUUUGGGUUUUCUUUAUGUUUUGUAUUCUUUAUUAUUCUAAGAUGUUUUCUUAUUUAGUUAUGAACUAAAACCCUUAAAUACCUAAGGGGAAUGAAACCUAAGACGAAUCUUGUUAUUAUUUUCUAAAUUGUAUGAUAAAUAUUUAACUUGUUCUUAAUUAUGUGUUCUUAAUUCUUGUUUUGAUAUCUCAGGAUACUGAUUCAAGAUAAGCUCUCAUUUAGAGGAGGAAUAGACCCUAUCUAAGAGUACAUUUGUCAUAAUUAAGCGGAGUUGAUUGCGCGCCUAGACAUAGGGUGACAAGAUUUUGCCGGAUUAGGGUGAAACCUAAUAAGGGGAUCCAUAGAUCGAGUUAAUGCAACCCUAUGGUGUUAAUUAGAGAAAGGUCUCAAUUAUUCAAUCUAGGGAUUAGACGUUAUUAGUUUUGAAUAGGGAUAAUAACAUAACUUAGGGAUCUCUACGGAACAAGUUAAAUGAAUAAAUCGUCUGAUUCGGAGCCAGAAUAACAAGUAAAGUCUAGGUGGAUUUUUCCUUAGGUAUUGUCUUAACUCAAUCGAUAUUCCCAAAAGCAAUUCCCCAAUUCUAUUCUCUGUGAGUUUUUAGUUUAUAUAAUUAGUUAACUAAAACAAAACCCCUUUUAUUCUUAGGCUAGAUAAUAAAAAGACAGUCAUUACUGGUACUUUUAGUCCCUUUGGGUUCGACAAUCUGGUCUUGCUAAAACUAUACUACUGUUCGAUAGGUACACUUGCCUAAAUCACGAUAAUAAUUAGUUUCAAGAAUGAUUAAUUAUAAAUAUUUAAACCCUAUCACAAAAUCACACGAUCACCAGGAUACUGAUUCAAGAUAAGCUCUUAUUCAAAGGAGGAAUAAACCCUGUCUAAAGAGUACAUUUGUCAUAAUUAAGCGGAGUUGAUUGUGCGCCUAGACAUAGGGUGACAAGAUUUUGCCAGAUUAGGGUGAAACCUAAUAAGGGGAUCCAUAGAUCGAGUUAAUGCAACCCUAGGGUGUUAAUUAGAGAAAAGUCUCAAUUAUUCAAUCUAGGGAUUAGAUGUUAUUAGUCCUGAAUAGAGAUAAUAACAUAACUUAGGGAUCUCUACGGGACAAGUUAAAUGAAUAAAUUGUCUGAUUCGGAGCCAGAAUAACAAGUAAAGUCUAGGUGGAUUUUUCCUUAGGUAUUGUCUUAACUCAAUCGUUUUCCAAAAGUAAUCCCCCAAUUAUACUUUCUGCGAAUUCUUAGUUUAGAUAAUUACUUAGUUAAUACAAAAUCUCCUUAUUCUUAGGCUAGAUAAUAAAAAGACAAUCAUUACUAGUACUUUUGGUUCCUUUGGGUUUGGCAAUCUGGUCUUGCUAAAACUAUACUACUGUUCAAUAGGUACACUUGCCUACAUCGUGAUAAUAGUUAGUUUCAAGAAAGAUUCUUUAUAAAUAUUUAAAACCUGUCACACGAAAAUCGCGAUCAAGUUUUUGGCGCCGUUGCCGGGGAACUAAGAUAUUAGGAACGCUCAAUUUUUAUUACUUUAGCCAUUUAUUUUUCUUGCAAUUUAAUUUUAAUUUAAUUUUUAUUAUUAUUUAUUAAUUUACUUUUUCUUUCUCUUGGCAGGUUUUUAUAGUUUAUGACUAGAAGAAACCCGUCAGGACCACUACUUUUUAAAGAAUAAAUCGAUCGCACAGUUCGCAGAAACCAAAGAGAAACAAGGUGAAGCUUAAGAUACACAGAGAACAAGCAAGAGGACGAUACUCAAACCCCAACCGGAGAGAUGGCUGGAAACGAAGACAAUCAGGUACCUCUUGCCAUACACGUUGAACUAGCAAAUCAGAAUCCUGCUCCUCGUACUAUGUAUGAUUAUACUAAACCUACUUUAACAGGAACUAAGUCAAGUAUAGUUAGGCCUGCUAUUGCUGCAAAUAAUUUUGAACUAACACCUAACACUAUUCAAAUGAUACAUUAAUUUGUUCAGUUUGAUGGUUGCAGGAUGAGGAUCCGAACACUCACUUGGCAAAUUUCCUGUAAUUCUGCAAUACCUUUAAAAUUAAUGGCGUUUCUAACGAUUCCAUUCGUCUUUGGUUAUUCCUUUUUUCAUUGAGAAACAAAGCUAAACAGUGGUUGAACUCGUUACCACGAGGGUCAAUCACUACUUAGGAACAAAUGACCAAAAAAUUUCUAUUAAAAUAUUUUUCGCCGGCUAAAACGGCCAAAUUACGUAAUGAUAUCUCUUCAUUUGUGCAGAUGGACUUAGAGACUCUUUAUGAUGCAUGGGAAAGAUACAAGGACUUACUGAGAAGGUGCCCUCAUCAUGGGUUACCACUUUGACUAUAGGUUCAAACAGUCCAUAAUGGCCUGAAUCCUUCGACUCGACAAAUGGUUGACGCAACUGCUGGCGGAACCAUAAAUAAUAGAACACCUGAAAAUGCUUAUGAGUUUAUUGAAAAGAUGUCACUGAAUAACUAUCAGUGGCAAGUCAUGAGGACUAAGCCAACUAAAACAGUAGGCGUUUAUAAUGUCGAUUCGGUUAUUAUGCUGUCAAACCAGGUAGAACUUCUAAUUAAAAAGAUUGAUAGUUUACUUGUUUCUACUCAGGUACACCCAGUAAAGAGGUGCGAGACGAAUGGAGGAGGAGCAUGCAUAGAAUAUCAACCCUUCAACCCUAGCAUCAAGGAGGAACAAGUUCAAUCUAUGGGUAACAAUAACUCUAGAUCCCAAAAUAACCCAUAUAGUAACACUUAUAAUGCAGGUUAGAGGAACCAUCCCAAUUUCUCAUGGGGUGGUCAAGGAAAUCAAACACCAUAACAUCCUCCAGGUUUUCAACAACCACCUUAUCAACGGGAAAAGAAACCGACACGUGAAGAGAUGCUGUCUAAAUUUAUCUUGAUGUCAGAAACCCGUUUCCAGAACACCGAGACAGCACUUAAAAAUCAACAAGCAUCGAUCCAAGGGCUCGAAACUCAGAUCGGCCAGCUUUCCAAACUAAUCUCCAAACGACCACAAGGUAGCUUGCCAAGUAAUACUGAACCCAACCCAAGGGAACAGCUCAACGCGAUUAAUGUUCAAGAUGAAGAAGGAUUCGUUGAGCCUAAGCCAGAACCGAGGUAAGAAACUGUGGUAACCAGAGGUUAAGGUGAGGUAGGUCAUAAUAAAAACAAAUUAGUGAAUUUAGAAUAUAAACCUCGUGAGGAAAGACCGCCCAGAUGAACAAUUUGAUAAAUUUCUUAAACUCUUAAAAAAUUACAUAUUAACUUACCGUUUAUUGAAGCUCUAUCGCAGAUGCCAAACGCAAUGAAAUUUUUAAAGGAGCUUUUAGCAAAUAAAUAGAAGUUGGACGAGGUGUCGCAUGUAGAGCUAAAUGCAGUUUGCUCAGCUAUUCUACAGAAUAAACUACCUAACAAACUAAAAGAUCCAGGGAGUUUUACGAUUCCUUGCUUAAUUGGGAGUUUUGAUGUUAAUAAUGCAUUAGCUGAUUUAGGGGCUAGUAUUAACGUCAUGCCCUACAAAAUGUUCAAACAAUUAGGUCUUGGGAAACCCAAACAGACUAUGAUGAGCAUUCAAUUAGUAGAUAAAACUAUAAGAUUUGCUAGGGGUAUUAUUGAAGAUAUGCUAGUUAAAGUCGAUAAAUUUAUAUUUCCCGUUGGCUUCAUUGUUCUAGACAUAGAGGAGGAUAGCAACACUCCUUUGAUUUUAGGAAGGCCCUUUUUAACAAUUGCUAAAAUGAUUAUUGACGUUGGCACAGGUGAACUCACACUCCGUGUGGGAGACGAAACAAUCACCUUUCAAGCUCGCAAUUCUGGUGCCAUAUCGGAAAUUGAAGGUGAUCAUCUAAACCAUUCUACUAAAACUAACAAUAUGGUACAACCUACUUUGCAGGAAAUGAGUCUGAAGAAAGCACAUGAGUCAUUCUCAAACAAUAGAAGAGGACCUAUUCAUGAAGAUCGAAGGCUACAAAUCGAGGAGCUAGAUGAAUGGCAGACGCAUAAACUGAGAACACAUGAUAAACCAAAACUACACCCGAACGAGCUCAACAUCUUCCCACGUCAACUUAAGUUGGAGAUAAAGUCUUAUUAGAUGCCGCAGAUCCUCACAUUGUCACUACCACACUGAACAAAGAAAUCCCUCUUACGGUACUUAGCAUUUUCCCAUUCAAUACAGUCAAGGUAAGUCAUUCCAAGUUCGGCACUUUUAAGGUAAAUAACACUCAUCUAAAACCUUAUUUUGAUGAGAAUGAUAGCAGGAAUGAGGAGUAUAAACUCCUUGAACCACCAUGACCAUUCAAUAGAGAGGUAAGUCGAGCUUAGACUAUAAAUAAGCUCUUCUCAGGAGGCAACCCGAGCACUAACAAUAUUAAUUUCUUUAAAUUUUAGUAUUUAACACCUAACUUACUAACAGAGAUCUCGAAUAUAGGUUUUUCCACACAGACACGGCCAAGCACACGGGCGUGCCUAGGGCCGUGUGAAUAUAGGGGAAAGAUUUCCUCAACACGGGCUAUGAUAAAUCGCCACGGCCGUGAGCGAACCUGCCAAAACAACAUUGGCAUGCGACACGCCCGUGUCUAGAACCCGUGGUCAAGCCUGUUAAACGAACACGGGCAUGGGCCUACAUACACGAGUGUGGGAGAAGCGAACAAAGUCAGGCAUAGUCGUGCGACACGACCGUGUGCACCCACACACCCAAGGAACACAGGCAUAGACUAAAAGUCAGACGCACCCAAAUUCAAAAUUCACAAGUCACACGGGCAAAAAUUGAGGAACACGGGCGUGUUCCCUAGCCGUGUGCCCCAAAAUCUAUAAAUAGGCUACACUAUUCAUUGUCUUCUUCACCCAAAAAAACCCCUAACCUUAGCCGCUGCAAGACCACACGCCCUUCCCACCACGCCCGUGCGCCUCUUCCAACUGCAUUUUCGACACCCAACCUCUCUCCUUUAGCGUUUGUUUACUCCUUUCUCUUUUAAUUCACUAAUUUAUAAUGCUAUUUAUCAUAAUAAUAUAUAUUUUUCAUAUUAUUUUCAUCUUUCUAUCACUCAAAUGUCAUUUAUAGAACAAGUUAUCAUCUUUUUUCUUAUUCAAAUUCUUAUUUAUUACAUGAUUUCUCUACUCCACUUGAUUAGUUAGAAGUGCAUAUAUAUGGUUAGGAUAGUUGAAAUAUUCAUGCCUCUUGUGUUGACAUUUAUGUUCAUUCGUAUAGUAUGAUACAUUCUACUCUUUGCCAUUUUUACUUAUAUCACCAUGCUAAUGCCACAAAAGUAGGUCAUUGAACUUAUUAUUUUUGCUAAACUUAGUAAUUGUGGCUGAACAUAUUUAUGGAUUUUCCUCUUCGAAUUUAGUCGCAUUUUCCCCUGUCUACUCAUCAAGACGAAUUACUGUUUCCAAUUGCAGGCAUACAAUGUCGUCUUCACGUGGUAAAAAGGCCACUAUCCCUACUUUAAAGAAAAGGAAGGGAGCGUCAUCUUCUUCGGGUCCUACCGCGGAAGUUCGUCACCCUUUCCUGAGGUUCCCCAUCGGGCCCCAAGAAGAACUUUUCCAAAUACUCUGGGCCCGACCUUUAAUUGCGAGCCAUUGCAUCGACUGGGCUAUAGUAGAACAAGUUCAAUUAGCUGAUGCGAUUCAGGCCCUCCUUUUCUUUUGGAUCAUCGAGUCGACGUAUCUCGAGCUCACGAUGGAAUUAUGCUCCACAUUUCCUCUUCAGAUCGUGAUGACCAACUACGAUGAUCCCAGCACGGUGCAAUUUGGCCUAGGCGGAUUAGUCUGCCAGCUCAGCAUCCUAAAAUUUGGUACUGCAUUAGGUUUAUAUACAGAGGAAUUCAAGAAGGAGAAUGACUUACAUGCUCUCAACUGUCACAUCCAUCGUUCUCCUUCACGGUGCUGGGACGCACUAGUACCAGGCACAGCCACCUACAAUCCUAGUCGAUCCAAGGCAUCGGCUCUCCCUCCAUCUCUAAGGUACCUAAACUCCAUUUUGGAUCACACAAUAACACGAAGCCAAGAGAGCACUAGCGUUGUCAAUACUCACGACGCCUACUUUCUAUGGUGUAUGUCUCACGAGCACGUCAUCGACCUUGCCUAUUUCAUUGCCCUCGCCAUUCAACACCAGACGGAGUGGCAUAGGAAGGGGGUCAUCUUCAUUGGCCCCUAUGUGACGCGAUUAGCUCUACACUUCGAGCUCCUCAGCACCGCGGCCCAAGAAUCAUCCUUGACCCUCAUUGGCCAGAUGUCUCCACAAGGCAUCUCGAGCAUGCUUAGCAUGAGGAUGAUCGAAAAGCGCCAAGGAACCUACCCUCCUCAAUAUCGUCUCACCUAAUCUACCGAAGAGGAGGUUCCUGAGGACAUUACUGAUGAUGUCCCCCACAGCACAAGGACCCACCGUCUCAACCACUAUCACCCUAUUGUCCAGUUCAUGCAGCAGCUUCAUAUGCUGACAUCUCUGAGCGCCUCACUUGAUUCGAACAGUAGUGUUUUCAACAAUUUGACAACAUUGAUGCUAGUCUAUAGCAGAUUUGUCAGCACCUCCACAUCUCAUUGCCACCCCCACCUCGCGAACCAUUUAGCAAUUAAGAUGUUUAAAAACAUUUAUUUAUUAUUUUAUGUUUUUACUUUUAUUUUAUUUUAAGACUACUUUUUGUUUUUCUUUCACCUUAUUUUUAUUAGGACUUAUAAUUAUUAUUUUACAAUUUUUAAUUUUGGCACAUUCCUAUUGAGUACUUACCCUUCCUUAUAUAUUUCCUAAAAGAGUUCUUGAUUUUAUCACAGUUAUAAAGAUCUCCACAACUCACUAUUACUCAGGAACUCGAAACUCCACUGGGAAAGGUUCUCCACGACUGCCAUGUCCUGCUCGACCACGAUCAUAACCAACUUCAGAUAUAAUAUUCUUUUAGCGCAGGACUUAUGGACUAAUGAACCUCUACCACCGCUGGAGUAUCCUCCUCCACCCUUACGCCAAUUAUUCUCCAAAACUCCAGUUCAAGGAAAUUCACUCAUCACUCAGGAAGUUUCACUCCUCUCCCUAUCUUAUUCCUAUAUUCUUAUAUUUAUCUUUGUACAUUGAGGACAAUGUACAUAUUAAGUGUGGGGGAGUAUCCAUGUCAUUAUCAGAAAAAUCCCUGAAUGACUGUCUUAUUCUCUUGAAAAGCUCUCAUAUCAUAUUUAGGAUAAAUUUUGAUUGAUUUAAGAUUUUUAUUGAUAUAUCUUGAAUUAAAAUGUAGGCAUUUAUGCAUUGAUUGUUUAAACUUUAACACGUUAGAGAAUUAAGCAUGAUAAGUUGAUUUUUAAUAAUUUAAAAAUUUAGGUUGUUUCCCCAAAGUUUAGGUAUUACUUUGAGUUGGAAUUCACAAGUUUUAAACAUCAAAAAGCCAUAAUUUUUGUGAGAUUUUUGAGCCUUUUGAGCAUAUAUUAAUUCUUUCAUGCUCACUUUUAUUAUUGCUUUGAGUUCGUCAGUAUUUAAUUGUUAUUCUAGAACUUGCUUGAUUAUGCAUGUCAAGACUACACCAUUUAAUUUGAUAUGUCAAAAUGAUUAAGGCACUUAGGAUUAACCCACUCAUGUCAUGAAAAGCCUACCUCUAAAAUUAACCCCUAGUGAACCCCUUUGAGCCUAACAACCCAUUUUUUUUGUAUUACCCAUAAUAUUAACCCUUAACCCAUUAUUGUUGAAAUCCCCUAAAUUAAAUUUGAUCCCUAUUUUUGUUGAGAUUUGAAUUGAAAUAAUUACUCAGCUAUGUCUUAUUCUUAAUAGUUAGUCUAUGUUAUUUAACUUGCUCUUAAAAAAAAUGUGUAUACACAUUAGUAGUAAUCUUUUGUUUUUGAGGUUAAGUAUUUAAAUUCCAUAUUCUGAAAAGAAGCUCUGUUGUACGUAAGUGAUGAUUAAAUCUUUUUCCAGCUAAGUGAUUUUUCAAUUCAAUCUCGAUUCUAACCAUUUCUUUUAGCUUGUGACCACACCCCCUAACCAAAGUCACGUUAUAACCCUCUAAAGACCGUUUGAUUGAUAGAUCAUCUCAAUUUAUAAUGGUGGAGAUGUGAUUUUCAUGCAAGCCUAUGGUAAUAACUUUUCAUAUUGACUGAUGAGUGCUACUUACAUUGUCCUUAAACACUUUGAGUGAUUUGAGUCAAUCUUUAGUGAAGAUGUUAAACUCCGUGAGAUUUCAAAAGGAGGUAACCACUUAGAUAAGGGGAGAUGCCUAAAGUUUUGCAUGAUUAAAUACUCAACUUGGAAUGUUUGAAACUUUGAUGUUCUUUUAGUUGAAUUUUCAAUGUAUGAUUACCAAUGGAUUAUUUUGAGAUAUUAUCGAUAGAAAUUAUAGGUUGAGAAGAAUUUAUUUUGAAUAUGAGUUGAGAAUUUUGCUUGAGGACAAGAAAAUCCUUAAGUGUGGGGGUAUUUGAUAAACCGUAAUUUAUACAUAUUUUUACCCCAUGCUUAACGCAUUUUAUGGAUGAUUUUUCCUUAGAAUUGCUGAAUUCGAUGCUUCUAAUGCCUUAAUUUCAUGUUUUAUACUUAGGUGAGCAUAGGAAAGCGAAAGGAACGAUAAACGAGCCAAAAACGGAGAAAAUGGGCCAAAGUACGAAAUCAACACAGCCUGGACUUCCUCACAGUGGCAUACCACACGGCCGUGUCAAUCUGGCAGAAUCGAAGCACGGUUCACACUGGCGUGUCACACGGGCGUGUCCCUACCGAGCCCAAGUUGAGUCCAAUUCAAAAAAACUUAAUUUUGAGGGUUCCUAAGCAUUUCAAAGCCUAUAAAUACACCCUAGAGGAAGAGGAAAUGGGACACAGAGAGAAUGAGGCAGGGAACUGCUCAAGGGAAGUUGAUUGAUCCAUCUCAGAAGCCGUAGUCACCAUCAAGACUGAAGAUCUCCCCUCAAUUUCCCUUCAGGAGUUUUGGGUUUUCUUUAUGUUUUGUAUUCAUUAUUCUUCUGAGAUGUUUUCCUUUUUAGUUGUGAAAUAAAUCCCCUAAAUACCUAAAGGGAAUGAAACCUAAGACGAAUCUUGUUAUUAUUUUCUAAAUUGUAUGAUAAAUAUUUAAUUUGUUCUUAAGUAUGUGUUCUUAAUUCUUGUUUUGGUAUCCCAGGAUACUGACUCAAGAUAAGCUCUUAUUCAGAGGAGGAAUAGACCCUAUCUAAAGAGUACAUUUGUCAUAAUUAAGCGGAUUUGAUUGCGCGCCUAGACAUAGGGUGACAAGAUUUUGCCGGAUUAGGGUGAAACCUAAUAAGGGGAUCCAUAGAUCGAGUUAAUGCAACCCUAGGGUGUUAAUUAGAGAAAAAUCUCAAUUAUUCAAUCUAGGGAUUAGACGUUAUUAGUCCUGAGUAGGGAUAAUAACAUAACUCAGGGAUCUCUACGGGACAAGUUAAAUGAAUAAAUCGUCUGAUUCGGAGCUAGAAUAACAAGUAAAGUCUAGGUGGAUUUUUCCUUAGGUAUUGUCUUAAUUCAAUUGCUUUCCAAAAGUAAUCCCCCAAUUCUACUUUCUGCGAAUUCUUAGUUUAGAUAAUUAGUUAGUUAAAACAAAACCCCCUUAUUCUUAGGCUAGAUAAUAAAAAGACAGUCAUUACUAGUAAUUUUAGUUCCUUUGGGUUCGACAAUUCAAUCUUGCUAAAACUAUACUACUGUUCAAUAGGUUCACUUGCCUACCUCGUGAUAAUAGUUAGUGUCAAGAACGAUUCUUUAUAAAUAUUUAAAACCUGUCACACGAGAAUCGCAAUCAGGCUUAGCAGGUUGUUAUCGUCAUUUCAUUAAAAACUUCUCUAUAGUUGCUUCACCGAUGAACAGAUUGUUACAGAAAAAUAUUGAGUUUGUUUGGUUAAAUAAAUGCCAACAAAGUUUUGAUCAACUGAAAAUCAUGUUGAUAGAAGCUCCAGUGCUGACUCAGCCUAAAUCUGGGAAAGAUUAUGUUGUUUAAAGCAAUCCAUCACUCAACGGGCUAGGUUGUGUGUCGAUGCAAGCCGGAAAGGUAAUAGCAUAUGCUUCUCGUUAGUUAAAGCCACAUGAGAGAAAUUACCCGACUCACAAUCUAGAAUUGUUUGCAAUAGUUUUUGCUCUGAAUAUUUGGCACACUAUCUGUACGGUGAUAAAUUUCAUAUAUUUAAAGAUCAAAAAAUACUGAAAUAUUUGAUGACUAAAAAAGAAUAGAACUUGAGACAUCAAUAGUAGCUAGAGUUAUUAAAAGAUUAAGAUCUGGUAAUUGAUUAUCAUCUCGGAAAAGCUAAUGUUUUCUGCAAAUACCUUAAGUUAAAAAUCAUUGUUCGCAUUAAGAGAGUUGAACGCUCAGUUGACUUGGAAUCGUGAAGGUUUUAUUUUAGUUGAACUAAAAGUUAGACCGUUGUUUCUUCAGCAAAUUCAAGAGUUGCAAAAUGAUGACUCGAAAUUGGUAGUUAAAUGAAAAUAGGUUCACAGUGAUUCAUCUAUAGAAUUUUGUGUUGAUGUUGAUGGUAUAUUGUACUUUGGUUAUAGAUUGUGUGUUUCAAACAAUCUGGAAUUGAACUGAGACAUUUUGACUGAAGCUCAUAAUAGUACGUACAAUAUACAUUCGGGUAGUACGAAAAUGUUUUGUGACUUAAAAUAGAUGUAUUGGUAGCCAUGUAUGAAAUGGAAAAUUUAUGUGUUUGUAGCUAAAUGUCUGGGUUGUCAGCAAGUAAAAUCUUAGCAUCAAAUAUCAUUGAGAUUACUACAACCUGUCAUGAUUCCUAAAUGAAAAUGGGAGCGAGUCACGACAGAUUUUGUAUCUGGGUUACCUGUAUCCCGAGAAAAAAAGAUUUGAUCUGGGUUAUUGUUGACAGAUUGACAAUGUCGGCUCAUUUUAUUCCGUUCUAAACAGAUUAAUCUCUUGAAAUAUUAGUUGAGUUGUAUAUGUCUGAGAUCGUCAAAUUGCACGGAGUGCCAUUGUCUAUUAUUUCUAAUCGAGACCCAAGAUUUACCUCUAGAUUUUGGGGUAAAAUUCAUGAAGCUUUACAUACGAAACUCAAUUUUAUGAUAGAUUUUAUUCGCAGAUAGACAGACAAUCAAAACGAGUGAUACAGAUUUCAGAAGACAUGUUAUGGUGUUGUAUUCUUGAGUUUGAGGGUAGCUGAGAAAAAUAUCUGUCGUCAAUCCAGCAUAAAAAUGGCACCAUUUGAAGCUUUAUAUGGAAGGAAAUGUAGAACACCACUAUACUGGUCAGAGUUGAGCAAAUCUAAGCUAGUGGGGAUAGAUUUGAUUUGUGAAACUGAAGAUAAAGUUUGUGUUAUUCUUGAUUGUCUGAAAGUUGCAUCUGAUCAUUAGAAGUCGUACCCAGAUUUGAAAAGAAAAGAUAUAUAAUUUUUCAUUGGCGACCGAUUAUUUUUGAAAGUUUCAUCAUGGAAUAAAAUACUACGUGGCACAAAGGGAAAGUUGAGUUCGAGGUUUAUCGGGUCAUAUGAAAUUAUUGAAAGAAUUGGUCCAAUAGCUUACAGAUUGGGUUUACCUCCUGAACUUGAAAAGAUUCACAAUGUUUUCCAUGUUUCAAUGCUGAGAUAGUAUAGAUCAAGUCCUUCACAUGUGAUUCCUUCUAGUGAAAUUGGAUUACAGCCGAAUUUGUCGUAUUCUGAAGAAUAGAUAAGAAUUUUGGCUCUUGAAGUAAAAGAACUUCAGAAUAAACAGAUACUGUUAGUAAAAGUUUUAUACAAUUAGCACAGUAUCGAGGAAGCUACUUGGGAGACUAAGGAAUUGAUGAAAUUCCAGUAUUCGGACUUAUUCUCAGGUAAAAAUUUUGUGGACAAAAUUUCUUAAGGAGGGAGAGUUAUAACAGCCCGUUUUUAAUGUUUUUAGAAACAAUGGUUUUGGGACCAUAAUUUUGAUAUGUGUGUAAUAUUUAUGAAGUCCUUAGGGUCGAUUUCAAUUUUGGUUAGGAAAUUUUAACAUUUAGAUAGUUAAUUAAACAAAAAGGACUAAAAUGUGAAAGUUGUAAAAUCUAGCUAUAAUUGAAUUAUAAUGAUUAGAUGGUGUAAAUCAAAUAAGUGGAAUGGUUUAAAGGGAAAAUAUACCAUUUCUUAAUUAGCAUGGACAGUUAAGGCUAUGCAAAAAAUGUAUGUUUAAUUGAAGGGCAAUUAUGUAAUUAAAUAAUAAAAACUUAAGUAAAAUAAAACAAAAAUAAUGUAUCAUCUUCCCAAAAUGGUUUUGACUGAAAUUGAAUAGAAGAAAAAACCAUUGAGGGCUUGAAGGUUUGGCCACCUUAAUUUCCUUUACAUGUGAGUGAUUUUUUCAUAUGUUUUUUGUAAUUUUUAUGUUUUUGAGAUCAUUGCAACUAGGUCCAACUAAAUCAUACCUCUGUUUUUUGAAACUAUAAUGUUUUAGAAUGUGCCAUGGAUGAGUUUAAGGUGUUUGUGAAAGUUUGUGGUAGAUUACUAAGCUUGGUUGUUAAAUAGGAUUAUUUUCUAAAGUAAUUUUUAUUGAUUUUCAUGUUAAAGGAGUAAAUUGUUUUAAUGGUAAAAUUUCAUAGUAUUGCUGUGAAAUUAUGUUAAAUAGAGGGUUCUGUAGAAAUAUUCAGCUAGUAUGGGUUGUGUCCAAAUAAGGUUAAUUUUGUAAUUUUUUAGGUUUAGGGAUUAAAUUAAAUAAAGUGUAAAAGUUUGGUGCAAUUGUGAAAUAUUGUAAAUAAAAUGAAAUAUGUAUUAAAUUGAAUGAUACAUGAAAUUGAAGCUAAUAAAAUGAAAUAAACUAUUUUAUAGGUCAAGAACAAGUAGAUAACCAAGGAAAAGACAAAGUUGCUAAGUAGUCCCUAAACUUUUACAAACUCUGUAGUUUAACCUUAUUAAGUUCAUUCGGUUUAUUUUAACAUAUUUUGAAAUGUACAUUGACUGUGAAAUUGGUUAUUGAAUAUUUUAGUGAAUGCUUGAUUAUAAACUAUUGUAAAUUUAUAAAAUAGUUUAUUUGAACCUUGUUAAACGAUGUUGUGUUGUGAGACGAAUGAACGUAGGAUAGAGUAUGAUUGGCAUGCCAAUAGGUUAUAGUGUACGCUGUAUGGGAUUGACUUGUGACAAGGCAAUGAUUCCUAAUUUUUGUUUAUACACUGAGUAAAUCAUGUUUCAGCAUUUGUUGCGAACUAUCGUGUUAUAUUUCAGUGAUUCUGGCGUGUUACCAAGGGCGGAUGUAAAGCCUUUGAGCUUGGCACUUGGUGCCCAGGCAUGUUUUUGGAUGGAUUUUAGCAUACGGGAUAGGCAUUUGGUGCCAAGGCGUGUUUUCAGUUGGAUUGGCUCGUUUGAGCUCAUGGCGUGUUUCGGAUGGAUAGCUCUGUACUCAUAUCUAUAUAUCGUUCAUUGGGCAAUAUCUUUAGUGUUAAAUGACUUGUUAUUGAAUUGUUUGAAAAUUGUUCAUGAAUUUCCUAAUAGCAUUGUAGCUUAAUAUUGAAUUAUCUCGUAUGUUUGUAUUAAAAUGUAACUCGUACAUGAUUGUAUGUAUAUACUCACCUGUUAAUGACUGUGGUUGACAAGAAACACUGUUUAUUACUCUUGUUAUUAUAAAUGUUAUGAUUAUUUUGGUAAGCUUUACCAUUCUAACAGUUGAACUUACUAAGUUUUAUAGAGGCUUAUUCAUGUUAUUUUCUUGUUUCCUUGUAGAUAACAUUUUGUGGAAUUGAGCGAUUGGAUCAGCUUAAGGAUCAAACUAUCCAGACACAUUUUGGUAGUUUUUGAAGUUAACAUUUAGGUUAUAUGGCAUGUAAUAGGUGAAAUUUGUAGAUGUUUGAUUUGUAAAUUAUUUGGUAAUUAUGAAAUUGAAGAAUGAUGUCUACGUUUAGUAUUAACUUGUAUAUGUUUAUGUUCAUGUCAUGUUAUUUGGUCAUUUUGUAACAGCCCGAUUUUGGGCUAGUCAGAACAGUGGUUUCGGGACCACUAAACCGAGGUUGGAGAAAUUAUUUUCUUUAUAUUAUUUCAUGUGUUGUGGCAUGAUUAUAUGAGAGAAUAAAAAUUUUUGUGAAUUAAUUUUAGUGACUGCAUGCUUAAUUAAGAAAAAGGACUAAAUCGCAUAAAGGGUAAAAGUUCUAUUUUACUUGAUAGACAUACCAAAUAGGUAGAGAGCCAUAAUUGGAGGUCUUUAAAGGGCAAUUAGACCCCCUCCAAGAGGCAUGGCCGGCCAUAGGGGCAAGGAAAUUAAUGGGUCAAAUGGUUAGGUAAUUUGAUGACCUAAUUUUAACUAGAAUAAAAAUAAAAUAAAGAGAAAAGAUAUCAUCUUCUUUUCUACCAUCUUCUUCACCAAAAAUUCAGCCAUUUUAGGGGAUUUUGAGCUUCAAAAAAAAAUUCAGCCACUCUCUACUCUUGCAAGUAAGUGACUUUGAUGGCUUUUUUUGAAAAGUUUUACAUUUUUAGAACCCUUGUAGCAUGAGCUUUCAAAUGAGGGGACUAUUUUGCAAAGUGGUUGAAAGCCUAGGGUUUUUCCAUGAUAGUAGACAUGUUUUUUUUCUAAAAUUUUAUGGAAUAAAAUGAACCAUGGUUGUGAAAUAAACAACUUUUGUGAAGAGAUUUCUCAAGAAAACCCUAAAAAGGACCAUUUUGCAUAAGUUGUAAAAUAGGUGACAAAGGUGUGAAAUAUUGAGAAUUUUGGACUGCUUCUAGUGUAAAAAGUAAUCGACUAGGCUUAAGAUAUGAAGAAAUUCGAUAAAAAUCGAUUUUCGGACCUAGGGGUAAAAUAGUCAUUUUGCAAAAGUUUAGGGGCAAAAUGGUCAUUUUGCCCAAUUUUAAAUUGUUGAGUAUCUAGAUUAAUAAAAUGAUUAAAUUCGUAAAUUUUUAUCAUUCUAGAUCAAGAAUUACAAAAUUCGGGCCUAAACCGGGGAAAAGCGAUACAAGUGGACAAAGCCGAACUAGUCGUCCACAUUUUGUAAUCUGACGUAAGUUGUAUGUAAAUAAUACAACUACAUCGUUAUUAUAUGUGCUUGAAUUGAGAUAGCAUGAAUUGCUUGUUUGUGGAAAUAAUCAUGUAUGAUAAUAGAGAUAAUAGAACACCCGGAUGAACCUUAGGAACAAAUCGGAUAUUCAUGCCAUGACAUUUGGGUCAUUCGUGCGCUAGUGUAAAACAUGUCUAGGACAUGCUUCGAUCACAUUAUAAGAGCCAGUGUAAGACAUGUCUGGGACAUGGCAUUGGCAUUAAGACGAGAGCUAAUGUAAGACAUGUCUGGACAUGCAUCGGCCUCGAGAUGUAAGCCAGUGUAAGACAUGUCUAGGACAUGCAUCGGCUAAGAGAUGUGUCAGCCUAAGACCAUGUUUGGGACAUGGCAUCGACACGUAUAGAGGUGUCAGUGUAAGACCAUGUUUGGGCAUGGCAUUAGUACGGAUAUGUGAAAGCUAGUUAAGACCAUGUUUGGGACAUGGCGUCAACCUCGAUUUUGAUAGUUAAUGUAAGACCAUGUCUGGGACAUGGCAUCAACUUGAUGGAUGAGCCAGUGUAAGACCAUGUCUGGGACAUGGCAUUGGCAUUAUACCCUAUGUUGAGGCUUAGUGACUAUCCGAUAGUAUUCCAAAUGGUUCAACGGUGAAAAUUAUAGUUCAAGUUAAACGGGAAAAGUAUAACCAUGUUGUGAGGGAUACAGGUAUCCAAAUGAAAUGCAUGAGAUGUGAGCUUAGUAUAUGUUAUGUAAAUUGCGUUGGAUAGUGACGAGUAAGUUGUGCUUAUGCCUAUUUCAGUGUUAUGAGCAUGAUGAUGAAUGGUAAAGUUGUCGUUAUAUUUAUUUUCAUGCAACUUACUGAGCUUUAUACUUACCCUAGUUCUUUCCAUUUUCUUAUAGUGCCGCCUAAUUAACUCGUGGAUCAACGGACGUCAGAGGCAUCGAUCACACUAUCAAUCGAAGCACUUGGUAUAGUUAGAUCUAUUUAUUUUGAUUAUGGCAUGUAUAGGAUCCUGACUUUAGAAUUUUGUGUCGUCGUUAAUUGGCCAAAUGUGUUGGGUUACUUUAGCAUUUUGAUUCAUUUUAUAUAAGGCCACGGAAAUGGCUAAAGUUGAAAGUUGUUAUAUGAAUACAAGAAGUUAUUUCAUGAAUGGGUAAUUUGUUGGUUGUUUUAGUAAAUAUGAAAUGUGUAAAGGCCUUAGAUGUGGUUGUUGGGUUGAGGAAUCAUAUUAUGAUGAUCUUUAGCAUGAUGGAUGUUGUUAUUUUGUGUUUCAGGGUGGCAAAAGGCUUGAUAAAUAGCCCUAUGUUGUCCACACGAGUAGACACACGCGGUCGUGUGUGACACACGGCCAGCUCCAUGUACUUGUUGUCCGAGCGUGUGUCCCCUGCACGUAAAAAUUUCAAGUCAGUAUGUAUGGUAGUAAACAAACGGGCAGAGCCACGGCCAUGUGUCUCAGCCGUGUGAAGGGCACAGCCUAGCACAUGGGCGUGUACCCUGGCCGUGUGACCCUUAAAGAUUGCUGACAUCAGAAACAGAAUCUCAAGAUUUUUAGACACGGGCUAGGACACGGGCGUGUCAUGGCCGUGUGAGAGACACAGGCCAUGGACACAGGCGUGUGUCAGGCUGUGUGAAAACCCCUGUAGGUUCGAAUUUAGAAUUUAAUUCAUAUGGGCAUGGGACACAAGUUUGUCCCUAGACGCUUAGGCCGUGUGUGUCACACAGGCCAUCAGCACAGCCGUGUUAUAAUGAACAGACGGUGGUGUUACCCUUCCACACUGAUGUGUGCCCUGUUUCAAGGGUCAUUUCUAUUAAGUCGGUUUAAGGACCCGAGUUGGUUUCGAAUUGUUUCCAAUAAGAGUUUGAGGCCUCGUAGGCCCACAUUAAGGAGUUUAAACAAGGUUAGAAAAAUUUUUAAAUUUUAUCAAGUCUUGGUGACUCAAAAAUGAUUGUAUGCAUAUGGUUAAGUAUGGUAAUGCCUCGUGCCCAGUCCCAGCCUCGAACUCGGGUAAGGGGUGUUACAUUUACUGGUAUCAGAGCUAUGGUUUAGUCGGUUCUAGAACUAACCUAGCAUGAGUACGAGUCUAGCUAUACAUGCCAUAGUUGUAUAUUGAUAGUGUGAUGACUCCUGAAGAUUAUAAAUUAUGUUUUUCAUAUAGUAAAAGGAUCCUGACGUAGCUACGGUAGAUGACAUGGAAAGUAAUGCACCGGCUCCCGCUGAAGGGACUGCGCCAGUUGAUAAUGGGCUCGUGACGUUGCGUUAGGGUAGAGGAGCUAGAGAAGCUUACCUCCAUAUGGUGAACGUGUGGUAUUCGGAGUUCAUUCGUGCGAAUCUGAAUUCUUCACCUCCCCCACCUCCUCCGAUUCUUCAGUAUGCCCCUGUAACUCUGCAAGAAGUGGAUUUGGUUAGGAGAGAGAAACCCCCAGUAGAUAAGAAACGAAAUCAAGGGGCCGAGGAAUUUUGGGCUAAGAUUGAUGAUGAACUGGAGAGAGCAGAAUUUUGGUUAGAAAAUACCAUUAGGGUAUUUGAUGAGUUAUCGUGCACGCUUAAAGAGUGCGUAAAGUGCGCAGUGUCACUCCUACGAGACUCAGCCUAUCAAUGGUGGAACACCCUUGUGUCAGUUGUACUAAGGGAAAAGAUUAUAUGGGAGUUCUUCCAGGAGGAGUUCCGGAAGAAGUACAUUAGUCAGAGGUUUAUGGACCAGAAAAGAAAAGAGUUUUUAAAGCUGAAGCAAGGUCGUAGAACAGUGAUUGAGAAUGAACGUGAGUUUGUGAGACUCAGCAAAUAUGCAUGGGAGAGCUUAUCUACAGAAGCCAUUAUGUGCAAGAGGAUUGAGGAUGGUUUGAACGAAGACAUUCGUCUAUUAGUUGGCAUCUUGGAGAUAAGGGAAUUUGUGGUGCUCAUGGAGAGAGCAUGAAAGGCCGAUAAAAUUGGCCAAAGAGAAUAGAAUGGUUGACAUCGAGUCCUGAGACUCAAGGAAAAGACAACUGGGGAAAUCACAGCAGACCUCAUCUAAAAGACCAAGAGAGUUUCCUGCCCAAUCAAACGCAUCAGUAGGGUUCUUGAAUAAGAGAAAGAAUAAGAAACAUACGGCGUCUAAAGCCCAAACCACUUCUAUCGCGAGUGUUGGUAGUGCUUGGCCAAAUAGGCCGGAAUGUUCACAAUGUGGUAGACGUCAUUUCGGUGAACGCCGAACGAAUGAAAGAGGUUGCUUAAAAUGUAGAUCUUUGGACCACUUCAUACGAGACUUCCCUGAAUUAGAUAAAAAAGAGAAAAAACAAGACGUGAGGGCGAGUAGUCUCCUACGAGGGGAGCCUACAAAAGAACCCAGGCAGUGGGGCUAGCAAUAGAGGUGCCCCUAGAUAUUCAUCUGUGAUGUCCGAGGGUCAUACGGCUGCAAGGACUUAUGCCAUCCGUACUCGCGAAGAGGCAUCUUCACCAGAUGUGAUUACGGGUACUUUUUCUCUUCAUGAUAUCUCUGUUAUUGCUUUGAUUGAUCCGAGGCCUACUCAUUCCUUUGUAUGCAUGAAAUUAGUACCCAGUAUGAAUAUGUCUGUUGAGUCCACCGAAUUUGUGAUAAAAGUGUCAAACCCGUUAAGCAGGCAUGUGAUAGUUAAUAAAGUGUGUAGAGAUUGUCCUUUGAUGAUUAGAGGUUAUUGUUUUCCGGCUAACCUCAUGCUACUACCUUUUGAUGAAUUUGACCUAAUUCUUGGCAUGGACUGGUUAACUGCUCAUAAUGUGAUAGUGAAUUGUGGUAGCAAGUUCAUUGAAAUGAAAUGUGAGAAUGGGGAUAUUAUUUGAGUUGAAUCAGGUGAACCGGAUAACUCACCAGUACUGAAUUCGUCUUUGACUGUCGAGAAAUAUUUGACAAAAGGGUAUGAGUCCUACCUAGCAUUUGUGUUGAACACCAAAGGGUCGGAAGUGAAAAUUAAGACAGUGCCGGUUAUAUGUAAGUGUCAGGAUGUGUUUCUGAAAAAGUUACUCGGAUUACCUCCAACCAGAGAAGUUGAGUUUGGCAUCGAGUUGGUCCUUGGUACGACACCUAUCUCAAUUGCUCCGUAUAGAAUGGCUCCAACGGAGUUAAAGGAGUUGAAGGCUUAGUUACAAGAGUUAACGAAUAAAUGUUUUGCAAGACCGAGUUAUUCACCGGGGGUGUUCCAGUACUUUUUUGUGAAAAAGAAAGAUGGGUCGAUGAGAUUGUGUAUAGACUACCCACAGCUCAACAAGGUAACCGUGAAGAACAAGUACCCCUUGCCAAGGAUCGAUGAUUUGUUCGAUCAGUUGAAGGGAGCCACCGUGUUUUCUAAGAUAGACUUAAGGUCGGGCUACUAUCAGUUAAGGGUUAAGGAGCAAGAUGUACCAAAAAACACGUUUAGGACGAGGAAUAGGCACUAUGAGUUUCUUGUUAUGCCCUUCGGUUUAAGAAAUGCUCCUGCUGUGUUUAUGAAUUUGAUGAACCGUAUUUUUCGGCCAUAUUUGGAUAAGUUUGUUGUGGUCUUUAUCGACGACAUACUGAUUUAUUCGCGUGAUGAGAGUGAGCACGUGGAGCAUCUAAGAACUGUUCAAACCUUGAGAGAUAAACAAUUAUAUGCCAAGUUUAGUAAGAGUAAAUUUUGGCUUAAAGAAGUUGGAUUCCUAGGACACUGUAUCGGGAGAUGCAAUCAGAGUUCACCCAAGCAAAAUCUCGACCAUUAUUGAGUGAAAAUCACCGAAGAAUGUGACAGAGGUUCGUAGCUUUUUAGGUUUAGUUGGAUACUACAAAAGAUCUGUAAAUGGGUUAUCAAUAAUAGCUACUCCGAUGACAAAGUUGUUACAAAAGGAUGUCAAGUUUGAAUGGACAGAGAAGUGCCAACGAAGUUUCGAGAAAUUAAAGGCCUUGCUGACCGAGGCUCCAAUUCUAGUGCAACCAGAAUCGGGGAAAGAAUUCAUGGUUUAUAGCGACAUCUCCUUAAAUGGAUUGGGGUGCGUACUCAUUCAAGAAGAAAAAGUGAUAGCAUAUGCCUCGAGACAGCUAAAGCCACAUGAGAAGAAUUACCCGAUGCACGAUUUAGAGUUGGCCGCCAUUGUGUUCACACUGAAAAUUUGGAGACACCAUUUGUAUGGCGAGAGAUGUCGAGUGUUCACUGACCAUAAGAGUCUAAAGUAUUUGAUGACUAAGAAGAAGCUAAAUUUACGGCAAUGAAGGUGGUUAGAGUUGAUAAAGGAUUACGAGUUGGUGAUUGACUACCACCCCAGAAAGACGAAUGUAGUCGCCGAUGCUUUGAGUAGGAAAUCAUUGUUUGCCCUGAGGGCUAUGAAUACUCAGUUGAUUGUGAUUGAUGAUGGCUCGAUUCUAGACGAGAAGAGAGCUAGACCUAUGUUUCUUCAAGAUAUAUGUGAGGCUCAGAAAAGUGAUGAGGACUUGCAAGCUAAAAUGGCCCAGUGUGAGAUGGGAAGUGAAUCAGAAUUUCAUAUUAGUACCGAUGGUUGUAUGAUGUAUCGAGACAAGAUCUGUUUACCCAAGGAUAAGGAGCUCAUUCAGAAGAUUUUAUGAGAGGCACAUAGUGGUUGCUUUUCUAUCCAUCCAGGUAAUAUGAAAUGUAAAAUGACUUAAAGAAAAUGUACUGGUGGUCGGGAAUGAAAAGAGACAUUUCUGAGUUUGUCUCUAAGUGUCUAGUUUGUCAACAAGUGAAGACUGAGCACCAAGUACCCUUGGGUUUGCUUCAGUCUGUGAUGGUUCCCGAGUGGAAAUGGGACUGAGUAACCAUGGAUUUUGUGUCAGGGCUGCCUUUGACGCCAAAGAAAAAGGAUUCCGUUUGGGUCGUUGUUGAUAGACUUACCAAGUUGGCACAUUUUAUACCGGUGCGUACCAGCUACUCCCUUGAGAAAUUGGUUGAUUUGUAUGUUUUAGAGAUAGUGAGACUUCACGGGGUGCCCUUUUCGAUUAUCUCAGAUAGGGAUCCGAGGUUUACCACGAGGUUUUGGAAGAAGUUGCAAGAAGCUUUGGGGACAAAGUUGAAUUUUAGCACAGUUUUUCAUCCGCAAAUCGACGAUCAGUCAGAAAGAGUAAUUCAGAUAUUAAAGGACAUGUUACGGUGUUGUGUUCUCGAGUUUCAAGGUAGUUGGGAAAAGUAUUUACCGCUAGUCGAAUUCUCCUACAACAAUAGUUAUCAGUCAAGUCUGAAAAUGAUGUCUUAUGAUGCUUUAUAUGGGCGUAAGUUUCGAACAGCUUUAUAUUGGACCAAGUUGAGAGAGAAUCAGAUUCAUGGGGUCGAUUUGGUCAAAGAAACCGAGGAAAAGGUUAAGGUGAUUCAUGAUUGCUUAAGAGCCGCAUCAGAUAGAUAGAAAUCCUAUGCGGACUUGAAACAAAAAGAGAUCAAGUUCCAAGUCAUAGAUAAAGUGUUUUUGAAAGUAUCCCCGUGGAAGAAAGUCCUUAGAUUUGGUAGAAAAGGCAAGCUGAGUCUGCGAUUUAUUGGACCUUAUGAGGUGACUAAGAGAAUUGUGCCGGUAGCAUACCAAUUGGCCUUGCCUCGUGAACUAUAGAAAAUUCAUGAUGUAUUCCAUGUAUCGAUGUUGCGCCGCUACCGAUCUGACCCCUCACACAUCAUUUCACCAGAAGAAAUUGAAAUAAACCCAAAUAUGACCUAUGGUGAAGAACCGAUUAAGAUUUGAGAUCGAGAGGUCAAGAAUCUAAGGAAUAAAAGUGUAGCACUCGUAAAGAUUUUGUGGCAUAGACAUAGAGUCGGGGAAGCAACAUGGGAACCCGAAGAGACUAUGAGAGAUCAAUACCUAAACUUAUUCGCCAGUAAUAUUUUCAAGGACGAAAAUCCCUAAGGGGGAGAAUUGUAACAACCCGAUUUUGGGCCUAGUCAGAACAGUGGUUUCAAGAACACUAAACUGGGAUUGGAGAAAUUAUUUUUUAUACUAUUUUAUGUAUUGUGGCAUGAUUAUAUGAGAGUAUGAAAAUUUUGGUGAAUUAAUUUUAAUGAUUGCAUGCUUAAUUGGGAAAAAGGACUAAAUCGCAUAAAGGGUUACUUGAUAGACAUUCCAAAUAGCUAGAGAGCCAUAAUUGGAGGUCUUUAAAGGGUAAUUAGACCCCCUCUAAGAGGCAUGGCCGGCCAUAGGGACAAGGAAAUCAAUGGGUCAAAUGGUUAGGUAAUUUGAUGACCUAAUUUUGACUAGAAUAAAAAUAAAAUAAAGAGAAAAGAUAUCAUCCCUUUUCUACCAUCUUCUCCACCAAAAAUUCAGCCAUUGUAGGGGGUUUUGAGCUUCAAAAAAAAAUUAGCCACUCUCUACUCUUGCAAGUAAGUGACUUCGAUGGUUUUUCUUGAAAAUUUUUACAUUUACAAAACCCUUGUAGCAUGAGCUUUCAAAUGAAGGGACUAUUUUGCAAUGUGGUUGAAAGUCUAGGGUUUUUCCAUGAUAUUAGACAUGUUGUUUUCUGAAAUUUUAUGGAAGAAAAUGAACCAUGGUUGUGAAAUAAAUAACUUUUGUGAAGAGAUUUCUCAUGAAAACCCUAAAAAGGACCAUUUUGCAUAAGUUGUAAAAUAGGUGAUAAAGGUGUGAAAUAUUGAGAAUUUUAGACUACUUCUACUGUAAAAGUAAUCGACUAGGCUUAAGAUAUGAAGAAAUUCGAUAAAAAUCAAUUUUCGAGCCUAUGGGUAAAAUAGUCAUUUUGCAAAAGUCUAAAGGCAAAAUGGUCAUUUUGCCCAAUUUUAAAUUGUUGAGUAUCUAGAUUAAUAAAAUGAUUAAAUUCAUAAUUUUUUAUCAUUCUAGAUCAAGAAUUACAAAAUCUGGGCCUAGACUAAGGAAAAGUGAAGCAAGUGGACAAAGCCGAACUAGUCGUCUACAUUUUGUAAUCUGAGGUAAGUUAUAUGUAAAUAAUACAACUACAUCGUUAUUUUAUGUACUUGAAUUUAGAUAGCAUGAAUUGUUUGUUUGUGGAAAUAAUCAUGUAUGAUAAUAAAGAUAAUAAAACUCCCGGAUGAACGAUAUUCAUGCCAUGACAUUUGGGUCAUUCGUGCACCAGUGUAAAACAUGUCUGGGACAUGCUUCGUCCACAUUAUAAGAGCCAGUGUAAGACCAUGUCUGGGACAUGGCAUCGGCACGAUAGAGGUGUCAGUGUAAGACCAUGUCUGGGACAUGGCAUCAGCACAGAUAUGUGAGAGCUAGUGUAAGACUAUGUCCGGGACAUGGUGUCGGCCUCGAUUUCGAUAGUUAGUGUAAGACCAUGUCUAGGACAUGGCAUCGACUUAAUGGAUGAGCCAGUGUAAGACCAUGUCUGAGACAUGGCAUUGGCAUUAUACCCUAUGUUGAGGCUUAGUGACUAUCCGAUAGUAUUCUAAAUGGUUUAAUGGUGAAGGUUAUAGUUUAAGUUAAACGAGAAAAGUAUAACCAUGUUGUGAGUGAUGCAGGUACCCAAAUGAAAUGCAUAAGAUGUGAGCUUAGUAUAUGCUAUGUGAAUAGUGUUGGAUAGUGACGAGUAAGUUGUGCUUAUGUCUAUUUUAGUGUUAUGAGCAUGAUGAUGAAUGGUAAAGUUGUCGUUAUAUUUAUUUUCAUGCAACUUACUAAGCUUUAUGCUUACCCUAGUUCUUUCCAUUUUCUUAUAGUGCCACCUAAUUAACUCAUGGAUCAACGGCAUCGGAGGCAUCAAUCACACUAUCAAUCAAAGAACUUGGUAUAGUUAGAUCUAUUUAUUUUGAUUAUGGCAUGUAUAGGAUCCUAACUUUAGAAUUUUGUGUCAUUGUUAAUUGGCCAAAUGUGUUGUCUUUCUUUAGCAUUUUGACUCAUUUUAUAUAAGGCUACGGAAAUGGCUAAGGUUGAAAGUUGAUAUAUGAAUACAAGAAGUUAUUUCAUGAAUGGGUAAUUUGUUGGUUGUUUUAGUAAAUAUGAAAUGUGUAAAGGCCUUAGAUGUGGUUGUUGGGUUGAGGAAUCAUAUUAUGAUGAUCUUUAGCAUGAUAGAUGUUGUUAUUUUGUGUUUCAGGGUCACAAAAGGCUUGGUAAAUAGCCCUAUGCUGUCCACACGGGUAGACACACGGGCGUGUGUCUUCACGGCCAGCCCUACGGGCAUGUUGUCCUGCUGUGUGUCCCCUACACGUAAAAAUUUCAAGUCAGUAUGUAUGGUAGUAAACACACAGGUAGAGACACGGCCGUGUGUCUCAGCCGUGUAAAGGGCACGGCCUAGCACACGGGCGUGUGCCUUGGCCGUGUGACCCUUAAAGAUUGCUUACGUCAGAAACAGAAUGUCAAGAUUUUUAGACACGGGGGUGUCAUGGUCAUGUAAGAGACACGGCCCAUGGACACGGGCGUGUGUCAGGCCAUGUGAAAACCCCUGUAAGCUCGAAUUUAGAAUUUAAUUCAUACAGGCAUGGGACACGGGCGUGGCCCUAGAGGCUUAGGCCGUAUGUUUCACACUGACCAUCAGCAUAGCCGUGUUAUAAUUAACAGACGGACAUGUUAUCCUUCCACACAGGCUUGUGCCCUGUUUCAAGGGUCAUUUUUAUUUAGUUUGUUUAAGGAGCCGAGUUGGUUCCAAAUGGUUUCCAAUGAGAGUUUGAGGCCUCAUAGGCCCACAUUAAGGAGUUUAAACAAGGUUAGAAAAAGUUUUAAAUUUGAUCAAGCCUUGGUGAUUCGGAAAUGAUUGUAUACAUGUGGUUAAGUAUGGUAAUGCCUUAUGCCCAGUCCUGGCCUCGGACUCGGGUAAGGGGUGUUACGCAUUUGGUAUAAUUUUUAUAUAGGUAUUUGCAAUUAUGGUAUGAAUGUAUAUGUUUAAAUGAGAAAAGUAAUGGUAUGUUUUUAAAUAAGAUUAUAUAUGGUUUGAGAGUUUGAAUGAUUACUUGUUAAUGUGUUUGGUGUAUGAAUGUGACAUGGAGUAUAGCCUUGAAUUUGGUUAGUUUUGUAAUGUGAAUUGAGGUGCCAAAAGAUAGGAUAUUGGUUAGACAUAGGUUGAGUGAAUUUGGCAUGUUUUUGGGUGUGAUUGAAUGUGUUUGAGCAUGAAAUUGUAGUUGAAAAUAGCUUGGCUUGGUUUUUAGGUUUUGGUGAAAGUCUCACCACACGGUUGUACGAUGGAUUCACAUUAUUGCUACAAAGCUUAUACUAAGACCCGCAAAAUCAUCAUCAAUGGCGAGGCAUAUAUUGGUUUCACCCCUCGAUCAUUGGGGUGGGGGAUAGUCGAGGGUACUUGGUCACCGAGACUACGACACACCCGCACGACAUUCUGUCAAUACCUUUGAUUUUAAUUUUGGCACCCCAAUGUUCAACACUAGUAAGACUCAUACAGGCACACCAUCAAGUUACUGGGGUGGAGUAAAUAGAAGUGAUUUUAGGGUUGACAUUGAAUUUAUAAGAAUGAAUGAUCUAAUCCCAACAACCUCGACUGGUAAGGGCACAUCCAACCCUGGAUUUGCAACUGGGGUUGAUAACAAAGAAGGAGAAGAGAACGAGGAGGAUGAAGAAACAGAUAAUAACCCAAUAGAGGAGGUGGGGCUCGAUGGUACGAAAAUGGCUAUAAUUUCAAAACCAGAUCCCAAUCCUAUUGAACCAGAAGAAGGAGGACCUAACGGUGAAGCUACGGACAUUGCUCGAUUGGAUGACCCGUGUUUCACGGCUUACCAACCCCCACCAGUAUGCGAACUCUUGAUCUUACUACUAAGGGAGGUUUAGAAUUCCAAGACCUCUUUCAUAGAAGACUAGGGCAUGCGUCUUCGUCAACAAAUUUCAGCCAUUUAGAGGUUAGGAUGGAGUUUGACUCCAAAGAUGCUUUUGUAUUACUAUCAAGCGAUAUAACAUUCAACUACUUCACCGUUACAUGCUCUCGGUCCGAGAAAUAUGUGGCAAAGUGCACGAUGCAUGGAAAAUGAUAGCCAUGGAAAAUCAUGACAUCUGUGAGGAAGAAUUUGUCGUUUUAGACAAUCCAGAAGUUUUCUACACCAAAUACAUGUGUUUUAGUUGGUAUGUAUCAUAGUUAACAACAUCGACUCAAAUUCUGACUUUUUUUUUUACAUUCUACUACAUAUGGUGACCCAAUUUAUUGUUUUUAGGCAUGUCAAACAAUCAUUCGAAACUGGACUCGGAUAUGAUAUCUAACUUUAUAUUACCAUGGUCAAAGCGAGUACUAAGAUUUCUAUCCUUAGUUUGAUCGUACACAUCCGCAACGAGUUCGAUUACACUGUGUCCUACCAUAAGUCAUGGUUGGCAAAACAGAAGGCGUUGGAAAAGAUGAACAACGGGUGGGAGAAAUCCUACAAUGAAUUGUGGCAAUGGUUUUAGGUACUAGAGCAAUACAUACCAAGUUUCAUAACCAAGUUGCAAAUGGAGCUUGCGUAUUACAGUGAUCGCUUGGUCCUUGGAAAAAGAGUUUCCUACCAUUUUUUCUAGACUUUCAAGCAAUGCGUAAUUGCAUUCCAGUACUGUAAGCCACUUGUCCAAAUUGAAGGCACAUUCUUGUACGGGAGAUACGAGCAUAAGUUGUUAAUAGUUAUUGCAUAGGAUGGUAACCGAAUAAUUGCUAAUAGAAUUUGCAAAAACUCUGGAAGAAUACUGUGAUGACUGAGAUUUCUUCUUAACUAACCUGUGAAGGCAUAUUGUACUGCAGCCUGAGGUGUGCAUCAUUUCUGAUAGAGGCACUGGAGUACAGGUUGUAUUUGAAUGAUGUUCAAGCCUAUGGGAUCGUGCACACCAUAGGUAUUGUUUGUGUCACAUAAGGUCUAACUAGCGACAUGUCAUUAACAUAGGUAUAUUAUGCAUAGAAUUGGUUUCCUGUAAAACAGUUUGACAUAUACAUUUUGGGUCGCUUUUCUUGAAUGCAUUGUUGAUUGUCAUUGACAGGGUACGAGUUUGUCUAACAUCGAUUUCAUGAAAUGUUGGAGAGACUACAGGCUGUAAACCAAUUGGGUGUACAAUACCUUGAUGGGAUACCUCUAAAGCAAUGGACGCAAUCGUAUGACGGAGGAGUAAGAUACAGGCACAUGACCUCGAACCUAACGGAAUGCACUAAUUUCAUACUGAAAGGGACGCGUCAUUUGUUUGUAACCUAGGUGGUCAAGGAAAUGUAUUUUGGAUUAGCAGCAUUGUUUCCAAAGCGGGCUGAGACAUACACGGGGCAAUUAAAAGGCGGUCACGUUUGGUGCAAGUCAGUGUUGAAGGAUAUUGAGGAAAAUGUAGAAAUCACUAACUCAAUUACUUCAGUGUGUCACUCGGGACAAAAUCUAAUAUUUCGAGUUAAGUAGCCCCAUAGACCCGACCAUGAAGUUAUCGGUGGAGCAUAUUGCGUAGACCUCAGAGAAAUGACCUAUGACUGUGGGAGAUUUCAAGCACGUUGUUAUCCAAGCACACAUGCAAUUGUUGUAUGUGCCUCAGAACGUAUAGAUUGCAUAACCUAUGUUGAUGACUACAGCAAAAUUGACUUUUAGCGGCAUUUUUUUAGGCCUUUAGCGGCGCUUUUAAGUGCCGCUAAAACUAUUUGCGGCGUUUUUACAAGCACCGCAAAUAUUACUAACGCCGCUAAAGUUUGCGGCGUUUAUUUGAAAAAACGCCGCUAAAAAUCAUGACUUUUAGUGACGCUUUCCCUACAAACGCCGCUAAAAGUCAUGACCUUUAGCGGCACUUUCCCCACAAACGCCGCCAAAGAUCAUGACCUUUAGCGGCGCUUUCCCCACAAAUGCCGCCAAAGGUCAUGACCUUUAGCAGUGCUUUUCUCAAAAACGCCGCUAAAUGUCAUGAAAUUCAAAAAAAAAUAUUAUAAAAUAUUAUAAAGGUCAUGAAAAAUUUAAAAAAUUUAAAAUUUAUUAUCAAAAUAUUGAGAAGAAUAAUAUCCAUGAUAUAAAUAUAAAAAGUUUCUAUUAAAAUUUUAACUUUAAAACUAAAUACAAAAAUUAAUGAAUUUAAAUUUAGAAUUUAAAAUAAUAAAUUAAUAACACAAUUAAAAUCAAGGAAAUGCAAUAUCUGCUGCUUCCAACCUCUUUUCUCAACCUCUUUAAUAUCUGCUUCUAAGCAAGCAAUAUCUUCCAUUAAUUUCGAGGCAUGCUUCUGCUUUUUCUCUUUUGAUAAACCAAGGAAAUGCAAUAAUAAUUCUGAUUCAGUAUCAUCUCGGUUAAUGGAUGACGACAGUUCUUCUGCAAAUACUUCUUGGAAUCUAUUAAGUACUUCGGAUUGUAGGAUAUCCCUGAUAAAUAUCAACAACUAUAAACUUAGAAUCCUAUAUUGAAUUAUAAAUGGACAUCAGGGUCCUAACAUUUACAAAUACAAGCACAAAGAAAGCAAGUUUAUACUAACGUAAGCAUUAAUGCUUAAGACUUAGCCAUAAAAUAAUAAAGCCGAAAAUGGUUUCAUCAACAUACCAUUACCUGAAAUUUAAUUCUAUGCAGAUCUCCAAGAUGACUACUUCACAUUUUUGUUUUUUAUAGUUUGUUAAUUUUCUAUUCUUGUUCUUUACACCAAUAAUAAAUGGAAUAUAAUUCUCCAAUCAAUUCAUCAUCUAAUUCACUGAUGCUUUUUGCAAGAUACAUAGGUUAUCAUAGAGAUAUAGCUUACUAUAUAUAUAUAUAAUUAUCAUAGUCUAAUCACUAAGGCAUUUAAAAUUCUAGCCUACACAUUGGCAUGCUACUUCUUCAAAGUCUCCAUAUCCAACAUCAAUUAUAAGAUUCUAGAGCUUCACAUUUCGCACUGAUGAACAAUUUGUAGUACCUGGUUGUUGGGCGCAAAGAAGGUUCUGGGUGAAGUAGUCUAAGACAAAAUCCAGCUUCCUUGAGAUUUUCUGAUAGAAAAGUUGGAGUAAAAAUCCUAUGGCAUAGAUCCAACAUUGCAGCAGCAUGUGCUCUCUCAGAUUCAAAUUGACAAAGCAACUGAAAAAAACAAUCAAAUUGCUUUUUAGAACGAAUACAAAUAUCCACUCUCUUCCACGCAGAUAAAAAAUAGAUAAGAAAACAAAUAAAAGAUAGAAGAACAAUUUGUUUUUGUACCUCAAAAAGCAGCACACCCAAACUGUAUAUAUUAGAUAAAAUUGUGCAAACACCUUCAUUGAUUUCCUCUGGACUAGCAUACCACUUCUCUUCCAACUGCUCAUUCACAGAGACUGACUGAUGCUGAGCUGAAUUAGAAGAAUGAGAGCUUCCAAAAUUGCUAAAUUUUGUAUGGGAGGCAUUGCUCAGUCCUGUAAAUACAUCCAUCCAUGACAAAGAAAUAGGAAACUGGCCUGUAAAGGAGGCAUUGCUCAGUCCUGCAUUAAUUAAAGAUAGAACCAUAAAAUUAGCUUAAUUCUGUUGGGAAAAAUUGCCAAAGAUCAGAUAAUUAACAUUUCCAAAUACCCAAUUGCCAUCUUUAAUAAAAAUGGAAACUUGGAACUUUGCAGAGCAAGUAGCAUAGAGAAUGCUAAUACAAAGCAACAAACAUAAUAGAAAGAAAGGCUAACAACAGCUUGUCAUGCAUGUAAGCAUUCAUAAAACAGGCAUGAGUUUCAACUUUCAAUAAAUAGCUGCAUAACUACCAAGCAAAACCCCAUAGCCAAGGAUAUGGUGUUCUAUUAAUUGACAACAGAAGCAACAUUGAUAAAAACGCUAAGUGAAAAUAGUAUGCCUUUGGGGGAAAAUUAUGUGAUUAAAGUGUAACAAGAAAGAAAAUUAAUUUAAUAUGAUUAAUUAGUGGAUAUUAAACUUUUAUGAUAAAAAAAUUAAAUUGAAAAGUUAUGAAAAUUUAUUAAACAAAUAUUUGAUAAGUGAAGAAUGUAGUAGAGAAUGUAACAUCUUAAUGUUUUGAUCCGAUGUUCAGGUCAAGUAUGAGGAUAUUACAGUGGAUAUAAUCUUAGCAGUUUGAAAAAUAUCUUACGAAAAAAUAUUUGAUAAAAUAUUUUACAGGAAUAAAGAGGUACUUUCACAUUAACUGAAAAAUCUUUUACCUUGACCAUCCUAUUUUACUUUAAACAAACAUUCAAAAAGACAUUGAAAAAGACAGAAUAUUUUCCCUAAGCAUAAAUGUUGAAACCACCUAUAACUAGUGAAAAACCUUGUUUAAUAGACAAAAGUGGAUAAUAAGGGUAGUGGCCCUGUAUACUUUUAUAUAAGCGCUUUUAGCGUGAAACAAGAUCGAACAUGGCUCAAUCUGUUACAUCAUUUUUUUUCCUCCUAAACAGAGAGUGGUUCAAAGAUGAAAAAAAUCAGUUGUCUGUAGCAUUUAUCAGAUGAACUUAACUAGGAUGCAGAAUGCAGGAGAAUUGAUAGGAUCGACAUUUUGGAUAUAGAAUAACAAUUAACAAGGAAUCACUUCUACACAUGCAUAAAAAAUAUAUUCAAUAAUAAUAAUAAUAGAAAUUCUAUUUUGCAUGUUCACAAGAAAAUGUGGCUGAUGUAUAAAUAUUAGUAGUAAAUGACACAAAUGAUUUUCAUAAUGAAUCCAAUACAGAAGUUUGUCCAGUAUUGUUCUUCAACAAGAUUCUCAAAGAAGAAAAAAUCAAGAAGAUGAGGGAGAGAUAUUGAGAUCCUGUCAAGCAGACAUCCUGAGAUAAACUUUUUACUUUUAAUGAAAAAUAUAUAUCAUAACUGAAUAACAAGUAUCAAACAGGCAAGACCAUGAAAGAUUAUUGAAUUCUUAGCCAAAAGCCUAUGGACUAUUUGUUAGGAUAUGUGAAAAGCUUUAAGUGGCUACAGUAAUUGUCUAAAAUGGGGAUGAUAUCCAGAAGAGUCUGGAAAUUGGUGUUUAAGAAAAACUCAUAAAGUCAAUUCCUAAAAGGAACUAAGAAUUUGAUACAAAAAACAAUGAAAAAAAUAUAUAAGAAAUCAGACAUUACCUCCUCUUGGAGCAAAGUUAGGAGACAGUCUACAGAUGUAACUCAUAAAGAAGGAAUUAACUAAAAAGAUAAAUGGUAGUUUACUGAAAGAUAAACAAAUAUGCCCAUCAUACCUUGAGUGCAACCCUUCCUUUCUCCUCUUUACUUAAAACGGUACUGCCAUCAUCUUGUCUCCGAAUCUCUACAAUCCACUUGAUGAAAUCCCUCAAACUAGAAGGUGUUGAUCUAAAUACCAUACAUAAUACAUCAUUAACAUCUUUUAGAUUCUUGGAAGUGAGCAAAAGGGGAAGAUCUUCCGUUAAGUACUUAGCGACUACAUUCCAAUUCUCAUGUUUACAGCUCUGCAUUUGAUACACAAUAGUAGUACCAGUUAUCACCUCUUUGAACAAUAAAGCUCUGGCAAACAUAAAGAACAUAGAAAAAGUAAAUCCGAAACAAAUAUUUUUUUAUGAUCAACAGCAAACCCUAGAACCAAAUAGCUAAGUCUGAAAGCUAAAAUCGUAAAAAAUCGAAACCAAAGUAAAAGGAGAAAGAUAAAAGAGUGUUAGAAUCGUAAAAUUACAUCAUCAGCAUCAUCGGCGUUUUCUUCAUGGACGGCGUCAUCAUCUUUGUCGGAGGCGUCGGCGGAACGAGCAACAGCUUCAAUUUCCUCCUCAUCGUCUUCUUUGCCGUUGACAUGAGCGUUCAUUUGCUCCUCUUCGAUGAACUCGAAGCAUUGUACAGUUCUUCAUCGGAGGACGCUGGCUUCAACGAUUUUGCCAUCUAUUCUUCAUUCAAGUUUAUCAGAACUUUUUUUUCCUCUUUUAUUUUCUGUCAAUGAUAAAUGAAAAUGAAAAUGAAAAAAAAAAAGAGAAUCAAAGGGACUUCGGCGAAAAUCAAAGGUAUUUUGAUUUGGGGAUUUUGGGAAACCGAUUUGAGGAUAUCGAAUUGGGAGAAAUUUUAGGGGAUUUGAAGAUUCAAAGUUUGAGGAAUCAGACAUUCGGGGAUAAUCUGAAUUGGGGAAAGUAAAGGGGGAUGUUUGUGGCGUUUUUUACGAAAACGACGGUAAUUCAUAUCUUUUGCGGCGUUUCUAAAAAACGCCACUAAGUAUGCAGCCCAAUAAUUUUUUCUUUCUUUUUUUUCUCUUUUAUUAUUAUAUUAUUAUUAUUAUUUACUAAAAUGGUUAAAUUUUAAUUUGGUCUCUCUAAUAUAUUUAAAUUUCAGAUUUUUUUGCAUAUACUUUAAUUUUUAAUAUGAUUUAGUCUAUAUAUCUUUAUAAUAUUAUUAAUUUAUCCAAAUAGUUAAUAUUAUUAACUUUUUGAUUAAAACAUUACAAGAUAAAGUAUAAUUGGAUAACAUGAACUCAACCUACAACUUUACGCACAAUACCAAGACUAAUACCAGAAUUUAACCAAACAUAUAUAAUUGCUAUCAUUUGAGUGAUCAUGACUAAAAUUUUAAAUUUUGAAAAAAGCACAAAAGAUAAAAUUGAUCGAUUUGAAAAAUACAGGGACUAAAACUAAUCAAAUUAAAAUAUAAGGACUAAAUUUUAAGUUUAAAUUUCGCUUAAAUAAAUUAAGUGUAGAGGAAUUAAUUUGAAUUGAAUUAUUUUUAAUAUAUCAAAAUAUUUUUAGAUUAAAUCUUAAACCAUUUAAUAUAUAUAUAUAAAGUUUAUCUAUUAUCUCUUAAAUAAUUUAAACUAUAAUCAUAAGUUUAAUAUAUUCAAAUUAAUAUUAUCUCUUUUACAAUUAUAUAAGAAAUCAUUUAAUAUAUAAAUAAAAAAAAUAGUAAUUAAUCUAAACCCUAAACCUCUUAACCCUUAUCCCAUAAACACUAAACACUAAACCCUUAACCCUUAACACCAAAUCCUUACACCUUAAACUCUAGCCCUAACCCCUAAACCCUAAAUCAUAAUUCCUAAACCCAUAAUUCAUCAUAAACCUUCAAAUACUAGUUAACUCAUAAACUUUAAACCCUAAACCAUAUAUCUUAAACCAUAGUUAACUAUAAUGAUAAUUAAUUCAAUAUUUUAAAUUCAAUACUAUCUCUUUUACGAUUAUAUAAGAAAAUAUUUAAUAUAUUGUAUAACCAUAAAUUUUAAUAAUUAUUGCUUUAGGGGUUAUAGAUUAGUGUUUAUGAUUUUUUUGGGGUUUAGGGGUUAUAUGACUUUUAGUGGCGUUUUACCAAAAGCGCCGCUAAUGCUCUAUUUUUUAGUGGCAUUUUUUACUAAAGCGCCGCUAUUGCUCUAUUUUUAGCGGCGUUUUUGGUAAAACGUCGCUAUUGCUCUGUGUUUUACAAUUUUUGCGGCGUUUUUUGAUAAAACGCCACUAAAAAUGUAACACCGCUUACCCGUAUCCGAGGCCGGGCUAAGGUACGAGGCAUUACUAGACAAACAUACAAACAUUAAACUAAAAUACGAGCCAUAAAAUUUUAUUGAUAUUUCAAAGCGUUCAUUCUCUUACACAUAGUCCCUUAUUUGAGUCUAUGGAGCCCAAAACAUACUUUAGAAAGGGUUUGGGACUAAACCGAGAACUUACGAAAAUUUUAGAAAUUUCAUGCUUUAAGGCUCCACACGCCCGUGUCCCAAAGUCGUGUUCCAUACACGGCUGAGACACAUGGUCGUGUCUCUGCCUGUGUGGAAUAUACCUAGGCUAUUUUCCAAGCUUUGGUCAACCUUGAUCUCUUACACACUUAUACAAAAUCAAAAGCAUAUAACAUGGUAUUCAUUUAAUGAUUAAACAUCCUCAAUUAAACCACAAACAUAGCAUUUGUAUGUCAUCAUACAUGUGUCUCUCAUACUCAUUUUACCUUGUUUAUUAUAGUACCACUUAUACAUUUAUACCAAGAUUAUCAUCUUACCAAAUAUCUUCAGCUUAAUCAUCAAGCAUUCAUAUUUAAAGCUAGAUCAUAUCUUUAUAAAAUACCACGAUUCAUAUGCGCAGAAUAACAUGUUUGCCUGAAACAUUUCAAUUCAAUUCCAUACCCAACAAGCAUUACAUUGAGACUAGUCAUAUAUAUAUACAUGUCAUGAUACAUAACAUUCUCUUUUUGUUUUCUUAUAAACACAUAUCAUUUAUUUCAUUAUAUCAAUAUUUCAUAUACCAUAGUUUCCAUGUAUUCCACAUAUAUUUAUUUUCCUCCUCCUCCUCUCCAUUCCACAUCCUUAAUGUAUAUAGCAUUCUUGUAAGUACGAUUUCACAAUUUACUAAUAAAUGUUCACAUCAAACUGUCCACACGAGUCAUAGUCACUUAAUUAUUUAUAAUUCGAGCUACAGAGCUCCAAAUUAAGAUCUGUAAUUUUCCCUAAAACUAGACUCACAUAUCGUUCCACCAUAAAAUUUUCAUAAUUUUUUAUUUAGUCAAUUAGUACAGUUUAUUCAUUAAAAUUUCCCCUGUUUCACUUUCUGACAGUUCUGACCUCUCUUCACUAAAAAAUAAUUAUCUCACAGUACAGAACUCGGAUAAUGUUCUUGUUGAUUUAUCUUGAAAAUAAACUCAUUAUGGAUUUUAAAAAUAUAAUUUUCAGCCUCUAAUUAUUUUUCUCUAAUUUUUUGUGAUUUUCCAAAUUCAGAAUAGGGCAUCACGUAAUCAUUCUGAAUCAGUCUCACAAAAACAUAAAUAUCUCAAAAUAUAGAACUCCUUUUCUUUCUAUAUUUCUUUUAUAUGAAAAUAGACUCACUAAGCUUUAAUUUGAUAUCUCAUUAAGUCUCUGAUUCAAUUUAUACUAUUUUUGGUGAUUUUUCAAAAUCACGUCACUGCUACUGUCCAAAACAGUUUUAUUGCUAAUUCACUCUUUCACACUUUCUCUGUAUUAACCACAUUUUAACAUACAUAUCACAAAUCAUUUUCACCACAUUUCAUACAUCACAAGUAUAGGCCCAUGAUCACAAGGUCACCAUAAAAUCAUCCUCAUGUAUAACUUACUUGUUUAUAACCUUACCACAUCCUGGUCACUUAAUGAACACAUCAUUCACAUAACCAAGUUCUUGCACUUAUUCAUCACAAAACUCACAAAGCAAUACACAGAGAGUCUCUCGUUGAACACUUCGGAUCAAUCCUCGAUACUUGGUGGUUUCAGCACAUAGCUCCACCCAUCAUAUAGUUCGGCUCUCUUGUACACAUGGUGAACACUUAGUACCACCCAUGUGACCUAGCCAGUUUAUCUUGUAACUCUCUUGUCUACAUGGUGUCCUUCACUUGGAACCACGCUUGCGACCUAGCUACAUAUAUCCCGUAGCUCUCUUGUCUACAUGGUGUACACAUAGCAUCACCCAUGUGACCUAGCUACAUCAUAAUGUCUUGUAGCUCUCUUGUACACAUGAUGUGCACUCAGCACUAUACAUGUGACCUAACUACAUACCAUCUGUAUCAUCCAAUCUUUCCGAAGGUUCAACCGGGAUUUCUCUCUCUUUUCCAACAAUUUCACCAAUCAAGUAAUUAUCCACAAACAUAUUUCCAAUAUUUUUAUAAAAUAUCAUAAUACAAGUAAUAGUGAUGUAUUACUUACAUAUAAACUUACAUCUCAUGUAAUAUCAACGCAAUAACAUUAAAUUACACAUUGUCUUAUUAAAAAUCAUAUGAACUCACAAUUUCCCAUAAUAUCCAUAAUCAUAGAAAUCACAUUUAUGUAUGAUAAUUCAAUGCACUUCAUGUACCAUAGACAUAUUUUUAAAUCAAUUCAUAAACUUGGCACCAUAAUCAUUUAAUUUAACAUAAUUCAAUUAAUUCACUAAAUUUAACUUUCAAAUAUAAAUUACAGCAUUAUUGUUGUAUUAUUAUCAUACCAACUUACAUACUUUCAACACCUCGGAGAUCAUAGUAAAUAUAUCAAUUUUACAUUGAAACAUGCAUAAAUUAAUGCUUAUUAUACAUAUGAACUUACCUUGAUAUUAAAACGGCCAUUUUACCAACUUUCCCAAUUUUCGAUUUUUCUCUCAUUCUAGGUUCAAAUCUCAUUUUUCGGGAUCUAAAACAUCAUAUUUUACUUAUUUAAUUAAUGUACUAUUCAAAACAGUCCUUAACUCAAACUUUGGAAAAAUUACAAUUUUGCCCCUAAACUUUUGCAUAUUUACACUUUUUCCCCUAGGCUUGGGAAUUAAACUUCAUCCCUUUUUAUGACAUGCUGAUCACUUUUCCCUUCUAUGGAAACAUCAGAUUCUCACUCUAACAUAUACUUAUGACUAUUAGGUAUUUUUACCGAUUAAGCCCUUUUGCCCGUUUUCACUUAAAACCGAGUAGCACAAGUUGUCUAACAUAAUUUAAAACCUCAUAUUGUAUCAUAAAACACCAGAAUACAUAAAUUUUACCUAUGGGUAUUUUUCCAAAUAUGAACCCUAGGUUGAAUUAUUGAUAGCAUAAGUUAAAUCAAGUUACCGGGACUCCAAAAACGUAAAGAACUUGAAAAACGGGGUUAGAACGGACUUACAAUUGAGCUUGGGAAGCUUGAAAACCCUAGCCAUGAAGUAUCCAUUGGUAUACACGUCCAUGGUGAAGAAGAUGAGCAAAAUUGACUUUUAAUUUUGUAUUUUAAUUCCUUUUACCCCUAAAUGACCAAAAUACCCUUACUACUAAACUUUCCAAAAAUUCCAUCCAUGUCCAAUUUUUGUCCAUAACUUAGAAAUUGGUAAAAUUUCUAUUUAAGACCUCCUAAUUAAUAUUUCAAAUCAAUUUCAUACUAGAAACUUCUAGAAUGUAAGUUUUGCAACUUCUUCAAUUUAGUCCCUAACUUCGAAUUAAGCACUUUAUGCAUAGAAUUUCUUCACACAAUCAUGCAAUCAUAUCAUAGACCUAAAAAUAAUCAUAAAAUAAUUAUUUAUAUCUCAGAUUUUGUGGUCCUGAAACCUCUGUUCCAACUAGACCCAAUUUUGGGCUAUUACAAAAAACGCCGCUAAAGCCCUAUUUUCCUGUAGUGUGAAGUUUACAAACUUGAAUGUACAUAUAAUGUUUGAAAAUCUGAAUUCCUACCUAUCCCUUAUGAAAGCAUAUGGUCGCCUACCUCACACGCUCCUUUCGAGUUGGUACCAAAUAAGAACUCGUGAUGCAAGCUAAAAAGUUUGCCGAACUCCACUCGAAUAUGAGGAAAUAUGGAUAUUCAGGAGUGGAGAGACACACUGAGGUUAUGCACAUACUAUAGGAACCCAGGGCAUAUGAAUCCAACAUGUCCACACAACUCGGAAACACCAAGGAGAAGAGCUAAUUAAAACAUUAACUUAUUCAUUUAUUCAUUAUUCUUUUUGUAAAGUGUAAAUAUUAUUACUUCUUCAAGUAAGAUAUAUUACAAUACGCAAGUCAAAGUUUUAAUCCAAAAUUGGGAAGCUUCUAAUCAAUUCUUUAUUUUGUCAAAAUAUUGUAUCUAACAAAUCGACAAAAAAAAACUUAAAUGAAAAAGUAACAUAAAUAAUUGUAAAUUUUAAACUCACAAUAUGAUAUGUUCCAAAGUAAACCAAUUUAAUAAAUUUGUUUCAUAUAUUGUAAAUAAGUGUACAUUUAAUAUGUAAAACAAAUUACACAAUUUGGUACUAAGGAAAACGCACCCUGUAGGACGUGUUUUCCUUUCUCUUUCCAAAAACAAUGUAUAUCAGUAAUAUUUUAGAAUUUCAGCCUAGUUUCUCAAAUCAUUUUUUCAGCAUAUCUGUAUAAACUAACCUAUAUUAAUAACUAAAUUAACCAUUAAAAAACUAAAUUUAACAAUUUGACUAAAAAAGACUAAAUUACCCAUAAAUGCCUAAAAAUUUUAAAAUUUACUAGAUUAGGCCAUUUUUUGGAAGAAUUAAUGUAACACCCUGAAUUUGGGCCUAGAAGUUUUGGGCCUUGAGCAUUGGAGCGGUUGAAGGCAGCUUAUAAUAUUUUGUUGGGCGUGUAAAUUUCGCUAAUGAAGGCUUGUUUUAGUGGUUAAGUGUGUUGAGAAGUGUUGGAGAAGUCCUGGGUUUAAACUUGGACUCUAGCAAAAAAUUUGGUUUAAGGUGAAUUAAACCCUGGGUGUAGUAGGUAGGCCUUAAGAAUAUUGUUGGAGAAAUUGUGACACAAAAAGCCUUGUGGUCUAGUGGCAAAGUAGCGCCACAUAAGAGGCAGGAAGGUUGCGUUAUAGAGGUGGCAAGGAGGUCCAGGGUUCGAAACUCAUGGCAAGCAAAGAGCAUUUAUUUUGCUAACAAGGGGUGACAAGAGUUGGUGUUGAAUUUAAACUCUGAUGAUGGAGGGAUCCCACAUCGAAAAGCUAACAUAAGAGUGGAUGCGAAGUUGGCUUUAAAUAGAGAGAACCAUGAGGAGAGUAAAGGUACCUUUCUUGGCUGAUCCCUUUCGCUGUAUAGCGUGCUCGUUUGGGUUGGGCGUCGGCUAAGAGUGCUCGAAGCGUGGAUUAACUCUAGUCUUCUAUCAGGUGUGUAUUUCUCACUACUCUAGCUAUAGGAUGGCUACUUCGGGCCGCGAUGGGCCAGAAAGGGUCAUGUGGGCCCAAUUGGAUAAGUUGUUUGAUUGUGUAGUAAAUAUUGGACUGGGCUAGGUGAAUCUCAUAUCUGUGGCUAGAUUUGGGCUAAAAGGGCCACACGAGCGUGUGGGCCCAUUUGGGCCAAGAAUAGGCUUUAGGCCCAUUCGUAUUGUUAUCCCUGUUUAGAAUACUUUAGUUUACCAAAUUACUGAAAUACCUUCGACUUGUAAAAUUACCAAAAUACCCUCGAUUUAUAAAAUUACCCAAAUAUCCUCGAUUUGUAAAAUUACUGAAAUAAGAUAGAAUUACCAUUUUACCCUCGAUUUACAGAAUUACCGUUUUAUCCUCGAUUUAUAGAAUUACUGUUUUACCCUCGAUUUACAGAAUUAUCGUUUUACCCUCGAUUUAUAGAAUUACUAUUUUACCAUCGAUUUACAGAAUUAUCGUUUUACCCUCGAUUUAUAGAAUUACCAUUUUACCCUCGAUUUAUAGAAUUACUGUUUUACCCUCGAUUUACAGAAUUACUGUUUUAUCCUCGAUUUACAAAAUUAUUGAAAUACCCUUAGUUUACAAAAUUACCAAAAUACCCUCGAUCAGUAAAAUUACCAAAAUACCCCUGGUUUGUAAAAUUACUAAAAUACCCCUGGUUUGUAAAAUUACUAAAAUACCCCUGACUUGUAAAAUUACCGAAAUACCCCUAUAGGGUAGAAUUAUCGCAAUACCCUGUAGGGUAGAAUUACCGAAAUACCUCUGUAGGGUAGAAUUACCAGAAUACCCUUGUAAGGUAGAAUUACCGAAAUACCCCUGUAGGGUAGAAUUAUCACAAUACCCCUGUAGGGUAGAAUUAUCGGAAUACCCCUGUAGGGUAGAAUUACCGUAAUACCCCUGUAGGGUAGAAUUAUCGCAAUACCCCUGUAGGGUAGAAUUAUCGGAAUACCCCUGUAGGGUAGAAUUACUGAAAUACCCCUGUAGGGUAGAAUUACCGAAAUACCCUUGUAAGGUAGAAAUACCGAAAUACCCCUGUAGGGUAGAAUUACUGAAAUACCUCUGUAGGGUAGAAUUACCGAGAUACCUUGUGAGGUAAAAUUACCAUUUUGCCCCUAGGGUGUUAAAUGACUGUUUUGCCCUUGUGGGCAAGUGACUGACUUGGACUGUGUGGUUGACGAAUUUGAUUGUGAAUAUAUGUUGGUGAUAUGAAUGACUUGACUAUGACUGUUUGAUUCAAAUAUGGGCAGAUAUUCUGAUUCUGUAUGUUGUAUGCCAUGACAUUUAUAUCUGUUGCAUGGGUUAUGGGUUAUACUGAUGGAGGAAGUACUGAAAGUGGCUUGUCCACGUACUGGAGGCUUUGCCUCAACUUACUGAUAUUUGAGCAGCAAUGCUGCAACUGUGGAGUGUAGGGCUGGGUGGGUUGAGCUAUUCCCCACAUGGAGUGUAGGGCUGGUACGGGUGGAGUGUAGCGGUUGGUUAUAGGCUGGGUUGGGAUUGCAUUCACAUUCACAUUCUGAUUUUGAUUCUGUUACCUGAUACUGAUUCUGAUUCUGAUUCUGUCACCUAAUUCUGAUUCUGAUUUUGAUUCUAGUUCUGAUAAUGUUUCUUAUUCUGUAAUGGGUUAAAGCCCAUCUGGUACUGUCUGUUAUAAUGGGCUAAGGCUCAAUUGGUACUGAAACUGUAAGUAAGGCUGGGGCCAGACGUUUAAUUCUUUUAUAUGACUGAGUGUUCCUUUUUAUAGUAGGGGAUUUCACACUGAGUUUUCAUAAACUCACCCCGUUUAUUAACCUUUCAGGUAAUUUCCAGCCUUAGACGGAUCGGGGCUACGAGGGGCUCGGAGGAAGCCACACACACUAUUUAUGUUAUAGUUUUGAUUAUUGCUUUUAAAUGUUUUUAUGUGGGUUGUAGUAAAGCCGUUGUAAUUUUCUGGAUUUCAAAUUUGGAAUUUUAUUUAUUAUUCUUAUAAUUGCUAGUAUUAGAACACGAUUUUUCAAAGUAACUACUGUUGUUCAAAACAUCACGUAACCGCAAUUGUUUUUAAAUUAAGUGUCCGCAACUGCCAGGAUUUUUUUUACAAAGUUGUUAAGAAUAAUAUUCAGUUGAGGUUUUCUAACAAGGUUUAAAAAGGGUACAAGUUUUUAAUUACUAAGAAGGGUUUUUAAUGGAAACAUGGUUUCCGAAAAACAUUUCAAUGUGACACACCAGAUUCGAGCCAAACUUCCAGGCCGGGUUUGGGGUGUUACAAUUACGAGAAUAGGUCGAUUUUACGAAAACGCUUGCAGCUAGAAGCAUUUUCAGGUGAAAUUCAGAAAAACGCAUCUAGGUGGAAGAGUUUUCAGGUGAUUUACAGGAAAAUGCUUCCAGCUGAAAAUGCUUUUUGCCACAUUGUAGUGUAGCCUUUAAUAUUAUGUUAUUAGUUGAGAGAGUAAGCAAUCCCACAUUGUCUAUGAGCAAGCUAUAAAUGGAUUAUGAGUUUAUAUAUAUCCAUAUUUCACAUCCCACAUCGCUUAAGCAAGGGAAAUAAGACUUCGGGUCUAUAUAAAGGUCUGGUUUUGUAAGUUUAUUUUCACAUUAAUAGGUGGCACCAAAAAUAAAUAAAAUUUAUUGCUAUUUGCAAAUCAACUGAAAACGUCCAAGUGGACGUGUUUUUCUGAAUUUUAAAAAAGGCCUAUUCUCGUAAUUCUUCCAAAAAACGGCCUAAUCUGAUAAAUUUUAAAUUUUUUUGGCAUUUAUGGGUAAUUUUAAUCACUAAAAAAUAAGGUAUAAUUAUAUUUUAAAAAUAAAAUAUAUGAUAAAAGUAUUUGUUUCAUAAAAAAUAAAAAAUAAAGCCAAAGGAAAAAAAUUUAAAAAUUAUAUUGAAAAUUAUUUUUCUGAAUCUACUAUGAUUCUAUAUAAUAAUAUUUUCUAAAAGUUGACCAGAAAUAGCGUGUCUCAAUAUCCACCUUUGUUAAAGUUGAACCCUUCCCAUCUGACUUUUCUCUAAAACCCUUUCAAUGCAUUAUAAAGGCGAAGCUUCUCAUUUGAUUUGCCAUGAUAAUCUCCUCCACCUUCCGCCAUGGCAACGCCACCAACACCGCUCUUAAAGAUCAACCUCUGGACCAUCCGGUCUGAAUACUGCCGGAUAAUCAAAGCCCACUCCCGCCACUUCCUAGCUCUCUCACUCCUCUUCCUCCUCCCUUUCUCUUUCUUCUUAUCCAUCUACCCCUUCAUCGCCAUUGAAUUCUACCUCAGCUUCCUUCAGCAAGAUCCCUCCAUCUUCCCCACUAAAACCUUUAUCCUCUAUCUCCUUUACAC